Molecule: long non-coding RNA, 263448 nt
Filed under: Triticum aestivum (bread wheat)
Lineage: Eukaryota; Viridiplantae; Streptophyta; Magnoliopsida; Poales; Poaceae
Description: long non-coding RNA (TAES_LNC011039)
Rfam family: MIR1120/MIR1122 microRNA precursor family (bases 224608-224720)
Source: RNAcentral
UUUUUCUCCAGAAGAUGAUUGCUGUCAGCUUGACAACCAAAAUGCACUCAAUGAAGAUUUUGGUUCUUGACUCUAUGGGCCCUAAUCUGGGUGUGGUUAUUGACUUCUUGAAGUGCUUCCCCUGCUUGGAGAAACUCUAUGUCAUUGUGAGUACUCAUAUUUAUUGCUAGAAAUGUCAAAACAACAUUGGUUCAGAAUUAUAAUCUUGUGAAUUACUAGUAUUUAGCUGCCAAUUUGUUAACAACUAUCUUUAUAUCAUAUAUUUUUCCUAUCCCCAGUUGAAUCGGCACAAGGAUGUAAAUUAUGUGUGGAAGCAUGGUCCACUGGAUCCAGUUCGGUGCCUUGAGCUCCAUCUAAAAAAAGUGGCAUUGAAGAAUUACAAUGGUGACAGGAGGGCAUUUACUAACCUUGCUAAGUUCUUUAUUUUGAAUGCAAAAGUGCUGAAAGAAAUGGAAAUCGGAUUCUUUCACAUUGGCAACGACGAAUGGGUUUGUUAUCAACAUAGGCAGCUACAAGUUGAGAAUAGAGCUUCUCAAGACGCUCGAAUUGAACUAAAAGAUGAUAUGGACCUGAAAUUCACUGACCAUGUGCAUACCCAUAAUUUGUCAAUUGCUGAUCCCUUUGACAGAUCCUUGUGUGGAUGCUCCAAGUGUGUUAGGUAGCCCUUCUGAAGAUUGUGUCACCCUCUGUCCAAAGCCAAAACAACGUGGGCCGCCCUUGCUUGUCUGUGUUGUCACACCCUUAUGACGCUAUGCAGAAUGGUCUACUCACUUCAGGAAUGGUAUUGAUUUGUGCCAGACUCUGGAGCAACCCAGGAUUGAGGAGGUGGUGCCUGGGCCAAAGAUUAAAAUUGAUUUUGCAAAUGUACAAGACCCUUGAAUGGUAGUACUAGUUGUCUGUUAUGCUUAGUUCGUACUUGUUGUUUCUAUUCUGCUCAAAGUCAUUAUAAGCUUAGACCAUGUGUAGGCUACAAGCCUAUAACUAACAUAUUUGUGUCUCUACCUCUUGCUUUGAUGAAAAAACAUAGCCUUGUAUUUCUUUGUUUAAAAGAGUGCGGUGUAAAGUUUAUUUCCUGGCAUACAAUUCAUUAGUCAUUACCACUUUGUUAGCAGGUCAUUGAGAGCACCUGUAGAGUACAACUAAUAUGUGCAACCUUGUCUGCUAGUUUAGUCAAGAAUGUAUGGUUGAUUCACAGAAUUCAUUUAUUUCACGGAUUUUAAAUUUGAUAUCUUGUGUUUAUACCAUUCUUCUAUUCUCAUAAAAGAAAACCAAGUAAAAUUACUUACAUUAUAUUUUCCUGUGCUAAAUUUAAGGUGGAUUUAAAAGGCAUACUCUGUAUUUUUAUGGUUUCAUGACCUCAUUCUGUCACAAAUUGCUAUAUUUACAUGUCCUGAAUCGACAGCAUGGAGCAAUUGGUUAUUGUGUUUAGACAAUUGAUUCUGCUGGUUUUUUUUAUCCCAAUCCAUUUAUUUGUUGACAUGGCACAUAAAGAUUGCCUGGUGGGGUUCACACUCAUCCAGGGGAUGAUUCUUGCUUUGGAUUAUCAAAAGAGAUGAAAGUUACGAACAAAGCAGCUUAUCAAGUGAUGAAGUAGUAAAUUUAUUUUGUCUUGCUUUUAUGUGGCUGCAGUACAUUAUUUGGCUUCUUCAGGAAAGAGAUGCUUCUCCUUUCUUUUUUCCCGUUCUCUGUUCACACAUACCAAAAUGGGAGACUUUCAGACACUUUUUUUAAUUGAAAACAUUCAGUUUUUGCUGACCCCUCCUUAGGUGCUUAGACUUCUUCAGUUUUGCACUCCAUGUUUCAUCUUUUCAGGACUUGAAACCAGAUGAACAGGCAAGAAAAUGCUUGUAAACCUUUCUUCGGUAAGUCUCUGUAUGCUUCUAUUUCUCUUGCUAGAGACUAUGUUCUAAAUUUCCUUUUUACUAUCUAAGCUAGAGAUUAUUAUUUUUCAGUCAUGUUGAGAUCAGCGUUUUGUUUUCUGAUACACCAACUAUGUUUCUUCAGUAUUAUUUUUCAGUCAUGUUGAGACAUUCAGUGGUUUCAGUGUACUUCUGUUUUCUCAUCCUUAUGCCUGCUAUCUAUGAGGUUUUCCGUUAGACUCGUACCGUGUGAUAGCUGUGCAAUAGGCAGCGUAAAAGAUGCCCUUGAUGGUGCAAGAAUUCUGUCUAGAGAACGUAUGGGCCAACACCACUGCCUGGGCCAGGGCAAAAGGAGUGUCUGGCAUCAAAUGUAUGGUUGAAAAGCUUCUUGAACCAUCCUGUGGAUACAAAAACGGCAGAUCAGUGGACAAGGGUAGCAUGUUCAGUCCCAGUGCAGAGCCGUGCUUACUUCAAUUAUCGCGGUGGAAUUCCAACACUUACGAGCAGAGUAGCAAGGGACCAACCUGACGACUGGAUCGACAUGCCGGAAGCUUUGACUCUAGAGAGAUCGCUUCCAAAAUUACAAGUCGUGCGUCCUGAACUCUCGAUCAUUUGGAAUUGGAUGGCGACUUGCAUGCUUUCGGUGCAGGUGGGGAGUUGGACAGAAUGUAGCACCUAUAUUUUGGUCGAGAUCACCAGAUCGGCAUUAAUUAAUGUCUGAAUUUUGACGGGCGAGCUCACCACCGAUCUAGUCGGUCAGUCGCAGGUGACAAUUACAUGAUGGCAGAGAAUAGCUCUGAACUUUUGCCCCAAUCAAAUGCAGAGAUAUCACACAAGACACAUAGCUCAGUUUGGCCUGCGUAAAUCGUACACAAACAACAACAUAUAUGGAUUUGCCACCACAAGAGUUAAAUAGAACUCAGGGGUGCUACACAACACAAGCUUCCCCAACAGCGAAUUAAAAACAUAUCUACUACUAAUGUCUGUUCUAACUCAAGCAACCCAGCAAACGAGGGAGGCUGGCGACAGAUUUAGGAAGAAAAAAAAAUACUAGCUCACACUACAGAUAAAUCACCUUGAGUACAUGUGAUCCGCUCAACAGAGUCACUUUUGGAACCAAAUGCUGAUGGCUGGCCAGUUGAAUUGCAGACUUUGCAGAUUAAGUAGCAGGACUGGAUUCUCCAGAUGCAUUACUUGACUUGGAUCCACGAACUGCUGUUCAAGAUGGGUGUAGGACAUAUUAUAAAAAAUUGCUACUCGUAGGAGUGAAUAAAAAUUGCCCCUCGUUUCUGGUCCACUCCUUGUCAUCCUUAUACAUCUGAUCUUCACAGACUCUGCUGACACGGAUUAUGCACUUGGGGAGCAAGUUGGUUGCUUUCUCAAUGGAAUACUCCAGAGCCUUCACCCUGCCUGGAGCUGCUCUGAAACAAUUGAUUUGGACCUCGAGCUCUGCAGGGCCUGGAAGAUGCUCGACACCCAAGUCUGCAUAAAAGUCGGAUGCGAUCAACAUUGGGCUCAAGUCAAGACGGAGACAACGGAGUGCUGGCAUAGCACCUGGUGCAAAUGUUAGCCGCAGUCCACCCGGUGAUUUCACUGUAACAUGAGUAAGGAAGAGUGAAUAGCGGAAGCAGAAGACCUUUAGCAGUUUGAAUCCGUCACUACCAAUGAUCAGCUUUUCAUUAAUGGCCCUUCUUGUUAUCUCAAGCUCCAGAUGAGCCAGAGAAGGCAUGCCCAUGAGAACUUGGAGAUCCUCCUUAUCAAAUUCCAUGACCUCUAUGCAUAGUUUCAUGAGAUUCUCGAGGGAGGUCAUUCCCCUGGGAACCUUUCCAAAACCUGACUGAAUUUUAAGAACUUGGAGGCACGGGUAUGUGUAGCAUGGGUUACAGAACAGACGCGUGGCUGUCUCUAUAUCAGUACGAAGAUACCGAAGGUUGCAUUUGCCCGACUCAUUUACUUCCUCCGCAAAUCUUACUAGGUCGUCGGUUUGCAUGAAGCGUAACUCCUCCAAGGCGUGCAGACUACGGAACCCACCUGCAGGCAAUAGUGUGUUGCGAUUGACAAAUAGGCGCACCAAUUUCCGUAACUGCGCCACGGUUGAUGGAAGUCUUGGAAGUGAAUAACAGUAUCUCAAAUCCAGAGUCUCCAAGUGCUGCAGCUUUCCAAUUUCACAAGGAAGCUCAGUAAUCUUAGAAGUGCCAAUUCUCAAAUACCUCAGCUGACGCGAACUAGCUAUAUGUUUUACAUGCUUGUUUUCCAACCAUUUACAAUCUCCAAGAUCCAACACCCGCAAAGCAUGGAAGUCCACAAGGUGGGGCAUCUGCUCAACUUGCCAAAAGAUAGUCAGUGAGCGAACAUGUAUCUUGGUCUCUGUAAUUGCCCCAACUGCCCCUUUAUGCUCUUUGCCACUAGAUUGCAUGGACAGACGACGUAUCUUAUUUGGGAAAGAAUUGCAUACACGCCCAUUUAAGACAGUUGCAAAAUUCUCUUCGUCUGAUAAAGAUAUAAUAAGGUCAAGCACCAUAUCAUGGACCCUACAAUAUUUCACCGAAGUGUCAUAAUUACCAUAAACUGGCUGGAUCAUAUUUCUAUUAACAAGGUCAUUAAAACAGUUCUCUGCUACUUGAUCCAAACUUCCCCAUUGUGUAGCAAUGAAUCCUUCUGCUAUCCAUUUCCAUUUCAGCACUUUAAUAUUGAUCAUGGAGUCCUCUGGAUAUAAGCACAGGUACAGUAAACAAGUCUUCAGGUGGUGGGGAAGAUCCAGGUAACUAUGUAACAAUAUAUCUUUCACCCCUUUUAAGUUCCCAUCCUUAUCAAACGAAGAACCAGUACCAAUGGAAUCUUGCAGUCUCUCCCAUUCAUCCUUGUUAUGUUUCUUACUGGCAAGCAAACUUGCAAAUGUAAUUAUAGCCAGUGGCAGUCCGCCACAUUUUUUUAAAAUCCUAGCAGAGACUUCUUUCAGUUCAGAAGGACAUGAAUCAUUUUAGUAGAAAAUUCUCUUAAAGAACAAUCUUUGAGAAUCAACAUCAUCUAGAGGUGCCAUUUGAUAUGGUUGCUCAUUGGAUAUGGAACAACAUAGAUUAGCUUCACCGGUCGUGUAGUAGCAAUUAUUCUACUACCAUUAUUAUUGUCAGGAAAUGCUGCCUUGACCAAUUUCCAAUCUUGUUCUUUCCAUACAUCAUCAAUAACAAUGAAGUACCUGCAGUCAAGAUUGUGUACUGUUAAGCAUUGUCAUUAUUGUGAUGAAUUUCACUUGCACUUAACUUGAUAUAUGCAAAGAGAUACAUAAAUGUUUCAUAUUUACAUUUCCGUAACCUUUUCUUGCAUCAAUCAAAAUGUUAGAAGUACUAACUCAUUGCAUCCCGAUGGUAAGUGAAAACAAAAGUAUAUGAAGCACAUCAAGGGACUACAGGACAUAUUAUUAAUAGAAGAAAGAAAUAAGUCUACUUGACCCAUUAAACUAGUGUCAAGUUUGAGUUUCAAUCUCGAACCCUAAUACUAGCAGUAGAAGCACAAACAUCAACUAUUUGCAACCAUAAUGAUUCAUGUGAUGUCUUGGCUACAUGCCAUCCAAUUUUUUUGUGGGACCUAUAUUUUGUCCUUUGUUCUCCAUCCUGUGUGCACAUGGAGCCAUGCCGCCUUGCACACGCAGCCAUCCAGACGAGAUGAAACUGCCACGAUUUGGAUUUGAUGUUAAGGCUCAGGUUUGAAUUCUAAUCGAUUUAUUGCAUCACCUUCAGAACAUCUUUAGAAUCAAUAAAGCUUUGUCCAAAGAAAGGAGUGACGUUCAUAAAACGGUUGUGGUUUGGGUCGGGGUAAAAUGAAGUACUAUUUCUUUUUUGAAGUACUAUUUCAGCAGCCUGGACAACGUCUUUGUUGGGUAUAGUCUGAAAUUAGAACACUUCAACCCAGGCAAUUUUAGAAGUUACGGAAGAAAUAGGCGCCAACGCAUAAAAAGAAGAGGAAAGUGGAGUUGUGUGUUAACUAUCACCAAUCGAGCUAUUAGUAAGGACAUUUUUGAUUGAGAAGGAGUAUGGCCCAAAGAGGAAAGUAAAUCAGACUGAUCCAGCAUUGGUGGGUUGAACUGAAGUGAACUUUUUUUAUGUGUGCCUGUUUAUGAAGCUAAGAUGAAUGAGUGUUUGUCAUCAACAGUUACUGGGUCGGCUAGUUUGAGGUAAUGCGAAAACAAUCUAGAUGUUCGAGGAACUAAACAUACUCAAUACAGCUAUAGAGAUGACCAUUUGAUCUAGCCUGGUAACUUUAAAUAAUAAUAAUUGUUCAUGUCGUCCAAAUAUAUGAAUCAAUUAAUGCUAGGUGCUUGUAUAAAGAGGGGAAAUAAAACAAAUCAUCUAUAUACUCCGCACCUCUUUCCUGUCAAGAUAUGUUUGAUUUCACGGAUUAGCUGUUCCUUUUCCCAAUUCUGACAAUCUUUGUACGCAUCUUUAUCGAUCUGAGACAAGAUAUCUUUGAGGAGCUUCACCAGAUCAAGUGUGCGCGACACUGACACACAAGCUUGACACUGGAAGUCUCCUCCUAAUGCAAUCUUGCGAUAGACUUCCAUGGCCAGGGUCGUCUUCCCCAGCCCUCCUGAUCCAACAAUCGGCACCACUUUCAACUCUUUACUCUCAUCCAUCAGCAAGGCAAUGACGUGCUUCAUUGGGCCGUCCAUUGCCACCAAGCCCUUGACCUCCUCAUGGAUAGCAGUUAUCGGGUCUAUCUCCACCGUCUUCGUUGCACUGUAGUAAUUCUCUUCAAGCUUGUACCUAGCAUCAUUUUUACAGUAAAAACUUAAUUAAGCUCAUGUUGCAUCAUCCAGAAAUACAUCAUUUUUACAGUAAAAACUUAAUUAAGCUCAUGUUGCAUCAUCCAGAAAUACAUACAAGUGCAAGAGUUAGAUCCUCGACAACAACAGCAAAAAAAAAAGUGCCAGAGUUACGAAAAAUGUAGUACCUGUCACGGCGCUCACUUUCCUACAUGACGCGAGCCUUGAGCUCCUUGAUCUGGGUUGCGAUGUCAUGGCGCGCCCACAGAGUCUUGAGCCGAUGCGCAGUCCUCUUCAUGAACUUUGGUUUGGCGUCGCCGCUGCCAAGCCGGUCCAUGAAGCGGUCGAUGCAGUCUUCUAUGUCGUAGCUAAGAUCGCGCACUCUGUCUCUCCAGCCCUUGGCCAUGAUGUCGAGUUUCUCCUCCAUGCCCGUUAGUCUCUCCAGCAAGACUCGCAUGCCGGUGAGCUCGCGCUCAAGGAACUGGAUCUCCUUGCGGACCCGCUUGAGAAGAUUGUACUCGUCGCCCAGCAAGGCGGUGAGCUUGCCGAGGAGGUUCAUCGCCCCCGUCCCAACGCCCACCCCCGCCAUCUCUCUCCGACCCCGUCUCUCCCCUUCGCCGCCUUGACUCUGGAUCUGCUCUGCUCUGCUCUCUGGUGAAGAAGAAGCAGCUGAGUGAUUGGUGUUUGGUGGCGGAGGAAGAGGAGCAAUGGCGCUGGGGACACCAAUAAUGGAGCACGCUUGUGCAGCGCUGCCGUGGGGAGAGAAAGAGAGGGGCUGGGGACACUGGUCUGUGAAGGCGAGUGACGAUGGGGACUUGUCCUUGCUAAUUAAGCUAGCUGCUGCACGAUGCACUGUUGCUUGCUGUGUGGCUGGUGGGACGAAGCUGCCCGUUGUGUGAGGCUGCCGAGCAGGUCCCACGCGGCAUCUCGAGCAUACCGAUGAAGGUGGUGAGUGCCCACGCACAGACCAUUUGGUCUCCAAGCAGGCGCGUGAUGAGUGGAUCGUUGAUUUCGCGCACCGACGGUUUCACACCAUAUCCAUUAGAUAAGUUUUUUUUAAAUACAUAAGGAUUUGAAUCCUAGAAUUUUUUUACAUAGUUUGAUUCAUGUGGGAAAAAAUAUGCCGAGGAGCUUCCUUUUUUCUCUCUACUAUCUUUUAAUAUUUCCUGUUUGCUUUUAGUAGUAGGAGUAAUUCUUGUUGUUCGUUUUAAUUUUUUUGUUUUCUUUCAUUUUUUUUAUAGUUCUAUACAUUAUCCGUUUAUAGAUAAUGUCUGUGAAGGCGCGUGACGAUGGGACGCUAGCUCCUUGCUAAUUAAGCUAGCUGCUGCACUAUGCAGACAAUACCGACGAUGGUGGUGAGUGCCCACACAGAGACAAUUUGGUCUCCAAGUAGCCGCCUGAUGAGUGGAUUGUUAAUUUGGCGCACCGACGGUUUCACACUAUAUUGAAACAUUUCGAGCAUCAAUUUUUUUUUCACACACCUACAAAUGUGAUUCUAUGUUAAAAUUUGCAUGCAUUCAAAGCAAAUAUCAGUCAAAAGAAUGAAUUUACUGUUCAUCCGAGAUCAUGUGAGUCCAAGCUCACAAUAGCACUUUACAGAGAGGGCAUGAGUAUGCGGAUUUGAAUCCUAGUUUUUUUUUUCUUGAAAAAAAGUAUCUUAGUAUUUUUUUAGAUCAUUUGAUUCGUGGGAAAAAGAACAUGACUAGGCGCUUCCUUUUUUCUCUCUACUUCUUUUCAUAUUUCUUUUUUAUAUUUUGGUAGUAAUUUUACUUUUUGUUCCUUUUCAAUUUCUUGUUUUCUUUCAUAAAAAACGUGUAAUUUCAUAUAUAAUCCAUUUAUAUUACUUCCAAAAUAUGUUUAUGUAAUAUAUUGUUUCACAUGCCUAUAUAAUUAGGACAUCUCCAAUGGCGACCCGUAAAUUUCCUCCCGCAUCCGUCCGUGGACGCGAGAAGGGGGGCAGUUCGCGGACAAGGAUGCAGGAGGCCGCCAUCCAAUCCUAACAGCAUAUAUUUCAAAAACCUUUUCAACAAACCGGACAAAAUUCAUGCAAAAAUGGUCGAAUAUCAUAUAAACAUGACGGAUUUCAUACAAACCCGACGAAAAUGUUUAUAUUUUGAACACAUUUUAACUAAAAAGGUAAAAUUAUGUGCGCGUAUGCUCGCGUGGAGCUUCACUCCCACGACACGGAUACACUAGACUAGUAUACGGACAACCACGGCGUAUCCUCACUACAAAAAAAAGACACAUCCGUGACAUUUUGGGCUGAACGAAUUUUUUUCCUGUCAUACAUAUGACACUUCUAUGACGAUAAUUGUGACAAAACCCGGUAUCAUCAUAGAUGUGAUGGGCUCCUACUUCUAUGACAAAAAAUUAUGACAGAAAAUGGACUUUUCGUCCUGGGCGGGCCGGAGACGCAGCUGCAUGACAUUCUUUGGGCCGUCCAUGACGGAAAAAACCGUGGUAGAAGCGAGGGGGAGGAAAAUUUCGGGGAGUUGUCGGUUACGGUGGGAGGUCGGGGGCGGAGCGAUGCGCGUUUCUCUCGUGCGUACGCGCGUGUGUGCGAGGCGUUGGCUCUAACUGAAGCCGAGCGAUGUGUUGGGCUCUAACUGAACCUGAGCGAUUGCACUGCAGGCUACACGUUACUGAACCCGAGCGAUCGAUCGAUGGCUGUUAACUGAACCCGAUGGAGCGAUUCCUUCGCUACNNNNNNNNNNNNNNNNNNNNNNNNNNNNNNNNNNNNNNNNNNNNNNNNNNNNNNNNNNNNNNNNNNNNNNNNNNNNNNNNNNNNNNNNNNNNNNNNNNNNNNNNNNNNNNNNNNNNNNNNNNNNNNNNNNNNNNNNNNNNNNNNNNNNNNNNNNNNNNNNNNNNNNNNNNNNNNNNNNNNNNNNNNNNNNNNNNNNNNNNNNNNNNNNNNNNNNNNNNNNNNNNNNNNNNNNNNNNNNNNNNNNNNNNNNNNNNNNNNNNNNNNNNNNNNNNNNNNNNNNNNNNNNNNNNNNNNNNNNNNNNNNNNNNNNNNNNNNNNNNNNNNNNNNNNNNNNNNNNNNNNNNNNNNNNNNNNNNNNNNNNNNNNNNNNNNNNNNNNNNNNNNNNNNNNNNNNNNNNNNNNNNNNNNNNNNNNNNNNNNNNNNNNNNNNNNNNNNNNNNNNNNNNNNNNNNNNNNNNNNNNNNNNNNNNNNNNNNNNNNNNNNNNNNNNNNNNNNNNNNNNNNNNNNNNNNNNNNNNNNNNNNNNNNNNNNNNNNNNNNNNNNNNNNNNNNNNNNNNNNNNNNNNNNNNNNNNNNNNNNNNNNNNNNNNNNNNNNNNNNNNNNNNNNNNNNNNNNNNNNNNNNNNNNNNNNNNNNNNNNNNNNNNNNNNNNNNNNNNNNNNNNNNNNNNNNNNNNNNNNNNNNNNNNNNNNNNNNNNNNNNNNNNNNNNNNNNNNNNNNNNNNNNNGACUGUAGGAGGUUCGUUUCGUCCGUUUUGCGGUAUGCCACACCCCUCCCGAUCAACAGGACCCCCGUUUCCACCGUAGGAGGUCCGUUUCCUCCGUUUUGUGGUACGCCACACCUUUCCCGAUCAACAGGGCCCCGUUUCGACCGUAGGAGGUCCGUUUCCUCCGUUUUGCGGUAUGCGCGACUAGGCAUUCAAGACCCCGCCCGUAUGUACACAUACGUGACCGUAUUUUCUUUCUUGCACCCUGGCCGCUGUACGUACGUCUACAUGCUACGUGCGCGCCUCUACUACGACACGUGUGCGCCUCUACAUCGACUAGUAUGUACGUACACGUUGGCGACCAGGAUGACAAUGCUACGUACGCUUCGACCAGGUGGGUCCCGACUGUCAGGCACUUCCUUGCCUGCGAAGAUGUAGCUGGUGGGUCCCAGCAGUCAGGGGGCGAAUCGUUUUUUUGCCCGGACGCACUUCCUUGCGUGCGAAGGUGUAGCUGCUGGGUCCCAGCGGUCAGGGGGGCGAAUCGUUUUUUUUUUGCCCAGACGCACUUCCUUGCGUGCGAAGGUGUAGCUGCUNNNNNNNNNNNNNNNNNNNNNNNNNNNNNNNNNNNNNNNNNNNNNNNNNNNNNNNNNNNNNNNNNNNNNNNNNNNNNNNNNNNNNNNNNNNNNNNNNNNNNNNNNNNNNNNNNNNNNNNNNNNNNNNNNNNNNNNNNNNNNNNNNNNNNNNNNNNNNNNNNNNNNNNNNNNNNNNNNNNNNNNNNNNNNNNNNNNNNNNNNNNNNNNNNNNNNNNNNNNNNNNNNNNNNNNNNNNNNNNNNNNNNNNNNNNNNNNNNNNNNNNNNNNNNNNNGCGAAGAUGUAGCUGGUGGGUCCCAGCAGUCAGGGGGCGAAUCGUUUUUUUUCGGACGCACUUCCUUGCGUGCGAAGAUGUAGCUCGUGGGUCCCAGCAGUUAGGGGCGAAUCAUUUUUUUCGCGAAAUACGGUGGCCCGUCCGGUGGGUCCCCGCUGUCAGGUGGAGGAAUAAUUAUUUUGCGCGUAAUAAGGAGGCACUUCCUUGCGGCUGCCGUGGACCCAGCUGUCAGCCUCUCCACGUACAGUCCACGUCCGAUGGAAGUCGUUCCUUGACCAUAUUGACCACGCCGCGUCGAGAGCACCACGGCGGUGGACGACGGCGAGGCCUAGGAAGGGGAUGGCGCGGAGCCAGGGAAGACGCGGCAGUGGAUGCGCACGCGGAGAGGAGUACGAGGGUUCACUGGUUCGGCUGCGCUGCCGUCGUCGUAGAAUAACAGGGGGUGUGGGUCAGUGGGUGAGUGGAGGGAUGGCCUGGCUAGCGGUGGGAGUAGUAGGGGGCGGUGAGGCCUCCGCGGCAGCACAGCCGACCACGGGAGGCAGGAGCAGGCGGCAAGACCGGCGCUGCUUUGGGCGGCUGGAGCAGGAAGACCAGAGGUUGAAGAAGCACGACGGUCGUUGGAUGGACAUCGUACGGUCACUGUAGCUAGAAUCGUUUAUAUUGACUAAGUUGACAAAGCCCUUGGUACGUCAACUUAGUACGCCCACAGGUCAGCUUCCGAAAUGGUGCGCCCAAGAUGUCAGGGGGAUAAAUCAUUUUUUGGGCGGGUGAAGCUAGAAUAUCCGAGAUUGAAGAAGAAGCAUGGCAUCCAUUGGAUGGCCAUCCAACGGCCACUGCUGCUAGAACCGUGUGUUGACUAUAAGUUGACAAAGCCUUAUAUACCCGUCAACUCUGUUUUUUAGGGGACGCGUCAACUUAGUAAGGCCAGAAGUGUGUGGCAGAGAACUUUAGCCCAUUUGAGAUUUGUAAGAAUGUGUAGCCCAUUUUUGAAUUCUAAUGAAAUUUACUACAGCCCAUUUACAGUUUGUUAAAAGUACAGCCCAUUUCAACCAACCAUUCAAAACAGAAUUCAAUAAAAUUUCUCACAUUUUGAUGGGAUCCGAAUAUUUUUAUCUCAAAAUUUUAGUCAGAUUAAAUACAAUUUCAAUAUAAAUUUAUAUUGCGUAAAAAUCCAACGAAACAUUCCGCUCGCAACAAUUAAUGAAAUUAAAAUUUUCAAUAUUCCAAAAAUAAUAUUUUAUAAAGUAAUCACUGUUUGGUGCAUUUUUUUAUAGUUACUACCCAGUUUUUAUAAUUACAUCCCAUUUAUUAUUUCUUAAAGCCCAUUUUCUUGUUAAGCCUAAUGCAUCCCUCCUAGGAAAGAUUUGCAGCCCAGCGGGGCAGAGAAUAACAACUUGACCUUGCCUGGGUAUUCCUAAAAAAAGUAUAGCUGGGCUAGCCAUUUUCAGCUUGAAAAAAAUUAAUAUCUGGGCUGGAUAUCUGGCCUGGGCUAGACGGACCACAGCCCGCCCAGUUAAUACCUGCAGCGAUGUUUUCGUUGUUGUUCAGAGAAGAAAAAUUAAUAUCUGGGGUAAACAUCAAAAAACUCUGCAGUGCUCACACCUCAAAAACACAAAUACUGCUCGAGCUGCUUGGUCCCAGCUGUCGGCCGCUUCUUGUGCAAUCCUCUCGUUUAUUGACUACUCCCUCCUUUCCGGUUUAUAAUGCUCAAUUCAAAAAUCUCACCAAUCAAGGUAGAUGACGAGUGGUGGAAUACCUUUUCUAGUUUUGCAAAAGCACCUAAUUAAUGCUCUUGUUAUCCUCAAAAAAUUAUGUUUAUCAAUGCAUUAAUUGCAAUGCAUGCAUGCAUAAAGUACAUGCAUUGGUCAAUUUUCUCUUAAUACUUGCAUGCAAUGAUUUAAUGCACCUUGGAAUCUGAACAUGUGAUGGAAAACAACCAAAUUGAGCCUUAUAAAAUAGAAAAACUAAAAUUUUGAGAUAAGCCCUAUAAACCAGAAAGGAGGGAGCACAUAGGUAGACAAUGGUGUGGGACCGUGAUGUCAGAAAACCAGGAGGAAACAAAAUAAAUUAUAGUUUUAUAUAUAAGGAGGCACUUGCGUACGUGAGGCUAUGGACCUGGUGGGUCCCCAUUGUCAUCCUAUCCAAGUAAAGUGAUCUCCUCGCCCGCGCGCGCUUUCCGCCCGAAACAGUCAGCGCCGGCCGCCCCGCUUCCCGGUGCAGGCGAUUGCUCCGCCUUCAAACGACACAAGUGCCGUCCAUCCGUCCAUCUGCCGCACACAUUAAUUAUACGCGGUUGCCGAGGCGGCUACUCCGGCGUCACACGUCUGUCCCUCCGCCCGCCCACCAUUGCUAUAUAAACUGCUGCGCCAGCCAUAGCCGCAGUCAUCCACAUCUGUUGCCUUUCUCCUGUCCACACCACUACUGCCCACCAUGGCUUCCUCGCGCUCCAGCGCUCUUCGGAACGGGCGGACGACGGACCACAAGGAGAAAAAAUUGAUCGCCGCUGCUGACAGCAAAGGGCGUCCUAUUCGAAAAUAUCAAACGCAUAUCUUGCUAAAAUCAAUGAGCAAAAUUUGACAAGGUUGUCCCAUUCCAAAAUAUCAAAUGCCUACGAUUGUGGAAUGGGCAGGGUUUGCCAUCAGUUCGGACAUUGACAUGGCAACUCGUGCUAAAUAAACCAGCUGUUCUUUUUGUGCAGUUCCACCAAAAUCAACCAAAUUCACGCGUAGCUUGUAUGAUUUCGCCCUUAUAUGUUGCAACGCCUUGAACUUAUGGGCACCUCCUUUCUUGUGGUGGAAAUGAAUGAUUCGAUGUAUUCAUGAACAUUUUGUGCAGUUCCCGUUGAAAUCAAGCUGAGCACCCCUGUUUGCACAAAUACAAAAAAGUGAUUAGUAUAAAGCAAACUGUACUAUGAAUUGACAGUUUCAACAGGCACAUACAUGGUCCAUGUAGAGCACACUUUUAGAAAAAUGGAACUCACCAGAAAGAAUCCUAGAACAACAUUGUACUCGCGCAUUACAGCAAAAAAAUGGAGAUUUGUCAGUCCUUCUGAGCUGAAGUUAGUUUGGUCUUGUGGGGAGUAAUGUAACCAUCCUUCAACUGCUCCUUCUGAUGAGAAUACUAGAACAACAUUGUACUCGCGCAUCACAGCAAAAAAAUGGAGAUUUGUCAGUCCUUCUGAGCUGAAGUUAGUUUGGCCUUGUGGGGAGUAAUGUAACCAUCCUUCAACUGCUCCUUCUGAUGAGAGGAUAGACAGUGCUUCUUCAUCCUGGCAUAAUCGGAACUAGUCACUUCACGUACUCCAUAUUCUUCUUCAGAGGAAGAUGAUCCUAUUGUGCAAAGACAAGAGGAAAACUAAAUGAAGCACUUCUCAAGGACAAUACCACUUUUUCAUGACAGUAUCGAAACAGUAGCACAACGCUAAUAGAGAUGACAAAGCUCAAUCAUAUGGAUGAAUUAGUGGGCGAGUACCAACCUUUAUCAGGAGGCUGAUUGUGUAGAGCAUACAGAUGAAGCACUUCUCCGGAACCAUCUGUUGCUCUCUACUAUGGUGGCCAUGCUUACUAUAUACUCCUCAAUUAGUUUAAUGUUUCCAACAUCUUUUUGUGCAGUUCCACUAAAAUAUAUGGUAUCUUCAAAGAAGAUCCCUGUUUGCACAAGUAGAGAUAAUUACGUAUGGCAUCAAAUCAGUGGCAAAACAAUUGCUCGUUCCAGCCAUAGCAAUAAAUUAAGAUCCAAAACUAUAUCAUUACUUGUGUCAUCACAGUUCCAGUGCUUCAUUACAGCACCGAGAGUUGAUUUUUGUUUUUCUACCGCUUGUUCUUCCCCUUCAUCACUUGGUUCAAUAACAGACAAGCUUCGCCUUCAAUGUAAGAUUUGGCAAGUCAAUUAGGGAGCACAAGUAUAGUACUAAACUUAAUUUUCUGAUGAAAGUGGCAAAAUACAGGCCAGCAGUGGUGAAAUAUCCUUAUCUUACCUCAAUGGGAUAUUACAGUGCACAUACAGAUUGGAAGUCUUGUCUCCAUUUGUGCAGUUCACUAAAAUCAAGUAACAUUAUCGUACAAGUAGCACAACAUAUGAAAGCACACUGCAGAAUCAUGUGAAAGAAGGCUAGUACUGACCUCUCAUGAUGCGGAAUUCAAACAACUCACAAGAAGAAGAUCUGAACCAAAUUCGCCUUAACGGAUAGGAAGUAAGAUCUCCUCUUGUGAAGUUCCACUAAGAUCAAGCAAUCAAGCAACGUUGUCGGUGCGACAUUUUGGUUGAACUGCACAAAACACUCGUAAAACAAAAGUGUUUUGUGCAGUGCAACAAAAGGUCACAAUGGCAAUGAGCUGAAGUAGAUAACCCUGUUUACACAGAGGUGCAGAGGAAACAAUUAGUGGUCAAUAACGGUGGAUGACACAGAAGCCAACAAAAGAAGCAUCUACCUUAUCGAAAUGGGAAAGAAAGCAAGACAGUAGCAUUUCUCAAACGGCACCAGCACCAUGUGCAUCUACCAAUGUACUGUGGUCAUGCACAGUCUGUUGCAACAAAGAACAAACAACCAAGGAGCAUAUUUGUGUUGGUCCCAGUUUUGUUAUCUUUAGACACCUUUCCCUAUGUGAGCGCAGCAAAUCUAGUCCUGCUCAAACUCUAUAGCCUUGUCCCUUCCUUUCCUUUUUGAAAUAGUACUUUCGCCCCUUCCUUUCCUCUUUGAACCACAUCCUAGAUUUAUGCGAUACAACUUUCCCCACUACUUUCCCCCAUUCCUUUCCUCUUUGAACCACGUCCUACAUUCAUGCUAUACAACUUUCCCCUUCAUUUCCUCUUUGAACCACGUCCUAGAUUUAUGCUGUAUACAAAUUUUCCCACUACUUUCCCCCACUCCUUUCCUCCUUGAACCACGUCAAAGAUUCAUGGUAUACAUGCAGCUAGAGCAAUGCAUGUGGAGUAAGUAAAAUAUACAUUAAGGUUCUUGGGGCGUGGUUCGGUGGGCGACGGGAUGGCGGCGAAGAAGAAGGGUCGGAGGCCCUCCCGCGCCGCCGCUGGGUGGAAAGUGAACAGCAGCGCGGUAGUGGAUUCCCUCCCUCACCGACGGCGACAGCGUUAAGCCUCCUUCCCUUCCCGGCGGACGGAUCCUGCCAGCUCUUUGAGCAGCAGUGAGGGGAGAGAGAGGCCAAUGAAGUCUUGUUUAGAUCUAGAGAGGGCGAGAGAGUGUGAAGAGAGAACCUACAAGCGCCGAGGAUCCAGCGGGAGAGGGCGAGAGAGUGUGAAGAGAGCAACUACAAGCGCUGAGGCUCCAGCAUGUAUAUAUAUACUGGAGAGAGAGUGUGAAGCGUGCAAACCCUAGAAAAAAAUUUGACCAGUCAAAGAAUCCUCCUGGCAAAAAUUAUGCUCAAGUGUAGUUAUCAAACCCGAGACCUCAAGUUUGAUGAGCGAAUAGGCUAACCAGCUACACAACCCUCCCGUUAUGUUCAACGAGAGGAAAAUAACCUUUUAUACAUUCCUGCAUUCGUGUGACAGGCAUGCCGUGUUUUUUUUGUAUGUGUGGGAGUCAUUAGGAUUUCAAUCAUGAUCGUGUCAUGUGGCUUUGGUGGUAAGACUAUCCAUAGUGGUGCAGAAAUAAUGCAGCCUUAGUCACCUUACCUCUCUCCACGUAGUACGUUAGGUCCCACCAGUCAGAGGGUGAAACAAACGAAUUAAUAAGAAAAAUUAAAAGCGCCAGCGGUGUAUCUUACUACCUCACACAUCUUGCUACUGCUCGGGAACACUGUCCAAUUGAUCCCUCUGUUCGCUCACGUACUAUUUUAAGUGAAUCCUUAUUAUAACAUGCACACAAAUUUUGGGCACUUGUAUUCGACUUAAGUCAGUGUGCCACCGUAUCUCGUAUACUUACUACUCCCUCCGUCUAGGUGUAAUAAGUCAUGUUAGAAGGUGCAACGGGACCAAGGUGCAUGCGUGUGCGUGUGUGUGUUUAACAGCAUGUGUGUGUUAGAGAGUGCGACAGAUCGACCUACUCCUACAGAGAUAUGGUGUGUAGUGUACGAUUUUAGCUGUGAGAGUCGAUGCAUCCUCUCGUUUCCGGGCGUGUCCGGUAGGGACAUGCCGAUAGCUGCCACGCCCGCUCCUGACCAGCCUGGCCCACCCAAAGCCCCUCCACCGCCCGCGCGCGCUUCCUGCCCGAAACGGUCAACACCGCUCCAAAGAAUCGGUGCCGCAUUCAUGCCCGGGCAGAGCAGACGCGACCUCUCACUGGCGCAAGAGUGAUCGUUGCUUCGUCCGUCGAACUUACUGCUGGGUCUAUGUGAUUUGAUGGCUCAUUGGUCUUUAUUACUGAGGUGGUAGGACUGCUGGAUGUCCCACGCUUUCGGUGAAAGGAGGUAGUAGAUUACAAUUUUCUCCAUUCUUACAGCGGAGGAGUGCAAGAGCAGUGAAAACACGCAGGCUCAGUGAUUACAUGGCCCACCUCACACUAUCACCGUGCGACACCUAACUCUUUACAUAGUACUCCCUCCGUUCCUAAAUAUUACUAGAUGAGUCCCUGCUCGUUGCUGCGGAACAAUGGUAUAUCUCUCUGCGCAAAAUUAUCGAUUUCAUAGAACUAAAAAAAAUCUAUAACCGCAUGACAAAUGUGGUAGCCGAACUAAAUAAACUCCCAUCAUCAUUUAGAUCAUCCCACAUAAGGAAAAAUGAUCAGCCAACUCCUAUUGCAUAAUGAGAUUAUAUUUUUAUUUUUGACAUGUUAAUGGGACUUAAAAGCUCACUUACAUGCAUGCUACCGGUGCAUGCUUGCAUGCAGACAUGUUGAUGUGAUUUAAAACCCACUCACAUGCAUGUGCCACAGUAUUUCUGCAUGCUUGCAUGUGGCUUAGUGCUGAGCCUCUCAACGUCUGGAUCAGACGGCUAUUAUGACUGAUUUACUUCAUCUAACGGCUACGUCAAUUUUGAUGAUGUGGCUCAAGGAGAGGAUAGAGAAUUCCUAGUAGUGGGGGCUAGCUAUUACUAGUAGAUAAUUCUUUGUAGAGAUUCCACUAGGUGAACUACAGACGGAACAAAAUGAAUGAAUCUACACUUAAAAUGCAUCUAUAUACAUCCGCAUGUGGUUACUGGUGAAAUCUCUACAAAGACUUAUAUUUAGGAACGGAGGAAGUACUAGUAUAGUACUAGUACGUACUGUAAUUUAUCAGCGAGAUAAAUUAGUACAAUGCUAUGAAGCUUCCAGCUCCUGUUACAUGUAUCUUGCGUCCAAGGUUGCCCGUUGCAACAUUUCAUAAAAUACAAAGGAGACUAACAUGCAUGCUAUUGCAUCUCAAUGAUUGACAGAUCAUAGCAAAUAUGUACUCCCUCCGUUCCAAAAUAAGUGUCUCAACUUUGUGCAAACUUUAGUACAAAGUUGUACUACUACUAAAGUUGACACUUAUUUUGGAACAAAGGCAGCUAAAGAAAAAGAAACGAUCCAUGCAGUCCCUAGCCCUUGAACCGUGAACCCUGACCAGGCUUCAAUUUGCUGGCAACGUUCGAGCUUCCUAAUAAAUGAAGUUUGCAACCUUUUGACCAUCGGAUCAUUUUGUGCAGUUUCACCAAAAUCGAGAUGAGCAUCCCUGUGGCAAAGAAAUUGAAGAAGCGUGAUUAGAAUAAGAUUACUAGGACUAGUUGAUGAGACAUAAACUCAUCACAAAUACAGUACGUAGAAGCCAGUAGAGGUAUCAGGUAUUUGCGGGGCAAAGAAGUAGAGAAAUAUCCACAGGGAGUGAUGUGGGCAGCUGGAGCAGUGGUGCAAGCCGGCUGUAAAGGGAGUUGUACCUGAGGGACGUAGCUCGAGCUGUUGGGUAACGUUGCAGAAAAUUAAAAAAAAUCCUACGGUUUCACCAAGAUCCAUCUAUGAGUUCAUCUAAGCAACGAGUCAAGGGAGUGAAUUUGCAUCUAUAUACCACUUGUAGAUCGCGUACGGAAGCGUUCGAGGGAACGGUGAUGAUGGAGUCGUACUCGACGUGAUUCAGAUCACCGAUGACCAAGUGCUGAACGGACAACACCUCCGUGUUCAACACACGUACGGUACAGGCGAUGUCUCCUCCGUCUUGAUCCAGCAAGGAGGAAGGAGAGGUUGAGGAAGACAGCUCCACCGGCAGCACGACGGCGUGAUGAUGGUGGAGAGACAGUACUCCGACAGGGCUUCGCCAAGCACGUGGAGGAGGAGAGGUGUUGGGGAGGGGAGGGGCUGCGCCUUGGCUUGUGGUGCGGCUGCCCUCCCCUCACCCCUCUAUUUAUAGGGGAAGGGGCAAGGGGGCCGGCCCCUCUAGAUGGGAUCUAGAGGGGGGGCGGCGGCCAGGGAGGGGGGACUUGCCCCCCAAGCAAGGGGGGUGCGCCCCCUUUAGGGUUCCCCCCCCCCCAACCCUAGGUGCAUGGGCCCAAGGGGGGGGGGCCAGCCCACCAGGGGCUGGCUCCUUCCCCAUGCAGCCCAUGUGCCCCCCCGGGAGGGGUGGCCCCUCCCGGUGGACCCCCGGAACCCCUCCGGUGGCCCCGGUACAAUACCGAUAUGACCCCGAAACUUUCCGGUGUCCGUUUGACAACUUCCCAUAUAUAAAUCUUUACCUCCGAGCCCUUCCGGAACUCCUCGUGAUGUCCGGGAUCUCAUCCGAGACUCCGAACAACAUUCGGUAAUCACAUACAAGUCUUCCUAAUAACCCUAGCGUCACCGAACCUUAAGUGUGUAGACCCUACGGGUUCGGGAGACACGUAGACAUGACCGAGACGGCUCUCGGGCAAUAACCAACAGCGGGAUCUGGAUACCCAUGUUGGCUCCCACAUGCUCCUCGAUGAUGUCAUCGGAUGAACCACGAUGUCGAGGAUUCAAUCAACCCCGUAUGCAAUUCCCUUUGUCAGUCGGUAUGUUACUUGCCCGAGACUCGAUCGUCGGUAUCCCAAUACCUCGUUCAGUCUCGUUACCGGAAAGUCACUUUACUCGUACCGUAAUGCAUGAUCCCGUGACCAAACACUUGGUCACUUUGAGCUCAUUAUGAUGAUGCACUACCGAGUGGGCCAAGUGAUACCUCUCCGUAAUCCGGAGUGACAAAUCCCAGUCUCGAUCCGUGUCAACCCAACAGACACUUUCGGAGAUACCUGUAGUGCACCUUUAUAGUCACCCAGUUAUGUUGUGAAGUUUGGUACACCCAAAGCACUCUUACGGUAUCCGGGAGUUACACGAUCUCAUGGUCUCAGGAAGAGAUACUUGACAUUGAAAAAAGCUCUAGCAAAACGAACUACACGAUCUUGUGCUAUGCUUAGGAUUGGGUCUUGUCCAUCACGUCAUUCUCCUAAUGACGUGAUCCCGUUGUCAAUGACAUCUGAUGUCCAUAGUCAGGAAACCAUGACUAUCUGUUGACCAACGAGCUAGUCAACUAGAGGCUCACUAGGGACAUGUUAUGGUCUAUGUAUUCACACGUGUAUUACAAUUUCCGGAUAAUACAGUUAUAGCAUGAAUAAAAGACAAUUAUAAUGAACAAGGAAAUAUAAUAAUAACCCUUUUAUUAUUGCCUCUAGGGCAUAUUUCCAACAGUCUCCCACUUGCACUAGAGUCAAUAAUCUAGUUACAUUGUGAUGAAUCGAACACCCAUAGAGGUCUGGUGUUGAUCAUGUUUUGCUCGCGAGAGAGGUUUAGUCAACGGAUCCGCGACAUUCAGAUCCAUAUGUACUUUGCAAAUAUCUAUGUCUCCAUCUUGAACAUUUUCACGGAUGGAGUUGAAACGACGCUUGAUGUGCCUGGUCUUCUUGUGAAACCUGGGCUCCUUAGCAAGGGCAAUAGCUCCAGUGUUGUCACAGAAGAGUUUGAUCGGCCCCGACGCAUUGGGUAUGACUCCUAGGUCGGUGAUGAACUCCUUCACCCAAAUAGCUUCAUGCGCUGCCUCCGAGGCUGCCAUGUACUCCGCUUCACAUGUAGAUCCCGCCACGACGCUCUGCUUGCAGCUGCACCAGCUUACUGCUCCACCAUUCAACAUAUACACGUAUCCGGUUUGUGACUUAGAGUCAUCCAAAUCUGUGUCGAAGCUAGCGUCGACGUAACCCUUUACGACGAGCUCUUCGUCACCUCCAUAAACGAGAAACAUGUCCUUUGUCCUUUUCAGGUACUUCAGGAUAUUCUUGACCGCUGUCCAGUGUUCCUUGCCAGGAUUACUUUGGUACCUUCCUACCAAACUUACGGCAAGGUUUACAUCAGGUCUGGUACACAGCAUGGCAUACAUAAUAGAUCCUAUGGCUGGGAUGACACUCAUCUCUUCUUUAUCUUUUGCCGUGGUCGGGCAUUGAGCCGAGCUCAAUCUCACACCUUGCAAUACAGGCAAGAACCCCUUCUUGGACUGAUCCAUUUUGAACUUCUUCAAAAUUUUAUCAAGGUAUGUGCUUUGUGAAAGACCUAUGAGGCGUCUCGAUCUAUUUCUAUAGAUCUUGAUGCCUAAUAUAUAAGCAGCUUCUCCAAGGUCCUUCAUUGAAAAACACGUAUUCAAGUAGGCCUUAAUGCUGUCCAAGAAUUCUAUAUCAUUUCCCAUCAAAAGUAUGUCAUCUACAUAUAAUAUGAGAAAUGCUACAGAGCUCCCACUCACUUUCUUGAAAACGCAGGCUUCUCCAUAAGUCUGCAUAAACCCAAAUGCUUUGAUCAUCUCAUCAAAGCGAAUGUUCCAACUCCGAGAUGCUUGCACCAGCCCAUAAAUGGAUCGCUGGAGCUUGCAUACUUUGUUAGCGUUCUUAGGAUCGACAAAACCUUCCGGCUGCAUCAUAUACAACUCUUCCUUAAGAUAACCGUUAAGGAAUGCCGUUUUGACGUCCAUCUGCCAUAUCUCAUAAUCAUAGUAUGCGGCAAUUGCUAACAUGAUUCGGGCGGACUUAAGCUUCGCUACGGGAGAGAAAGUCUCAUCGUAGUCAAUAUCUUGAACUUGCCGAUAACCCUUAGCGACAAGUCGAGCUUUAUAGAUGGUAAUAUUACCAUCCGCGUCCGUCUUCUUCUUAAAGAUCCAUUUGUUUUCUAUCGCUCGCCGAUCAUCGAGCAAGUCAGUCAAAGUCCAUACUUUGUUUUCAUAAAUGGAUUCUAUCUCGAAUUUCAUGGCUUCAAGCCAUUUGUUGGAAUAUGGGCCCGCCAUCGCUUCUUCAUAGUUCGAAGGUUCACCGUUGUCUAACAACAUGAUUUCCAGGACAGGGUUGCCGUACCACUCUGGUGCGGAACGUGUCCUUGUGGACCUACGAAGUUCAGUAGCAACUUGAUCCGAAGUACCUUGAUCAUCAUCAAUAAUUUCCUCUCCAGUCGGUGCAGGCACCACAGGAACAUUUUCCUGAGCUGCACUACUUUCCGAUUCAAGAGGUAGUACUUCAUCGAGUUCCACUUUCCUCCCACUUACUUCUUUCGAGAGAAACUCUUUUCCCAGAAAGGAUCCGUUCUUGGCAACAAAGAUCUUGCCUUCGGAUCUUAAGUAGAAGGUAUACCCAAUGGUUUCCUUAGGGUAUCCUAUGAAGACGCAUUUUUCCGACUUGGGUUCGAGCUUUUCAGGUUGAAGUUUCUUGACAUAAGCAUCGCAUCCCCAAACUUUUAGAAACGACAGCUUAGGUUUCUUCCCAAACCAUAAUUCAUACGGUGUCAUCUCAAUGGAUUUAGAGGGUGCCCUAUUUAAAGUGAAUGUAGCUGUCUCUAGAGCGUAUCCCCAAAAUGAUAGUGGUAAAUCAGUAAGAGACAUCAUAGACCGCACCAUAUCUAAUAGAGUGCGAUUACGACGUUCGGACACACCGUUACGCUGAGGUGUUCCAGGUGGCGUGAGUUGUGAAACGAUUCCACAUUUUCUCAAGUGUGUACCAAAUUCGUGACUUAAGUAUUCUCCUCCACGAUCUGAUCGUAGGAAUUUUAUCUUUCGGUCACGUUGAUUCUCUACCUCAUUCUGAAAUUCCUUGAACUUUUCAAAGGUCUCAGACUUGUGUUUCAUUAAGUAGACAUACCCAUAUCUACUCAAGUCAUCAGUGAGAGUGAGAACAUAACGAUAUCCUCCGCGAGCCUCAACGCUCAUUGGACCGCACACAUCGGUACGUAUGAUUUCCAACAAGUUGGUUGCUCGCUCCAUUGUUCCGGAGAACGGAUUCUUGGUCAUCUUGCCCAUGAGGCAUGGUUCGCAUGUGUCAAAUGAUUCAUAAUCGAGAGACUCCAAAAGUCCAUCAGCAUGGAGCUUCUUCAUGCGCUUGACACCAAUGUGACCAAGGUGGCAGUGCCACAAGUAUGUGGGACUAUCGUUAUCAACUUUACAUCUUUUGGUAUUCACACUAUGAAUAUGUGUAACAUUACGCUCAAUAUUCAUUAAGAAUAAACCAUUGACCAUAGGGGCAUGACCAUAAAACAUAUCUCUCAUAUAAAUAGAACAACCAUUAUUCUCGGAUUUAAAUGAGUAGCCAUCUCGUAUCAAACGAGAUCCAGAUACAAUGUUCAUGCUCAAACUUGGCACCAAAUAACAAUUAUUAAGGUUCAUAACUAAUCCCGUAGGUAAAUGUAGAGGUAGCGUGCCGACGGCGAUGACAGCAACCUUGGAACCGUUCCCGACGCGCAUCGUCACCUCGUCCUUCGCUAGUCUCCGCUUAUUCCGCAGCUCCUGCUAUGAGUUACAAAUAUGAGCAACGGCACCAGUAUCAAAUACCAGGAGUUACUACGAGUACUGGUGAGGUACACAUCAAUUACAUGUAUAUCUAAUAUACCUUUAGUGUUGCCGGCCUUCUUAUCCGCUAAGUAUUUGGGGCAGUUCCGCUUCCAGUGACCCUUCCCCUUGCAAUAAAAGCACUCAGUCUCGGGCCUGGGUCCAUUCUUUGACUUCUUCCCGGCAACUGGCUUACCAGGCGCGGCAACAUCUUUGCCGUCCUUCUUGAAGUUCUUCUUACCCUUGCCCUUCUUAAACUUAGUGGUCUUAUUGACCAUCAACACUUGAUGUUCUUUCUUGAUUUCAACCUCUGCUGACUUCAGCAUUGAAAAUACUUCAGGAAUGGUCUUCACCAUCCCCUGCAUAUUGUAGUUCAUCACAAAGCUCUUGUAGCUUGGUGGGAACGACUGAAGGAUUUUGUCAAUGACCGCCUCGUCCGGGAGGUUAAUGUCCAGCUGGGACAGGCGGCUGUGCAACCCAGACAUUUUGAGUAUGUGCUCACUGACAGAAUUGUUUUCCUUCAUAUUACAACUAUAGAACUUGUCGGAGACUUCAUAUCUCUCGACCCGGGCAUGAGCUUGGAAAACUAGUUUCAGCUCCUCGAACAUCUCAUAUGCUCCGUGUCGCUCAAAACGCUUUUGGAGCCCCGGUUCUAAGCUGUAAAGCAUGCCGCACCGAACGAGGGAGUAAUCAUCAGUACGUGUCUGCCAAACGUUCAAAUCGUCUUGCAGUGCUGGGAGAGCAGGUGGGUCACCUAACGGUGCUUCUAGGACAUAUGCUUUCUUGGCAGCUAUGAGGAUGAUCCUUAGGUUCCGGACCCAGUCCGUAUAGUUGCUGCCAUCAUCUUUCAGCUUGGUUUUCUCUAGGAACACGUUGAAGUUCAUGUUGACAUGAGCGUUGGCCAUUUGAUCUACAAGACAUAUUUGCAAAAGGUUUUAGACUAAGUUCAUGAUAAUUAAGUUCAUCUAAUCAAAUUAUUGAAUGAACUCCCACUCAGAUUUGACAUCCCUCUGGUCAUCUAAGUGUUACACGAUCCGAGUCGACUAGGUCGUGUCCGAUCAUCACGUGAGACGGACUAGUCAUCGUCGGUGAACAUUCUCAUGUUGAUCGUAUCUUCCAUACGACUCGUGUUCGACCUUUCGGUCUUCGUGUUCCGAGGCCAUGUCUGUACAUGCUAGGCUCGUCAAGUUAACCCUAAGUGUUUUGCAUGUGUAAAAUUGUCUUACACCCGUUGUAUGUGAACGUAAGGAUCUAUCACACCCGAUCAUCACGUGGUGCUUCGAAACGACGAACUUUAGCAACGGUGCACAGUUAGGGGAUAACACUUCUUGAAAUUGUUGUAAGGGAUCAUCUUAUUUACUACCGUCGUUCUAAGUAAACAACAUGCAUAAAACAUAAUAAACAUCACAUGCAAUUAUAUAAAGUAGUGACAUGAUAUGGCCAAUAUCAUAUAACUCCUUUGAUCUUCAUCUUCGGGGCUCCAUGAUCAUCUUGUCACCGGCAUGACACCAUGAUCUCCAUCAUCAUGAUCUCCAUCAUCGUGUCUUCAUGAAGUUGUCACGCCAACGACUACUUCUACUUCUAUGACUAACGCGUUUAGUAAUAAAGUAAAGUAGUUUACAUGGCGUUCUUCAAUGACACGCAGGUCAUACAAAAAUAAAGACAACUCCUAUGGCUCCUGCCGGUUGUCAUACACAUCGACAUGCAAGUCGUGAUUCCUAUUACAAGAACAUGAUCUCAUACAUCACAAUAUAUCAUUCAUCAUUCAUCACAACUUUUGGCCAUAUCACAUCACAUGACAAUUGCUGCAAAAACAAGUUAGACAUCCUCUAAUUGUUGUUGCAUCUUUUACGUGGCUGCAAUUGGGUUCUAGCAAGAACGUUUUCUUACCUAUGAAUAACCACAACGUGAUUUUGUCAACUUCUAUUUACCCUUCAUAAGGACCCUUUUCAUCGAAUCCACUUCAACUGAAGUGGGAGAGACAGACACCCGCCAGCCACCUUAUGCAACUAGUGCAUGUUAGUCGGUGGAACCGGUCUCACGUAAGCGUACGUGUAAGGUUGGUCCGGGCCGCUUCAUCCCACAAUACCGCUGAAGCAAGAUAAGACUAGUAGCGGCAAGUAAGUUGACAAGAUCUACGCCCACAACAAAAUUGUGUUCUACUCGUGCAAUAGAGAACUACGCAUAGACCUAGCUCAUGAUGCCACUGUUGGGUAACGUUGUAGAAAAUUAAAAAAAAUUCCUACGGUUUCACCAAGAUCCAUCUAUGAGUUCAUCUAAGCAACGAGUCAAGGGAGUGAAUUUGCAUCUACAUACCACUUGUAGAUCGCGUACGGAAGCGUUCGAGGGAACGGUGAUGAUGGAGUCGUACUCGACGUGAUUCAGAUCACCGAUGACCAAGUGCUGAACGGACAGCACCUCCGCGUUCAACACACGUACGGUACGGGCAACGUCUCCUCCGUCUUGAUCCAGCAAGGAGGAAGGAGAGGUUGAGGAAGACAGCUCCACUGGCAGCACGACGGCGUGAUGAUGGUGGAGAGACAGUACUCCGACAGGGCUUCGCCAAGCACGUGGAGGAGGAGAGGUGUUGGGGAGGGGAGGGGCUGCGCCUUGGCUUGUGGUGCGGCUGCCCUCCCCUCACCCCUCUAUUUAUAGGGGAAGGGGCAAGGGGGGGCGGCGGCCAGGGAGGGGGGACUUGCCCCCCAAGCAAGGGGGGUGCGCCCCCUUUAGGGUUCCCCCCCCCAACCCUAGGCGCAUGGGCCCAAGGGGGGGCGCCCAGCCCACCAGGGGCUGGCUCCUUCCCCACGCAGCCCAUGUGGCCCCCUGGGAGGGGUGGCCCCUCCCGGUGGACCCUCGGAACCCCUCCGGUGGCCCCGGUACAAUACCGAUAUGACCCCGAAACUUUCCGGUGUCCGUUUGACAACUUCCCAUAUAUAAAUCUUUACCUCCGGACCCUUCCGGAACUCCUCGUGACAUCCGGGAUCUCAUCCGGGACUCCGAACAACAAUCAGUAAUCACAUACAAGUCUUCCUAAUAACCCUAGCGUCACCGAACCUUAAGUGUGUAGACCCUACGGGUUCGAGAGACACGUAGACAUGACCGAGACGGCUCUCGGGCAAUAACCAACAGCGGGAUCUGGAUACCCAUGUUGGCUCCCACAUGCUCCUCGAUGAUGUCAUCGGAUGAACCACGAUGUCGAGGAUUCAAUCAACCCCGUAUGCAAUUCCCUUUGUUAGUCGGUAUGUUACUUGCCCGAGACUCGAUCGUCGGUAUCCCAAUACCUCGUUCAGUCUCGUUACCGGCAAGUCACUUUACUCGUACCGUAAUGCAUGAUCCCGUGAUCAAACACUUGGUCACUUUGAGCUCAUUAUGAUGAUGCACUACCGAGUGGGCCCAGUGAUACCUCUCCGUAAUCCGGAGUGACAAAUCCCAGUCUCGAUCCGUGUCAACCCAACAGACACUUUCGGAGAUACCUGUAGUGCACCUUUAUAGUCACCCAGUUACGUUGUGACGUUUGGUACACCCAAAGCACUCUUACGGUAUCCGGGAGUUACACGAUCUCAUGGUCUAAGGAAGAGAUACUUGACAUUGAAAAAAGCUCUAGCAAAACGAACUACACGAUCUUGUGCUAUGCUUAGGAUUGGGUCUUGUCCAUCACGUCAUUCUCCUAAUGACGUGAUCCCGUUGUCAAUGACAUCUAAUGUCCAUAGUCAGGAAACCAUGACUAUCUGUUGACCAACGAGCUAGUCAACUAGAGGCUCACUAGGGACAUGUUAUGGUCUAUGUAUUCACACGUGUAUUACGAUUUCCGGAUAAUACAGUUAUAGCAUGAAUAAAAGACAAUUAUCAUGAACAAGGAAAUAUAAUAAUAACCCUUUUAUAUUGCCUCUAGGGCAUAUUUCCAACACGAGCUUGAGGAGGGCGGCGGGAGGCGGCAACUGCCUACGUCGCGGCAGUGAGCAAGGGACGAAGGCAACCUCACCGGCUUUGUGAGAGAGAACGGCGGGGACCCUUGAUCGGGACGUGCCGACAGUGGGUUUUCGCUGUCGGCGACGGACACCGCAUCUACACUAAGCAUCCACCCCUUCCCCAAGCGGACGUGAUCCGCCGGGAUGUUAGAGAUGUGGCCACAGUCGUUUUAUGCGAGAGAGUGUGAAGAGAGCAACCCCAGCAAGCAACCGCGUAGGCUGGCCCGUCCUGACUAUGUAUAUAGUGGAGCGGUUUCCUUUUCUCUCCAUAUGAACCUAUCAUAUUGCGUACGUGCCACUGAAGAAAAAAAAUUAUUUAUAAAUGACGCGGCACCUACUACUCGUUCUCCUAUAACCAUGCGCUUGGCAUCUCCAAAAUAUUAACCUUGCGAUUGGCUCUUCGCCUCUUCGGGAAGUCGAGCAAUAAUGGUAGUGCAGUAUAUAUCGUUCUGGCUAUAUGAGACCGAAUGAAUUGUUGCACGUCCACCACGUGGGCGAGGGUCGAGGGGCGAGGGAGAGUGCUACUACAUACGGAGCAAAAUGAGUGAAUGUACACUCUAAAAUACGUCUAUAUACAUCUGGAGUAUGUACUAGUAGUUCAUAUUGAAAUCUACUAAGGACAUAUAUAUUCCAAACAAUAUGAUAUAAUCUCUAUAACCAAGGUAGUAGGGACGAGUAGUAAACGGAGGGAGUAGUAAAUUUUUCUCCUCGUCCUGCGAGCCACCGCGCGCUUGGGCGAGGGAGGAGCAAGCUUCACCUCAUCCUGCGAGCCACCGCGCCCGUGGGCGGGGGAGACGGCGUACUAAGCAAGCUUCUCCCUGUUCUGCGAGUUGACGGGAUACAUCAAAAGUACUCCAGUGUAUAGAGCCUUGCCUCUAAGGUAGGCCCCACAUGGUUUGCCUCUUUUUUUAAUUUCACAUAACGCGUCAAGUCGCAAUUUGUUUAUUCACCCGUGGUAGACGAUCCUCCCUCCACCAAGUGGACAACCAGUACACGUGCCAAAUUACCACGUAGGCUGCCUUUUUCGUACAGAAAUGAGCUCCACCGUGUACCCGCGCGGGUGUGGUUGGGAAAGAGACGGGAGUACGUGCGCCAUGCAUGCACCUCUUCUCUUCAUGCACGUCCCCCACCUAUGUGGGUGUGUGUGAGAGAUACAAACCGCGUUCGUGAGUGUUUUUAUUUUUGUGGUGGGGGUGGGGGUGGGGUGGGGGGUUGAUUUUGUGAAUUAUUUGUGGGAAUAUGUGCCGAUGACAUCUCAAACAAAAUUUUGCAUGCAAUGUGUGUGAAAUGGAGGCCUAUCCAUAUCAUACAUAGAGGGCCGGGCAAUCUAUGAGAAGAGAGGGAGGGGUCAUAGCUAUCGAUAGAGUCGAAGAGAGGAUCAAGUACGGGUGGGUGCGAGAUCGAUGAAGAGAGCCAUCGAAAUUGCGUGUGUGUGUGUGUUCAAGUCAAAUAUAUAGGGCGACUAGCCUACCAAAACGUUUGAGGGCACAUGUCAAGUUUGUGUGUGGCAGGGAGACAUGACUAGAGCGCUUGAUGUAUCGGUGUGUGUGGGGGGAGGGGUGGGGGGGGUAGGCAGAGGCCUAACUAUAGAGGUAGAACGACUCGUAUAUGUGUUGAGAAGGAGAGACCUGGCUAUGUCAUGAGGGAGAUCGGUCGACAUCCAUACAUAACUGAAGGACGGGAAAUAUGAUGGGACAGAGAGAGAGAGGAGAGAGAGAGGAAGGGAGAGGGAGGGAGAGGGGUAGAGUGCUGGAUGGGUGAUGGAGUUGCUUCUCGGAGAUGUUGGGAGAGGCCUACUAGACAAACUGAGGGUGGAACUGCAAUGUUAUCAAUAAGAGUGGGGAUGUGUUUCUGUGUGUCCCUGUGCGUGAUAGAUCUGUCGGGACGCAUCCAUGGAUGAUGAAGGGGAACAAUGUGUUUGGUAAGCAAACCUAACUAGAUCGGUAGAUCAAUUGUUGUUUGUCGGAGGAAGGGAGAGACACAACUAAUGAGGUAGAUCGAUCGAUGUGUGGGUAAAAAUGAGUUAUAAGGACCUAGCUGGCUAUAUGUAUAGCGAGAGAUCGGUCGGUGUACGUCCAUUAUUUAGAGGCAAAUAAGGCCCAGCGAGACGGAUAGACAGAGAGAAUGGAGCUAGGAGGUGGUGCGAGAGGCCCAACUACUAGCUGGAUAGGGGGAGGAGUGUGCGGUUGUGAGAUCGAUUAAAAGAGGGGUGAGAGUUUAGACGUGUGUAUGACCAUAUGAGAGACACGAGGCAAGGACACAUAAAGGAGGAGAUUGAAGUUGUGUGUGUAUGUUGUAGGCAGGCAUCGCUGGAGAGGUUUAUCGAUCGAUGUGUGUUGGAAAGGAGUUGUGGAGACUCUGGGAGAAUGACCUAAAGGAAAAAAAUGAAUGUGUCCGGUGGAUAGAAUGCCGAGGGAGGGGAGGGCGAGGAGGGUGUGUGCAUGCACGAGAGAAAGUUAGUGGUACCUACAAAGGUUAGAGGACUGUGUGGGUGUAAGAGACUAACAAAGAUCAUAAUUUGAUAUGAAAGCGGAUUCAUAUAUUUGAAUAGGAGAUCAUAGUGUUUUAAACAUUGCAUGCAUGAAUAUAGCGGUGAUACACGUGAUGUGCACAUGUUAUACCAUAAUGUGAUAAUGCAUGGCGUUUGCAACUCACAGCUAAAUGCCGAACAAUCUAAACCAUAAUAUACAUCAAACAAUCUCACAUUUUAUUUGAAUUUGUGAUAAUGUGCGGCGUUUGCAGCUUACAACUAAAUAUCGAGCAAUCUAAAUAAUACUAUAUAUCGAACAUUCUCACAUUUUAUUUGAAUUUGUGGUAAUGUGUGGUGUUUGCAACUCACAUCUAAAUACUUGUAGGCGUAGGGGGCGGGGCGCCAUACAUAAUGUGAUAAACACAUUAUACAUAUGAGACAUGGUUUAGAUUAUGAAGAUCUAGCUAGAGCUAGAAAUGUAAUGUGAUUUGAAAUCAAAAUAAAGUGGAUUCAAAAAAUCUAGUUCGAGUUCAUAUAGUACACAUAGUUCAUAUGUAACUCGAUACUGAUCAUGUGGUGUGCUGUGAAGAUAAUACACAAACGAUGGUUUAACUUGACAAUAAUGAUGAUUGUAGAUCUUAUUAAAACAGAGAAACGAAUUCAAAUGUUUUGACUUCACAACAAUCAUUACUGUAGAUCUUAUUCAAAUUUAGUUCAUAUUGAAGAAGUAGUAUAUAUGUUUGGAAUGCGCUAAUACGUUCAUUUGAGUAGUAGCCUGCAUGCAUUAUACACGUAGCGAAAUAUUUUAAUUGAACAUAACAUGAAUUCAAAGUUUUGAAUGAAAUUUGUAGUGCGCAUUGAUUUGGUACAGUACACGUUAGGCUUGUCUGGAAAUUUCAACCCGCGCCUUGUUAGCCCGAAAUAUUUAAGAUAUAUCUUUGUCUCGUUGUGCUCCGACAACUCCCUCCAUCUCAACCCGCGCCUUGCUAUUUCGAAAUUACAACGCGCGCGAAAACUCCCACCUCCUGUGAAAUCCCGACACGCGAAAUGCCCGUGGUACCCCUAAACCGAAAGAACCGCCUCAAAUCGGUGGGGGGUACUUUCGUAACUUACCCCAUAUUUCGGACAAGCGCGUCUCUAAGCCAUGGUUCCCCACUGCCAUCCCAUCCGCCCACCCAUUCGUACACCGAGGCCGCGAAAACCCGCGACAAAACCCCACAGCCUGCUCCGUCCGCCACCCAGCCGGAGCUUCUUCCCCGAUGACGUCAUCCACAGCAACACCUCGACGUCCCUCAUCCACCGUACCGGAUGAGGAUCCGUCGUCGAUCUCAUCGUCCCGCCGGUUCAGCCACCCCGUCCUCCACCUCCAAGGAGCUGCCCUGAUGUUCCCCUCGUCUUUCGUGCCACCUCCAUUCCCACACCGCCGUCUUCACCUGCACCACCAGAAGAGCAUCAUCAUCACCGUUUCCUCGGAUGAAGCUGCGGCCUAAUCGGCGCCACCAAAGAGGUUGUACACUAAUCGCCGCAUUUUCUUCUUGAUUCGAUCUCACGGUGCUACCGGCGCUCGGUCCCGAGCCGACAUGGCGCAGCUCCAUCCACGGCGGCGUCACCGGCCACUUCCUCCACAGCAUCGCUCCCUCGGCGGCGACAUCCACAUCAAUAGGAGUUGCUGCUGCUUUAGCUCUCGCUCACGCUGCUGCUCUGCUCUUGCUCUCGGUCCCCUGCCUGGUCUGCUCUUGCUAUUGCUCUUGCUCGCGCUGCUGCUCUCGCUCUUGCUCUUGCUUGCAAUGCUGCUCCGAUUUGGCUACACUUCAGUCGAUUGAAUCGACUUUUGGGUCAGUCAAUUUCCAAGGGGUGGGCUCGCCGGGGUGAAGGAAGAACUAGCCGCAGCGGGGAGGGGGGCUAGCCGGAGAGGUACCCCACUAUCUAUCUUAGGGUUCAGGAUGGGGGCGGUGGUCGCCGGCGGUGGUGGGGCGUUGGCGGGGCGGUUGCGUGGGGAUCGCCGGAGAAAAAGCUCGGCACAGGGGGCCUAGAUGGAUGGCCGGGGCGGCGGCGUACCGGCGGUGGGGAGUGUUUUCGGGGCGGGCAGGGCGGCGCACCGCCGGCCGCGGGUGGCGGGGGGCUGCUGUUUGGCCGGUGGUGGCUGGCGGCUCAGGGGGGUGGAGGUUGAAGAUGAAUCGCAGGCCCUUGAUUUCGUAUCCAACAGCUGCAAAAUCGACUGACCAGAGAUGAAGAAGUCAGUCGACCGACGUUUAGCCUCACCUUGCUAGUGCGUUCAGUUUCGACAGCAAAAUUCAGUUUCGACAGCAAAAUUCUGUUUGGACAGUUAGGUUCAGUUUCGACAGUUAAGUUCAGUUUCGACAGUUAAGUUCAGAGAUGAGCGGUUGAUGUAUUUUACAUCUAGCACUUUGUUGCUAUGUAUUUUACGUAUGUAUUGGAGAUGCUAUUAGAAUUCCAUUCAGGUUAACGUUGUUCGUUGUCUAUCUAGUCCUGCUUCAGCCUUGGCGUCGUACAACUCACCGGAGCUGCUCCAACGACGAAACCCCCCAUCACAUCGGAGCAGUACCUCGGGCUCCAUCUCCAGACGCCUAAGAUCUUCUUCCCCUCCUUCGACAGCAAAGUCAGCCGGAGCAUCCUCACCGGCCAACCCAAUCACGCUGAGAUCGACAUGGCUUCGCCAAAGAGGUUGUACACUUGUUGCAUCUCUUUUUUACUCUACAUGUUAUAUAUAUUGUCCACUGAGCACACGGAUUUGUUCCUUUAGUGUCUCCUUGAAAGAAAAAAUGUAGGAUUUUAAUUUUCACUUGUCUUCCUUUUCAAAUUCCUAUUCAUGAAGCACAAGACUAAGAGAUAGUAGCAUAAUAGCAUUAUAACCGUACAUUUUCUUGUUGUUUGACUUAAUCUCACCAUGCUUCUUUGCAUCAUGUGAUCUUCCAAUUGUUGUGAAUCAAACACCCAGAUUGGCAGAAAUCCUGUGUUUUUAAAUUCUCUGUUUUGCACGUGCAUUCCUAUCCUAUUCCUGUCUAUUUCCUAUCCCUGCUUUGUUGGAAUCCUCCAAUUCAAACGAGCCCUUACAGAAUUACUUCUUUUACAGAUAGUUGUCAAAGGAAACCUUGCGUGGUUUGUCCCGGUCCUGCUGCGCCGUCGUCCACCCCAGCUUAGUUGCUCCAACGACAGAAGGGUCCAGCAGAGCAGGGAUCCGGCCUCCAGACUGUCUUUCGCCGCCUCAGAUCUUCUUCCCCGCCGCUGGCAGCCAUGAAAACUGCAUUACCAUCAUCAACCGAGCAGAUGACCUCGAGGACUACACGGGUCCGCAAGAGAGGUCGCACUCUUUCGUGUUUGCUUACGUUAUGCAUCGCUUAAUACAUGCUACUUUAUCGUCCUGUUCACCAAUUAGACUCUGAGUCAGCUCCAAACUAAUGGUCAAACUUGAGUUUUUAAUGGUUGUGGGGUACAUAUCGGGGCCACUAUCAAUAGUAUCUAUCUACUAUCUGGUUAAUCUCCGGUGUCUACUAUGAGUUUCAUGUUGGGUGGGAAACAAACAGUAAAGAAGCCAUUAUCUGUAUUUAUUAACUGAAUCCAUUAUCUGCCUGCUAUUAUUGGUUUUGGGUCUAUCCAUAGGUUGCUACCAUCACUCUGGAUUUCUGCAUGCACUCCUUACAUAAUCUCACUAAAUUUUAUUCCUAUGCAUGACAGUUAUUGUAAACAAUGGAACUAAACAUGUAGAGCAAAAGAGACGAGCCUUGCGUGGCAAUAUAAUUUCAUGCAGACGUCACUCCAUGGUAGGCGCAAAGGCAGCCCCCCGUCCACGCAUUUCGGAUUGUAAUUGAGAGGAAGAUAUCUGUUCUGAGGGGGAUUCAGAAGGAGAAGAUAACUCAUAUUUACCUCCUGAGGUCUUCGCUCUAACUUGGCAUGAUGAUGUUGGUUAUAUCAUGCAUAUGGUGUCUUGCAUUGCUUACUUUAUACAUCAAAUAUACCAUAUGCUUAGUUUAGACAUCCUUUGUGCGAAUGCCAUCUGUUUAGUUUAUUCAUCGUUUAUGUGAAUUAUGCAACGCCACCUUGUUUAGCCAGGCAUCAUAUAUGUGAAUUUUGCAAUGCCAUCCUGCUUAGCCAGUCAUCUUAUAUGUAAAUUAUAUCAGGCCAUCUUUUUUUCGUUACAUAUUACAUUCGUCAACAAUGUUAGUACAUUCAACUGCUCUUCGUGUGCAUCAGCCAUUUGACAUGGUGAUGGCAAAUUCUGGAGUGAAAACAAGGUCUUCUGAGCAGACUAUGCUAUCUGACGAAGCGCAUAUCUCGCUGGUUACGGAUAGCUCCUCAGAGGAGGAUUCAGAGACANNNNNNNNNNNNNNNNNNNNNNNNNNNNNNNNNNNNNNNNNNNNNNNNNNNNNNNNNNNNNNNNNNNNNNNNNNNNNNNNNNNNNNNNNNNNNNNNNNNNNNNNNNNNNNNNNNNNNNNNNNNNNNNNNNNNNNNNNNNNNNNNNNNNNNNNNNNNNNNNNNNNNNNNNNNNNNNNNNNNNNNNNNNNNNNNNNNNNNUGUAUGCUCUAACUUGGCAGGGUUAUGUUGCUCAUAUCGUGCGUAUGGUGUCUCGCAUUGCUAUGCCAUUUGAUUAGUUUAGACAUGCUUUGUGUGAAUGCCACCUGUUUAGUGUCUAAUUACCAUAUAUGUGAAUUAUGCAUUGCCAUCUUGUUGCAAGAAAUUAUAUAUGUGAAUUAUACAAUGCUAUCUUGUUGCAAAGGCAUUAUAUAUGUGAAUUAUGCAAUGCCAUGCUGUUUAGCCAAUCAUCAUGUAUGUGAAUUAUAUCAUGCUAUCAUUUUUUUGUAUUACAUGUUCCAUUUGUCGACAACGUUUGUAUAUUCAACUACUCUUCCUGUGCAUCAGCCAUUUGAAGCGGUGAUGGAAGUAUCUGGAGUGAAAACAAGGUAUUCAGAGCAGACAAUGCUACCUGCUGAAGCAGACAUCUUGCUGGCUAUAGAGAGCUCCUCAGAGGAGGAUUCAGAGACGAUGCCAGUCCUAUUUCCCCCCUGAGGUCUAUGCUCAAACUUGGCAGGGUUAUAUUACCCAUGUCAUGCAUGUUGUCUUGCAUUGCUUAGUUUUUACAUCAUAUAUAGAUUGCCAUCUGCUUACUUGCUUAUUAUAUAAAUCAUAUAUUUGAAUUAUAUCAUGCCAUCAUGUUUACAUAGUACAUACACAUCAUCUAUAUGAAUUAUGGCAUGGCAACCCAUUUAAUAAAGACAUCAUAUAGUUAUAUCAUCUCAUCCUGUUUAGUGUUUACAGUCAUCAUGUUUAGAAUUAUGGCAUUCUAUCCAUGAAUGUAUGUGAAUUAUGGCAUGCCAACCUAUUUAAUAAACACAUUAUAUAGUUAUGUCAUGUCAUCCUGUUUACAUAGUCUCAUAUUUUGAACUAUGUCUUUCCAUCUUUUUUAGUUAGUCAUCAUAAUGUGAAAUUGUGUCAUGCUAUCCUGUUUAGUUAGCCAUCAUAUAUAUGAAAUUGUGUCAUGCUAUCCUGUUUGGUUAGACAACAUAAAUAUGAAUUAUUUCAUGCCCUCUUUUAUUCCCCACUAUCCAUUGCACCUGUCUAUCAUACAAUGUCUAUACUUUCAAUUAAUUUUCUUGUUUAUCAGCCAUUUGAAUUGGAGAGCGUGAUGGCAGUAUCUAAGGGAGUAACAACACGGUCUUCAGAAAAGAUAGUGCUACCAGUUGAUGCAGAUAGAACCACGGUUGUACUUGCCCCAAGGACCAGAUCCACCACACAUAACCCAGACUCUCGCAGAUUGUACCCCAACCCAGUUGGACAGAGAACCAGCUACACCCUUUUUAACCCCAACCCCGGCAGAUAGUAACCCAGUUCCAGUUGACACAACACCGUCUCCACCACAGAGCACCCAAACACGAGCGGUUAGUAAGGGAACUGCAGUGCCCAAAGCAUGAGGACCACCACUCCGAAUCUCAACUCAACGCUUAAAGGAGAAUAAGAUUUGUUCUCAGGUCAGGUUCUGUAGCUAUGGUUCAUACUCCUUUGCUCUUGCAUUACUGUAUUUACUCAUGCCAACUAUUUUCAAAUUUGAAGGAUGGAAUUAAAACUCCAAUGGUGCAACAGGUAUGUUUUAAACCUGUUUCUUUAACUGGUUUGCUGUUGUAACCUGCUCUAUGUUUAUUUCAGUUUCAAUUGAAUAAACAAUUAUGUUCUCAUGUCAUGCACAUUAAAAGUGUUGUUAUUGCUCUAUAGUUACCCACACUUAUAUUCUGUCUAUUCUGCUUUGUCUUGAACAAAUAUUAUUUGAACUGUGUCUCUAUGUUGAUUUGGCAACAAAAACUAGAAUGAUAUAGACCAUAAAGUGACCAUGGCACAUAGAUAUAUGUUUGUUUCAUGUUGUUAUCCUGUCCACUUUACUACUGAACUCAUUUACCAAAAUGAGUUUCAUAUACAACAUGGUAAACAUGUGAUGUGUCUGCUUGUUUCUCUUUUAGAAUGCGGACAAAAUAUUGGAGAAUAGUACCGUGUUAUCCAAUGGUAAAGGAAGUAAUGCAGAUAAGGUUCAAGAUAGUGAGACAUCCCUGUUGGUCUCCAAGAAAGCUGAUAAAAACUAUCUUGACGACAGUGAGGGAACCCAAAAGUCCUGUCUUGAUGUAGUGUUCGAGUUACUGGCCACUACUGCUGGCACAAGCUCUUUGAACUCGCUGCUUGAAUCAGUUCGUCUUCUUGAGUCUCAACUUCAAGUUGAAAGACAUCGAUCAGAUGUGCUGCGACAGGAAGCUGAAGGACUGAGGAAGUCCCUGCAGAAUUCAGAUGCAUAUUUUCUGGUGCAACAGCAAGCGCUGGAGGAUUUAAGCGCCAAACAAGAGAAAGUUAAUAAGCUUGCUAAGCAUCUUGCCAGCAUUAUGGGUACCCAGGAUAAUGUUUCUUGAGAUCUUCUGAAGUGGUUUCAGUUCUGGAUUUGUUUUGUUGCAGCGUUUAUUUGCGCUGGUCGCCAACUUUGACAACCAGUGUAUAUGAUAUGCUGCUUUGUUCCCAAUAUUUGCACUGGUGGCGAACUUUGAUGCCCAGUGGAUGUAAUAUGUGUAACAGCCUUGAUAGCCUAGCAUAAGUUGCUUGCUUAUUUAUUUCCUUGUUGUCUUGUUUAUUUGUUUGCUUGUAGUCAGUGCAGUUCUUUUUAAAACUAGGCCACAAUAACCAUGGACUAAUAUUUACUGUAGUGACACUUGGCCUCCUACGGGCCGUAGAAACAGUGGGCCUUCUACGGGCCGUAGAAAUAGUAGGCCUCCUACGGGCCGUAGAAACAAUGGGCCUCCUACGGGCCGUAGAAACAAUGGGCCUCCUACGGGCCGUAGAAACAAUGGGCCUCCUACGGGCCAUAGAAACAAUGGGCCUUCUAUGGGCCGUAUCAUCAAUGGGCCUUAUACGGUCCAUGUGACCAUAACGGGCCACCGUUAAUAGGCCGUAUUUGAUGACGCUAUGAAAAUGGCCCAACGUAUUAACGGACCACAAAUGGGCCGAUGUAACCACGGGCUGAAUUUGGCCCACAAGCAAAAAAUGACAGUAACGAGCCGUAAGUAAACGAAUGCUGGAAAUGAGCCCAAGAAUAAAUGGGCUCUGAGAAGGCUGAAAGAUAACAUUUGCUGGAAACGGUCCAACUGAAUAACGGGCCCUUAAUGGGUAUAAAGUGAUAAACUGUUCAUUACGGGCCAGUUUCACCACGGGCAGUUAGUGGGUGUAAAGUGAUACACUGUUCAUUGCGGGCCAGUUUCACCACGGGCCGUUAAUAGGCCAAGAGUUACAUAGGGCCUCAUAUGGGCCGAAAGACGUCAUGGGCCAUACAUGGGCCAGAAGUGAAAACGGGCUGGAAUCAUAUUGGAUGGCCUAGAUGACGCUACUGGGUCUAAUUUGGAUAGGGCGUAACGGGCCUUGGGUUAGCGGGCUGUAAAUGGGCUAUAUGCGAACAGGCCGUUAACAGGCUUUCCAUGGACCUGCCCGCCACCUUUUGACCAAGUCAAACGGGCCGGCCUUUUCACAUGAAUGGGCCUCUGUUGGGUCGUGCCACGUGUCGACGUAUCAUAGGCGCCUUCUGUCCAAUGAGUGGAUGACAUCUGUCCCAACGGUGAGCCGACACGUGUUUCCUCUAGCCAAUGAUGAUUUUACACGUGGAAAAUCCCCAUUGGUCGGGGCUGUUAACGGGUUAUCGGAUCCAAAACCCGACCCGAUAACUUAACGGUGUUUCGUUAUGGUGGAUGUCACGUGUCGGUCACCCUUGACGAAAGCAGUUCUGUGACGCGCGAUUUAUCGUCAUGGAAGCGGACACUUCCGUGAUGAUAAUUUUGGUAAUAUCAUCGAACACUUCUACGACAGCACAGGUAUGACUAUCUUGAUUCUGUCAUAAAUUUGUUAUGGAUGUACAUGCAUGACAAAAAACGUGACCUACUAUGACAAACACGUAUCAUCACGGAAGUGUAUUUUUUUUGUAGUGCCCUUUGGCUUCCCCAUGUCCGGCAGCUCGCUCACUGGACUCCCGGGAGCUCCGAAGGUAUAUGCUUCAGCGCAAAGGGCGGCUCACUUCCCCACCACUCAUCAGAGUGGAAGAGCCGGUUGAUGCUUCAGUCGGAGGGGAAAGGGGGGCGCCUCCGCUUCCGUGGAGCCCAGGCGGGGGUCGACGGUGGUCUACGCUGAAGAACUGGGCAAGUCGCCGGUUGUACAAGCCGGCGAUGCGCAGACGGUGGCCUUCCAGGUACCCAAGCGGCGGCGGGCUCCCGUGUUCUACUUUCCCUCGAUGUUAGUAGCGGAUGCGGACGCGCUGCCCACAGACUCGUCAAUAUCCGUGCAUCCGACUUCUUUCUCUGCCGGCAAGGCGCAAUUACGUGCGCGUUGAUGGCGGAUGGCGCGGCCACAGACAUGGGAGGCACGGAACAACACUGUGUCGUCCCUGGCAGCGAUGAUGCCCAUACCGCCAUGCUCCCCGUCGGGCCGGCCUGUGCUACUUGUAAGCUGCGUUGGGAUUUACUUGAAAGAGGAAGGGUGAAAUAAUAUAGUAGUUGAUAAGGAUUUCCCUUAGCGAGAACCAAGGUUAUCAAACUAAUUGAAGAAUCACACAAAGCCUAAUGAACAACACGUGCACAUACAAGAGCAAAUACUUGCGCCCAACGUGAGCAAGAGGGUUGUCAAUCCUCCUGAACUCAUUAUUUGCAAGGAUCAAAUCUAGUAGUAGUAGAUAUAUAAAUUGCAAAAUAAAAUAAAAGUAAAUAAAUUACAGCAAGUAUUUUUGAAUUUUGUAAUAUGAUAAAAAGUAGGUUGGGCCAUAGUUUUCACUAGAGGUUUCUCCUUCGAAUAAAUAUCAUACGGUUGAUAAACAAAUUACUGUUGGACAAUCAAUAGAAAAGUGCAUAGCUAUUACGGCGUCAUUCUGUGAUGAAGCUGGGUACGGUUUAAGGUAUCUGUAGUUCAAAGAUGUCUAAUUUGUUUUACCCAACGGGUUACUGCAUUACGUCAGCAUUACUGACCACCAAGGCCUAAAUAUCCCCUGUUUGCUUUGAUAGAGAAUCUGUUUGCUUGCGCCGCUGCUAGUUAACACAGUUUAGGGGAGGAAAACAAAUCGUCUGUAGUGGGUGUUCCUUGCGAGACACGACCAGGCCUACAUAUUGGCUUAUGCAGUCUUCAGUUCAGAGGACGGGGCUCCAUUACUAUUGGACGUACACUGAAAUGAACUACUUAACACAGAUGGAAAAAAGAGAAACGAAGGCAAGGGUGCAUAUUGAGACUUGAGACAGAGGAAACGAUGGGCCUCAGAGCCGUGCUGCACUGCACUGAUAGGUGUUCUUUUGCCUCAAUUAUUUUGUAUGGUAGUUCACAUUCUCAGCGGAAUCUCCUGCUGUUUUAAAUACAAUAGCUAGCAGAAUGACGACGUCUGCACUCCAGCCAUGCUCAUACGAAAAAUAAGGACAGCUCGGUGGAAAUUCUAACUCUGAAUGUCCUGAGUGCAGUUUCAGACUUGCUGCGGUUCAGUCCCAAGUGACAAAACCAAGAACCAACCAACUGUUAGGCAACAAGAAAGCAGAAGCAGGGCUGAUGUACAUACAUGACCAAACUAACAAGUGACAACUCCAUACAUGAUGACACAGAACUACGUAACAAGGCGCUACGACGAAAGAUAAAUAAAAAUACAGUAACGGGACACUGUUUUGAAUCAUCCCCUUUGUGCUACAAAUUAAUCAUAAAAUGUACCUGAAUGUAUGGAGGGGAGGGGAGCACUGUUAUUUUUAGCUUCUCGAAGGUGCUGGUAUUCAUGGACAAAGGGGGACAGGACAUGCAUUGGUAAUAUAUCAUUCCUGUUUUUGUGGGGUUUUAUCUGUUCAAUAUAUGAUCCUUCAGUAGUGUGGCUUAACAAAUAAUACUGUUGGUACUGUCGAGUGGAGACGACUCCUUUUUUUUAUCAUUGCGCUGAGUGCAGUCCAUUUCUUAGUGGUAGACUGCAGCAGUUGUUAACCCAGAUGGAGUCGGAGUCGUGCUGUGCCGAUGGUAGCUAUGUGCCUGCCUGCCGGCGGCGGUGUUCUAGUGAUUUGAGUGUGAUUUGAAGUUUUCAUGUUGAGCUUGAGCACGUGCCCAGUGAGGCAAAGCUUGCUAGUGAUGGCACACUGCACUUGCACUACACUCGAUUGGUGGAGAAAUUAGUCGGCAUGAUAUGAUUAACCAACUCAAAACAAAAAGAUACUAUAAUUGACCAAUGCAUACAGCUAGCAGACUGUAUGGAGUCUCUUGAUUACUGGACGGAAUAAACUAGUGGUAUCCCAAACAACAUUGGCAACAUGAUAAAUAUGGAGUCUCUUGGAAUGAGCUCUUAGGUCCCAUUCCAUCAAGCAUAUUAGACUUGAUGUACUUGAGCUCACUUAAUCUCUCCAACAACCUUCUUUCAGGAGAGAUACCUGAUGGUAAUCAACAUCAAAUGCUCAAUGACCCAUCGAGUUAUAGCCACAGCCAGGGGCUCUGUGGCCGCCCUCGGAGCAUUGCACUUACCAAUGGUUCAAGUGGUACAACAACACUAUACGGGGUAAAAGAACAUCACCAAGAACUUGAUCCCCUCUGGCUGUACAUACUCGGUGGUUGCUGGAAUUAUCUUUGGUUUCUGGCUAUGGUUUGGAACAUUAUUUUUCUGGAAGCGUUGGAGGUUCGCUUUCUUCCAUUCCAUCGAGGAAAAAGUCUAUUUUAAACUUUAAAUUCGUAGAGGUUCGAUGAAAUGAACCCUCAAGUUAAAAUCCUGAUCGAUUGCACCCUGAACUACGGAAUCCUGGUCUAAAUCGAACCUUCGGGUCGUUUGGAUGGCCGGGAUUGUGGUAUUUCGCAGAGGGCGCAAUGCUGGGCCGGCCCGAAAUAAAAAUAGUGCACCAGCCCGGUUUAUUUUUUUCGUUAAAAAACAAGAAGAAGUGCACGGUGAGACUCGAACGCGAGACCCGUGCUUUACACUGUAUGAUUGAUGCAACAACCACUAGGGACACGACACAGGCUAUGUUCAGUUCCUCCCUUUUUCGUCUUUUUUCCUUUCUGUUCUUUCCGUUCUAUUUUUCAGUUUCCCUUUUUUAUUAAAUUCGUGCUUUUGUUUCAAAUUGACGAUUUUUUUCCAUAUUUGCAUAUUGUUUUGAUAUGCCGUAAUUUUAUAAUUAUUUCAAUGUUUAUUCCAAAAAAAAUCAACAUAUAUUACGAAGGCGAAAUUAGAUGACCAGUAAACUAACGUUCCCUUAAUAUAAUUUCUGUAUACAUCGGAAAAAAUUUAUACACAUGUCUAUUUUCUUCACACACAUUGCCCAUUUUCGUAUAUAUCCGAAACAUUUUUAUACAAGUUCAACAUUUUCCAAAUACAUGAUUAACAAUUUUUAAAUAUAUAUUUUUAUGUCUAUUUUUUCAUAAACAUUUACCGCCUUUGGUAUUUAACAUAUGAUUAACAUUCUUUUUUCAAAUACAAGUAUUUGAAACUUUUUGCAAAAACGUGUUAACCAUUUUUGGGAUGGUAUGAAACAUUGUUUAAAACUACGUGACAUUUUUGUACAUUGUAUACAUUUUUUAAAAUGUCACGAACAUUAUUUUAAAAUGUGUGAACAUUUUAGAAAUGCAACGUACAUUUUUAAGUUACAUAUAUAUGAAUAUUUAAAUAAUAUUAAAAUAUAUUUUGAAAUGCCACAUACUCUUUUUGUAAUGCUUGAAUAUUUUUGAAAUGUUGCAAACACCGAAAUAGAAGUGUAACCGAAAAAAGUCAAAUGGGCCGGCCCAGCACGGAUGACGGCGGCGCUUUGUGGUCAAUACUGCCGUUCCCUGGCCCACUAGUCAGAUGGAUCCCGGUUGAAUUUUGCCAGGGUUCGAUUUAGACCGGGAUUGCAUAGUUCAGGGUGCAAUCGACCGGGAUUUUGAUUUGGGGGUUCAUUUCGCCGAACCUCUAUAAAUUCAGGGUUAAAAAUGGACUUUUUCCUUCCAUCGAUGCCCUGCAGCAGAAAGUUGCGAAGAAGAUGAAGUAUAUUUGAUGGAACCCUGCCCGGAGUUUCACUCUCAAACAAUUGCCAUUAUCUGCAAUGAACAUGCAUGUAUUGUUACUGAUGCCCCUCCUUUAAUAUCGCCAAUGAAGUACAAUUAUCAAUCUUGUGUGCACAAGAUUGGCUUAUACUAGAUCUUAUGAUGAAGCUAAUUUCACACGUACUAGCAAUGCGAUGAGCAGAAGUUUACUCUCUGAAUUUUGUGUGUUACUAGUAUUGUGAUGAGCAGAAGAUUAAAAUCGAGACUUGCGAAUGUUCGAGGCGCUUGAUUGUUACUAGUAUUUGUGUGUUUUUAGGCUUAUAGUUGGUACCUGUUCGUUCUCUCUGCUCAAUGUCAUUGUAAGCUGAUACCAUCUGUAGACUACAGUCUACAACUGAUAUAUUUGCGCAUAUGCUUUAAUUGAAAAACAGGGUCUUGUGUUUUGGUAUAAAGUUUAAUUUUUUUUGCAUCCAAUUGAUUACAACUUCUCAGCAGGUCAUUAAGAUCACUCUAACUUUUUUUUUUAGAAAAGGAGGAUGACCCCAGCCACUUUAUUGAUUAUUCUCAAGGACCUUACAAAGUAUUACAACAGUGUGCCUGAAUCCACAGGUUAUGCGAUGAUCAUGACGCGAGAGCGAUGUUUGCUUGUUUGGAGUUUCUUCUUCUGCUUCUUCGAUCAGGGGAUAGGUUCCAGGUCGGCAGCCUGGGCUAGCAGGGUGGAUAUUGUUUGAGUUUCUGUUUAUGAUUCAUCCGUAGUCGGAUGUUGUUCUUGUAUGUUGUAUUCAUGGGAUAUUGUAUGUUUUGGAUGUAUCCCCACUAUUAUGUAAUGUUGAUGUAAUGAUAUCCACCUUGCAAAAGCGUUUCAAUAUGCGGGGUCUAUCCUUGGUGGGACCUUCGAGUUCCUUUUGGAUAGGGUCGCAUAUUGGGCGUGACAGGAGGGCGCCCGUCCAUCGAGAUGCUAAGAAAGCAGGCACGGGCACCGUUCACGGGCACCAUGCCGGCCCCCCGUGUCUUGUUUGACGGAAUGCCAACCCCAACGCCAGCGGUCGACGACCCCUUCUACAACCGGUACAUGAAGAACGUGAUCUUCGACGGUGGCCAUGGCCGUACCUACGACCUCGAUGAGACCCAAAGUCAGGAUGGCCCUGCCGAGUACGUCCCCGAUGAAGAGGCCGACGACCGUGCUGACUACGACCACGGUGACUCGUGGCAUGAAGACGAUGAGAUCUAUGUCGAAGGUGAUGAAGAAGAAGAAGAAAGCAAUGACGUUGAUAUUAGUGGUGCGCCAUUGUUCAUCGACGAGCUCACCCAAAGAGCCGAGGCACAAAAGAAGAGGAAGAGCAUUCGCACGGGUUCAUAUACACAAGAUGAGGACAAGUUGAUUUGCCAAGCUUGGAUGGAGAUUAGCCAAGAUCCGAGGACCGGCGCACAACAAAAGGGCAUUGUUUUUUGGACGAGAGUCCACAAAACAUUCCAUGAAAGGAAGAUGUUUGAGCCCUACCAGAUUACAAGCAACCGUGGCAUCGGCUCGAUUCAAAAAAGAUGGUUGUUCAUCCAAUAAGAGUGCAACGAGUAUUGCGCCGCAUUUGAGAGCGUUGAAGCACGGCCCUUGAGUGGUCUCGGCGUUGGGGACAUGGUAUGGUCUCCUCUUUCUAGCUCUUUCCUUGCUACGUCCAUGAGGCUUCGGCCGUGUAUAUGUUUGCAUGUUCACUUGUUGUUGAUCAUGUGGUGUAGGCGUUCCAAUCUUUGGAGGCAUUCAAGGCCCGACACAAUGACAAGCCAUUUACUCUUACGCAUUGUUGGACGAUCAUCAACAAUUGCCCCAAGUUCAAGGACCAAUGCCGUGAACUUCAAAGAAAGAGAGGCAAGAAGACGGCCAAGUUCACCGGAGGUGGGGAUGGCGAGGCGUUGAAGAGGCCGAGGGGCAAGACCAACUCCAAGGUGGACGACAUACGUGACGCCUCAUCCAUGGCCUUGCAUGAGACUUUGCAUGGCAUGAUGUCCCAAAAGGAUGUGAGGGACGAGAAGAAGCGGCAAAGCAAGGACGAGCAAAUGAAGCAAUACCUAGACCUUCAAAGACAGAAGCUUGAGAUGGAGGAGGCGGCCAAGAGGAGGAAGCUCGACAUGGAGGAGGCGUCCCGGCAAAGGCAGCUCGACAUCGAGGCCGACAACGUCAAGGCCAGGCAGAGGCAGCUCGACAUCGAGGCCACCAAUGCCGCCACCAAAGCGAAGGAGGUGGCCCUUGCGAUCAUGAGCGUGGACUUGUCGAAGAUGAAUGACAAGACGAGGGCCUGGCUCGAGGCCAGGCAGAAGGAGAUGCUCGACGCCGAAGGCCUGAACUAGGUCGUCCGAUCGGCGUGGCCGUUCUUUUUGAGGCUGGCAUGGGUGUUGCCCGCCCGUCGGGGCCGCUGGCAGUGUGCCGGCGAGAAAACAUUCAUUUUGGAGGCCGGCUGUGUUGCCGACCGCUGGCUGUGUUGCCGGCGAGAAGAACUAUUCAUUUUGGAGGCUGGCUGUGUUGCCGGCCGCUGGCUGAUGCCGGCAAUGGACGUGUAGGCCGCUGGCUCUGUUGCCGGCGUGAUGAACCGGGGCUGCGGCAUUUGAAAUGCUGCUUUUAGUUUUUUAAGUGGACGCGGACAGGAUGGGGCAAAUGGAUGCGGCCGCGCGCUGGGCGCACGGCCACCGCAUCCCAGGACACGCCCGGACACGGCCCCAAACCCCUACCCAAACGGACAGAUUCCGGACAAAACGGACGUCCGUUUGGGGUCGCGCAGUGGAGUUGGCCUUAUUGAAGCAUCUCGGGGCAUCAAUUUUAUUAUUUCUCUACACAUCUAUAAAUGCGAUUCUAUCAUGAAAAUUUGCAUGCGUGUAAAAAUUAUCAACGUGAGCCUGAGCUCAUAAUAGCACUUUACAGAGAAGAAAUGAAGUACGUGGAUUUGAAUCCUAGUUGUUUUACAUAGUUUGAUUCAUGGGAGAAAAACAUGACUAGGCGCUGGAAAUGCAAUUCGGCUCUCGGGAGCAUGUGCUUCUGCUUGUGGAAAAGGAAUUUUGUAAUGUCAAAAAAUUCCUAACAAAAUCUUUAGGUGUUUUUGUUAAGGUUAAGCAUCUUGGCCUGUGUAGAACAUCAAAUUGAUCAAUUGUUACCCCAAAAUGAUACACCCAAAUUUGUUUUUUUCAUCGAUGAAACACUGCUACUUCGUUUCGAAUGAAAAUUGUCAAGCAUACUUGCGACACUAACACGAACAUCUACAAAAAAUUUCAGAUUUUCCCCUAAAAUUUACUAUUUUUUCAUUUUACUAUUCAUCCAGGUGCAAAUGCACCCAGGAGCCAAAAAGCCUCCCCAAUUUCUUUUUUGCGAAAAAUAGACGAUUUUUUUACAUGUGUGCCCUUAACUCAAACCCAUUACUUAGAUUUACCUCUAAAUUCAAAGUGUGCUCAAAUUUGUUGACAUGGCACAUGAAGAUAGCAUGAUGGGGUUUACACUCAUCCAGGGGAUGAUUCUGUCUAUGGGUUAUCAAAAGAUGAAAGUUACGAAGAAAGGAGCUUAUCAAGUGAUGUACUCCCUCCGUUUCUAAUUUUUUUUGUGUUUCCAGAGAUUUCAACAAGUGACUACAUACGGAACAAAAUAUCUUCACUCUAAAAUAUAUCUAGAGUCAUUUUACGGUGCAUCCGGACGAUAUGGACCGUUCGUCGGAGCGAAUUCGACGGUCCAGAUCCGAUGCAAUACGCUGAUGUCACGUGAAUUAUAUGACCCCGAGGGGCAUUUUCGGGAGAAAAAAUAUUUUGAACUGAUCUGAUUUUCCCUCCCAAAUUUUUCGAGGGUAUUCUCGGUACGAAUUUCAGGGCUUUUUUCGGUUCGGUUUUUAUACCGUUCUUAUUCCUCGCCGCCGCUAGGGUUUUAUCCCGUUCUUAUUCCUCGUCGCGGCCCCUCCCUGCCUCGUCGCCGGCAGGAUCUAGCCGCGUGUCGCGGCCCCUCCCUCCCUCGCCGCCGGCAGGAUCUAGCCGCGCGUUGCGGCCCCUCCCUUCCUCCACCCCAACUCCCUCGCGAUCUCACACCACCUUUUCAACGAACACUAGAGUAGGCCCACUGCCCUCCACGCGGCGGCCGCCGGCGAAGAGUCGGCGCCAUCCCACCUCCCAGUCCUCCAUGCGGGUCCUCCAAUUGGUUGUUAAUUUGCAUCCUCUACAUAUCAUUUCUCAGCCAUGGCUACAGCUUUGAUCUGGCCAUGCAUUAUGGAUCAUGUUCUGGGGACUAGAUGAAGCCGGCAGCCGGCCUCGACGGCCAGCCCCAUUCGUCCAGCCUCGACUGCAUGAUCUACGAACGUUCAAUCGUUGCAUUCAACAUGUAUUCUUUCAAUAUGGCUGAUAGGUGAGAUUUGGAGAUCAAUAGAGAUGAUAAGCUAUUAAUUUUAGAAUGUACUAUAAACAAUUCAUAGCUUAUGUUACUCAAUAUUUAUGAUGCUCGCUUCUUCUUGCGCAAUUGCUGGACUGGGAUCAACAGACUUGGCAUGUGCUUUAUAUGAAAAAUUAGAUUCACAUGGGAUAUCCACCUUUUCAAGAUUGUUGUUAAUUCUUAUUAUGAUGGUAGCCUAGUUAAAGGGAGAGUAAUGGUCCUCGCAAAAAGCAGAGACAAAGGAAUGAGCAUUUCAUUCUUCCAUAUGUUGCAUUUCAUUCUUCCGUGUUUAGUUAUGUCCAACAUUUGUUACAUGCACACACUUGACAAGGUUAGUACAAGUAGUAAUUUUUCCUCUGUUUUGCAGGGCUAUGACAGAACAUGCUAUGUGAUUCCCUGAGGCAGGAUGGAUGUACCAUGGCCACACCACUGUGCUCCUGAAGGUGAUCGCUCAAUUCAGCGUUGCAGCAGCUGCAGAGGCCCCCCUAUGGUACGUGCUUUACUCUUGUUAUCCUAUGCUCUAUUUUUUUGGCUUUGCGGCCUGCCUACGAGACAUAGCUGGGAUUGCGUGUUGAAUCAGGAAGUAUUUUUGACUUCUAUUGUGAGGCUAUGCUCAUGCUCGUACCUUUUUCUCUCGUAUGAUAAUAGACAUAUCAUAGUCCAUUAUUCUUCUAGGGUUGCCCCAGGCACCAUUACUGUCACAUGGUAGUAAAAAGCAAAUAUAGAUUUCUACGAGAUCCCAUACAGACCAAAUUUAUUUCAAGCAAAAUAUAGUAACCAAUAAUAUUGUAGUUUUACAACUUGACUCAUGUGCAAUGGACUAAGAACACGGCUAGGAAACCUUCUUCGGGACUAAAACCCAACCACACCCUACUGUAUCGCUUUAUGGCCAAGUGAACACUCCACACUGCUGGACUAACUGCUUGCAUCUUCGUCGUCUUCAACCGCAGCUGCAUCCGAUAGCCUAGCAUGGUACUGCUUGAACCUAUUCCUGUAUUUCAUUUUGUUGUAGGGUGAUUCGACAAGCACAACAGGUAGCUCUUUUCUGAAUUUCUCGAUGUACGCCUGCAUGCAAGGAUAUGUUAGUAUCGUUCCUUUAAGAUUAGAAAAUGACAUAAUUUUAGGUGUGACUCUACGUACUUCGUCAUACUGCUUACUCAGUUUUAGUCCCGUAAAUAAUUCGAUGUUCUUCAGCAUGUACAGUGCACAACAAGAACUGCAACAUUUUAUGUUGUUAGAUCAGCAUUUCAGAUAUUAACAAUCUAAAACAAAAACAAAAGCUAAUAUUUUUGACUGAUGUUUCAUCGGAUUUUGGCACAUUAAUGUUCCGUACUGGCCAUUGCGUCACGUUAAUGUCUUCCCAUGCAUUGCUUUCUAUCCCAUUGACUCGCCUCGCUGCUCUCAGAUGUGCUUCCAUCCCACGUACCUGCAAGCCCAAUGGGAUGAAAAGUUGCCUACAACUAAUACUUACAUACGAUGUCAAAUCCUUUGUUAUAAUUACAUAUGUUGAAAUUCUCACCAUGUUAUGUACUUCUUUGGGUACCAUACAGUGGAAAAGUGAAUCAAGAACCUGAAUCUCCUUCCUUCUCAGGUUUAUGACCACAAGUAACCAGUGGACGCCUUGGCUGUUCGUAGGUAGGAAAACCUGGAUUGCACAGAUAAUUUGAUCAACGUGUAUAGUAAUAAAAAAAUCUGUUCAAAGUCAGGUUAAAAUACCAUAUCAUGUUUCAGGUAGCUGGUGCCUUGUGUUGUUCCAGGAAUGCCUGCCAAAGCGUCCUCGUAGCACUCCUCUAUCCUAUCAUCUCUUUCGAGCUUAGCGACGCCGGCCACCCUCUCAAUGUAAACCAGUUGGCCGUCCCUUGUGUCAAUUGGGUCAUCAUGAUGCAUGAGCUGGAUCGCAGCAUCAACCACCUACAACAAUAAUCAAGUUAAUUGUAUUGUACAAAAAUGAAACUUAAUAAACUAAUUUAUGAAAUAUCUUACUUCGUCACCCAACCAUACGGCUUCUUCAGAUCCAUCUUUUUGGGUGAGGCAUUGCAAAUGCUUCGAUAGCACGACAAUGUCAUCAACUAGGACCAUUUGUUUUUCAUGAUUUGUACUGUUGAUCAGUGACGCCACGAAAUCCUAUCGAACCACAUCUAGCUGGUCCCUCUGGGUUUCAGUAACUUCUGGUCUCUUUUUUAAGUUGCUAGAGCCGAUUUUCCUCUUUUUAUUGUUCGUGUCCUCGGAAUCAUUUGUAGACUCUGAUGGAGUCUUGUUUUUCCUUUUUUUUCUUCUCAGUAUCGUACGAAGCAUACUCUUCAUUCUUAAAUAAUUGCAAUACCACAUUUUUCUUUUCGCCCCCAUGAUUUGGUGGCAUUGAUUCAACCAUACUUACUUCUUGCUGCUUUCAAAAGGAUUCAUCAUGGCUGUCAUCAUCUGCGAAGGCACGGGGCUUUUGGGGCUCUCGCGAUCCCGUAGCCUUCACAGAGUGCUGCUUACUCCAUAUGUUGAAUGGAAUCUGUCAUAAGAAAUAAACCGCAUGUUAGCCUUUAGCAGAUUCUUCCUCAAUUAUAGGUAAAAUGUGCAUCACCUGGAAUUCUUCAAGGCUUGUGGUGGCUUUGGAAUGCAUUUGCUUAUCCAAACUAGGAGCACCCUGGAUAUCAUCCACCUCUUUCAAAAGCUUAUGAAUACCACUGAGGUUCUGUUUGAUUUUUCUUUCAGCUCUUUCAAAUGCUUCAUCCUGUACAUGGAAGACCACAUGUUAUUUCUGAAAUGACAAUGAUUGUUUCAUAAUUAAUUAAGUUAACAUGCAUACGUCAAACUCUUCAUCAAGGUUCUUCAUUGGGGGCUCCAUGUCACCAUUUUUUAUUUCCUGCUAACAAUGGUGCUUAGCAGCGACCUCCGUGACAUCAUUUUGUUUCCCCUGGUCAGAAGCCUGCUCAGCAUUCUCAACAGAGGCCUCCAUUGGGUGUGAAGGUGCCCCGAGGUCAGAAAGAUGUAUGUCCUCCAGUCCUGGAAAUAUUCCGCCGCGUUUUGUCUUUAAAAAAUACAUGUUAGUCUGGGGUGUUUUCAUAGUAAACUUAUUUAGAAAAAACCUUCUACACGUAAAUUUCCAAUUAUAUAUACUAAUCUCAUAAUUCUAGGCUUACGUUCAAUUCUUUGAUGAGGUCCUCUGUGAGCUUGCCAUUUGUAUGGGUACGCCUAAGGCACUCAUCCAUUUUCUUUUCAAGGAUGCACAUCCUAUCAACUUGUUGUGCACCAGCCUCCCGCACGAGGGAGGCAACUUCUUGCAAAUCAGUCAAUACAUGUCCAACGAGUACCUUAAUCUGAGACUUUGAAACAGUUAGAAUCAUAUAACUUCAUACUAGUUGCAAUGUUACAAUAUAUAUUGGGUGCCUGAUGUAACUCAUUUACCUGACGGCCAGUCUUUGGUUUGGCCAGCGUACCAUCUCGUGCUGGAAUGAAAGGCCUCAUCAGGUCCUCAACAUACUGCAGUUUAGUGUCGUUAGUAUGAUUUAGAAAAUAUACAUGUUACAUAAUCUAGGCAAUGUGCUGACAUUUUACCUCUCCAACUCCCAGAUAAUUAUUCUGGAUUAUAUUGUCAACCUUUUUUUCCUUCUCCUCGCUCUAGUUCUGGAUCAGCGGCCUUAACCUUGAUUCAUACGAGAUGCUAGAGUCCAAUUGGUGCACUCUGAACUUCUCGCAGUACCAUGUCUGCAUGACAACAAAAGCAGUUUACAAAUAUUCUCGUACAUUAUGUAAUGUAUGUUAGGUUGUACUACUACGAGUUACCUGCAGCAAUGGUAGAUUCCCCUCUAGAAUUGCCUCACCAUUUACAAAAUUCUUCACGCUAUCCAUAAGAUAGUCAAGCGUUAGCUGUCCAAGAUUUGUGCCCUUUAUCGUCUCAACAUUUCUAACAAUCCCAAUAUAUUUGUUAUCCACAUACUCCUCUUUUGUUCGGCAUACAUAUUUGCCUAUAGUGUACAAGACAAAUGGCCUGACAAAAUUUUGGUGUGCUGUCGCCUUUCAUCUUGGCUAGCAAUCCUUUGAAAGUUAUUUUGGUGUCAUUACGGUCUUUCAGUUUCUUCCACAACUCCAUAUUUUCAUCAAGAUUUGAAGGGACGUGCUUCUUCCCAUGGCAGGGCAUGCCUGUUAUAUGCGCUACAUCUUCUAGUGUGAUCCUACAUGGUCUCCUGUUGAUGAUAAAGGCAUCCUGCUCUGCAUCAUAUGAAUUAGCGAUGGCCAUGCACAGUACACGUCUGAUUUUGAUGCUAGCUGUCUUGAGAAGUCCACCCAGUCCUAUCAACUGGAUGUACAUCCUUUGCUGCAUGUUUAAUUCCUUUAUGAACUCCUCAUAUGGCGGCAAAGAAGCAUCAUGGGUUCAAUGUAUGUGCAAGUGUGAUUAGAUUCAGCAUGGUAUACAAUUUAAACACUCAUACAGACGAAUACAACUUAUAUAUACCAACAUAAAAAUUGUGCUCUACGCUACUUCAUGAGGUAAUUUGUUUACAAGCAAGCUAAGUUCCAUGAAUGUGAAAAUACUAGCAUUAGAUUCAGCUUGGUUACGUUUGAACGGUCAUAUAAGGUAAUCUCCAUUGCAAGGCGCUGAUCUGAAAUAAAAUCAAGAUUCGAAAAUAAAAAACUAUCCAACCGUGGUCUCCUCAACUCUAGGCGCUAAUCAUGGUCAGUAGUAUGGAAUUAAAACAUGGGCCAUCGAUGCCUUCCAUAACUCGUGCGGAAGGAAAAAAAAGGCAAGCGCCCGCUGCCCUAAUUGGCAUCGACAAGACCAGAACCUAAGAUUUAGCCUGUAAUUAAUCAAUGAACUGCCAAUCUGGUAGGAAACAAAUCCUAGCGCCCUCCCCUAACGCCCCCCAACUUAAUUUGUUUAAAAACAUGUUGAGUUACAUGAAUAUGCAAACAACGAGUGGGGUUGCAGCAAGAGAUCAUGGGAUUAACAUCGUGGCAUGAAAAAUAGCAGCAGUUGCAGUAGGAGAUCUUGGGGAAUUACCUGAGGAUUCAUGUUUGGCUCCGUCGUUCGGUCUUGCUGGAUUCCUGGGUUGCUCCGUCCUUCGGUCUUGCUGCUUUGGGUGGCGCAGAAGGACGAACUAUGAUCUAUGAGGUUUCAAAGGAUCCCUAUUUAUAGGGAUCGUAACAACCCGGACAUAUAUCCACGUAUAGAUUUCUUCGGUUGGAGGAAAUCAAGGGAGGGGACCCACCUGGUUGAAUAUUAGGGGGGGCGUGGAGAGUUUAGCAAAGGUAAGUUAUGGUGUAAAAAAACUAAGGUAAGUUGCGUAACAACACUUAGGUCUCCUGAGAAUCAGGAUCGUCAAAAAGAUAUAGUUCCCGUUUCUUUGAAAAACAGCCAAAAGAACUGGACUGCUUUUAUUAUUGGUUAUAAGUAAAUCACUGGACCCCUUUUAGGAUGAAAACUGGUUCUAAAGUCAACUAGGAUUGACUGUUCACACGUGAAGUAUUUUCCUCUCUCUUGUGAAGCUAUUUUAUUGCCCAUCCGUGCUCAUACAUUUUUUCCUCGUACAUGUGAGACCAAAUUUUGUUGAUAAUACUGAAUCAUCUCUGGUGCUGCUCAAGAUGGCACGACACCAUGGUUUUCGCUUCGGUGAGGUUUCGAUGAAAUAACUGAAUUUCAUUCAUUUCAGCACUCACUACAAUAUUUUCCUUUCGACCAAAAUAUUUCAGCCUCACUGAAUUUCGGCCAAAAUAUUUCAGCACUUGCUGAAAUUUUUCUGGAACUUCUAAUAGCAAUGUUAAAAAAAUUCUGAAACUUCUAACUAGCGACGUAAUUGUUCUGAAUCUUGUCCAGACUCCAACGAAACUUAAAUAUAAAUUUAAGAAUUCAGUUAACCUUCCUAAGCUUCAAAUUAUUGUCAAAAGCAAAUAUAUGUUUCAGCAUCUCCCAUGCAGACCAAAUUUAUUUCAAGAAUAGUAUUUGGAACCAGUACUGUGAAGUAUUACAACUUGAUUAAUCCACACUGGACUAAGAACAUGGCUAGGAAACCUUCUUCGGGACUAAAACCAAACCACACCCUACUCUACCACUUCAUAACCAAAUGUACACUCCAUAUCUAAGAAUGGACCAUUGCUGGACUAAAUGCUUGCAUCUUCAUGAUCUUCAAUCACAGCUGCAUCCGAUAGACUAGCAUUGUACGUCUUCAGCCUUUUCAUGGACUUCAAUUUGUUGUAGCGCGAAUUAAGAAGGACAACAUGCAGCUGUCUUCUAUAAUUGUCGAUGUAUGCCUGCAUGGGAGGAUAUGUUAGUAUCGUUCCAUAUGUUUAAAAAAUUGAGAGAAUUUUAGGUGUUACUCUGCGUACUUGGUCAUAAUGCAGUCUAAGAUCUUCUCCCGUAAAGAAUUCGAUGUUCUUCAGCAUGUAGAGUGCACAAGAAGAACUACAACAAUUAAUUCUGUUAGCAGCAUUUCACGUAUUAACAAUGAAAAACAUAAUUAGAAGCUAAUACUGUUGACUGACUUGUCAUCUUGUCUUGGCACAGGCACAUGCUUUACUGUCCGUUAGGUCACGUUAAUGUCUUGCCAUGCAUGGCUUUGUGGUCCAUUGAUUUGCAGUGAUGCUCUCAGAUGUGCUUCCACCCCACGUAUCUGCCAAAGUCCAUGGUAUGAGAAGUUGAUCACGGUUCAUGGCUAGGUAUGAUGCUAAAUCCUGUGUUAUAUUGAAAGACAUUUAAAAUCUCACCACGUGAACCACUUGUGUGCGUUCUAGGUAGCCGAAAAGUGAAUCAAGAAUCUGAAUCUCCCUCCUUCCGGGGUUUACGACCACAAGGAAUCCGUGGGUGUUCGCCAUGUUCGUAGGCAGAAAAACCUAGACAGCAAAGAUGAUUACAUCAACAUGCAUAAUAAUUAGAAAAAUAAAUGUGUUUAUGUCAUGGUGAGAUGGUACCAGAUCAUGUCUGAGGUAGUUGUCUCCUUUUGUUGUUCCAUGACUGCCCGCCAAAGCGGCCUCGUGGCAGUUCUCUACCUUACCAUCUCUUUCAAGCAUAGCGACACCGGCCACCCUGUCAAUGUAAACCAGCUGCCCAUCCCUUAUGUCAUUAGGAUGAUCAUGACGCAUGAUCUGAAUCACAGCAUCAACCAACUAAAACAAAUUUCAAGUUAAUUGUGGCAUUCAAAAAAAAAUUCAAGUUAAUUGUAGUGUGCAAAAGAAAAUUGAUAAACUAAUUGGGCAAAUAUCUUACUUCAUCACCCAACCAUUUGUCAUCUUCGCCUACAUCUGUCAUGGUGAGGCAUUGCAAAUGCUUCUGUUGCAGAAUAAUGUCAUCAAUUAUCACCAAUUGUUUAUCAAGAUUUGAGGUGUUGAUAAUUUCGGCCACAUAACUCUGUCGAAACUUGUCAAGGUUGGUCUCCAGUGUCGAAGCACCUGUGUCUGUAUCUUUUAAACUGCUUGCACGGUUUUUCCUCUUUGUAUUCUUUGUGUCCUUGGAAUCGUUGGUAGACUCCGAUGGAGUCCUAUUUUUCUUUCUCUUCUUAUCACUAUCGUACAGAACAAAAUCUUCAUUGCACAAUAAUGAAGAUGCCACUCUUUUCCGGCUGCUCGCACGAGUUGGUAGCAUGGAAUCAACCCCACUUUUUUGUCGCUGCUUUGCUAAAGAAUCAUCAUAGUUGUCCUCAUCAACUGGGAAGACAUGGGGUUCUUCCGGCUCCCUUAUUCCCUUAGCCUUGGCAGACCGGUGGUUGCUUUUGGUACCUGCCUCUGCACCCACCUCAAUACUGACAUCUUCAUCAUCUUGAUUUCUUCUUUCUUCAGUCUUUCGCACAAUCUCAUUGUGCCUAAAAUUUAGAGGAUCCUGUGAUUCGAAAUGAAGCACUUGUUAGCUUGCAAUCUGCGUGAAAUAAAAAAAACAAAACCAGUUAACUGUAAAAUGUGCAUCCCCAGGAAAGCUUCAAGGCUUGUGGUGGCUUUGGAAUGCUUUCGCGAAUCCAAACUCGGAGCACCAUGCGAUGCAUCCACCUCUUUAUAAAGUUGUGAAACAUUCUUGAGACUCUCCUUGCAAGCUGCAGCAACAGCUCUGUCUUCUUCAUCCUGAACGUGGAAGAUCAUAUGUUAGCUCCGAAUCUGCGUUAACUUAAAACGAAAUCCGUUAGAUGUAAAAUGUGUAUCACCAUGAAAGCUUCAAGGCUAAUCUUGGCUUUUGAAUGCUUUCGCGAUAGCAAACUAGGAGAAGGAUGCAAAUCUUCAGAUACGUUCUUCUUGGGGGCACCCAUGUAAUCUUUUUGUAUUCCCUUAGCAGAAAUGCCUUUGGCAAUGACCUCCGUGUCAUCUUUUUGUUUUUGGUGGCGAGUAGUAUUCUCUCCUGGGACCUCCAUUGGGUCUGCAGGUACUCCCAGGUCAGAUAGCUGUAUGUCCUCGACUCCUGGGCGAUCAACAUCAAAUAUUCCAUAGAGGUGGUUCUUUAAAAAAAAUGUGUUAGUGUGGAGAGUAUUGACAGUAAAAUUAUUUAUAGAAACUCACAAUGGUAUACUUACAUUGAAUUUUGUGAUGAGGUCAUCCGUGCGUCUGCCGUUCGCGAGGGUACACCUAAGGCACUCGUCCAUUAUUUUUCAAGGGUGCACAUCCUAUGAAAUUGUUGUGCACUGGUCUCCCACACAAUGGAGACAACUUCUUUCAAAUCAGCCAAUACACGGCCCAUGAGUGCCUUAUCCUGCAAAUUACAAGCAGUUAGGAGCAUAUGCCUUCGAUUGUACUUGCAAAGUUACAAUAUAUAUUUCUGCGUGAUGUUCAUCAUUUACCUGGCCGUCAUUCUUUGGUUUGACUGACGUCCCAACUGGUGGCGGAUUGAAAGGCCGCAGCAGGUCAUCAACAUACUACAUGUUAGUGUCGUUAGUAUCAUUCAAAACAUAUGAUACAUAAUCCUGGCACACAGUACUAACACUUUACCUCUCCAACCCCUAUAUAGUUGUUGUUGAUUAUGUUGUCAACCUUCUAUGCCUUCUCGCCACUCCAGUUUUGGAUCAGCGGCCUUAACCUUGAUGCAUACGAGAUGGUAGAGUCCAAUUGGUGCACCCUCCACUUCUCGUAGUACCACAUCUGCAUUACAACAAAAACAACUUAAACAAUUUUCCAUAAAAUUAAAUGUAUGGUAUGUUAAUAAUGAUUGUAUUACCUGCAGCAGUGGUAGGUUGCCCUCCAGAUUUGCUCCACCAUUUACAAAUUUCCUGACGCUAGCCAUAAGAUGGUCAAGCGUAAGCUGUCCAAAAUUGGUGCUCUUUAUUGUCUCAACGUUUCUAACAAUCCCAAGGUAUCUGUUGUCCACAUACUGCUGUGUUGUCGGGCAUACAUAUUUGCCUAUGGUGUACAAGACAAAUGGCCUGACAAAAUUAGGUGUGCUAUCGCCUUUCAUCUUGGCUAGCAAUCCUUUCAAAGUUACUUUUGUGUCGCUGGGGUCUUUCAGUUCCUUCCACAACUCCAAAGUAUCGUUGUGAUUUGAAGGGACGUGAUUCUUCCCCAUGCAGGGCAGGCCUGUUAUAUGCUCCACAUCUUUUAGUGUGAUCCUACAUGGUCUCCCAUGAAUUAUAAAGGCAUCCUGCUCUGUAUCAUAUGAAUUAGCGAUGGCCUGGCACAGUAGACGUCUCAUUCUCAUGCCAGGAGUCUUGAGAUGUUCACCCAGUCCAAUCAACUUGAUGUACGUCAGUUGCUGUGUGUUUAAAUCUUUUAUGAACUUCUCGUAUUGCAGCAAAGAAGCAACCUGAGUUCCCUGAAUGUACAAAUAGUGUGAUUAGAUGCUAUAUGGUAUUCAUUUAAAGACACAUAGAACCGACUAAUCUAUGCCAAUAUCAAAAUUGUGAUCUACAUUACUGCAUGAAAUCAUAGAGCUUCUGGGCUAUAUAAUCAACACCAGACAUAGAAAAAAGCUAUCUCUACUGGCAAAUUGACUGAUAAUAGUAUUAAUUUUAGUAGAAAGAGCAGACUUUGGUCUGUACACUACUAAAUUUUCAGGCGUCACGCUUACGAAAAUAAUUGCAUACAUGAUCAGAAGAUCAAUAGUUUAUAGAUAGUCUCGAAAAAGGAAUGUAGCAGUUCCAUUGCAAGCAUUCAAGAGCACAUACUCCUUAGUUCCGAUCAGAUUAAAAAAGAUCAAUUAGUAAAGACCAUGCAAAAUUAAGGGGAAUCACCAACAGUUUCAAUCACUGGAGAUUAAGAACUCAUUGAGAAAGCCUAUGCCAAAAAAUUAGCAAUUUCCAAAUUUGAAGGCAUAUAAACAGAGACGAUAACCCUGAUUUUAUUGCACAUCUAAGUCCUAUGUCAUUGAUUUUAUGCUAAGAUUCGUGCAAGCCUUUUUUGUCAUUUUUUCUUUUCUUUCUAGACACACACAUCUCCCUUCGGUAAAAUAGGGAAAAUUAUGGGAUUGCAUGCAGACUUGGGAAGGAGGGAGUAUGCAGAAUACAAGGAUCUCGAUCGUUACCGGAGGAUUCUCUCGAUGGCGACCGGCUCCAUUGCCGUUCGCUUUCAUCUUUUGCUUUGUCAGCUUCUCCGACGUGCCCUUCUCUUUCGUCGGCUUCUCUGACAUGCCCUUCUCAUUCAUCUCAGGAUUCGCCAACGCAGGCUUCAAAGAUGACGGCUCCAUCGGUUUCACCGACCUGGGAGCUACUUUGGGCGACGUGGGGUGGUAAUUCGGUGUAGUCAUGGAAGGCUAGGUAUGGGAGGCGUGGGGUGGGAGGCGUCGGGUGGAGUAUUUAUAGGGGAUUUGGGAUCUCACGAAGAGGUAGUUUAGAUCACGUAAUGUUUUUUUGGGCGAUGCUAUUGUGUGCGCGCUCGCUCUGGCGAGCGAUUUCCGACUAGACAGGCUUUAUUAGGUAACCACGUCCAAACAGGAAUCCCUUUAAAUUAGGAAGGAGAGAGAUAACUGAAGAGAUUUUACAAAGAAUAUCUUACCUGCCCACGUUGAAAUCAGGGGGGCAUAGAGAUUAGAGGGGAGAUCUCUUUAGGCCCACCUGAAAAUCAGGGGGCAGAAAGAUUAGAAUCGUAGGGGGAGAGAGAUUGGGAUGAAGCGUUGCCAGGCUCGCUCGUCAAAGAGCGUUUCCGGUUGUUGUUUUUUAGCAAGUUUUUUUUUUGAGAUUUUUUGUAUCAACUUAAUCUCAACCGUGAAGCGUUUGGGCUUCUUGUGCUUUCUUAUACGGGCCUUUUUACAAUGGGCUGAGCCCAUUUUAAAUGAGAACAUAAGAAAGAAAGCGAGGACUCCAACAGGCAGGAGGACUCCAACAGGCGGGACAAGCCCCGUCCCAAUUAUUUAGGACGGACAUGCGCGAGGGCGCUUCGUCCUCACUGCCACGACUCUCCAAAAACGGUUCCUCUGCCUCUGCGUCCUCUCGAUUCCCUCUUCCUUUGUGUCGCCCACUCUCACAACAAUCCGGCUUCUGCAACGGUGAGUUCUCCUUCCUGUCAAUUUUGUUAGUAGUUCUCCAGUAGCAGCACAUAGGAUGGCCUUCUUCUUGUCAAUUUCUUGUUCUCCUGCUUCUUUAUUUUGUGCGCACAGAUUCAACUGCCUUCAACAUGCGUUGCCUUAUGAGAAUUUUGCACACAGAUUCAUCUGCAUGCAACAUCUAGUCCGUUGUCUUGUCAAUUUAUUGUUUUUCUCCUGCUUCUUUAGUUUGUACACACAGAUUCAUCUGCAUGGGCGAUGAACAAUUCAUAGAUACAUGUUUAUUCUUGAUUGUUGAUGCAGUUGUUUAGAUAAUAUUUCAAGAGCGUAAAUUUUGAUUGUUAAUUCGCAUAUACUCCCUCUGCAAGGAAAUAUAACAACUUUUGGCUCACUACUUUAGUGAUUUCUUUAUAGAGGGAGUACAUGUUUAGUUUAAAUUGUUCAGGCACUUGUUUACAUAAACUUUCAAUAGUGCCAGAAUUACUAUACUAUCUUUCAUCUCGGCUUAUUGUUAUCAUGUUAUUGUCAUGAUUCAUGUCUUAUACUAGUUUCAUCAAUUACAGUCCUUCGGCAUGGCGUUCGUGAAAGAUUAUGCUGUCAGGGCAGAUGGAAAUACCGUAAUUUUUGUGAAGUACACGAACAAGGCUAGCAGUGUUGAGUACUGCAUUCGCAGAUUCAAAUACUGGCUGCAGAACAACGACCAGAAGAUAGUUGCACUGGAUGUGGAGUUCACCUGGCCUCGUGGUCCAACACAGACGGCUGCCGUGGUACAGUUAUGCGUUGGCAUCUAUGUCCUCGUGUACCACAUAAGCGUUGCUGAUGAGCACUGCGGCCUGCUUGCCGCCUUCCUGCUCGACGAGGAGUACACCUUUGUUGGGGUGGACAUCAACAAUGACGAGAAAAAACUCAAGCGUGUUGGUCUGGUGGUACGAAACUUUGUGGAUAUCUAGAAUUUGUGGAGAGUGCCUGAUCCAGUGACGAUUAAGCCGAAGUAUGGCUUGGCUGACUAUGCUGGUUCCAUCAUCCACCACAGCUACAACAAGAUGAAGGAUGCUAUCACAGAAGAUGACAACCAUAUGUGGGCAGAAGCGCCCUUGCCCUUGAAGAACAUCUAUUAUGCUUCCAGGGACGCGUAUGCCACCUACGAUGUAUACAGGCGACUAGUGAACUUCCAAAAGGGGUUCGAGAGUCUGCGCCAGCAUCUCGCCAAACCAUCUAGGCGGUCGAGGAAGUCCGGAAGGAAGAAUGAAUCAAACUAAAAUGUUUCUUCUAUUUAUCUAUCUGAUAGUCUGUAAACUUUAUUAUACUGCUAGUAAGUCGUAAGUUCAAAUUUCCUGCAAGUUGAAUCAUCCUUUAUUCUAGCUUUCUUGCCUAAUUUGAUCCGCGUUCAAGAGAUAUUAUACUUAAGAUGUUUAUUUUGUUUCGGUUUCGCUAGCUAUGAUACAGAAUGCGAUAGCCAUUUUUACGAAAAAAUUAUUUCAGAUUUAUAAUGAAUACUGUUCUCAACUGGGUUUGAAUAGAGAAAAAUUAUUUUGUAAUUGCAUAGAGAAAGUUCAUAUUUUUUAAUCAAAAGAAGGGUCGCCCCCCCCNNNNNNNNNNNNNNNNNNNNNNNNNNNNNNNNNNNNNNNNNNNNNNNNNNNNNNNNNNNNNNNNNNNNNNNNNNNNNNNNNNNNNNNNNNNNNNNNNNNNNNNNNNNNNNNNNNNNNNNNNNNNNNNNNNNNNNNNNNNNNNNNNNNNNNNNNNNNNNNNNNNNNNNNNNNNNNNNNNNNNNNNNNNNNNNNNNNNNNNNNNNNNNNNNNNNNNNNNNNNNNNNNNNNNNNNNNNNNNNNNNNNNNNNNNNNNNNNNNNNNNNNNNNNNNNNNNNNNNNNNNNNNNNNNNNNNNNNNNNNNNNNNNNNNNNNNNNNNAACCACAUGGUCUUUGAAGCCCCUGAUACACACUACAGCUAGAAAGUAAAGUAAUCAACUAGCAGCACAAAUCAUACAUGGUAGCGAACCCAUCCAGACUUAACAUCAAGGUCCAAAAAAUAAGACUAUGGCAAAGGACAGAAAAUAUAGCUGAGAGAUGCGCAGGCAACACCGCAGUACCCUGUGACUCCACACUUGCAAUGAACUGUACAAUCCACCUGCUACAUGCUCUAGCCUGCGCAUAUAGACCAUCAGCACCUAUUUGUUUAUCACCUUCAUCUGCAAUAUAGAACAUCCCAUGAUCAACAAGCAAAUUAGCUAAACAAGAAUCAUAAGAUCACUAUACCAUUUAUUUUGUAAUCUCACAUUAUUCCUGCAUUACCAAAGAGUGAAGAACACAAAUGAUGCCCUUCCCGCAUGUCCAACGCAAACACUCAUAAGUAGUUCUACCAUCUUAACUCAAUGAUUUAAAUUAUUAAUAAAACCCCCUUAAAGAUUCCAUUUGCAUUACCAUCAUUCAUGAUUAUAGGCAGGGAAACAACAACCAAUAAAGCAACAACCUGUGUAAGCCCUAUUUUGAGUCCUGAAUAGGACCCAAUCCUAGCAUUUACUCUAACUGCAACAUAUCCUCCUCUCAUAGUCAUCAUCACCCAAGACAGAAUGAAGACGUAACCCCAUAGAUGCAUAACUACUAUCAACAUAGUUUUCGCACCAUACCUAGUGUAAAGGACACUCUUGCGUUGCCGUGCUACUUUUGUGGCUCCUCGGUCAGCAUGUUCAUAACCACCUCGAUCUAAAGAUCUUCACGGGUGGUGGUCUUGAAACCGAAAAGAACGGCUUUAUGAACCUUGAGCUCUUCACUGUCAACAAAAUCACUCCAUCCCUUGCCGAAGAUGAUGCGGCCAUCAUCACACUUGUGGUACUUGACCGACAUGAAACUGUCCUUGCAUAGCCGAAUGCCAGCAAGCCCAUCUCCCGGUAUCUCCCCAUCUCCUGGGGUCUUCAGAGCGUCGACAACUUUCGCCGAUAAUCUCUGUAUGCACCAUCAUAGGAAGAAAAAUUAUCAAAUAUGUGAAGGAGCGGUAAACAAAAGGAUCUUCAGCUACAUCUACAUAUAUUACAUAAGGAUCUUCAGUUAUGGGAAACAAAAGUAUAUGCAAAAAUACACAUCAGUGUAUUCACUGGUUUCAGCUACAGUAGCAUAUCAUUAAUCUUUCUCUCCAUGAAAAAACAAAGAAAAUUGCGUACAAAAUAAAAAAUACUAGUACACCAAAAACAUACCAUCGUCUUUCCUGCUAUGUUCGACUUGGUGAAGCGGUGGACAAAGAAUACACCUAUAUAACCUUUCUUCAUCGCCAAAAGGUCAUGUAGGUUACGCUCCUCUUGCUUCGUCAGAUUAAUUCCCUUUGUUAUGACAGCUAAUUCUAGAGGAUUAUGCUCUUUGUUUUGAUCGCAUGUCCUUGGCAGGUUGCAGCAGUACACCAUAGGAAUAUCUUCAGUCAAAUCGAAGGAGACAAGGUCGCCUUCUCGCAGGUCGAAGUCUUCAACAAACCUACACCAGUUUUCACCACCGAUGAUCGCACUUGAAUUCCCUUUGUACACGCCAAAAUCAUGCGUGCGGCUCCCUCUCGCUUGAAAAAGCAAUGAACUGUCUGGGAUGGCGCUAAACUGGUGCCAUGCGUAGCAUGGCAUGAUCUGUAGAUGUAGAAUUAAAUUGCUAUUUAUUUCCUACAUUUUGUUAAUCUUCAAAGUAGAGGGGAACAAACACAAUACACGUAAAAAAUUGACAUGGCUAUUUAUACCACAGCUGAAGUGUCCCCAUCUAGCCUGAUGGUAAAUGUCAACCCAUCAUCAUCGGGCCUGUUGCAGUCCUGUCGACAGGUUAUGCACACCUCCUGUGUAAACAAAAUAAAAUGAAGAAAAACAAAGGAUGAGAAUUGAAGAAAUGGGCUUAUGAAUGUAAACACACUAGGAAACAAUCAUACAGUGUAAUUAACAAAGGUACUGCAUCAGUAAUCAACAAUCAUACACUUGAACUGCGCAGGUGGCUCGCCCUCCACUCCUCAUAACCCUGCAAUGCAGCGCGUGCCCGCCGCACCACAGCUUGUUCAGACAUGUCCUUCUCUUGAUCCUCGACUGGCAGCAUGGGCUCACCCCGAGCGUCGACGCGCGGCAUUGGCCCCUCCUCCUCUGCAGCACAACUGAGGUAGUGUUUAGUUGACUUGCAAUCUAGGACUACAAGUUAAUGGCUGCCUUAAAAUAACCCAACCUAAUUUAGGCCUAAAAAGGAAUUUAAUCCACUAGCCCAACUUAUAAGUUUUGGGCCCACCCUCCGGUUUCUUCCUGGAUUCGCCACUGCACAAUGCCAAAAAAAAUCUAAGUUUUUAAAGAACUGUUUGCUAAUAUUUGCUGCUAUUGUGCUACGCAUCUGCACUUGCUCAUUGUUAUGAAAACCCUGGAAUACCGAAACCCUAGGAAAAAAUUACCGAGCAAGCUACCGAUGUAGAAAACUUCCUUCAAUCUCUGCAUCGCCUUCCAUCUAACCUCCGAUUGAAAAUCCUAACUAUUUAAUCUCCAACUUUGAAAACCAUAUCCAACUCCCGAAACGGCAACACAACAAGGAACAAAGAAGUCGAAGAUUACAAGUUAGGGUUUCUCACUUCACCUAGUCGCCGGUAGUUGCUAGGUGCUUGCUGGCGGCCUCCCAAUCUCACUCCGCGCUCUUCUGCUCCAACCGUCGAGAGCGGCGUGGGGUCGCGGCGGGGUGGUUUGUGGGGAGGGUGGGGAUGAGGGGGGCGGGGGUGUGUGGGCGAUGGGGGUGAUGACAUGGACCCUAUCCGUGUCAAGCACAGAAAAUAACGGCCCGUGGAUCCAGUUCGUAAAGAAACAACCAAACAGGCCCAUAGGCCGCUUACCUGUCACAAAGUAAAACCCUAUGUUACUAAUAAAAAAACACAAAGGAAAAUCCUUUUGUCUAAAAAACAAAAAUAAAGGAAAAUCGUAAAAAAUAGGGAAAUCCUUUUUGGGUGAGUUCAACGUGAACGUGAUGGUGAGAGGCUCAAGGAGGAGUUUUGUGCGUUUACAACACCUUUGUUUUAGAGAAAAAAUGCACCUUACAAUGUCAAAUUAUAAAAUCGUUAUUAAUAAGUUCUAAAAAUUCCUUAUUUAUAAAAAAUUGUUUCUUUCCAGAUAAAACAAACUUCAAUAAUGUGGUUAGGUAAUUGAGUGGCCUUUCUCGCCCCCACCCCCUCCAUCCCUCUCAUAUUAGGACCAUUUACCGCAUUUCUAUGGUUGUAACCCCGAAAGUUCAAGAUCUUACGCGACCACAUGAAAUCAUAGCAGGGAAUGGGAUGAGUGCCCCAUGUUAAGCUCUUUGGUCCAUAUAUGUGCCAUAUGUUACCAACGGGAGGCGUGGCCUCGACGCAUGCAAUCUAGGGCUAUGAUGCCCAGCUGCUGUCGUUAUAAUCAAUGCAAAUUCGUGAGGGGCUAAAAAUUCACGGGACCUGGUGUGGUGUCAUCAUACAACCCCUAGAUGGUGUGGUAAAACAUCGAGAGCGGCAUGCAUCGGCCCUCACAUAGGCUGCGUGCAAACGGGGUCAUAUCGCAUGUCAGAUCAAGCUGUUGAGAGAGAAUGUGUCCGGCCUAUGAAAGGAGUUUGGGGCAUGUUUCUUCAUUUGCCUCAAAUCUUGAUGCCACGUGAUGUUAGACCUAGUAACCAAGGCAUGUCUCGUGCAUCGCACUCAACUGGACCCACAACAUGCAUGCACACAUGUCCACGUAUUAGUCUGAACGACGGGGAUGCAUGGUUCGGGGACUGGCGUAAGUGGUGUGACUCCAGUUUGGAUCUAGCUACCAAUAGGUAACACAUGAGUCUAAACGUCUACCAAGAGGAUGCAUGUCCACGUAUGAGUCUCUAAACGUCUACGUGAUGCUCCACACGUGGGUCUAGACGGCAGGGGUGCAUAUGGUUUGGAUCUAGCUACCAAUGGGUAACGCGUCCGGUUUGUGCCUAGGUGGUGGUUCACGGGGCCUGGCGUGGUCUCAUAGUAUGACCCAUGAAGAGUGUGGUCAAACACCGAGAGUGGCACACAUAAAAGGCCUAGCGCGGGCUAUGUGGAAACGAUGCCAUAUCGCAUGCUGGAUCUAGCCAAUGGAGGGAACGAGUUCGGCAUGCGGACGGAGUGUGGGGCCCAUUCCUUCAUUUUCCUCAAAAUUUGGUGCCGCUUCAUGUGGGCCCUAUCCAAAAAGGCCCAUCUAGUGCAUCACACACAUCUGGAUUCACACCAUGCAUGCACACUUGGCCACGUAGACACCCACUGUAAACCUUUAGCCAAGUUGACCCACACCAUCCAUCCACCCUUGACCCCACCUCGGUUCGUUGGAUCUCCGACGAGUCCCUUCCCUCGGUAUUCCAAGCAUGUUAAAACGACACACGGCUACACGUCUUGCACAUCGAGAUUGGCGCAUUAUGCACUAGUGCCAACAAACAUGUCCAGCUGAGCAUCUUUGCCCAUGGUCAGGAUCGAGGCGGCUAGCGGUAAUGUUGUCGGCCCGGUUGCCUAGCGGUGCAUGCUAUGGGUAGACAUGAAUCGCAUCACAUCGGAUCAAGAUUCCCCUCUCUUGUACCCGACGCCGGAGCAGCACAUGGGAUAUGUGCAUGCUGAAAUUCAAGAUUUAGAAAUUGAUAACAAAAUAAAAACGACAAUUCAAUUGUUUGUACAGGUGUACAACAUGUUUUAAGGAUAAUGUGGAAUAUGACACGUUCACAUGCAUUUUGGCAACAAGUGCACUUUCGGAGGGGGAAAAACAGGUAGCCCCAUGCCUCCCAUGAUUUUAGUUCCAUGUAUUUCACCACAAAUAUUGGAGGAAAAAAGAAAAAUGUAUUUUCCCCUCAAAAAACGACUUGGGAAGAAAAUCUGGAAAAUCUGAAGUAACCAUAUUUAGCUACUCCGUGGAGGUUGUCCCCCGUGGGGAGAUUCGAUCUACCUCUCCUUGAUUUUAGGGUGAGUUCAACGUGAACGUGAUGGUGAGAGGCUGAAGAAGGAGUUUUGUGCGUUUACAACAACCUUUGUUUUACAACUGUAUAGUAACAAAUGAAAGAGAAUAUGUGAAAAACAAAAAAGAAAAAAGGAUAUGCAUACAUGAUGGGCAGCCCAACCAUCUACAGGGACGCGUGGUCCAGCACGCGGGUGAGGUUCGCCUGGGACAGCCCAACAAAAUUUGGCCCAACGCUGAGACGCACCGGGCGCAACUGACGGGUGGUGGGAGUUUAGUCCUACCUCACCAAGCGAGACGCACACACACCUACUUAUAUACGCGGCUGAGAGACAACUUGCAUGAGCCUCUCUCAAUGAAACAGCACGUUCCCUAUCCACUUCUGUGUAUGCCCUGUGGGGCCUACUAGCAGGAGAAAUCAACAUCUUUCGGGCCUGCAUCCUGGCCCCCAUAUGGUUGGGUUUCUAGUCGUAUGCAUGCCAUGGGGUUUGAUAUCUCCUGUUAGAAGGUGGGAUUUUUCUUUUCCAAAUCACCCAAUUUUUUUACACAGUCACAUCCAUGUGAUAAACAUGAUUAUAAAAGAAAAUUCAGCAAUAAUGAAGUUUACACUGUGCCCUUAAGGUAAAGUCAGAGGUAUGUACAUGAGUUUCACCGAGCCACUAUAAAUUAUAUAAAAUUCUAAAAAAAUGGAAAACUUUCAAAUUAUGUCUAUGUUAAUGAAAAGAUCAUGUGUACAAAAUUUCAGGUGAUUUGGAUGUGGUCGAAAAAACCACCUUGUUAAAAAAGUCGCUUAAGUGAGACCAAACGGUCCGUUUGUAAUGAAGUGAUUUUUUUGACCAUCUCCAAAAUAACCCCAAAUUUGGUGUACACGGUGCCAUAAAUGUAACAAACAGGAUAUCCAAAAAGAAACUCAAAAUUUUUAGGUUUACGCUGUCCCCUUAUGAAAAAUUUCGUGCUAAGGCAAGUGAGGUUGCUCAUGACCAUACCCAUGGCAUACAUUGUUCAAAUGGCCUCAAACCGUUCCCCUUUAGCCAAGUUGACCCACACCAUCCAUCCACCCUUGACCCCACCUCGGUUCGUUAGUUCUCCAACGAGUCCCUCCCUACGUAAGCCAAGCAAGUCAAAGCGACACACGGCUACCCGUCUUGCACAACGAGAUUGGGCAUCAUGCACUAGUGCCAGCAAACAUGUCCAACUGAGCAUCUUUGCCCAUUGUGGACACUACCGCAUGGUCUAGAUCGAGGUGGCUAGCGGUGCAUGUUGUCGGCCUGGUUGGCUAAGGGUGCAUGAUAUGGGUCAACUUGAAUUGUAUUGCAUCACAUCUAGAUUCCCCUGUCCGGUACCGGACGCCAGAGGCCCGAAGCAGCACAUGCAUGGUACAAGAAUCUGCACGGUCGCUGGCGGAGCUUGGAUAAAACAAAUUUGACCUAACUGACAUGGGGUAGGUGCAUGCUGAAAUUCAAUAUUUAGGAAUUGUUAACAAAAUAAAAACGACAAUUCAAUUGUUUGUACAUGUGACACGUUCACAUGCAAUAUGGCAACUAGUGCUCUUUUGGAGGGAAAAAAAGGUGCAUUCGUUCCACCGUGCCUCCCACGAUUUUUCUUCCAUGUAUUUCGCCACAAUAUUGGACGAAAAAGAAGAAUGUGAUUUUGCCUCAAAAAACGACUUGGGGAGAAAUUCUCAACUAACCAUAUUUAGCUACUUGGUGGAGGUUGCCCCCCGUGGGGAGAUUCGAUCUACCUCUCCUUCAUUUUAGGGUGAGUUCAACGUGAACGUGAUGGUGAGAGGCUCAAUGUGGAGCUUUGUGCGUUUACAACACCUUUGUUUUAGGAAAAAAUAAGCACCUUAUAAUGUGAAAUUAUUAAAUCCUUAUUAAAACAUGCUUAAAAUCCUUAUUUUAAAAAACUUGUUUGUCUUGCCAGAUAAAACAAACAUAAAAUUAUGGCGAUAGUUUAUUGCGUGGCCUUCCCCCCCUCCUCCCUCCCAUAUUCGGGACAUUUACCGCAUUUCUAGGGUUGUAACAUCGAAAGUUCAAGAUCUACGGCGGCCACAUGAAAUCAUAGCAAGGAUUGGGAUGAAAGCCCGAUGUUAAGCUCUUUGGUCCAUAUAUGCACCAUAUGCUACCAAAAGGAGGGGUGGCCUUGACGCCGUUUUGUAGGCUAUGAUGCUCAUCAGCUGCCGUUAUAAUCCAUGCAAAUUAUCGAGGGGCCGAAAAUUGACGGGACCUAGCGCAAGUGUAAUCAUACGACCCCUAGAGGGUGUGGUAAAACAUCGAGAGCGGCAUGCGUAGGCCCUCACGUAGGCUGUGGGCAAAUGGGGCCAUAUCCCAUGCUGGAUCAAGCCACAGAGUGGGAAUGUGUCCGUCCUGUGAAGGCAGUGCGGGGCCCGUUCCUUCAUUUGCCUCAAAUCUCGUUGCCGCGUGAUGUUAGACCUAGUAACCAAGGUCCGUCCUGUGCAUCGCACCCAGCUGGAACCACAACAUGCAUGCACACAUGGCCACAUAUGAGUCUACACGGCGGGGAUGCAUGGUUCGGGGGCUGGCACAAGUGUCGCGGGUCAUGUGUCUAGGUGCUACUCCACUUGGGUUUAAACAGCGGGGGUGCAUGGUUUGGAUCUAGCUACCGAGAGGUAACGCGUCCGGUUUGUGCCUAGGCGGUGCAUCACGGGGCCUGGCGUGGUCUCAUCAUAUGACCCAUGAAGGGUAUGGUCAAACAGCGAGAGGGGCAUGUAUAAACCCUCACGCGGGGUAAGUGUAAACGAGGCCAUAUCACAUGUUGGAUGUAGCCAAUGGGAGGGAACAAGUCCGGCAUGCGGAUGAUGUGUGGGGCUCGUUCCUUCACUUUCCUCAAAAUUCGGUGCCGCUUCAUGUGGGCCCUAACCACAAAGGCCCGUCCCGUGCAUCACACUCACCUGGACCCGCACCAUGCAAGCACACUUGGCCACGUAGACACACACCGAUAAACCUUGACAAUAGCUAGGGUUUUAUAAUUAUCCAUUCAUUUUACCUAAUCGGUACAACAUAGUUAGCGAUGAACAAAAAAGCUAGAUGCCAUGUGAAAUUAAAUGUGCCAACUGUCCCUUCUAGUAGUAUUUUUUUCAGUAGUUCUCCCUUCUAGUAUUUAGUAGUACUGCGCAAAACAGAAAAAAUGUCCCUCCUAUUUUGCUGUUUUUUUAACACACUAUUUUGGUGUUCGGUUUAUGUUGCCACGUUUGUGGACCGACAUUGUGCCCUUUUUCUUUUGCUUGGUUGGUUGAUUGGUUUGUUCGGGCAAAUCUCUGGAUGUGCAUGAUGCCGUAUACGUCCAUGUUUCUACCUAAAUUUCAAAAGUGACGAGUGCGCGGCCUUGAUCUAUCUCUCCCAAACAAAUUGAAUUUUCACUCCACAAAUCUCGCUCCCGCCUCCAGCCUUCGAUCGCCUCUGCCUAUCCACCCACGUCUUCGUCGCCGCCCACUACUCGCCGCCGCCAAAAAGCCCACAUUCUUGUCGGCGAGGAUGAUCCUACCUACCGGGGGAGGGGGCAUGGCUGGUGCGCUUCGUGCGGCGGAUGUGGACCCCAUGAAGGAACUGGUCGACAAGGACGUCGUUGCCGCCGAUUCGCAGCCGCAACUGGUCCAACACAGCACCAACGACGACGAAUCGGUUAGUGUCUGCAGAUAUUAACCCUAGAAUUUGCCUUCUCGAGGUUAACCCCAGAAAUUGCUCUCUUGUUAUUCCUCGCUAUUCGCAGACAAUCGCACUGUUCGCCUUUUUUUUGAUUAAUCGUACGGUUAUUAGUCCUAGGGUUUGCAAAUUUAGAUGAAUGGAUCAUUUCUAUUCCAUUUUAUGCCUGUCUUUCAUAUAACCAAAGUUUUAGGAAACCAAUACAAAGAAGAAACAAUCCAUUUAUGCCUGCCUUUGAUAUAAUGUACAAUUCGCUGGCAUGAGAUUGUUUUUCUUCUAAUACCAGAUUGCAGAUUUGGAAGAAUGGUAGAACUACCUACAGCCGAGGGAAGCUUUUAGAAAGAAAAUCUUCAAGUGGCUCAUGGCUGCAAAGAUUGUGUACCGGCGUAACGGUCGCUAUAAAUGCCUGUUCUGCAGGAAAGAGAACCAGCAUUCCAAAACCACAGCAAUUGCAGUUUACAGAAAGAGGUGGCAACUUAAGGAAAAACCUGCUGAGUUGGCCAACAAAUUGGGGAGGGUGAAGACCUAAAAGCAUAUAGUCAUGUUUGUUUUUUGUGUUCUAUCAACACCAAAUGUAAAAAAAAUAUGGGCCCACAUGACAAGUAUCAAUCUUUAUCUCCUUCGACGGCCAGUGCCACAUUAGCCAGCAUGAACAAGUGUUGAUCUCAUUGGACUUGCAUCCUGGCAAAAUUCGGUGUCAUUCUGAGCCUGUUUUUGUCGGGAUGGGAAGGGUCUGUCUCGAAGCAUGUUUUUGUCGACAUCCUUGAAGCAGGGACGGAGCUGCUUGGUAAGCAUUGGGGUUAAUUGACCCCAAUGAAAUUAGGGAAUUCUUCCUUAGUUUAGUACUAAUUGAUAUUCAUUUAUGAAAGAUGACCCCAUUGUCAUAGACAUGACCCCAUCAAACUUCUUUUCUAGCUUCGUCCCUGCCUUGAAGUGGACCAACAACCUUGUACCCACAUGACUAGCAUCAUUGCCAAGUUUCGUAGCUUUUUGACGUUGUAAGGAUUAUCUAGGGCUUUCGCCUCGAUAAAUCAUAUAAUACUUACGUUUUUUUUCUGUGCCUAUUUUUUUUCUGCGCUCGAGGGUGGGCUGCCAUGCAUGCUUGUCAUUGGGCUGUGUAAAGAAGCCCACCUGUUGGACCGAGCGAUGUCCGCCGCCGUUGCUUGCGCUCGAGCGAGCCUACGUUGCAUGCGGUUGCAUGCAUGCAUCUGCUUCAGCCUUUGUUGCAUGCGUGCACAUACGCGAAGGAGCACACGCCGCAGAGCCGUCCCCAGUUGACCCGACCGACGGCACAUAGGGCAGCACUUAAACUUCGCGUUUUGAUUCACACUACAGUUUCCCACACGUGUACACUCCCGAUGCCGCGGUGGGUGGAAAAUUUGUUCACAUUUGACCCCAUUACUGCCACGGUGGCUAUUUAAGCCACAUAUCAUGUUCCUCUUCCUCUCACACCCUUCAUCCAUCUCCCAUACUCUCCCACCUGCAUUUUGCGCCUGCCCUUCUUCUUCUUCACCACAAACAGCCCCAAGAACCAGCCUGCCGCAGCCAUGCAGUACACCGGGCCAACCUACCGCUUCCCCCCACCGUGCCGGAGAUGCUCUACCCCGCUAGGGUGUACGUCGAGAGCAUCCUUCGUGUGUGGGCGAUGUCAAGGUGGAGGGGCGCAAGGGGGGUCACCAACUUCUUCCUUGGGGCCGGCUACAGGCACCUCCCUCGGGGAUCUCCAAGGAUGUACCGAGUCGAGGAGGUCAUCCACAGUGGGGUUAUGGUUGCUAUCCUUUCCCAAUUCACCAACCCCUUCGACGCGUUCUACCUCCUCAGCCGCGUGUUCUGGUGUGGCUGCGAGUUCAUAGCUUUCACCACCCAUAACAUCUUCACGGACUACGACAACAUCUUCCCCACCGACGAGCGCAUGCACACUCUACCGUACCCCAUCAACAACACUGCGGAGGAGAAGUGAAGGGCGCCCGGAGGAGGAGUAAGGAGGAGCCAGGUGGAGAAGCGGCGGCCAUCUAUCUAUCUAUCUAUCUAUCUAUCUAUCUAUCUAUCUAUAUAUCUAUCUUUUUUAGCUAAAAAAUCUAUCUAUCUAUAUUUUUCUUGGUGUUAUUUAAGUUGUAAGCGUACUAUUAAUUCAUGUUGUGGGCUUUGGUUGGCCCGAAUUAUAUAUAUUUAUUAUACAAAGUUUUAUAGUGGUUGGGCUUUUUUGGAACCGUUUUAAUCUCUGGCAUUUUAGUCAUAGGGAAAAAUUGUCUCAAAAAAAAGUCAUAGGAAGAAAACAAUCACGCGCCGCCCCUCUCAUCCAAUGCAGAACCGCCACCGCCAUCGUCCUUCCCCUCACCCAUCGCCAUUAAAACUGCGACAUCUCCUCCCUCUCCUUCUCCUCCUUCCCGUGGCCGCAACUUUGCUCGUCUCCUCUUCCACAUCCCACCCCCUUCUUCCAUCCAUGCAAGAACCUCGAUGGAGGAGCAGAUCACCGGCGGCGAGAACACCGACUUCGUGGAGAUCGCCGGCGCCGACCAGGUCAAGAUGGCCAGGUUGAUGGAGAUCUAUUCUUGGUUUAACAACAUAAGGCAGUUGGACUGGACGGCAGUGGCCACUUUGAGGGAAAUGACAUCCAGGGAGAAGAAAAAGCUUUUUCCCCCGCCCGCACAACUGAGGCACAAGAUCGAGAUCCUCCUGUGGGCGAUGGAGCAUGCCAAUUCGUCCAGCCCGUGGGGCAAGCGCAGGUGGUGGGCGUUCAGAUCCAGGGUAGAGCAUCCAGUGGAUCAGGAACCCACGGUGCACGAGGUGUUGUUGCAGAUUGUGGACCUCCAACCGAGUCGGAGAUGACUCCGAAGCGCAAGAGGAGGAGGACAGUGGUCGCGACAUUGCUUCCCCGCCGUUCUCCAUGCUUCCCUCGCCGCUCCCCUCGUCUGAACGGCGGCGGUACCGUUGUUUAGAGUAAGCUUCCCCACUCCUAAUCUUCCUACUGCUCGUGCUUACAGUUCUGGUGGUAGUGAUUGAGUACAUGCUUUUGGGGGCUGUAUUAUGAUGUAUAUGAACCCUAGGCUAAAUUUGUACUGUUGUAGUGGUAGUAUUUGAUGUUCACCUGCACUUCUACUCCAAAAAUUUGUUAUGUGUCUUUCUAUUUUUAAGUGCUUGAUACUACUCCCUCCGUUCCAAAGUUAGUACAAAGUUGGGUCAUCUAUUUUGGAACGGAGGGAGUAUAUUUGAACCUUUUUUUUGAGUUGUUGAUUGCUUUUGGUAGAGCUACCAGCUCUUAUGGAGAUGCUCAUGUUGUAUGUCUUGUUCUCCAUGAUUUGUACUAGCAUUCUGUGCAAUUAGAUGCCAUGACAAGCCAUGUAGCAUAUUUAUUUAUUGCCUCCAACAUGCCAUCAUUUUACUCUGUGCAUCUCAGCAAGUAUAAAUCUGUUAGCUAUAAAACUUUGCGAAUUUGCUUGAUGGUUCCCACUAAAUUAUAAACCCCCCUUUUGUUUUCAAAGUAAGCCACUGACAUCCGGGUCCCACGGCAGUCACGCACACACAAAUGCUCCUAGUCAUGUGGCCCCUGGCCCACUGGUCAUCCUCGAUGGCUAGCCAACCUCAGUGUGCCUCUACCAAUAACAGCAACCCUUUCUGUUAUAAAACUAUGCAACUUUGCUUGAAGGUUGCCACUAAAAAUAUAACUCCUAUGGCCAUGCUUCCUCAAAAUUAUUUGCAUUAUGUUGUCGAUACUUUCAUGCCAUGCCUUUUGUUGCUAUGACAAUAUUAUGUUGCCUGGUAAAAUCUUGCACUAAAGUGGCCAUGUUAAUAUAAUUGUUUGAUGUUAAAAGUAAGUUGCACUUGUGAGCUUGGUUUUGUUUGCUUGUUGUAACCAUCAUGCCAACAUUGUUUGUCAUUAUAACUGUUUCAGCAUAACUGUAAUUUUCACUAAGUUCUAACCUGUAACAGCAACUUUGCCAUUCGUGUUUCGCAGAAAAAAACUGGAGUUCACAAAGUUGGGUCAUCUAUUUUGGAACGGAGGGAGUAUAUUUGAACCUUUUUUUUUGAGUUGUUGAUUGCUUUUGGUAGAGCUACCAGCUCUUAUGGAGAUGCUCAUGUUGUAUGUCUUGUUCUCCAUGAUUUGUACUAGCAUUCUGUGCAAUUAGAUGCCAUGACAAGCCAUGUAGCAUAUUUAUUUAUUGCCUCCAACAUGCCAUCAUUUUACUCUGUGCAUCUCAGCAAGUAUAAAUCUGUUAGCUAUAAAACUUUGCGAAUUUGCUUGAUGGUUCCCACUAAAUUAUAAACCCCCCUUUUGUUUUCAAAGUAAGCCACUGACAUCCGGGUCCCACGGCAGUCACGCACACACAAAUGCUCCUAGUCAUGUGGCCCCUGGCCCACUGGUCAUCCUCGAUGGCUAGCCAACCUCAGUGUGCCUCUACCAAUAACAGCAACCCUUUCUGUUAUAAAACUAUGCAACUUUGCUUGAAGGUUGCCACUAAAAAUAUAACUCCUAUGGCCAUGCUUCCUCAAAAUUAUUUGCAUUAUGUUGUCGAUACUUUCAUGCCAUGCCUUUUGUUGCUAUGACAAUAUUAUGUUGCCUGGUAAAAUCUUGCACUAAAGUGGCCAUGUUAAUAUAAUUGUUUGAUGUUAAAAGUAAGUUGCACUUGUGAGCUUGGUUUUGUUUGCUUGUUGUAACCAUCAUGCCAACAUUGUUUGUCAUUAUAACUGUUUCAGCAUAACUGUAAUUUUCACUAAGUUCUAACCUGUAACAGCAACUUUGCCAUUCGUGUUUCGCAGAAAAAAACUGGAGUUCACAAGGCUGGAGACCUGGAGUUGUGAGGCUAGGAGGCUGAUGGCGCUGCUGCUGGCUGAUCCUUCUUCUUCCAGCUUUUGUUCCUCCUUUUCUCUCUACUCGAUGGAUUCCUGGGCUACAUCCUUAUGUGCUGUUAAUGUAUUAAGUUGAUCCUUUGAAUUUAUUGUAUCAGAUUUAAUGUGGAAGUACCUUAAUCUCUACGAAAGAGAUGUUGGUUCUAUGACUGAUAAUUUCUAGGUGCAUGCUUAAAUUCAAUAUUUAGGGAUUUUUUUCGAAUUGUUUGGAUUGCUUACCACAUGUGUCACGUGGUCAAUAUUUAGGGAUUAUUAACAUAUGAAAACAACAACUUGAUCGCCUAUGUAAAUGUGUACAACAUAAUUUUCAACAUAAAUUGAAACAUGACACGUGCACAUGCAAUUUGCCAACAAGUCCAGUUGUAGUAGAAAAAGACAGCAUGUGCACGGAUACAACCGUGCCUCCUACGAUUUUGUCCCAUGCUUUUGUCACCACAUGUCUUUGGAAGUAAAAAAAAUAUAAGGAGAUUUUCUCAUAAUAAACCGUUUUGGAGAGAAAUAUGCAACCAACCAAAAAUAUCUACUGCGUGCAACUUGGCCCCCGUGGGGAGAUUGGAUCGACUCCUAGAUUAUAGGGUGAGGCCAUCGUGAUCGUGAGAGAAGAAUUCUUUUUUUCGAGGGAAGGUAGGAAUUUUGUGUGGUUACAAAAUGGACCUUAUUGUAAUUAAGGAAAUUAUUAUUUAACAGAAACCUUGCUAUUUUCAAGCCAUUAUAAAAAUAACUAAAUUGUUUUGGCAAAAAAAGUUGAUUAUGGGUUAGCUCGUUUUGUGGACACGUACGUGUAGUAGUGGUGCAUGCUGUGGGCCCAGGUGGCUCUAGGUGCAUGCAAUGUAUCAUGCUGGCUAGGGGUGCACAAGGUAGUAACCUCGUGAAUCGGGGUGGAAGUCUUGUGCUAAGCUAUUUUGCGGGGUGCGACAUAUGAGUCUACAUGGGGAAUGGUUGGCUUGGGGGCCGGUGUAAGUGGUGUGGUUCUAUUGCGUAAGUGGUGCGCCACGUGAGUCUAGACGGCGGGGGUGCAUGGUUUGGAUCUAGCUACCUUGAGGUAACACAUCCGGUUUGCGCACUGAGUGCAGGCCCGUUCCUCCGUUUUCAUAGAUGCUUUCUCUCAGGUCAACGGAGAACAAUCCAAACGCGCAUGCUAGGUCCCAACCUUUCUUGGGUCCCGCGUGCCAUAUUCAGGACAGUUGUCGCAUUUCUAGGGUAGUAUCAUCGGGAAUUCACGAUCUAUACCGCGGCCACAUGAAAUCAUAGCAGUGAAUGAGGUAACAAUCACAUGCUAAGCUCUUUGGUCCAUAUAUAUGGGCCAUGUGCCACAAAAAGAGAAGGGCCGCCUCGGAGCCAUUGUCCAUUGAGAGGAAACGAGUCUGGCCUAUGAACAGUGUGCGAGGCCUGCCCCUUCAUCUGCUUCAGAACUCUGUGCCGCAAGAUGUGGACCCUAGCAACCAAGGCUCGUCCCGUGCACCGCACGCCAACUGGACCCACACCAUGCAUGCACGCGUGGCCAAGUAGACACUCACCGGUCAACCUUGACAAUGUACACAAGACGCAUGCGCACUCAUUAGCCAUCUAGCCCCCAGCCAUGCACACGUAGCCAGCUUCACUCAAACCGUGCACCGUUUGCCAGGUUCACCCACACCAUCCAUCCAUUAUUGACCCCACCUCGGUUCGUUGGACCUCCAACAUGAGUCCCUUCCCUCGGCAUGCCACGUAUGUCAAAGCAACACGCGACUACACAUAUUGCACACCGAGAUACGACGUCAUUCACUAGUGCCAGCAAACCUGUGCACCUGAGCAUAUCUACCCAUGGUGGACACAAGCGCAUGGUUAGAAUCGAGAAGCCUAGCGGCACAUGAUGUCGGCCCGAUUGGCUGGGGGUGCAUGACAUGGGUCCAGAUGAAACGCAUGGCAUCGCAUGGAUCCACAUUCCCCUGCCCAAUACCAGACAACGGGCAUAUACCAGACGAAUCCAAGCGGUCGCUGAUGAAGCUUGGAAGCCAUGUGUUAUGUGCAUGCUGAAUUUCAAUAUUUAGGAAUUAUUAACAUACGAAAACAAUAAUUCAAGCGUCUAUGUAAAGGUGUACAACAUAAUUUUCAAUAAAAAAAUGAAACAUGACACGUGCACAUGCAACUUGCCAACAAGUGCACUUGUAGUACAAAAAGACAACAUGUGCACGUAUCCCACCAUGCCUUCUACAAUUUUUGUCAUGUUUUUUCGCCACAUAUCUUUGGAAGGAAAAACAAAAGGAUGUGAUUUUCCCAUAAAAAACCGUGAUGGCGAGAUGGUUGCAGCCAACCAAGAUAGAUAGUGCGUGGAAGUUGUCUCCCGUGGGGAGAUUGGAUCGACCACUCCUAGAUUAUAGGUCCAGGCCACCGUGAACGUGAACGUGAUCGUGAGAGAGUGAAUAAGGAUUCGUUUUUUCGAGGGAAAGGAAGUAAUUUUGUGGGUUUACAAAAAAGGAAUGCACCCCUUUUUGAGGGACAAAAAAAUGCAUGUUAUAAUGUGUAAUUAAUGAAAUUAUAAUUUAACAGAAACCUUGCUAUUUUCAAGCAAUUUAAAAACAACUUACUUGUUUUGGCAAAAAAAUGUUGAUAAUGCGAUAGUCCAUCUUUGGACACUUACAUGUAGUGGUGCAUGUUGUGGAAAUCGGGGUGGAAGUCUUGUGCUAAGCUAUUUUCGGGGUGCGGCAUAUGAGUCUACAUGGGGAAUGGUUGGUUUGGGGGCCGGUGUAAGUGGUGUGGGUCUACUGCGUAAAUGGUGCGCCACGUGAGUCUAGACGGCGGGGGUGCAUGGUUUGGAUUUAGCUACCUUGAGGUAACGCAUCCGUUUUGCGCACUGAGUGCGGGCCCGUUCCUCCGUUAUCAUCGAUGCUUUCUCUCGGGUCAACGGAGAACAAUGCAAACGCGCAUGCUAGGUCCCGGCCAUUCUUGGGUCCCGCGUGCCAUAUUCGGGACAGUUGCCGCAUUUCUAGGGUAGUAUCAUCGGGAAUUCACGAUCUAUACGGCGGCCACAUGAAAUCAUAGCAGUGAAUGGGGUAACAAUCACAUGUUAAGCUCUUUGGUCCAUAUAUAUGGGCCAUGUGCCACAAAAAGAGAAGGGCCGCCUCGGAGCCAUUGUCCAUUGAGAGGAAACGAGUCUGGCCUAUGAACGGUGUGCGGGGCCUACCCCUUCAUCUGCUUCAGAGCUCUAUGCCGCAAGAUGUGGACCCUAGCAAGCAAGGCUCGUCCCGUGCGCCGCACGCCAACUGGACCCACACCAUGUAUGCACGCGUGGCCAAGUAGACACUCACCAGUCAACCUUGACAAUGUACACAAGACGCAUGCGCACUCAUUAGCCAUCUAGCCCCCAGCCAUGCAGACCUAGCCAGCUCCACUCAAACCGUGCACCGUUUGCCAGGUUCACCCACACCAUCCAUCCAUUAUUUACCCCACCUCGGUUUGUUGGACCUCCGACACGAGUCCCUUCCCUCGGCAUGCCACGUAUGUCAAAGCAACACGCGACUACACAUAUUGCACACCGAGAUACGACAUCAUUCACUAGUGCCAGCAAACCUGUGCACCUGAGCAUCUCUACCCAUGGUGGACACUAGCGCAUGGUUAGAAUCGAGAAGCCUAGCGGCACAUGAUGUCGGCCCGAUUGGCUAGGGGUGCAUGACAUGGGUCCAGAUGAAACGCAUGGCAUCGCAUGGAUCCACAUUCCCCCGCCCAAUACCAGACAACGGGCAUAUACUAGACGAAUCCAAGCGGUCGCUGACGAAGCUUGGAAGCCAUGUGUUAUGUGCAUCCUGAAUUUCAAUAUUUAGGAAUUAUUAACAUACGAAAACAAUAAUUCAAGUGUCUAUGUAAAUGUGUACAACAUAAUUUUCAAUAAAAAAUGAAACAUGACACGUGCACAUGCAACUUGCCAACAAGUGCACUUGUAGUACAAAAAGACAACAUGUGCACGUAUCCCACCAUGCCUUCUACAAUUUUUGUCAUAUUUUUUCGCCACAUAUCUUUGGAAGGAAAAACAAAAGGAUGUGAUUUUCCCAUAAAAAACCGUGAUGGCGAGAUGGUUGCAGCCAACCAAGAUAGAUAGUGCGUGGAAGUUGUCCCCCGUGGGGAGAUUGGAUCGACCACUCCUAGAUAAUAGGGCGAGGCCACCGUGAACGUGAACGUGAUCGUGCGAGGGUGAAGAAGGAUUCGUUUUUUCGAGGGAAAUGAAGUAAUUUUGUGGGUUUACAAAAAAGGAAUGCACCCCUUUUUGAGGGACAAAAAAAUGCACGUUAUAAUGUGUAAUUAAUGAAAUUAUAAUUUAACAGAAACCUUGCUAUUUUCAAGAAAUUUAAAAACAACUUACUUGUUUUGGCAAAAAAAUGUUGAUAAUGCGAUAGUCCAUUUUUUGGACACUUACAUGUAGUGGUGCAUGUUGUGGAAAUCGGGGUGGAAGUCUUGUGCUAAGCUAUUUUGCGGGGUGCGGCAUAUGAGUCUACAUGGGGAAUGGUUGGUUUGGCGGCCGGUGUAAGUGGUGUGGGUCUACUACGUAAGUGGUGUGCCACGUGAGUCUAGACGGCGGGGGUGCAUGGUUUGGAUCUAGCUACCUUGAGGUAACGCAUACGGUUUGCGCACUGAUUGCAGGCCCGUUCCUCCGUUUUCACCGAUGCUUUCUCUCGGGUCAACGGAGAACAAUCCAAAUGCGCAUGCUAGGUCCUGGCCUUUCUUGGGUCCCGCGUGCCAUAUUCGGGACAGUUGCCACAUUUCUAGGGUAGUAUCAUCGGGAAUUCACGAUCUAUACCGCGGCCACAUGAAAUCAUAGCAGUGAAUGGGGUAACAAUCACAUGCUAAGCUCUUUGGUCCAUAUAUAUGGGCCAUGUGCCAAAAAAAGAGAAGGGCCGCCUCGGAGCCAUUGUCCAUUGAGAGGAAACGAGUCUGGCCUAUGAACGGUGUGCGGGGCCUGCCCCUUCAUCUGCUUCAGAACUCUGUGCUGCAAGAUGUGGACCCUAGCAAGCAAGGCUCGUCCCGUGCGCCGCACGCAACCUGGACCCACACCAUGUAUGCACGCGUGGCCAAGUAGACACUCACCGGUCAACCUUGACAAUGUACACAAGACGCAUGCGCACUCAUUAGCCAUCUAGCCCCCAGCCAUGCAUACCUAGCCAGCGUCACUCAAACCGUGCACCGUUUGCCAGGUUCACCCACACCAUCCAUCCAUUAUUGACCCCACCUCGGUUCGUUGGACCUCCGACAUGAGUCCCUUCCCUCGACAUGCGAGGUAUGUCAAAGCAACACGCGACUACACAUAUUGCACACCGAGAUACAACGUCAUUCACUAGUGCCAGCAAACCUGUGCACCUGAGCAUCUCUACCCAUGGAGGAGACUAGCGCAUGGUUAGGAUUGAGAAGCCUAGCAGCACAUGAUGUCGGCCCGAUUGGCUAGGGGUGCAUGACAUUGGUCCAGAUGAAACGCAUUGCAUCACAUGGAUCCACAUUCCCCCGCCCAAUACCAGACAACGGGCAUAUACUAGACGAAUCCAAGCGGUCGCUGACGAAGCUUGGAAACCAUGUGUUAUGUGCAUGCUGAAUUUCAAUAUUUAGGAAUUAUUAACAUACGAAAACAAUAAUUCAAGCGUCUAUGUAAAGGUGUACAACAUAAUUUUCAAUAAAAAAAUGAAACAUGACACAUGCACAUGCAACUUGCCAACAAGUGCACUUGUAGUACAAAAAGACAACAUGUGCAUGUAACCCACCAUGCCUUCUACAAUUUUUGUUCCAUGUUUUUUCGACACAUAUCUUUGAUAGGAAAAACAAAAGGAUGUGAUUUUCCCAUAAAAAAAGUGAGAAGUUACGUUUUGACGUGCCAAGACGUGGUGGUGUGAACAAAGCACGUGGAGGUGUGAACGUGGCAACAACUCCUUUUGACUGCCCAGGAAUAAAUCGGCGGUUCCGCUUCCCCAUAGCACGCUCCGCUUCCCCAUUAGCAUUUAUCUCAUCGCCGCCCCCUCUUCUCGUCCUCUUAUCCAUCCACAAAUACAAGGGUUUUCUCCUCCCACGCCUCACCACUCGCCUGCCCAUCCCGCCGCUGCUCCCUUCCCGCCGCUGCUCCCUUCCCGCCGUUGCACCUCCGCCGUCGACAUGCACAAGCACACCAUGGGAGGGAGGGCCGACGCCAUGGCGCAAGAAGAAUCCAAGCGCCGGGCGAAGCUGCACAUGGAGAAACCCCUCCCCGCCGGCAAGGUGUCCAGCCGGCAGCAGGGCGGCCUUGACGUCGUCGACCACGUCCAGGCUCCGGUGCAGGUGUCACCUACGCCGGAGCAGGUGGCUCCUCCGCCAGAGCGGGUGACUCAUCUGCCUCCUCUGCCAUGCCAUCUGCCUCCUCUGCCGCAGCCCGUGGUCAACAUCGACGGCGACGACGACGAAGAAGAGGUCAGUCCUAUUUUAGGAAAUAUCCUAGGUUUCCUUGUUCAGUCCCUUAUCUAUUUUUGGGCAUGGCUAGGGAUUCUGCUUUUCUUCCAUCUAUGAAAUCCGUACCUAGAUUCGUUAGAUCCGGUAGGUUUCAAGGGCGGAUCCACAUGGGCGCAUGGGUGUGGGGGUCGGCUCCUCAUUGUAUAGGUUAUCUUGUUUUUAAGAUCUACCAACCACUCCGAUCCAUGGCUCUCGUGCAUCCAAAAUGUUUUCAUGCCAAAUUUUAAGAUAGAUCUACCAACCACCCAAAAUUUUCUGCCCGAAAUUUCUUAUAUAUGGUUCUUUUAUUGCUAAAUGGACUAAAAGUGGUGUAGUUUGUGCACUAAACUUCAUGUCAAUUUGUAUAAAACUAGCCUCUCACGCUUAAUCCAACAGACACAUUUUUUGUCGUUCAAUUUGCUCAACACCAAUUGCUUGAUUCCUGGAGUCCAAUUACCAUAGGCUGUAAUAUUUUAGGCUUGUUAUCAUCCCUACUUGAAAUAUAUUAUUUGCUUGCUUAUUUUCAGCAUAAUAUUUUCUGCAAGUAAAUGAUAACAACACCAUGCCUUUUUUACGAAAAUGUCAUAGUAAAUAAUCUUCAUUUUCUGUCAUUCAUGUGUGUACUGUCAGUGUGAUGGAAAAAUAACAUUUUCACAUGAACAUUUUAGAUAUUACUCCAAACUCUUUAAUUUCUUGAGUAACAGAAGCAGAGGCAGAAGAAUGCCUUCUGGACUCAAAAGCCAACUUGAUCUCAGCCGUUUGAAAAAUAUUGUUGUGGUUUUGGUUUGCAAUAUAAAUUUUUGAACACCCAACUUUGAAAUCCUGGGUCCGAAGCUGUGUUGCUAGGUUGCAUUAGUUUAGGCAUGUAUAUGACAUUUUUUGUUCUAUAUAAAAUAUUCUGCUAUUUAUGUGGACCAGGUAGCUGCUCUGGUUCCUCAGAAGGAGCAGGUGUCUCCUCUGCCGCGGGUGACUCCUCCUGUGCCUUAGCCUGUGGUCGUCGGCGAUGUCAACAAAGAAGACGUUAGUCAUCUAUCUCCUUUAUUUUUUUGUAAAAGCCUGGGUGUGCUGUGGUCAGUCCUUUUGUCUAUUUUUGGGGAAGUCCAGGGUUUCUUUUUAUCUUUGAUUGAUGGACUCCAUAUCAAUAUUCUAUAGAUGUGUUAGGUAACUAACUAGGUUACAUGUGUUGAGCCCUGUAUAGGCAAUAUUUUGAUGUAGAUAAAUUAUUCUGCUAAUAAAUCCACCUAGCUAGGUUUGGUGACUGUGCUAAUACAAAUACUUUAAUACAAAUACGUAGCUUGACCUUGGAAUUGAAUUGCCUACGUAGGUGAUUGUGAAAAUAUUUUCUGCAACUUAAGGAUAACAACACGAUGCCUUGUUUAUGAAAAUGUCAUAUUCUAUGGUCAUGAAGUAAAUAAUCUUCAUUUUCUGUCAUUCAUGUGUGUACUGUCAGUAUGAUGGAAAAAAUAAUAUUUUCACAUGAACAUUUUAGAUAUUACUCCUAACUCUUUAAUUUCUUGAGUAACAGAAGCAGAGGCAGAAGAAUGCCUUCUGGACUCAAAAGCCAACUUGAUCUCAGCCGUUUGAAAAAUAUUGUUGUGGUUUUGGUUUGCAAUAUAAAUUUUUGAACACCCAACUUUGAAAUCCUGGGUCCGAAGCUGUGUUGCUAGGUUGUAUUAGUUUAGGCAUGUAUAUGACAUUUUUUGAUCUAUAUAAAAUAUUCUGCUAUUUAUGUGUGGGACCAGGUAGCUGCUCUAGUUCCUCAGACGGAGCAGCUGUCUCCUCUGCCGCAGGUGACGCCUCCUGUUCCCAACCCUGUGGUUGUUGGCGAUGUCAACAAUGAAGACGUUAGUCAUCUAUCUCCUUUAAUUUUUUGUAAAAUCCUAGGGGUGCUCUGGUCAGUCCUUUUGUCUAUUUUUGGGGAAGUCCAGGGUUUCUUUUUAUCUUUGAUCGAUGGACUCCAUAUCUAUAUUCUGUAGAUGUGUUAGGUAACUAGCUAGGUUACAUGUGUUGAGCCCUGUAUAGGCAAUAUUUUGAUGUAGAUAAAUUAUUCUGCUAAUAAAUCCGCCUAGGUUUGGUGAUUGUGCUAAUACAAAUACGUUAAUACAAAUACGUAGCUUGAACGUGGAAUCGAAUUGCCUACAUAGGUGAUUGUGAAAAUAUUUUCUGCAAUUUAAGGAUAACAACACCAUGCCUUGUUUAUGAAAAUGUCAUAUUCUAUGGUUAUGAAGUAAAUAAUCUUCAUUUUCUGUCAUUCAUAUCAGUACUGUCAUUACGAUGGACAAAGAAUCUUUUCUCAUGAAAAUUGUAGAUAUUAGUCCCUCCAUUUGAAAAAUAUUGUUGUGGUUUUAGUUUGCAAUAUAUAUUUUUGAACACCCAAGUAUGAAAUCCUGGAUCCGCAGCUGUGUAGCUAGAUUACAUUUAUUGAGGCUUGUAUAUGUCAGUUUUUGACCUAUAAAAAUUAUUCUUCUAAUAAUCCGGAACAGGUAGCUCCUCUCGAGCAGGUGGUGGCUGCUCAGCCUUAGCCAGGUGUUCAUCUGCCGCGGUUGUUGCCUCUCCUGCCCCCACCUGUGGUCGUCGCCGGCAAGAACGAAGAAGAGGUUAGUCAUAUAUCCCCUUUAUUUAUUCAUUUAUUUAUUUAUUUUGUAAUAUCCUUGGUUUUCCCUGGUCAGUACAAGGCAAAUAAGUUAUUAAAAUGUUGAGUACAUGUUUGGUUGUACUUGAUCAAUCUUUGGUUUAAAUGUUCCAUAAGUGGCUGUGGCAAUGAUUUUAAACAUUGAUUAUCUCUAAGCAAUGGCUAGUUUAGAAACAAAUUGGAUAUCAUCAAUGUUUUACUUGAGUUGUUUUAAUUAGUUCUUUUGUAGGGUUUUAUCAUUUAUGCCACCAGUUGUAUCCCACUACUCAGUUUUUCCCUUAGAAGAUACAACCGCUCAAAAUGGCAUCGGUUCGUGAGAUGCUUACUCAAAAAUGCCAUUAGAUGUAUCAAAAAUGACAUCGUUCCGUUAGAUGUUUGCUCAGUAAUGCCAUUAGACAUUGUUAUUUUCAUGUAAAACUUAUUGACCAUCUAAUAUGACAAAAAAAGCCCAGGCCCACAUUUCAGUUCCCCCUAUCUCACAAUGAUAAGUGUGGCCCCACUUGUGAGGAGUAAGUAAGCAAAUAAUUUUACCGGAAAAUAAGAAUGUUGUUGGGAUCAAGUGGGCCCACACUUUAUUGUAGUGAGAUAGAGGGAGAGCUGGCAUGUUGGUCCAUAGGUAUUGAUGCCAUUAUAGCAUGUCAAGAUAGAUUUGAUAUCACAAUAAUGAUGUGCAGUGGCAUUUUUGAGCAUGUGUCUAACGAAGCGAUGGCUUUUUUUAGCAAUAGAAAUUCCUAGUGGUGAUACUUAGUUGUGGGACACAAUUGGUGGCAUAAAUGAUAAAAACCCUUUUUUGUAAGUAGAACAUUUGGGAUCACUUAUUGUCAGAACUCAUAAUAAUUAACUACUUUACCUAGAAUGUUGAAUGGUUCAGGAACAUUGCUGGGUGGGGUAUCGAUCAACAGGGGAAACUUCCACAACGAUAACAUGGGGACUUUCAAUAUCCAUCAUCAUAAUCACACAAAAUUCUAACCCUAAAUAAAUACAGCUCACGAGCUAUUUUAUCUAGUCAUGCAUGUAAGUUAUAAGUCCUUUUUUGCAUUAGUACAUCUGUAUGCUGCUCUGCCAUGUUACAUCAUCAGUUCAUGCAUUUUUACAUAACAAGUGAAUUUUGUUGCACUAAAGGGCUGUUUGGUUUGUGACUAACUUUGCCAAAGAUUGCUAUACCUAAGGUUAGGCAAGCUUGACCAACUUAAGUGAGUGUUUGGUUCCAGCCACACCUUAGGCAAGCCACACUUGGGUCCCACAUGGCAUACACACAAUAAGUGUGGCAAGGUUCCUUAGGCUUGCCAACUUGUGGCUCUCAUUUUGAUGAACUAACCUUAGGCAAGUUUUGGAAAAAUGUGUGGCAAAAUGUGGCAAUGCUAGUGCUCUCUUCGACAUGUAUGGUUGAUCCUUCAUUUUUUUACUAUAUGGUACUAUCCCAUUUAGUUGCUUAUGUAGCAACUAAUAAGUUAUGCAUUUAUUUUUUCAACGCCACCUGAAGAUAUUUUACGCUGUCAUCAAUUACAUUAUGUUUCAUAGACUAUGUGCCUGCUGAAUUAUCAUAUUAAAUAUACUUACGCAAUAUUUUGUACUACAUGUAAGUCCUAAGUGACGACGUUGACAACGACCCAGAAACCCAGAGGAUCUUCAGGAGGCAGAAAUUGAGGCAGCUGAACAGUGGUGAGCUCGACAAAGAUGUGAGGCCUAGAUUCGCCAAGGGCUACGCAUGCCCUUUCUGCAACAAGGUGAUGAAAGACGACCUGUCGAGUACCAUCAACCAUGCAAUCGAAACAUCCCAAGGUAGCAGCAAGAAUGGCUACGCUUUCAGGGUGAAGCACGCCGCGUAUGCCGACUACUUGAUUAGGCUUCUUUGAGGAUUUAGGAAAGUGCGCACCCUCGCAGCUAGAACUGAUGCUCUUUUGGUUGUAACUAUGCUAAGUACUAUCGUAUGCUAUGCUAUACUUUGUUGGUGAACGUUUAUGGUUGAACUAUGUGCACCAGUACUACCAAGUGGUGCUUGCUUUUGUAUAUAUAUAUAUAUAUACAUAUAUAUAUAUAUAUGUAUAUAUAUAUAUAUAUAUAUAUAUGCAUGGAAGCGUUUAACUAAGGUAGAACUAUGCUAAUUGGUGUGUGGUUUGGCAUCUCUGCUUGUUAAACUCGUGCUCAUUAAUCAUCGGCUCAUUUAGAUUAAGUAGCAUAAAACCCUGAUUAGCUAGGUUCAUUUGAAGCUAGUUAAGCUUGUGAGCGCUAGUUAAUAGAUUUUGAUGUGUUAUGGUAUACAUGAUGAGUGUGUACAUGUGGUUUUCAAGGAGGAUGGUGACUCAAAAAGGAAAUGCACUAGUUUUCUGCCUAAGGUGUUGAUCCAAGUAAUACUAGAACCAUCGUGUUGUGGCGUGGCUACAGGAUGAUCACAAAGUCUCGAUCCAAGUACUAGGUCACUUGAUGACAAUUUCAUCUGAUGUUUUCACAAGUCUUGAGCAUUAGGGUUUAUGUACACAAUUUUCAAUCCCCAACCCAUCCACCCCGGACAAGAUCUUUGGAUUGCAUCACGUAGAUGUACAAAAUCCAGUUCCUAGGUCCUGCCCCAAGUGCCUACACAUGUGAUUUUUUUCCAGGAUCCUAAUUAAGCGCCUAAAUAAGCGCCGCCGCAUUGAAGGUGCCCAACACCGACCAAUCAAUUUUUCUCAUAAGUAUUUCCGCUAUCGUAGGUAACUACCAAUUACUCCCCGCAUCUCUCCCCCUAGGUUAUGCUCUAAAACCAUCGUUGCCGCUCACACGCCCGCCUCCCUGCCGCCGGAUAUGAAAUCCACUCGUCGAGGUCGAUUGGCCGUUGUCGGUGUCAAAACCGGCGUAUCUCGGGUAGGGGGUGUCCGGAUAGCCGAACUAUCACCGUUGGCCGGACUCCUAGAUUAUGAAGAUACAAGAUUGAAGACUUCGUCCUGUGUCCGGAUGGGACUUUCCUUGGCGUGGAAAGCAAGCUUGGCGAUACGGAUAUGUAGAUCUCCUACCAUUGUAACCGACUCUGUGUAACCCUAACCCUCUCCGAUGUCUAUAUAAACCGGAGGGUUUUAGUCCGUAGGACAACAACAAUCAUACCAUAGACUAGCUUCUAGGAUUUAGCCUCCUCGAUCUCGUGGUAGAUCUACUCUUGUACUACCCAUAUCAUCAAUAUUAAUCAAGCAGGAGUAGGGUUUUACCUCCACCAAGAGGGCCCGAACCUGGGUAAAAACAGCGUGUCCCUUGUCUCCUGUUACCAUCCGCCUAGACGCAUAGUUCGGGACCCCCUUCCCGAGAUCCGCCGGUUUUGACACAGACAUUGGUGCUUUCAUUGAGAGUUCAUCUGUGCCGUUGCUAUCAGGAAGGAUGUCUCGUCCCGUCUUUAAAGACGGAACCGUUGCUAAAGGAACUUUGGCCAUCGGCCAAACUCUCUGGCUAGGCGGUUUUCUUAUGACCACCUGUUCGGCCGCCGCGCCGACGAUGACUUCUCGGGUCAUCAAAAGCAAUCUUCACGUCAACUCGGAACUCGCCGAGCAGCUAGAUCCGAUGGAGCUCUCCUCCUUAAAUGAGCUCUGGGAUCACAUCGCCGCCCUGAGAUUCGCUACAGACUACGACCAGAUUGGGCCUAAAACCGAUCUGAGAGAGAUCAACUCUCCCCAGGCCACCCACCAUGUUACUGUGGUGGAGGAACAGUACGGCAACCCUUCUUCAAUAUUAAGGACUAGUUAUGUCUGGAUUUCCGACCCCUCCAUGCCGGAUUCCCGCGGAGGGACGGACGUCGAUCAAGUCCUGAACCUAAAGUCAGGCAGCGGGCCGGAUUCAUUGGACAAAAUCCAAAAACCCAAGCUUCCAAGUUCGGAAACUUUUUGGCCCUUGAAUCUUAGAUUGGACGGGGUUCCGAAUUUAAUUCCACCCGCCCACCCAAACAUAAGCGAUCUAUCCCGAAUUUGACAAGAGCCUGCUGAAACAGUACACCAUUACUGGGCCAGAUUCAUCCUGGUUAUGGACAGGAUAAAGGACUGCCGCGAGGAAGACGCAAUUUCACUUUUCUACAAUAAUUGCAUGGACAAGGGAAUCCUAAACGCCAUAAGUCGUCGUGAAAUUACACGCUUUGCCAACUUGGCGUCCAUAGUAUGAAAGUACUGUGCGAUGGAGAGCGCCUGGAAAACCGAAACCAAAUUUUGGGAUAAUCCGGCUCCGAAUACAACCCUAGUCCGAAAUAUAAGGGUGCAUCAUAGCCAGGCACCUGGGUUAGAUACCAAAAAGCAAAAAACCCCUAAAGGGCACGGAACCGUACUGGAGGGAUGGCUCAAUGGACCCUGCAAAAUUCAUAGUACAGAGGGCGCCACUCCAACCCAUAGCCUUCGAGCAUGUUGGAUACUACGGUAGGUGGCCAAAAAUGGCGAAGAGCUUCUAGCUCCAGAGAACCAGCCCAGCAACACCAGUACGGUACUAACAGUCUUCAAGACUUUCGCAUCAAAUAAUAUGCGGAAAUGAACACUCCGCAGCCUUGCCGAAGUCUACCAAGUAGCAACAAUAAAUCCAUGGAGUGACACGGCUAUUACAUUUAACGCCAGUGACGAACCUAAAUUCCGAAUAGCCCGAGCACCAGCCGCAUUGGUCCUCAGUCCAAUAGUUGACGACUUUCGCCUUACCAAGGUACUCAUGGAUGGCCGCAGCGGAUUAAACCUCAUUUACGAGGAAACCCUUCGAAAAAUGGAAAUAGACUGGAGCCGCAUUGAGCGAAGCAGCACAACCUUUAGAGGAAUAAUCCCUAGUCGGGAAGCACGCUGCACAGGAAAAAUUACACUGGAUGUGGUGUUCGGCUCGCCGGACAAUUACAGGUCCGAGGAGGUCACGUUCCAAGUGGCCUCGUUCAGCAGCGGAUAUCAUGCUUUAUUAGGGCGAGAGGCAUUCACAAUUUUUCAAGCUAUACCCCAUUACGGGUACAUGAAGCUCAAAAUGCCCGGGCCCAACGGAAUCAUCACUCUUGCCAAUGAUCCGGACAUAGCACUCCGCGUCGAAAAUAAGACAGCCGCACUAGCCCUCGAGGCACUAUCCGAAGCCCUAGCGGCCGAGGAACUCACUGCGCUGCGCUCCAUGGUGAAUAGGGAUGAUGUGAUACUCGACAAGAGAUCCAAGUCCACCUCUUUUAAGCCAGCGGACAAAAUAGUCAAAUUCCAAGUCCAUCCAACGGACCCUACAAAGACGGCAUCCAUUGGGGCACAGUUAAACCCUGAUGUAGACACCGCACUACGAGAAUUCCCACGGGAAAAUUGGGACAUUUUUGCCUGGCACCCUUCAGACAUGCCAGGAAUCCCACGCCGGCUGGCCGAGCACAGCCUAAAUAUCCUAAAAGGAUUCAAGCCAGUCAAACAGGCUCUUCGCCGAUUUUUCGAACCCGAGAGACAGGCAAUGGAAGAGGAGCUAGCCAAACUAUUGGAAGCCGGAUUCAUCAGAGUUAUAAAACAUCCGGACUGGCUAGCCAAUCUAGUGAUGGUACCAAAGAAGGAUAAAUCCUGGCGCCUAUGUGUCGACUUCAAGGACCUUAACAAGGCUUGCCCAAAGGAUCCCUUCCCCCUCCCCCGCAUCGAUCAAAUUAUCGACGCUAGCACUGGGCAUGAUUCAUUGUGCUUCCUCGACGCAUACUCCGGCUACCACCAAAUCAAGACGGCGGAACCAGACCAAGCCGCAACGGCAUUCAUCAAUCCAUACGGCCUAUUCUGCUUCAACACAAUGCCCUUCAGGCUCAAAAACGCUGGCGCAACAUAUCAGCGCAUGAUUCAGACAUGUCUGGCAAGCCAAAUCGGAAACAAUGGAGGCAUACGUAGAUGAUGUGGUCGUCAAAUCCAAGCAUGUCAAAACCCUAGUAGACGACUUGAGGCUCACAUCCGACAAUCUCCGAACAUACGACAUUAAGAUGAAUCCGGAAAAAUGCGUCUUCGGCGUACCAGCCGGAAAGCUCUUGGGCUUCAUUGUAUCCGGUAGAGGAAUUGAAGCAAACCCAGCCAAGAUCCGAGCUCUGUCACAAUUGGAUAUCCCAAAAGACCUCAAACAAAUACAAAAAUUGACCGGAUGCAUGGCGGCUCUAAGCCGCUUUAUCUCCCAUUUGGGAGAAAAGGCAUUACCCCUUUAUCGCCUCCUCCGAUGCACCGAACACUUUGAGUGGACGGAUGCCACCACGACCGGACUCGAAGAAAUAAAAGCCAUAUUGGCAACAAAUCCGGUCCUGGCCGCGCCCAAUAUGGGCGAACCAAUGUUAUUAUAUAUCGCGGCAACACAUCAAGUUGUAAGCACGGUGUUCGUCGUCGAACGAGAAACGGACGGACACAAGUUCCCCCUUCAAAAACCAGUUUACUACGUGUCCACUGUCCUAACUCCAUGCAAGUCUCGGUAUCCACAUUAUCAAAAGAUAGCGUACGCGGUGUUCAUGGCAUCCCGGAAGCUGCGACACUACUUUCAAGAGUGUUCGAUAACAGUAGCCUCCAAAGUACCUCUUAACGACAUUAUAAACAACCGCGACGCGACUGGUCGGAUUGCAAAAUGGGCCAUCGAGCUCCUCCCAUUUGACAUAUACUAUAAACCACGGCGAGCUAUCAAUUCGCAAGUUUUGACUGACUUCGUCGCCGAAUGGACUGAAGCCGAACUCCCUAAAGAGUACGACGCAUAUUCCAAUUGGAUCAUGCACUUCGACGGCUCCAAAAUGUUGGCCGGCCUGGGGGCUGGCGUCGUCCUGACAUCCCCAACCAGAGACACAGUCCAAUACGUACUCCAGAUAAUGUACACGGACUCCAACAACACAACCGAAUACGAGGCCCUUCUACAUGGCCUCCGGAUGGCGGUCUCCAUGGGCAUUAAACGCCUAGAGGUGCGCGGGGAUUCGAACCUUGCAAUAUCCCAAAUAAAUGGAGACUUCGACGCCAAGGAUCCGAAAAUGGCAGCUUACCGUAACGCCGUCCUAAAAAUGCCAGCUCGGUUUGAAGGGCUCUAAUUUCACCAUAUAGCCCAGGAUAAUAACCAGGCGGCGGACGUAUUGGCACGCAUCGGCGCAAGGCGCGAUGCCGUCCCUCCCAACAUCUUCCUGAGCGGCUUUUCAAGCCAUCUGUACUAUGGGAAGGGGAGUCCGAAAACAACAAUCCGGACCCAACCGCACCGCCCGACACCGAACAUUCUGACACAAUUGGUGGUUCUGCCAAUGAAAUAACACAUUCAGCCCACGAAAUAAUGGCAGUCAUUGCCCCGUGGACGGAACCAUUCCUAGCCUACUUAACUAGGCAGGAACUUCCCGAGGACCAAAACGAGGCCCGCUGCAUAGUUCGGCGAUCUAAAGCCUAUAAGGUCCAUGAGGGAGAGCUUUAUAAGAAAAGCACAACCGGAGUCCUUCAAAGGUGUAUCUCCGAAGAGGAAGGGCGACAUCUUCUGGUUGAAAUUCAUGCCGGACUCGGCGGGCACCACGCCGCAGCUCUGGCCCUUGUAGGCAAGGCCUUCCGUACAGGAUUUUAUUAGCCGAUGGUCCGGGCAGAUGCUCAGGACUUUGUCCAACGAUACGUCGGUUGCUAGCUCUUUGCUAAUCAAAGCCACAUGCCACCCACCGCCCUCAAAACUAUACCCAUCACCUGGCCGUUCGCAGUCUGGGGGCUUGACAUGGUUGGACCCCUUAAAGGAGGAACCCACAAGCAAAAAUACCUAUUGGUCAUGGUGGAUAAAUUCACCAAAUGGAUAGAGGCCAAGCCAGUUAAGACGGCCGAAUCUAGACCUGUGAUAGACUUCAUAUUAGGGGUAGUACACCGUUACGGCGUCCCCCAUAGCAUCAUCACUGAUAACGGCACAAACUUCGCGGCCGACAAGGUUAAACUCUGGUGCAAAAACAUGGGCAUCAAGCUCGACUAUGCUUCAGUCUAUCACCCCCAAACUAACGGUCAAGUCGAGCGAGCAAAUGGUCUAAUCAUGAGCGGCAUUAAACCCAGACUAGUGCUGUCCCUCAAGGAAUCUAACACGCACUGGGUAGAGGAGCUCGACUCCGUACUCUGGGGCUGCGGACCACGCCGAAUCGCACUACUGGAUUCACACCAUUUUUAUGGUAUACGGCGCAGAGGCAGUUUUGCCCUGCGACAUAAUUCAUGACUCACCUCGCAUGCGCAUGUACGAAGAAAGAGAAGCCAAGCUGGAUCAGCAGGACAGUUUGGACGCCUUAGAGGAGGAGCGCGAUGUGGCAAAAGCUCGUUCCGCAUUCUAUCAACAUCAGGCUCGAAGAUAUGAAAGCAGAGAAGUACAGGCCAAAACUUACAAUGUUGGCGAACUAGUUCUACGUCUGCCGGACAAGAAAAAGGACAAACUCAAGCCCAAAUGGGAAGGUCCCUUCAUCAUCGACCAAGUCCUGACUAGCGGAGCGUACCGUCUGCGAAACGCAUCGGAUAACUGACUCGAGCCGAACCCAUGGAACGCAGCCCGUCUCCGAAGAUUCUACGCCUAGCGCCGGACUCUGAGUUCGUCUCAUUCCUCCGACUACAUUUUAUACUUUAGCUGUCUUUUAUUUCUCUCCUUCUCCCUCCUUUUUUCUUAAAGCCUUUGGAGGCUCGUCUGCGCAUUGUUCGCACACACUUGACGUGCUACUCGCACUCAUUAUACCUGGGGGCUUCUUUAACAAAAGCUUAUUUAUAUGGGCUUUAUGCCCAACACAUGUGUCACACUUCCGCAUGUACCUUUUAUUCACCAUUAUAUACAUCGAUAUGACUUAAGUUUUGGCCAAGCUGGGUUGCCUGGCUCUUGUGCUUACCCCUACGUUCCUGAUUGUUCGGCUAGGAGGUAAAGGGAGCACCUCUGCAAUUGUUACUGCCGGGUCAGCCGGAUGUGUCCUCGGACUGGGUGAAGCCGAAAGCUAGCGUUCUUAAGGGAAUAUUCGGUUCGGUGAACUAAAAGACGAUUUCUUACCUAUUUAUUUAUCUGCCCCCAGAUGAUUUCCUGCUUUUUUUGCAGUCUGGACAUGCACUUUAGGGCAUGCCUCCCAGGGAAAGGAACCCCUAACGGAACUAUUCUCCCAGGAAGAUGUUUCUUACUAACCAUGUAAUAUAACAUAACUAGUUGGGCACUUGUCUGAUAAAGCACUAAUGACUCCUACGCCUGGUCUCCACGCAUGCUCCGGUUUUUUAUAUAACCGCGAGGGUAUUCGGACACACUCCGGACUAUCAGGUCCCGAUGUUGAAGCGAAAAGGUCCGCUACGACAAACGAUCUACAAUCCGGCUAGAAGGCAUUUUACAUGUCAUUUUAAAUUACAUAGUCAAAUUGACUGAUCGUAUUCCUCUUCAAUACCAUCUAAUAGGCUGUCUAGUUUAUAGUCCCGCUGGGAAUACUUUGCGGCCAACUCUACAUGGCCGUACACUAAGCUCACAGGGAUCUCCUUCCCAUCGGGCCCCACAGGUCCGACCUCGGCCAUGUGGUUUGGGUCAGCCUUCGUGUACCGCGUCUUCACCAUGGCCCAGGCCUCCCUGGCGCCUUGACGGCAGGCCGAUAUCUUCCAUAGCCGGAAGCACCGCCGUGCUCCCUGAAGCUUCUCUGCAAGCUCUCCAAAACCUUCGGGUAGGGAGAUGGAUGGCCACAAGUCUUGGGCGACGCCUCUCAUCGCCUGCCGAACUCGUUCGUGCAGUUGCAGCAGCUCGGGAAGUAGGUCACCCGUUGAACCGGGCAUUUCCUCUGCAGGACGACCUGUGAGCAUACCUACAGACAUAUUUCUGUUAAUCGACUUCCUCACCGAACUCUUCUUUUCAAAGGUUCGCUCAAGCACUUACUAUAAAUGCCGCGACGAAGCCGCCGAUUCUCCUUAACGGAGUCAGACAGCUGGGCUCGAACAUCUUUUAGUUCCUCGCCCAGCUGGGUGUUGGCAUCUUGGAGGUUAUUUUUCUCUUGCCGCACCCUUGUAAGCACACUCUCGCCGGCCUUUAACCAGCGCAGUAGCUGUUGCCUGUCCGGAUCUAGUCCGGCCCCAUCUGCAAUGUUAUUGUCAGAUUUAUACACACGCCGCACUUCACAAACUGCUUAUCUUUCAAAGUACAUAUUACCGGAGGGGGUCUCUGUGGCUCCCCCUAUGGCGGCUAGUGCGGCCUCAAGUUGGGCCUUGCACUCUUGAAGCUCCUGGGACAGUUGGGUAUUCUUUUCUGUAAGAUCCUGCAUAACAAAUGAUCCUUAAAUCAGUUAUUCUAACUAUUUUAAGUCUCGGGGGCUACUGGCAUAUAUAACUGUCAAAAUUCCUCACCCGUAUGUCUUUCACAUACUGCUCCGUGGCUCUAGCUAGACCAUCUUGAGCGGCACGGAGGUGCGCAUCUCCCGAAUUAAAGGCAUUCAAUGCCUCUUGGGAGAAACAUGCGUCACGAAGAACUGUCCGGCGGCGCCUAUGAUUCAUGGCACUCUCCACCUCAGAUUUGGUGGCGGACAAUCUGUUGGCAUCCUCUGUUGGAGGAGCAUCCGACGCGCGCCUUGUGUUAUCCUCCCCUUACGGACCUGGCGUUGGAGCCUGGCUGGCGGAGGCUCGAUUGGCAACCUCUUCGGACACAGUCCGGCGAGCGCUCUUUUUCCUGAAAAGAUCACAAGCGUUAGUAUGCCUUCCAGGGAUCUUUCCUUGAAACACGGUGGCACGUCAUACCAUCGCGGCGACGUCUCGGUCCGCACCGCACUUCUUUUCUGCCUACUGGGCCGAGCUGCCCCUUGUUGGCAGCCGCCGCAGGCUCGGCUUCCCGCCUCAAAGGCACCUCCUGCGAAACACCAUUGGUAUGCGGUGAUCCGAAAUAAGCACGGAUGAGUCAUGGUAUCAGGACUUCGGUCACAGUUACCUGGGAAGCUGGAACUAUUCUGGGGUAGUCGGCCGUAAUGGCAACCAAAGCAUUGUCGAUGCUAAGUUGGUGGAACACCCCAUCGAUCAGCUCCACCUUUAUGUCCGGAUCCUCUUCGGAGGCCGGAUCGAGGGUCCGGAUUCUUGGAUUGUGGAGGCGGGCUGUGUAUAUCCUCUACAGCCCGGCGCAGUUCCUGCGUCAAAAUCACAAAAUGAGAUACUUAACCAUGGGAAUGGGGAUCGGAUAGGCAAAAAGAAAUGUUCGCUUACCUAGCUUCGGGGAUUGUUCAUAGAAAAUCUGUUCAGUGGACUAACAUGGAGAAAAUCCUCCUUUUCCCCUUUGUACAGGCCGGACAAGAUCUUCACCAGAUCGGCAACCGAUCCCGUCCCCUUACGGCCAUGACGGGUGGCAUCAUCCUCCCCGUUGAAAUCCCACAUGGGGUGGCCCCUAUAUUGGAGCGGCUGCACCCCCCGCAUAAUGCAUGUGGCCAUGACUCCGAUCAUAGUCAGGCCGGAAUGAGCUAAUAACCUUAUUCGGCUCAUCAAGUAGAGGACAUCCCUGUCAUUUUCCCUCUGGGGGCUCCGCGGGCGCCAGCUUAGGCGUUUCUUCAAGGGAGCAUUGCUGAACUCCGGGAGGCCGGUCCGAAUAGGAUCCGGUAGCGGGGCGUCUUCUACAUAACACCAUUCUGAAGGCCAAUCUUCGGACACCUUCUUCAGGGUUCCGAAUAGAUAUCUGGUCCGGAUGAUGCGCCAUAGUUCGGCUCCGCCCACUUGAUAUAUUGACCCCUCAUGAGAACGGGGUACAAGGCAAAACAAUCUCUUCCACGGCGCGAAAUGAGCCUCAAUGCCCAAAAACAGUUCACAGAGGGCCACGAAGCCCGCGAUGUGCAGAAUGGAGGCAGGCGUAAGGUGGUGCAGCUGGAGACCGUAGAACUCCAGGAGCACCCGGAGAAACGGAUGUAUUGGAAAUCCGAGUCCUCUUAUUAGAUAAGAGACAAAGCAUACCCGCUCUCCUUUGGAGGGAUUGGGAACGCUCUCCGCCUGCUUUCCACCCUUGUAGGUGGCUAGUCCGGCUCGAACCGGAACCAUAAAGGCUGGGGGAAGAAAUCCCUUGGUUUGGAGCGUCACUAACACACUGUGCGGGACUGAACAUCUCUCCCAAUCUUCAGGCUGAGGGCUGGGAGCCCGAGAGGAGGAGCCGCGUCGACUGUCCAUGAUGGAAUGGAUUUCUGUCAGAGGCGUUCCGAUGAAUGCUCGCGGAGGGAGGAUGGUGUGAUUCGGAUCUAGAUCCCCAUCUCUUUUAUAGGCGGCUCAUUUGCGCAGCUAGGGGGGUAAGUGUAAAAAUACCCUGGCUUUUCGCAUUCGUUCGACACGUGGAAGAUGGCCAUUAUUGGGCGUGGAAGCCAAGGAGCGCAGCAUUUAUAAGAAGCCGGACACUAUUCGACAAGUAUAUGGAAUUUGGAGAAGAACCCGCCUUGCAAUGCCGAAGACAAUCAACGCGCCGAACUCGUCAUCAUUGAAGCCUGGUUCGGGGGCUACUGAGGGAGUCCUGGAUUAGGGGGUGUCCGGAUAGCCGAACUAUCACCGUUGGCCGGACUCCUAGACUAUGAAGAUACAAGAUUGAAGACUUUGUCCCGUGUCCGGAUGGGACUUUCCUUGGCGUGGAAGGCAAGCUUGGCGAUACGGAUAUGUAGAUCUCCUACCAUUGUAACCAACUCUGUGUAACCCUAACCCUCUCCGAUGUCUAUAUAAACCAGAGGGUUUUAGUCCGUAGGACAACAACAAUCAUACCAUAGGCUAGCUUCUAGGGUUUAGCCUCCUCGAUCUCGUGGUAGAUCUACUCUUGUACUACCCAUAUCAUCAAUAUUAAUCAAGCAGGAGUAGGGUUUUACCUCCACCGAGAGGGCCCGAACCUGGGUAAAAACAUCGUGUCCCUUGUCUCAUGUUACCAUCCGCCUAGAAGCACAGUUCGGGACCCCCUACUCGAGAUCCGCCAGUUUUGACACCGACAGCCGUCGUGACAGAUCGUGGCCAUGGAUGUGAGGGGCCUGUCAUGGACGGCGUCGUGACAGAUCGUGGACUUGCGGGGCUAACCACUGACGUCGUCGUCCAUCUUAUGGAUCAGGAUCCCCACGAGAAAGCUUUGGACUACUCGGUGUCCGACCCAGAGAAGCAUCGUGUCAACGAGGUGCAGUACUCCGUCGUCGAUCACAAGGAACAGCACAUGCACGGCAUGGACUGGAAUUCCGUUACGGUAAUUUUAAUUUUUUAACCAUAGAUCUGUCUUCAAGUUUAAGGUUAGAGGUUAAUCAUUAAACCAUCAAUGCAUUGUUGAAUUGGCAUAAUUGAAUCUAGCUCUAAAUAUAAUGUUGAUCAUCAGUACGUAAUGAUCAUUAUUUAUUCAAUCAAUCUUUGAGAAAUUAAUGGUUCAUCCACUCCACAAUUUAGUGCGUUUUGGUUUUAUGCCAAAAGUCAGACAUCAUAAAGGUUGUGCAUGUUUAUUGGCAAUUUUUUUAAAAGUACAUCAUAUGAUUUGUGCUUUCAUAUGGAUUUGAUACUGCCUUUUUGUCCUUAAAUUUUCAAAGUUAAUAAAUAUUUACUUUAAAAAUAAUUUAUAGGCACUACAGUAUGAAACUUAGGGAAUAUUAGGUACCGAAAACAAUGGUGCAGCUUAUAUCAUACAUAAUUUUAACUUGCAGCCUUAUUCUCAUGAUUAUGCGGACAUUUCCGAAGGAGAGAUGGAUGUACACACUCAGAAAACCCUUGAAGAAUUGCAGAAUGGGCAGUGCAACGUGCUUAAGCAUAUGGCGUAUCAUUGCUCGUUCUGUGGCAAAUAUCUGGACCCGGCUUUCGUUAGUAUUCUUGAGCACGCCGAAGGAGUUGCCAAAGGAUAUCAAAUGAAGCAUGGUGUGAGGUCGAAACACAAGGCACUAGCCCAAUAUCUCAGGAAGUUGUCGGACAAAGAGAAGGUCCGAAGAAGGCGUUAUGAGAACCAGCAUGCCAAAGAAUAGAUGAAUAAACGUAACCCAGAAGAAAUUCUGGUUGGCAUAAGUAGUCAUUUGCGGUCGUCUUUUUUUAACAUACCAAUGAAUAUUUUAAUUAUCAUAGUUUUUGCAGAAAUGUUACAUUUAUUAAAUUUAAUCAUAAAAAUGCAUACAAUUCAAUUAUUGAUUUUUUCAAAUAUUUGUAACCUUGCAUCUAAUAGUUUACCAUUUUAUUGGUUAACCAUUAUUUUCAUAUAUAUAUAUAUAUAUAUACUGUGGAGUGCUUAAAAUUAUUCAAGAUCAAUUGGUGUACUGAAAGACUCAUCCACAUGCAAUAUGAACAGCAGUGUAUUUUUAGGGUUUCUUCAAAAGAACACCUGUGGUCAUGCUGAUCUUUUCUGUUUGGCCAGAAUUGGUAAAGCUGCCAAAUCUGCAUCUGAUCCGGCCCAACACUUUGUUCCUUUUGUGGGCCUGUACAAGUGGGAGGCAGAGAGAAAAGUGGGCGAUGGCCCCAACCCCACCCCCAUCCCAAUCCCACCCCACUUCGUUCCACUUCGUUCUUUGCAGAGUCAGAGAGGUGACACGGAGGGCGACGGCUAGGGUUUGCCAAGCCCUCACCUUGGCCGCCCCCGUCGUCGUCAAUCCGCCGGAUCCGCGAGGCCACCCACUCCCCCCUGCUCCAGCCACGAUCCUCCACUCCCCCUGCUCCGUCCAUGAUCCUCCACCGCAACUUUUCAUCCCCAAUCCUCGUCGCGCCGCCCGAAGCUCCGGUGGUGACUGGAGCCAGCUUCAAACAAGUCCACUCCAACCCACUUCGCAGGUAAGAUUGAUCUUCCCUGACCUUUGAAUGUCGAUCUGACACUUGCUUGUGUGCAUAUUCGGGUAUUCGCAGAUUUACUAUCAACUAGUAGGUCAUCUUGCUUGACAGAUGCUAUCAAGUAGUUUUCCCCCUGGAAAUGACCCCCCACUGCUAGAUUUAGAAAAAGUAUAUUCUCAAGAGCAUACACAUGUUUUGGUUUGUUGGGAUAGUUUGAAGACUGUGUAUAUGUAUUUGCUGAUGCUUAGUUAUUAAAAUCUAAAAAGGCGAGGACAGAAGCAGUCCGUGAGGAAUUUCUAAUGAUGGAAUGAGGAUCAGUUAUAGUUUCAUGUAUUACUCGAUGGUAGUAUGAUGAUUAGUGCAUAUUUUGAAGAAUUUGUGAAGUAUAGACUGCUCUUGAUUGGUGCAUGUUUUUGAUGAUAUGUGCACACAUGUAAUUUUUUUGGUUGGUGCAUAUUUUUGCUGAUUGUUGUUACUGCUUACUUGAAUUAUGUCAGCCUAUCUCCAACAUAUGGUAUGGGCUUGUUGGGGUCAAUGAAAAUUUGCUGUGAGCUAGUAGUUCACAUUGCAACAAAUUCCUCACUAUUGGAUUUUCUGCCAUUAUACUUCAUAAUCAUGAUUUUACUUGUUGGUAUGGGUAGUAAUGAGUAAAUAAAUAGCAAGUAUACAAAAGGGUGACUAUUGGUCAGCAUACCUUGCUCGUUCUCAUAGCCUUCACUAUGCUGUCAUCUUGCUUGAGAGAUUCUAUCAUGUCCUUAUUCUCACUGGAAAUUGGAAAAUUAACCUGCACAGCUACCUCUAAAAAUGGUAUGUACAGCAGAAAAUGCAUUAUUUGUUUUGUUGGGACAAUUUAAAGACUUUAUAUUUAUUACCUGAUGGUACCACAAAAUAGCCCAUCAGGAAAUUUGAAGUGAUCAAAGGCAGAUCAGUUAUUGUUUCACGUAUUGCUCGAUGAGACCAGUCAAUCAUGGUUCAUUUGUACAUGGCUACUAAUUGGUUGGUUACCAAGUUUUCUUGUCCAGCUCACAAAAUUGUAACCUUGAAAUAUCCUAAUUGGUCAUGUCUGCCCAAUGAUUAUGAGUGUAACCACUACUCUUGACUAGUCGUGCGAAUAGUUGUCGAUUAGCUUUUUUGUGUAGAUGUUUACACAUGAACUACGUACUUAGCGAGAAGUAUGCGAAAAGAUUAUUCACAUUGUAUAUGGUGCUAACAAUUCCUAAUGGAAGGCUGAUUUCAUAUAUCAAUAACUAACAUUUGUUCAUUGCAAUGCAUGCAACAGGUUUGAAUGGCAAGGGAAACCAUCCUCAUCAGCAGUGAAGAGAGUGAUCACCGGACCACCUCAGAUGAUGCUUCAGAUGGUACUUCACGUGGGAGUGACGGCUAUAGCGGUGAUGACGACAGCUCUAGCGACUAUGACACUGAUGAUAGUUCUAAUGGAGAUGGAGAUGUGGACCACGAUCCUAUCUUUGCACUACAGGGUAACGUUCUAUAUGGCUGGUCAGAUAUUAAAUGAACCGUGAAAUAUCAAAAGUUGAUGUUUGAGUGACACUUGAUUACCACACAUUACUCUGUUUGGGUUCUAGAUGACCUUCCAAAUCAACAUUUACUGAACUAGAGCUUACAUAGAGUAGUGUUUAGUUGUUAGUUUAAAUAAAUCAAAUAUUCAAUUUGCCCAUGUUUCUACGAGAUAUUGCUGGGUGGAUGUGAUUGGGUUAUCUAUGUCCUUCAUUUCUUGAUCAUUGGAGUAGGCAUUGAUCAUUAACCUGAAGGAAAUAUGCCCUAGAGGCAAUAAUAAAGUUAUUAUUUAUUUCCUCAUAUCAUGAUAAAUGUUUAUUAUUCAUGCUAGAAUUGUAUUAACCGGAAAUAUGAUACAUGUGUGAAUACAUAGACAAAACUAUAGUCACUAGUAUGCCUCUACUUGACUAGCUCAUUAAUCAAAGAUGGUUAUGUUUCCUAACCAUAGACAUGUGUUGUCAUUUGAUUAAUGGGAUCACAUCAUUAGAAGAAUGAUAUGAGUGACAUGACCCAUUCCGUUAGCCUAGCACUUGAUCGUUUAGUAUACUGUUAUUGCUUUCUUCAUGACUUAUACAUGUUCCUGUAACUAUGAGAUUAUGCAACUCCCGUUUACCGGAGGAACACUUUGGGUGCUACCAAAUGUCACAAUGUUACUGGGUGAUUAUAAAGGAGUACUACAGGUGUCUCCAAAGGUACAUGUUGGGUUGGCGUAUUUCGUGAUUAGGUUUUGUCACUCCGAUUGUCGGAGAGGUAUCUCUGGGCCCUCUCGGUAAUGCACAUCACUAUAAGCCUUGCAAGCAAUGUAGCUAAUGAGUUAGUUACGGAAUGAUGCAUUACGUAACGAGUAAAGAGACUUGCCGGUAACGAGAUUGAACUAGGUAUUGGAUACCGACGAUCGAAUCUCGGGCAAGUAACAUACCGAUGAAAAAGGGAACAACGUAUGUUGUUAUGCGGUUUGACCGAUAAAGAUCUUCGUAGAAUAUGUAGGAACCAAUAUGGGCAUCCAGGUCCUGCUAUUGGUUAUUGACCAAGAAUGGUUCUAGGUCAUGUCUACAUAGUUCUCGAACCCGUAGGGUCCGCACGCUUAACGUUACGAUGACAGUUUUAUUAUGAGUUUAUAAGUUUUGAUGUACCGAAGUUUGUUCGGAGUCCCGGAUGUGAUCACGGACAUGAUGAGGAGUCUCGAAAUGGUCGAGACAUAAAUAUUGAUAUAUUGGACGACUAUAUUCGGACACCGGAAAUGUUCCGGGUGAUUUCGGAGAAAAACUGGAGUGCCGGGGGGGUUACCGGAACCCCCCGGGAGAGUUUGGGCCUUAUGGGCCUUAGGGGAAAGGAGAGAGGGGCGGCCAGCAUGGGCCGCGCGCCCCCUCGCCCCUCUGGUCCGAAUUGGACUAGGAGGGGGGCGGCGCCCCCCCUUUCCUUCCCCCUCUCCCCCUUCCUUCCCCCUCCUAUUAGGAGUAGGAAAGGAGGAGUCCUACUCCUACUAGGAGGAGGAUUCCUCCUCCCUUGGCGCGCCCAAGGGGCCGGCCGGCCUCCCCCCUUGCUCCUUUAUAUACGGGGGCAGGGGGCACCCCAUAGACACACAAGUUGAUCUACGGAUCGUUCCUUAGCCAUGUGCGGUGCCCCCCUCCACCAUAUUCCACCUCGGUCAUAUCGUCGCGGAGUUUAGGCGAAGCCCUGCGCCGGUAGAACAUCAUCAUCGUCACCACGCCGUCGUGCUGACGGAACUCAUCUCCAGAGCUUUGCCGGAUCGGAGGCCAGAGAUCGUCAUCGAGCUGAACGUGUGCUGAACUCGGAGGCUCCGUACGUUCGGUGCUUGGAUCGGUCGGAUCGUGAAGACAUACGACUACAUCAACCGUGUUGUGCUAACGCUUCCGCUUACGGUCUACGAGGGUACGUGGACGAACACUCUUCCCUCUCGUUGCUAUAUCAUCACCAUGAUCUUGCGUGUGCGUAGGAAAUUUUUUGAAAUUACUACGUUCCCCAACAGUGGCAUCCGAGCCUAGGUUUUAUGUGUUGAUGUUAUGUGCACGAGUAGAACACAAGUGAGUUGUGGGCGAUACAAGUCAUACUGCUUACCAGCAUGUCAUGCUUUGGUUCGGCGGUAUUGUUGGAUGAAGCGGCCCGGACCGACAUUACGCGUACGCUUACGCGAGACUGGUUCUACCGACGUGCUUUGCACACAGGUGGCUGGCGGGUGUCAGUUUCUCCAACUUUAGUUGAACCGAGUGUGGCUACGCCCGGUCCUUGCGAAGGUUAAAACAGCACCAACUUGACGAACUAUCGUUGUGGUUUUUGAUGCGUAGGUAAGAACGGUUCUUGCUCAGCCCGUAGCAGCCACGUAAAACUUGCAACAACAAAGUAGAGGACGUCUAACUUGUUUUUGCAGGGCAUGUUGUGAUUUGAUAUGGUCAAGACGUGAUGAGAUAUAAGUUGUUGUAUGAGAUGAUCAUGUUUUGUUGAAAUUAUCGGCAACUGGCAGAAGCCCUAUGGUUGUCUCUUUGUUGCAUAAGAUGCAAGUGCCAAAUAAUUGCUUUACUUUAUCGCUAUGCGAUAGCAAUAGUUGCAAGAGCAAUAGUUGGCAAGACGACCAUGUGACGACACAUUGAUAUAGAUCAAGAUGAUGAAGAUCAUGGUGUCGUGCCGGUGACGAUAGAGAUCAUGACAGUACUUUGGAGAUGGAGAUCAAAGGCGUAAGAUGAUCAUGGCCAUAUCAUGUCACAUAUUUUGAUUGCAUAUGAUGUUAUCUUACAUCUUAUUUUGCUUUGAUUGACGGUAGCAUUUUAAGAUGAUCUCUCACUAAUUAUCAAGAAGUGUUCUCCCUGAGUAUGCACCAUUGCCAAAGUUUGUCGUGCCCAGACACGAUGUGAUGAUCGGGUGUGAUAAGCUCUACGCCCAUCUACAACGGGUGCAAGCCAGUUUUGCACACGCAGAAUACUCAGGUUAAACUUGACGAGCCUAGCAUAUGCAGAUAUGGCCUCGGAACACGGAGACCGAAAGGUCGAGCAUGAAUCAUAUAGUAGAUAUGAUCAACAUAGUGAUGUUCACCAUUGAAAACUACUCCAUCUCACAUGAUGAUCGGACAUGGUUUAGUUGAUUUGGAUCACGUGAUCACUUAGAUGACUAGAGACAUGUCUGUCUAAGUGGGAGUUCUUAAGUAAUAUGAUUAAUUGAACUUAAAUUUAUCAUGAACUUAGUCCUGGUAGUAUUUUGCAAAUUAUGUUGUAGAUCAAUAGCUUGCGUUGUUGCUUUCAUAUGUUUAUUUUGAUAUGUCCCUAGAGAAAAUUGUGUUGAAAGAUGUUAGUAGCAAUGAUGCGGAUUGGAUCCGUGAUCUGAGGUUUAUCCUCAUUGCUGCACAGAAGAAUUAUGUCCUUAAUGCACCGCUAGGUGACAGACCUAUUGCAGGAGCAGAUGCAGACGUUAUGAACGUUUGGCUAGCUCAAUAUGAUGACUACUUGAUAGUUUAGUGCACCAUGCUUAAUGGCUUAGAAUCGGGACUUCAAAGACGUUUUGAAUGUCAUGGACCAUAUGAGAUGUUCCAGGAGUUGAAGUUAAUAUUUCAAGCAAAUACCCGAGUUGAGAGAUAUGAAGUCUCCAACAAGUUCUAUGGCUAAAAGAUGGAGGAGAAUCGCUCAACUAGUGAGCAUGUGCUCAGAUUGUCUGGGUACUUCAAUCGCUUGAAUCAAGUGGGAGUUAAUCUUCCAGAUAAGAUAGUGAUUGACAGAAUUCUCUAGUCACCAUCACUAAGUUACUAGAACUUUGUGAUGAACUAUAGUAUGCAAGGGAUGACGAAAACGAUUCCCGAGCUCUUCGUGAUAUUGAAAUCGACGAAGGUAGAAAUCAAGAAAGAGCAUCAAGUGUUGAUGAUUGACAAGACCACUAGUUUCAAGAAAAGGGCAAAGGGAAAUAAAGGGAACUUCAAGUGGAAAGACAAGCAAGUUGUCACUCCUGCGAAGAAGCCCAAAGCUGGACCAUAGCCUGAAACUGAGUGCUUACACUGCAAAGGAAAUGGUUACUGGAAGCGGAAAUGCCCUGAACAUUUGGUGGAUAAGAAGGAUGGCAAAGUGAACAAAGGUAUAUUUGAUAUACAGGUUCUUGAUAUGUGCCUUACUAGUGUUUAUAGUAGCCCCCGAGUAUUUGAUACUUGUUCGGUUGCUAAGAUUAGUAACUCGAAACAGGAGUUACAGAAUAAACAGAGACUAGUUGAAGGGGAAGUGACGAUGAGUGUUGGAAGUAGUUCCAAGAUUGAUAUGAUCAUCAUCACACACUCCCUAAACUUUCGGGAUAAGUGUUAAACCUAAAUAAAUGUUAUUUAGCGUUUGCGUUGAGCAUGAAUAUGAUUUGAUCAUGUUUAUUGCAAUAUGGUUAUUCAUUUAAAAUCAGAGAAUAAUUGUUGUUCUGUUUACAUGAAUAAAACCUUCAAUGGUCAUACACCCAAUGAAAAUAGUUUGUUGGAUCUCGAUCAUAGUGAUACACAUAUUCAUAAUAUUGAGGCCAAAAGAUGCAAAGUUAAUAAUGAUAGUGCAACUUAUUUGUGGCACUGUCGUUUGGGUCAUAUCGGUGUAAAGCGCAUGAAGAAACUCCAUAAAGAUGGAUUUUAGGAAUCACUUGGUUAUGAAUCAUUUGAUGUUUGCGAACCGUGCCUUUUGGGCAAGAUGACUAAAACUCCGUUCUUCGGAACAAUGGAACGAGCUACUGACUUAUUGGAAAUAAUACAUACUGAUGUAUGCAGACCAAUGAGUAUGAAGGCUCGUGGCAAGUAUCGUUAUUUUCUGACCUUCACAAGAUGAUUUGAGCAGAUAUGGGUAUAUCUACUUGAUGAAACAUAAGUCUGAAAUAGUUGAAACGUUCAAAGAAUUUCAGAGUGAAGUGGAAAAAUCAUCGUAAUAAGAAAAUAAAGUUUCUGCGAUCUGAUCGCGGAGACGAAUAUUUGAGUUACGAGUUUGGUCUUCAAUUAAAACAAUGUGGAAUAGUUUCACAGCUCACGCCACCUGGAACACCACAACAUUAUGGUGUGUCUGAACGUCAUAACCGCACUUUAUUGGAUAUGGUGCAAUCUAUGAUGUCUCUUACUGAUUUACCAAUUUUGUUUUGGGGUUAUGCAUUAGAGACAGCUGCAUUCACAUUAAAAGGGCACCAUCUAAAUCCGUUGAGACGACAACAUAUGAACUGUGGUUUAGCAAGAAACCCAAGUUGUCGUUUCUUAAAGUUUGGGGCUGCGAUGCUUAUGUGAAAAAGUUUCAUCCUGAUAAGCUCGAACCCAAAUCGGAGAAGUGCGUCUUCAUAGAAUACCCAAAGGAAAUUGUUGGGUACACCUUCUAUCACAGAUCCGAAGGCAAAAUAUUCGUUGCUAAAAAUGGAUCCUUUCUAGAGAAUGAGUUUCUCUCGAAAGAAGUGAGUGGGAGGAAAGUAGAGCUUGAUAAGGUAAUUUGUACCUUCUCCCGAAUUGGAAAGUAGUUCAUCACGGAAAUCAGUUCCAGUGAUUCCUACACCAAUUAGUGAGGAAGCUAAUGAUGAUGAUCAUGAAACUUCAGAUCAAGUUACUACAAAACCUUGUAGGUCUUCCAAAGUACAGUCCGCACCAGAGUAGUACGGUAAUACUGUUCUGGAAGUCAUGUUACUAGACCAUGAUGAACCUAUGAACUAUGAGGAAGCGAUGAUGAGCCCAGAUUCCGCGAAAUGGCUUGAGGCCAUAAAAUCUGAGAUAUGAUCCAUGUAUGAGAACAAAGUAUGGACUUUGAUUGACUUGCUCGAUGAUCAGCAAGCCAUGUUAAAUAAAUGGAUCUUCAAGAGGAAGACGGACACUGAUAGUAGUGUUACUAUCCACUAAGCUCGACUUGUUGCAAAAGGUUUUCAACAAGUUCAAGGGGUUGAAUACGAUGAGAUUUUCUCACUCGUAUCGAUGCUUAAGUCUGUUCGAAUCAUGUUAGCAAUUGCCACAUUUUAUGAAAUCUAGCAAAUGGAUGUCAAAACUGCAUUCCUUAAUGGAUUUAUUAAAGAAGAGUUGUAUAUGAUGCAACCAGAAGGUUUUGUCAAUCCUAAAGAUGCUAACAAAGUGUGCAAGCUCCAGCAAUCCAUUUAUGGACUGGUGCAAGCCUCUCGGAGCUGGAAUAUACGCUUUGAUGAGUUGAUCAAAGCAUAUGGUUUUAUACAGACUUUUUGAGAAGCCUGUAUUUACAAGAAAGUGAGUGGGAGCUCUGUAGCAUUUCUGAUUUUAUAUGUAGAUGACAUAUUAUUAAUUGGAAAUGAUAUAGAAAUUCUGGAUAGCAUGAAAGGAUACUUGAAAAAGAGUUUUUCAAAGCAAGACCUCGGUGAAGCUGCUUACACAUUGAGCAUCAAGAUCUAUAUAGAUAGAUCAAGACGCUUGAUAAGGUUUUUCAAUGAGUACAUACCUUGAUAAAUUUUUGAAUAGUUCAAAAUGGAACAGUCAAAGAAGGAGUUCUUACCUGUGAUGCAAAGGUGUGAAGUUGAGUAAGACUCAAGACCCGACCAUGGCAGAAAAUAGAAAGAGAAUGAAAUGUCAUUCCCUAUGCCUCAGUCACAGGUUCUAUAAAGUAUGCUAUGCUGUGAACCAGACCUAUUGUAUACCUUGCUCUGAGUUUGACAAAGGAAUACAAUUUUGAUCUAAGAGUAGAUCACUGGACAGCGGUCAAGAAUAUCCUUAGUGAGAACUAAGGAUAUGUUUCUCGAUUAUGAAGGUGAUAAAAGAGCCCGUCGUAAAAAGUUACAACGAUGCAAGCUUUUACACCAAUCCAGAUGACUCUAAGUCUCAGUUUGGAUACAUAUUGAAAGUGGGAGCAAUUAGCUAGAGUAGCUCCGUGCAGAGCAUUGUGGACAUAGAAUAUUUGCAAAAUACAUACGGCUCUGAAUAUGACAGACCCAUUGACUAAACUUCUCUCACAAGCAAAACGUUUUCAUACCUUAGUACUCUUUGGGUGUUAAUCACAUAGCAAUGUGAACUAGAUUAUUGACUCUAGUAAACCCUUUGGGUGUUGAUCACAUGAUGAUGUGAACUAUGGGUAUUAAUCACAUACAGAUGUGAAUAUUGGUGUUAAAUCACAUGGCGAUGUGAACUAGAUUAUUGACUCUAGUGCAAGUGGGAGACUGAAGGAAAUAUGCCCUAGAGGCAACAAUAAAGUUAUUAUUUAUUUCCUCAUAUCAUGAUAAAUGUUUAUUAUUCAUGCUAGAAUUGUAUUAACCGGAAACAUGAUACAUGUGUGAAUACAUAGACAAAACUAUAGUCACUAGUAUGCCUCUACUUGACUAGCUCAUUAAUCAAAGAUGGUUAUGUUUCCUAACCAUAGACAUGUGUUGUCAUUUGAUUAAUGGGAUCACAUCAUUAGAAGAAUGAUAUGAUUGACAUGACCCAUUCCGUUAGCCUAGCACUUGAUCGUUUAGUAUACUGCUAUUGCUUUCUUCAUGACUUAUACAUGUUCCUGUAACUAUGAGAUUAUGCAACUCCCGUUUACCGGAGGAACACUUUGGGUGCUACCAAACGUCACAAUGUAACUGGGUGAUUAUAAAGGAGUACUACAGGUGUCUCCAAAGGUACAUGUUGGGUUGGCGUAUUUCGAGAUUAGGUUAUCACUCCGAUUGUCGGAGAGGUAUCUCUGGGCCCUCUCGGUAAUGCACAUCACUAUAAGCCUUGCAAGCAAUGUAGCUAAUGAGUUAGUUACGGAAUGAUGCAUUAUGUAACGAGUAAAGAGACUUGCUGGUAACGAGAUUGAACUAGGUAUUGGAUACCGACGAUCGAAUCUUGGGCAAGUAACAUACCGAUGACAAAGGGAACAACGUAUGUUGUUAUGCGGUUUGACCGAUAAAGAUCUCCGUAGAAUAUGUAGGAACCAAUAUGGGCAUCCAGGUCCCGCUAUUGGUUAUUGACCAAGAAUGGUUCUAGGUCAUGUCUACAUAGUUCUCGAACCCGUAGGGUCCGCACGCUUAACGUUACGAUGACAAUUUUAUUAUGAGUUUAUAAGUUUUGAUGUACCGAAGUUUGUUCGGAGUCCCGGAUGUGAUCACGGACAUGACAAGGAGUCUUGAAAUGGUCGAGACAUAAAGAUUGAUAUGUUGGACGACUAUAUUCGGACACCGGAAAUGUUCUGGGUGAUUUCGAAGAAAAACCGGAGUGCCGGGGGGGUUACAGGAACCCCCUGGGAGAGUUUGGGCCUUAUGGGCCUUAGGGGAAAGGAGAGAGGGGCGGCCAGCAUGGGCCGCGCGCCCCCUCCCCCCUCUGGUCCGAAUUGGACUAGGAGGGGGGGCGGCGCCCCCCCUUUCCUUCCCCCUCUCCCCCUUCCUUCCCCCUCCUAGUAGGAGUAGGAAAGGAGGAGUCCUCCUACUAGGAGGAGGAUUCCUCCUCCCUUGGCGCGCCUAAGGGGCCGGCCGGCCUCCCCCCCUUGCUCCUUUAUAUACGGGGGCAGGGGGGCACCCCAUAGACACACAAGUUGAUCUACGGAUCGUUCCUUAGCCGUGUGCGGUGCCCCCCUCCACCAUAUUCCACCUCGAUCAUAUCGUCGCGAAGUUUAGGCGAAGCCCUACACCGGUAGAACAUCAUCAUCAUCACCACGCCGUCGUGCUGACGGAACUCAUCUCCGGAGCUUUGCUGGAUCGGAGGCCGGAGAUCGUCAUCGAGCUGAACGUGUGCUGAACUCGGAGGCUCCAUACGUUCGGUGCUUGGAUCGGUCGGAUCGUGAAGACGUACGACUACAUCAACCGUGUUGUGCUAACGCUUCCGCUUACGUUCUACGAGGGUACGUGGACGAACACUCUUCCCUCUCGUUGCUAUAUCAUCACCAUGAUCUUGCGUGUGCGUAGGAAUUUUUUUUGAAAUUACUACGUUCCCCAACAUAACCCACUACUGAUGUUGUAGAUCUUAUGUAUGAAAUUAUUUACUACUCUGUCAUCUUAAUUCUUUUUUAUACAGGUCCGGGAUACAUGGUGAGAAAAGGAACUUUCAAGGAUCGCAUCUUCUACGGCAACCAUGUAUCACUAAACGAGGAUCGGUGGGACUGUCUCAAAUCCAUAGUAACGAAGUGCCAACCUCCCAUACCAUACUAUGUCAGCACCGUCACUCGCUCGGCAGUCAUCAAAGGGAAGAGCAAGAUGGUAAACACUUGGACUUUUUCUUUUUGCAAAUCAUACUUCACUAGUGAAAAUGCCAUCAUGUAGAGACAGAGAGGAGGACGGGCGUGGUUGUGCAAAUCAUACUUACUCUUUGUGUGUGCAAAUCAUACUUAUUUUUUUAUGUAACAUUAUUUAUUUCCCUGUGCAAUCAGAUCUUCUCAAAGGAUUACAGUCAGGCCUACCUCAAAGAUUAUCUGCGAAAGCCCAUGGUUGUGCGUGUCACCAACGAACAUUUUGAAGGUAAUAAAAAGGUCUUGUUCAAGAUGGGCAAGAAGGACGGGCGUGCGAUCAUGACGAAGAACUGGGGAGAAGUCGUUGAGGGAGCCAGAAUGAAAGAAGAUCAAAUGGCUAUCUUCAGGUUCAUGGAAAGGAGUGGAGGUGGGCUUAGGGUGAACAUGGUUAGUGGCAUGAGGAUUCGUUGACCCAUGGCAGUAGUUUGACGCUAGUUUUAUUAUCUGUAUGUAGUAGCCAGUAACUGCAAGUUGGUACUAUCAUCUUUUGGGUCCUGUAAGUGCAACUUAGUAGUAAUUGGUACUUGGUAGUAACUGGUACUUUGGUGGUAUAACUUUUGGGUCCGACUGGGUAUGAAGAUCGUCCAGUAAGUGGAACUUGGCAGUAACUUGGUGGUACCCUAUGUGGCGUAACGUACUUGCUAUGCCAGUCUAUAUAUAUAACGCACCCUAGUACCCUCCUUGAUAUAAUUACCUUUAUGGACUGCAAUUAUAUUUCCUUUUUUGCCACAGUGAUGCUAGUAUUUUUAGAAUCAAAUCUAACCGGGUUUCAAAUGGAUUGAACACUACUUUCAUUUUUGAAUGAGGUUUUUGUGUUGGCUAGUACGAGUUAUUUUGUAAAUGCGGUUUGUAUGUGUGUCGCACAAAAAAAUGCAAUGCAAUACAAAAACUUGCGGGUCAAAAUGCAAUGCCAAAAAUGAUGUUUCUGUUAUUUUCGAAAUGGCAUGGCAUGCUAUUUUCAAAAACAAAGCAAACCAGCAUGUUUUUUUAUUUGAAAAAUAGUAUACUAAAAAACAUGCCAUCUUUUAAAAAGCGUAAUUUAAAAAAUGUUGUUUUCAAAAUCAGCACGCUGCUUUCAAAACAGCAUAUUUCAAGAAGCACCACGACACCACCAAAGGCAACAUAGUCAAUCCGGGACUGUGAAUCAGCCCAGAAUAUGUUCCUCAAAUGGCCUUCUUUGUCUUUUUUGUAUUUGAAAAAGAAUUCUGGGUCUGCUUUUUUCUGUGCAAUCAUAUAGGUGAGAAAUAUCUAGCGUCACUGCCUUCUAUCUUGCGCUUCUUCUGGAUUGAAACAUGGUUGUAUAGGUCUCGAUCUAUAAAUCCAAGCUUGUCGGGACCUCCGGCAUUCUUCUCCAUUACAUUCAUAAUCUGAUGUGUUCGAAGUCCACCAACAGCAUACUCGAUGACAUCGGCCUUUUGUGCGUCGGUCAUUCUACGAUGAGCCAAUAAGUAGGGAGUCAGGUCAGCAGGGACAAACAGAUGGUUAUGCUUGUCCACAAAAUUCUUGACGAACCAGAGGCCACUACUAUCUUGUAGCUCAACCUGAAAAAGAGCGGGACACCCACACCGAGAAAGACCCCUCGGUGUUCUUUUUCUAUUAGCUCUGUUAAAGUGCUUAAGGGCCCGCCAUCCUUGUUUGCAGCACUUGUAUGUCCUUCUGUAUGCAUUUUGUUUCGAACCCGGACCCCUGUAUUUCAGAUCAUCCUUUCUAACACCAAACCCUUUUUUUCUCGCAUACCCUACGUAGAACAUGUAGGCUUCUUCCUCAGUCCUGAAAGUCUUCUUCACAAUCUCUAUGUAUUCCAUACACUCAUUCAGAUCUGAACCAGCCAUGCCUUUAAUAUCAAUUCCUUUACCUUGCAUGUGUACAUCAUCUAGGUCUAUGCCAUCCUUGCCUGCAUCCUCAUUAUCGUUAUCAUCCGUGCGCAUACCAUCCAUUCCUUUGCCUUUGUUUCGUCUAUCACCCAUGCCCUUGUCAUCCUUGCCUAUAUUCCCCAAGUUUUUUCCAUCGUUGCUUUUAUCAUCCAUGUCGUUAGGCUGCCAACGAAAACAGAUAGUCAAUGUUACGGAUGGAUAGCAUAAAUAAUAAUUAUGCAAUACUCUGCUUAAAUAAUUUAUUUAAUUUUUCUUAUCGGAUUCAUGUACCAAACUCAAUCCUUCAAAAGCUGUAAGUAAGUAUAAAAUAUUCCCUGACUAAAUCCAGAAAUAUUUAAUUGAUUGUACUUAUUGUAAGUGAUGAUCUCCUAACUAAAUCCAAAGUGCACAAAUCUUUCAAGUCCCCUAAUAGAUCCACCCUGAUAGAUCAAUUAUCUGCAAACUCCAUUCAAAAUUGUGUCCUAACUGAAUCCAAAAUUAUCACCUAACUAAAUCCAAAUUAUCUCAUCACUAAGUUGAAAAUAUCUCCAAACUCCAUACAAAAAUAUUUAUCUCCUAACUAAAUCCAAAAUAACUUUCUUUGAAUCCAAAUCUGCUGACAAAUUCUCAUGGCACACAACCCUAACUAAGUGCUUUAAUAUGUCCUAGCUAAAUCCGACUUACACUUCCUUUGAAAAAAAAUCUUGUCACAACUUUCUGAGACCAUAAACCCUAACUAACUACAUCAACAUGUCCUAGCUAAAUCCAACUUACACUCCCUUUCAAUAGAAAUCUCGUCACAACUUUCUGAAACCAUAAACCCUAAACCUCACAUGACAUAUCCUAAACCCUAAUCAAAUCCGACCCCUAUUGGUACUAUAAGCAUAAGGGACCAGCAAAGAUUUGAGAUGGCUAGGCACUUACAGCGAAGAUCCGGCGUGAAAAGGUUGAUGCACGUCGAUGAGGAUGAUGUGGCCUCUCGCGUCGGGGAAGGUGGCGUGCGCUCGGGGAAGGAGGGGAGGCUCGUCGGAAGAUCUGGCGCCGCGACCCGAGCGGGGUGACUACCGAUGGAGGGGGGAGGGGGAGUAGGAGCAGGAGGAAGGAGUGACACGGCGAGUGCGAUCGGCGGCGAUCGAGGGCGCCGGAGGCGAUCGGCGGCGAUCGAGGGCGCCGAGGUUAGGGCUCGAGAGGAGGAGAGAGAACGAACCGCUCGAACCAAAUUUCAAAAGAGUACGCACGAUGAUUGGACCUCUAUAAUGAAGUGUUUUGUGUCUUCAUUUUCUAGUCUUCGGUCUUCUUGUUCGUCUAGUCAUCACUGUUCGCUGUCCCCCUUCAGUUUUGCACUGAAUGUCUCAGUCCUCAGUCUUGGUUCAGUCUUCUCUUUCUUGUCAGUUUCUUUAGUAUUUGUUUCUUAUUUUUUUUACUAUUUCUUACUAGCUCCUUGGUUUUUUUUCUUAGAGAAACGACGCAGCCAAGCCCGAGUAGGGCGCUAGCCUAGUCCGACUUUGAAGUAACAAAGCCAUCAACCGGUCAGGGUACAACUGCAGAAUACGAAAACGAACUAUAACAAAGAAAGCAACAAGAUACAGAGGCGCUGGAAAGCAACUCACAAGCCUCAAGCACUUCCCACAAGAAGGAUAUACAAUGGAGCACUUAGCUGAAGGACUUGAGGUCCUCCACCGCGACUAAACAUGGUUGGGAGCAAUGCCGGCUUUGGCGAGGGAAUGAAGCUGCACCUACAUGGCCUGCCUCCACCAAAAUCUAAGGGCCUCGGCAUGACACGACCAUCCAACCCUGUCUUCAAAGGAGGCCACAACCUCCUUGCCUGGAUCGCAAGGCGCUGAACCGUCGAACAACAGGAGUUCCCAUGAACAUGUAUGAAAGCCGCCAGGUAGUCCCAAGGAGCGGAUCAAAGCACCCAAAUGUGCCGACGAGGCUCAGCCAAAGCAGAGCAAGCCGCACAACCAAUGGGCAAAACACGGCAGAGGAAAAGCUAAAGCUUGGACGAAGAAGAACACGCCAACGACUGCUGUCAACGCACGCUAACAGUGCCCGCCACCCAUCCCUCAAGGCGGCCCUUUCAAGAAGAUCACAGCGCCGAAAACGCCGCCGCCGUCGCCCACCGGAGUUAGCGUUUUCACCCGAGGGGCAGGUGGGUGGGUAGUGGAAGGGCAGACAUUGACCGACGUCUCCAUGAAGAAAUCCGGCACCCGCAGGCAUCGUCGUCGUCUCGGCCGGCCGGAGCCGACCAGGGGUUUCCCCCAGUAUGGAUCCCAACCACCAGAGACGCCCACAGGCCAGGGGCUGGCCAGCCACGCCAGUGCAGCCGGGAUUCGUCGAGGGCGACGCACACUGAGCAGGGGACGGAGAGCAGCAGCCGGGUCGAGCGCCGCCAGCCGUCAAGGCAGCCAUGGCCAGAUCUGGCGCCGCCAGCCGCGAGGGCAACCACACGAGGUCCCAUUCUACCGGAGUUCCGUCGGCCACCCAACCAGAACUCCGGCACCACGCCAACCCCGAAGCACACCGCGGGAGCAGAGGGGCCUCGCCAGGGGACCACCGUCCCAGAUCCAGAGCCCUCCGAUGCUGCCGGAGCAGCAAAGGCCCCGCCGCCGCAGUCCCAGCUUCUAUUUCUCUGUCUGCUUCUAUUUCUCUUUUCAGAGACUAUGUUCUAAGUUUCUGUAUUUACUAUCUAAGCUAGAGAGUAAUAUUUUUCAGUCAUGUUGAGAUCAGUGAUUUGUUUUGUGCUACACCAACUCCGUUUCUUCAGUAUUAGUUUUCAGUCAUGUUGAGAAAUUCAGUGGUUUCAGUGUACUUCUGUUUUCGCAUUCUUAUGUCUGCUAUCUAUGAGGUUUUCCGUUAGAAUAACCCUAAUUUACAAGUCGCAUUUACAAGUGACACAACUCCAUGAUGACAGAGAACACAUAAUUUGGUUUCUGUAAUUGCGCCAACUUCCCCUUUAUUUUGCUCUUUGCCACAUGACUGGAACCAAAAGGCGUAGGACGAUGUCUACAUGAUGUGCUAUGUCCAAUGGCUGAAUCCACAUGCCAACAACCUUCUACUCGAGAGAGAACUUGCUUCCCAGCCAGAAGCUCAUGUGUCUCGUUCCGAUGUUUUCACUCCAGACUCAUGCAGUUCCAUAAAAUUCAGUUGAGAUCACAUCAUCGUGUGCAGUUUCGGACUUGCUGUUGUCCAGCCACAACUGAAUAACCAACCAGCCAACCUGUAUGAAACAAGCAACAGCAGGGCCUGAUGCAUACAUGACCAAACUCAGUCAGAACUCUUAUCAAUAAUUCAUGACACAGAACUAGAUAAUAAAUAUAGCCUAGAUAAUGCAUGCACGCGUUGCAAAUUAAUGAGCACCUCUCAGCUUGUGCCAACCAGCACCUACACACAACAACAGCCCAUCAAACCCAUAUAUAUCACAAAAACAAAUAUUUCCCAGAUACAUCGCUCGACUCGGUUCGUUUAAAUCAUAAGGCAAACAAUAACAGAGUUCUGCCAUGGCCAGAGAUCAAUAGAAUUCAGGGAUAUUGCACACACACACACAUACUGUAUGUUCUACUGAAGCAAACCUAAAAAUAUGGGAGGCUGGCGAACAUAUUUAGGAAAGAAAAUAUCUCAUACUGCAUAUAAGGCACCAUGAAUUCAUCUGAUCCACUCAACAAAUUUGCUUCUGGAACCUGGCUUGUUUCUCUCGGAAUAUAGGCUGAAUAUGGCUGCAGAUCAAAUGCUGGUGUGGUGGCCGACCAGUUGAAUUGCAGACUUGCAGCAAAUGGCGGGACUGGAUUGGACAGCUGUGAAGCUCUCACUUGACUUGGAUCCACGUACGAACUGCUAUUCAAGAUGAAUACAGGGUCAGCACUCAGCACAAUGUAUAUGGAACGACAUGUUCUUAAUUAUUUUUUCAGAACGAAGAACGUAGGACAUAUUAUCUUCCCGAUCAUAUGAAUUACCAGGAUAAGGCAGCCAGUUCCGUUUCUUCGUGCGAGCCUUUCAUCAAAAAUUCACCUACAAAAAUUUUCCAUCUCCUUUCUUUCCUUCAAGACAGCCUCUUUCCACUCCUUUUCAUCCUUAAACAUAAAAUCUUCAGAGACUCUGUGGACAAAGAUUUCACGGUUGGGGUGCAGGUUGAUUGCUUUUUCAAUGGAAGACUCCAGGGCCUCCACCCUGCCUAGGACUGCUCUGUAACAAUCGAUUUUGACCUCGAGCUGUGCAACGCCUGAAAGAUGCUCCACACCCAAGUGUACUAAAAAGUCUGAUGCCACAAUCAUGGGGUUCAAGUCAAGACAAAACCGUCGGAGUGCUGGCACAGCACCUGGAGCAAAUGUUAGCCGUAGUCCAUCUGUUUUUUUUUCUGAGAUGCGCAGUCCACCGCUUGCUGUAUGUUUAAAUACAAAAGGAGUGGCUGGCCUAUUAUAUAGGAAGUGGAACACCUUUAGCAGUUUGAAUCCAUUACUACCCACGGUCAGCUUUUCUUUGAUGUCCUGUAUAACGAGUAGCUGAAGAUGGGCCAUAGAAGGCAUGCCCAUGAGGACUUGGAGACCCUCAUUAUCAAACUCCCAGACCCUUAUGCAUAGUUUCACGAGAUUCUUGAGGGAGGCCAUUCCCCUGGGAACCAUUCCAAUAUUUGACAUAAUUUUAAGAACUUGGAGGCACGGGUAGGUGCUGUAUGGGUUACAGAACAGACGCUCGGCUAUCUCUCCACCAAUACGAAGAUGGCGAAGGUUGCAUUUGCCCGACUCAUUUACUUCCUCCGCAAAUCUCACUGGGUCGUCAGUUUUCCAGAAGCGUAACUCCUCCAAGGCCUGUAGACUCCGGAACCCACUUGCAGGUAAUUGUGUUGCAUUGCUGACAGAUAGGCGCACCAAUUUCCGCAACUGCGCCAUGGUUGAUGGCAGUCUUAGAAGUGAAUAACAGUAUCUCAAAUCGAGAGUCUCUAAGUGCUGCAGCUUUCCAAUUUCAUCAGGAAGCUCAGUAAUUUUCCCACUGCCAAUUCUCAAAUACCUCAGAUGACGUGAGCUUCCUAUAUGUUUUACAUGCUUGUUUUCCAACCAAUAACAUCUUGCAAGAUCCAACACCCGCAAAGCAUGGAAGUCCACAAGGACAAUGUGGGGUAUCUGCUCAAAUUGCGGAAAGGUAGUCAGUGAGCGAACAUAUAUCUUGGUUUCUGUAAUCGCACAGACUGCGCCAUUAUGCUCUUUGCCACUAAAUUGCAUGGACAGACGUCGAAUCUUGUUUGGAAAUGAAUUGUAUGCACGCCCAUUUAAAACAGUGGCAAAAUUCUCUUCAUCUGAUAAAGAUAUGAUAAGGUCAAGCACCAUAUCAUGGACUCGACAAUAUUUCACAGUACCAUCAUCAUAAAUAUCAAUUGGCUGGAUCAGAUUUCUAUUAACGAGUUCAUUGAUACAGUUCUCUGCUACCUCAUCCAAACGUCCCCAUUGCCUAUCAAGGAAUCCUUCAGCCAUCCAUUUUCAUUUCAGUUCUUUACACUUGAUCUUGUUUUUUUCGAAAAUGGGGAAACCCCGGCCUCUGCAUCAGUACGAUGCAUACGGCCCUCUUAUUAACAAAAUAAAGUAGUGCCAACAUGGUUCCAAAGGUCCUCAAAAGUGAAAAAAAGCAGAACAAGCUCACACAGAGCCCGAAGAGGCUAGAUACAUCAACUAGCCACAUCAAGAUGCCACAACCGGCUGGGUAAACUAGGUAGGAAUACUAAAUGCCUAUCAUAUUACAUGACCGCCAUCCAAACCGGUUGAAGAUAUCCCGAGCUACCAUCUCCCAACGGAUAGACCCAGUAACCAAAUGCUCUCUGGCCUCCGUCUGGGUGAGUAGCGACCACGAACGGAUCAGAGCCGUAGUCCGGAAUAAAACCUGCAAAAAAUGUAUACAUGAUAUUCUGUUAAAGACCAGAUCGUUUCUGCAGUUCCAGAUAGUCCACAGCAAAGCACAAACCCCAACCCGAAUAUGUCUCGCUAAGUUAGGCUCAAUCCCAUUAAGCCAUGUCCCAAAUAAAGCAUUAACAGAAUUCGGUGGUUUGAUGUUGAAAGCAAUGUGGACCGUCUGCCAGAGUACCUUGGCCAGCGGGCAAUCAAAAAAGAGGUGUUUAAUAGUCUCAUCCCGAUCGCAGAAACUACACCUAGUAGGUCCUGUCCAAUUACGCUUCAUCAAGUUAUCCUUAGUUAAAAUUACUUGUUUAUGGACAAACCACAUAAACACUUUUAUUUUCAAAGGAACUUUGACAUCCCAAACAUGUUUGGACGUAGGAAUGGAGCUCAAAUUAAUAACAUCAAUAUACAUUGAUUUAACCGUGAAUACUCCAGACUUAGUCAACUUCCAGCGCAAUUCAUCAGGUUGUUGAGAAAGCUGGAUGUCCAUCAGUUUCCUAACUCGAUGGAGCCAUUCUUCCCAACGAUUGCCCGCUAGCACUCGUCUGAACUGAAUAUUAAGGGGGGUAGAUUGGAAGACCGAAGCAACGACCACCUCCUUUCGUUGAACAAUGCGAUACAAAGAGGGAUAUUGGAUGGCCAAGGGUGUGUCACCGAGCCAAGUAUCCUCCAUGAAACGUGUACUUGUGCCGUUUCCGACAACAAACUUUGUCCUAUUAAAGAAUGCCUGCUUGACCUUCAUGAGACCCUUCCAGAAAGGCGAGUCAGUCGGCCUUACAGAGACCUGUGACAAAGUUUUUGACUCGAGGUACAUGCCGCGAAGGAUCUGUGCCCACACAGCAUCAGUCUCCAACGAAAGCUUCCACAGCCACUUGCUAAGAAGGCAUUUAUUCUUAAUUUCGAGAUUCUCAAUACCUAGACCCCCUUGGUCCUUCGGUCUACAAAUGAUGUCCCACUUAGCAAGCCUAUAUUUUCUUUUAAGCUCAUCACCCUGCCAGAAGAACCGCGAUCUAUAGAAGUCCAGUCUCUUCCUAACACCAACUGGUACCUCAAAGAACGAAAGAAGAAACAUCGGCAAACUCGUGAGUACCGAGUUAAUUAGGAUUAACCGGCCUCCAUAUGACAUGAGCUUGCCCUUCCAGCAGCUCAGUUUCUUCUCAAAUCGGUCCUCAAUGCACUUCCAUUCUCUGUUUGUUAGCCUACGAUGGUGGAUAGGAAUCCCCAAGUAUGAGAAAGGUAGCUCUCCCAACUCACAUCCAAACAAUUGCCUAGAAGCAUCCUGUUCAUCUUUGGCCCUACCAAAACAGAACAGCUCGCUCUUAUUAAAGUUUAUUUUUAACCCGGUCAAUUGUUCAAAUAGGCAUAAAACCAGCUUCAUAUUUCUUGCCUUAACCAAGUCAUGCUCCAUAAAGAUGAUUGUAUCAUCAGCGUAUUGUAGGAUAGAGAUACCUCCAUCAACAAGAUGAGGCACCAAUCCACCUACUUGACCAUUUUCCUUAGCCCUUCCUAUCAGAACUGCCAACAUAUCUACCACAAUGUUAAACAAGAUAGGGGACAUCGGGUCUCCUUGUCGUAGGCCUUUAUGUGUCUGGAAGUAAUGACCUAUGUCAUCAUUAACUUUAAUUCCCACACUACCUUUUUGCGUAAAUGAUUGUACCUGUUUGCGCCAGGCUUCAUCAAACCCUUUCAUAUGCAAAGAUUGUUGGAGAAAUGGCCACUUUACCUUAUCAUACGCUUUCUCGAAAUCCACUUUAAAAAUCACUCCAUCUAAUUUUUUGGAGUGGAUUUCAUGGAGCGUUUCAUGCAGGACUACCACCCCUUCUAGGAUGUUUCUAUCUGGCAUGAACGCGGUUUGGGACUGUUGCACCACAGAAUGCGCGAUCUGUGUGAGCCUGUUGGUCCCGACCUUGGUGAAGAUUUUGAAACUAACAUUAAGGAGAUAGAUCGUCCUGAAUUGCUCAAUUCUGAGCGCAUCCGUCUUCUUAGGCAGUAGUGUGAUAGUCCCAAAAUUUAAGUGGAAUAAUUGAAGCUGUCCAGAGAAUAGAUCAUGAAACAUAGGUAGUAAAUCCCCCUUAAUAAUGUGCCAGCACUUCUUAUAGAACUCGGCCGGGAAACCAUCCGGACCGGGAGCCUUAUUAUUUUUCAUUUGUGCAAUAGCAUCAAAAACCUCCUUCUCCGAGAACGGGGCAACCAGAAGCUCAUUAUCAGCAGCCGAAAGCUGAGGUACAUCCUCAGUUCUGGACUCAUUGAGGGACACUGUAUUAUCCUCCGGUGGACCAAAUAACUGCUUAUAAUAGUCGGUGAUGUAUGUUUUUAGGUUAUCCUGACCUAAAAUCGUACCCUCGUCCUGCUCAAGCUGAAAGAUUCGCUUCUUUCUGUGCUUGCCAUUAGCAAUUAAAUGAAAGAACUGAGUAUUCGCGUCCCCCUGGACCACUCUACGUACUUUAGCACGUAAAGCCCACUUCAGUUCUUCUUUGCGGAGUAGUUCUUUUAACCGCUUCUCCGCCUCAUUUUUAACCUGAAGCUCCACGGGUAAUAAAAUAUUGGACUCGGCUUUUAUGUCCAGGUCAUGUACAAGAGAAAGGAGUCUAUCCUUUUCAAUCUUAUACACACCGCUAAGGUGCUUCGCCCAACCCCGCAAGAAGCUUCUCAAAUUCCUAAUCUUAUUCUGCCAUCUCUCAAUGGGAGUUUUACCUCGAACAUCUUUAACCCAUUCCCUGGCUAUCAAAUCUAAGAACCCCUCAUGUUCGAACCAUGACGUCUCAAAUGAGAAGGUGUUCUUGUUACCCACGUGGUUCAGCUCCCCUGAGUCCACGAACAAUGGGGUAUGAUCAGAUAUUCCCCUCGAAAGAGCUUGCACCGUAACCAACGGGAAUUUUUGUUCCCACUCCACGCUUGCAAGAACCCGAUCAAGUUUUUCGUAGGUUGGGUUUGGCAUAGCGUUGGCCCAUGUAAACUUUCGGCCCGAGAGCUCUAUCUCUCUCAGAUCCAAGCUUUCAAUAAUGGUGUUGAACAUGAAGGACCAUCUGCCGUCAAAGUUAUCAUUGUUCUUCUCCUCUCGCCUCCGGAUGAUAUUGAAAUCACCUCCAACUAAAAUCGGUAGUUGUUCUGACCCACAAAUUCGAACGAGGUCUGCUGGAAACUCCGCUUUAAACUCGGGCUGCGCGGCACCAUAUACCGCCACCAAAGCCCAGUUAAAGCCAUCCGUCUUAGACCUAACUCGAAACUUUACCGCGAAGUCACCCAUCACUACACUACGGACUUCAAGUGAAUCGCAUCUCACACCUAGUAAGAUACCCCCCGAUCUUUCUCGCGGAGUAGGCAAUGCCAAUCGAAAUCAAUACCACCAACUAGUGAGGAGAGAAACCGCGGUGCAAAGUUAUCUCUACCCGUUUCUGAUAGAGCAACAAAAUCUAGCUUCUGCUCUAGAGCUGUCUCAGCCAGGAAUCUUCUUUUAGCCAAGUCCUUAAGACCUCUGCUAUUCCAAAAAAUUCCUCUCAUAGUUCAUCAUGGAAUUUUUUUGUGGUUCGAAUCCUAGCACUCCUACGAACUGCGGAAUCGGGAUAAAUCUUCCGUUUCCACUUACGCUUAGGUUUACUAAACUCAGUCACCCGUUCCUCAUGACCGGGUUCACAAAUAUUGCUAGCGUCAUUUUGUAGGGGCACAUCAUCUUCCUCAGCGUCCUGGUUAGCGGGUGCUAGAUCCUCACACAGGCUAUCAAGCACUCUAACUCCUAACGCAUUUAUCUCAUCAUCAUUCAUUGGUUUAACUGCUGCAAGAUUAUGAAUAGUCUCUAAAGCACGUUCCGCCUCCAGGUCUAAUAUAUCAUUCACCGAAUUGGUAAUUUCACUAUCCGUAGCACCUAGUGAAACUCCUAAUUGGUUUGCAUUAUUUAUAAUGUCCCCAUUAGAAAAAUGCAAUAUGGAAUUAGACAAGUUGACGGACAUACCAGAAGAAAAAACAGCCUCCUGAAGCUUGGCCGCCCUCAUAGCGCACCGCUGCUGCAUAUCGUCCACCUCCGGGACGUCGAGGAUGCGGGCACUCAUCCGUCUCCCCUCGGAGAUAGGGUCUGGGAUCCCACCAAACGCGAUCACCUCCUCCCUAGUAUAACCUGGCACCAAAACUCUGACAGGUGGUGCCGAAGUCACUAGAGAAGGCGUCUGCGGGCUCCCGAUCCCCUUGGACGAGUGCCCCACACCGGGCAGUGGGGAGGAGUGUAAGACAGGGGCCUCCUGCCCACGGUCUCCUCCCGCCCCAACCGGCAGCUCAGACGGGAAAGCCAUCGGUGAGGUGGUCCCCCUGACCACCGGAGUAGAGGGUGUAGACCGGGCCUCCUGCCCUGGCGUCCCCCCUCCCGCAGAAGCAGCCACAGUGGUUGCCACCACCGUCGCAGAAGUAGUCGAGGCCGCCUGCCUCGAGGUCCCUCGAGCCGCCGGAGCCGACCCCCUCGGGGCCGACGCCACCGAUGACACCUGCAUCGACCUCGGGACGGGGGGAGAGAGGACUCCAUGUCCCGAACCCCCUCCCCCACACCCCAUCUCCCCCGCGAUCGCGGACACCGAAGUCGCGCCCGCGGGAGUCUGCAGUCCAAGAGAACCAUCACCGUGCCUCCACGCCGCAUCGCCUCCCAAAGAAACCGCCUGACGAGCAACAGACACACCAAUCUCCCUCUCAAACUCCAGUGAAGGAAGCGUGCACUCGAGAUCAUCACCCGACUCCACCCUGUCACUCCAAAGCCUGGGAGGUGCCGAGGCUGGCUCGAAAGACCCAAAACGCAGAGUAGUCAUGGGUACCGCCGGUGAGACUGUGGGCUCAGCCUCCGAUCCAUUCCUGGCCGACUGAGCGUGAGAACCGUUGGAUCCCUCUCGCAUGGUCUCAUCUGACGGUGCCCCCUUAGUCCCCGCACCACCCUCUCGGUCGUGCAUGUCAACAUCAUUGCCGUUAACCGCAUCAUCAAAUAAGUCGGUGUCCUCGAACUCAAUAUCUAGCGGGAACACCUCACCCUUAUAAGUCCAGUUGACCUUAUCAGGCACAUACUCAAUAUCCAUAAUGCUUACAAGAAUUCGGGCAAUCCCAUUGGCACGAGUGAAAGCCAUGUCUACUUUUUCUGUUUUUCCAACCAGGAUGCCCAAACUGGCCACAACGCGAGCAUCCUGCAGAGGCUUAGAUGGAGCCCCCAAAAACCGCAGCCAUACCUGUGUAAGCGGUUUUCCUUUAGGCUCAACCUGUUUCCACUCAUUAAACUCCAGAAUACACUUAGUACCGGGAACUUUACACAAGCCAAAACUUAACAAUCUCUGCAAGUCAUCGACAGAUGGGAAAUCAACCUUAAAAACUUUGUCCUCGAUGAGCACCAACUCCCAAACAAAAUCACCGGGAUCUAACUCCUGCAACCUCCUCACAAUCUGUGCCUCAGUCACCUCGCCCUGGGUCGCUCUCACAAUCCCAGUAGUCGAACUCUGGUUAUCCUCCGGGACCUCUCUCGCCUCCGGGGACUCAAAAAACAUGAGCUCAGCACAGUAGACACCAUAGAUGUUCAGAGUCGGAGGUAAGUCACGCAAAAUCGGGCACUCUCCCGACUCAUGUGCAAGCUUGCCACAUGACUCACACAGCUGGGCCACACACUCAGCAAUGAAGUGGCCCUUGUCGCCACAACGAUAGCAAAUCAUCCUCUCCUUCUUACGGGCAUACUUGGACGCCCUCUCUGCAUCAGACCUGCCGGCAGCCUCAUCCACCGUUCCAGCCUCAGUAACCUCAACAUUGGCCAACUCCUUCACCACCUCCAUCCUCUGUGGAGGGAGCUCUGAGGAAUGUUGAGUCUCCUCCGUAGCAUCAGUAGGAACAGGAACCCUAGGUGGUGGUGGGCGGCGAAAUCUCCCACGACCCCAGCUCCGACCACCACGGUUGCCACGAUAACCUCCUCUCUGACGGUGAUCCGGGCCGGAGGCCCCCUCAACGAAACCGCCGGCCACACUUGAUCUUGUAGUCCUCUGGAUAUAUACACAAGUACAACAAGCAAGUCUUCAAAUGAUGUGGAAGAUCCCAGUAACUAAGUAAUAGUAUAUCUUUCAUCACUUUUACAUUACCAUCAUAUCAAGUGAAGGACCAGUACCAAUGGAAUCAUGCAGUCUCUCCCAUUUAUCCUUCUUAUGUGCCUUAUUAGCAAGCAAACUUGCAAAUGUAAUAAUAGCCAAUGGCAGGCCGCCACAUUUUCUUAAGAUACCAGUAGAAAAUUCUUCUAGUUCAGAAGGGCAGGGAUCAUCCGAGGAGAAAAUUCUCUUAAAGAACAAUUUUUGAGAAGCAUCAUCAUCUAGAGGCGCCAUUUGAUAGGGUUGGCCGCCAGAGUUGGAACAACACCCAUUAGCUACACGGGUAAUGUGUGUAGUAGCAAUUAUUCUGCUGCCAUUAUUGUUCUCAGGAAAUGCCGACUUGAUCAAUUUCCAAUCUUGUUCUUUCCAAACGUCAUCAAUAACAAUGAAGUACUUGCAUGCAAGAUCCCAUAUUGUUAAGCAUUGUCAUCAUUGUGAUGAAUUUCACUAGCACUUAAUUUGAUAUAUGCAAAUAGAUACAUAAAUGUUUCCUAUUUACAUGUUGGUAAAAUUUUCUUGCAUCAAUGAAACAAUUAGAAGUACUAACUUAUUACGUCCCAAUUGUUAUGACCGGCAUAUUAGGGCCUUAGCCCAGUUAGUUGUGGCCCAGUCUAUCUUAUCAUUAUUAGGGCCUUAGCCCAAUUAUCUUAGUAUGAGGAUUAUAUAAACUCGUGUAAGGAUCCGUUUUGGAAUUAAGCAAAAAGAAAUCAUAUUUGCUCGGCUUCCUUAGGGAGCCAGGAGACCUAACCCUGGCCUCCUCCUUCCUUGCGCCAUCUCCGUCUUAGCCGUCGCCUCCUCGCGCACGACGGCGCCCAGCCGCCGACGGUUGCGAGUUCGUCCACGACCACCUCCCUCCUUCCCCUACAACCUCCGGCCUAGACCCGGUAGAACUCUAGUUUCUGCCAGUUUGCUAUCAGCUAGCUUCGGUUCGAUCAUGUCUUCCCCGCCGCCCAACCCGUCUUUCCCGCCGUCGGUCACCUCGUCGCCUCUGGCGACCACCAUGACCGUCGCCCCGCUCUUGCCCGCGCUGGGCUCCUCCAUCCUCACCCGGGAGGAGGUGUCCGGGGUGCUGCGGGACCUUACCCUGGUGGUCCAAGAGAUCCGCCUGUUCUUGGCCGGGUCCUACAGGCCGCACCCGGCUGCGCUGCCCAUUCCCGCCAUCGGGCCGCCGUGGCUGUUGUGGCAGCCGCCGCACCCGGUGGCCUCCGCCACGCUCGCCGGGCCGCUGCAGCAGCCGCUACAGCUGCCAUCCAUCGCCACCACCGCCCACCCUGGCUGCAGUGGCAGCCGACGCUCCUGGCGGCCUCCACCGUGCCCGGCGCCCUGCCGCAACAGCCGCUGCCGCUGCCUAGUGCAACACCACUACAGCUGCAGCAGCCACCGCCGGUCAGAUCCGUCCCCGCAUCGAUCACGCGGCGGGAGUCCCGAUCCACCAGGUCCGGUUCCCGCCCUUGUCGUCCCUGCUACUGGCUUGGUUGACCGAGUCGUCGUCUCAUCCGGUCUACACGAUGGCCUCGGGACUGCCGCACGUCCUGUCACAGCAGGCGCAGUACGGCGGGUCCUCUAGCUCCACGGGCCCCUACGUUGGCCUCGACGCACCGCCGUUCCACGGGGGGCCCCCUAUGAUCACCGACCUGGCGCCGCUGCUCCGCACCGCCGAGCCGUACCCCCAUGGAGGUCAUACCCAGAUGGCGCCACGCUUCGCUAAGCUCGCCUUCGCCACCUACGACGGCACCGAGGACCCCCUCAACUGGCUUAAUUAGUGUGACCAGUUCUUCCGGGGGUAACACAUGCUCGCGUCGGACCGCACCUGGCUCGCUCCAUAUCACCUCCGAGGCGCCGCACAGACUUGGUAUAACGCUCUCGAGCAGGACGAGGGCGGCAUGCCUCCAUGGGAGCGUUUUCGCGAGCUCUACCUCCUUCAUUUCGGGCCGCCGAUACGUGGGAGCCGGCUGGUGGAGUUGGGCCGUCUCCCCUUAACCUCUACGGUGCAGGACUUCACCGACCGCUUUCAGGCCCUGGCGUGGCACGCGCCCGGCAUGAUGGCUCGCCAGCAGGCCGAGCUCUUCGUCGACGGUCUACCGGAUCAUAUUCGCAUGGACGUGGAGCUGCAGGGACCCCAGGAGCUCCAGAAGGCCAUGUACUAUGCCCACGCGUUCGAGUGCCACGCGGUAGCCAUCCAGCAGGCGUCACCGUCCCGGGCCACUGGGCCGCCACCCUGGCCGGACGUUCCCGCGCAGGAUUGGCCUAUUCAGGCUUCCGCGGCACCCCUCUUCGUGACCGCGGCGCGCCCGUUCCGCCGGCUCACCUCGGCCGAGCAACUCGAGCGUUGCCGCCAAGGUUGUGCUUCAAUUGCGACAAGCCCUACGUGCCCGGCCACGUCUGUCCACGACUCUUCUACCUGGAGGCUGCGGACUACAUUGAGGAGGAUGCCGCCGCCGCCGGGCUCGGCGACCUGCCCGCCCCAGCUGUCGCGUAGGUGUUUGGCGACGGUUGAUCACCUCGAGGAGUUCCGCAAGCGCUUCCCCGGCUUCCAGCUCGAGGACGAGCUGUUUGUGCAGGCGGGUAGAAAUGUUAUGACCGGCAUAUUAGGGGAUUAGCCCAGUUAGUUGUGGCCCAGUCUAUGUUAUCAUUAUUAGGGGCGUAGCCCAAUUAUCUUAAUAGGAGGAUUAUAUAAACUCAUGUAAGGAUCCAUUUUGGAAUUAAGCAAAAUGCAAUCAUAUUUGCUCGGCUUUCUUAGGGAGCCGGGAGACCUAACCCUAGCCGCCUCCUCCCCUGCGCCAUCUCCCUCUCAGCCGCCGCCUCCUCGCGCACGACGGCGCCCAGCCGCCGGCGGCUGCGAGUUCGUUCACGACCAGCUCCCUCCUUCCCCUACAACCUUCGGCCUAGACCGUAUAGAACCCUAGUUUCUACCACUAGGGUAAGUGAAAACAAAAGUAUAUGAAGCGCAUAGAGGGACUAUAUGAUAUAUCAUUCAUAGAAGAAAGAAAUAAGUCUAUUUUACCCCAUUAAACAAGUGUCAAGUUUGAGUUUCAAUCUCAUUUUUUUUAGAAAAGGAGGAUGACCCCCGGCCUCUGCAUCUAGGCGAUGCAUACAGCCACUUUAUUAAUUAUUCUCACAAGACCUUACAAAGUCAUACAACAGUAAGACUAAAGCCGACGUCUAAGCAACAAACUGUCGCUACACCUAUUCAGUUGAUGAAGGGGCGCAUAUAGACUGGGUCUAAUACCAAAACAGACAUCACAGCCAAGCCUAACAUCUAAGACCUGAGACCCCAACCUAGCCACUUGCGGGGUCUGGGGCACACACUGGUCCGGCGUGCUCUCAGAAGCCGCCGCUAUCAACUGCCACCGCUCCAUCUUCAGAACUGUACUGAUGCAUCAACCUUGCUCGGUCCAGCUAUCGUCGACGCCACCACGGCGCCCAACGGCUCCUCCUCCCUGCGCGCAAACAGCUGAACAUGUCGUGGUCACCACUGAUACACCUCAGUGCCAUGCUGCCAAGUACCACCAGCCGACACAGCUUGAAGCCUUUGGAGGAUCUGUCGUGCGCAGCACCUCGGCCAAGCAUGACCAAGCGUAGCACCUAUCGGCCAGGCAUGACUUGACAUCUCCAUCGAAGCUCCGUGCAAGACGAAGCCGCUCCACCUCCUGCCUCUGACUUCCAGCGCUGCUCCACAAAACGAUGCUCCCAAGAGAGAAAUGACACCGCAGUGCCUUCAUCAAGGUAACGACGUGGAACACCGCCAUCACCCGCCGUCGGCUCGGUUUUCACCGGCAACUACGUCUUCCUGACUCGCAGCUGGUGCCAGAUGACGGAUCCCGAGAUCCGAACACCCAGCCUCAGGCCGACCAGCUCUCACGGAAAAGAUGACCACCACCGCCAGCUGCACCGGUCAGAACAGAUCCGAUCGAAGGUGCCGCCGACGAAACCACCAGGCCCUCCACGCCGCCGUCGCAGAUCUGAAGGCAGCAUGCAUGCCACCGCAGUCAAGCCGGCGAGUUUCAAUCUGGAACCUAAUAAUACUACCACUAAAAACACGAACAUCAGCUAUUGACAACCAUAAUGAUUCACGUCAUGUCAUGGCUUCAUGCAGUCUAAUUUUUUUGUGGGAGCCAUAUUUUGUCCAUGUUUCCUUUAUUCUCCGUCCUGUGUGUACAUGGAGCCCUGCCGCCUUGCUCACUCAUGCCUUGUCGCACAAGCAGCCAUCCAGACCAGACAAAACUGCCACGAUUUGAAUCUGAUGUUGAGGUUUGAAUUCAAAUCGAUUUAUUUCAUCUGUAGAAUCAAUAAACCUUUGUCCAAAGAAAGGAGUGACGUUCAUAAAACGGUUGUAGUUUGGGUCGGGGUAUAAUGAAGUACUAUUUCGGCAGUCGGGCGGGACUACGUCAUUGUAGGGUAUAGUCUGAAAUUAUAGCUUAAACUCAGGCAAUCUAUCACCAAUCGAGCUAUUAAUUAGUACUAACAUUUUCGAUUGAGAAAGAGUAUGACCCAAAAAGGAAGGUCAAACUGAUCAUGUAUUGGUGAAGUUUGUAGCAACNNNNNNNNNNNNNNNNNNNNNNNNNNNNNNNNNNNNNNNNNNNNNNNNNNNNNNNNNNNNNNNNNNNNNNNNNNNNNNNNNNNNNNNNNNNNNNNNNNNNNNNNNNNNNNNNNNNNNNNNNNNNNNNNNNNNNNNNNNNNNNNNNNNNNNNNNNNNNNNNNNNNNNNNNNNNNNNNNNNNNNNNNNNNNNNNNNNNNNNNNNNNNNNNNNNNNNNNNNNNNNNNNNNNNNNNNNNNNNNNNNNNNNNNNNNNNNNNNNNNNNNNNNNNNNNNNNNNNNNNNNNNNNNNNNNNNNNCACACACACACACACUAAUUUAAUUACAAUUGGCUGAACUGAAGUGAACCUUUUUUUUAUGUGUGCCAGAUUGAAAGUACUUACUGAAUGAGUGUUUGUCAACAACGGGGUAGGCUAGUUUGAGGUAGAAAAACAAACUAAAUGUUCAAGGAACUAAACAUACUCAAGACGGCUAGAGAUGACCAUUUGAUCUAGCCUGGUUCAAACAAGCUAACUUUAAAUAAUAAUUAUUAUUUCUGUCGUCCAAAUGUAUGAACCAAUUAAUGCUAGGCGCUUGUAUACAGAGGGGGAAUAAAACAACACAAAUCAUCUAUAAUCCGUACCUCUUUCCUGUCAAGAUCUGUUUGAUUUCACGAAUUAGUUGUUCCUUUUUCCAACUCUGAGAUUCUUUGAACGCAUCUUUAUCGAUCUGAGACAAGAUAUCUUUCAAGAGAUUCACCAGAUCAAGUAUGCGUGACACUGACACACAAGCUUGGCAUUGGAAGUCCCCUCCUGGUCCAAUCUUGCGAUAGACCUGCAUGGCCAGGGUUGUCUUUCCCAACCCUCCUGAUCCGACAAUCGGCACCACUUUCAACUCCUUACUCUCAUCCAUCAGCAAGGCAAUGACAUGCUUCAUUGGGCCGUCCAUUGCCACCAAGCCCUUGACCUCCUCGUAGAUCGCAGUUAUCCGCGGGUCUAUCUCCACCGGCCUCGUUGCACUGUAGUAACUCUCAUCAAGCUUGUACCUAGUAUCAAUUUUUUUGACAAAAAAACACUUUAUUAAUAUCACGUUGCAUCGAGAAGAAAAUACAGCUUCAAGAGUAGGAAGCUUGUACCUAUCACGGCGCUCACUUUCCUCCAUGACGCGAGCUUUGAGCUCUUUGAUUUGAGUAGCGAUGUCAUGGCGUGCCCACAGAGUCUUGAGCCGGCGCGCCAUCCUCUUCAUAAACUUUGGUUUGGCAUCACCGCUUCCAAGCCGGUCCAUGAAGCGGUCGAUGCAGUCUUCUAUGUCGUAGCUAAGAUCGCGCACUUUAUCUCUCCAGCCCUUUGCCAGGCCAUCGAGUUUCUCCUCCAUGCCCGCCAGCCUCUCCAGCAAGACUCGCAUGCUGCUGAGCUCGCGCUCAAGGAACUGGAUCUCCUUGCGGACCCUCUUGAGCAGAUUGUACUCGUCGCUGAGCAAGGCGGUGAGCUUGCCGAGGAGGGAGUUCAUUGCCCCGGUCCCAAUGCUCACUCCCGCCAUAACCUUUGAUGAAUGAAGGAAGGUGGACAAGUUCAGUAGGAAGAGAAGAAGCUGCUGAACAAGCUAGCUAGUGCUAUGGGUGGCCUUGUUUGGUGGAGAAGCAAUGGCGCUGGGCACUAAGCUAAGAAGGCUCAGAUGCGACCUUGGGAGGGGAGAAAAUUAGUCUCAGAUGCGGCUUAGUGUACCGUGUUUGUGUCGGGGUUUAUAACUAUUAACUAACCUAGGGAGUAUUAAAGCACUGCAAGCAAGCAUGGGGCGGUGCAUUAGUUUACUUCCACUGCCGGUCUGCCACGCAGCUGUCUAUUGAUCAUUCGACUGUUCAACAAUCAACACACGGUGUUACCGUUGGAUGGACUGGAGAACUCAUCGUUAGCUCCCGUAGAGAAUCGAUCUGUUUGCUUGCGCUGCUGCUGUGAAACACAGCGUGCAAUGUGCCUUGCAUCAACACUUGCCUGGCAACAACAGGUGCUCUUAUUAGUUUUCACACAUUUCUUAACUGGUGAUUAAUUAAUUUAAGAGCCCCGCUUCAGUACCCACACAAAAAAGGUACUACUAGUACUCCCUUCAUCUCAACUUAUAAGUCUUGACGUGUAUCUAGGUCGUCAAUUUGACUUAUAUAAAAUAAAUUAUUUAACAUUAAAAUUAUAUCAUUAGAAAAUAGAAUAUCUAAAGUUUCUAAUGAUAUAUUUUUUGAAAUAUGUACCUCAUAUUAAGUUGGUCAAAUUGAUGACCUAGGUACACGCACUAGUAGAAAAAGGGCCAUUCGACCCGGUUCGUGAGGGCCAUUUGUCCCGGUUCCCGAACCGGGACUAAAGGGUCGUAACUAAAGCCCUAUACCUUUAGUCCCGGUUUGAUCGGGAACCGGGACAGAUGGUGCUCCACGUGGCCGGAGCGGCUUGCCUAGGUAGGGGGACCUUUUGUCCUGGUUGGUGCCACCAAUCGGGACCAAAAAGCUUCCACGCGUCAGCAGUUCAGGGGCUGGGUUUUNNNNNNNNNNNNNNNNNNNNNNNNNNNNNNNNNNNNNNNNNNNNNNNNNNNNNNNNNNNNNNNNNNNNNNNNNNNNNNNNNNNNNNNNNNNNNNNNNNNNNNNNNNNNNNNNNNNNNNNNNNNNNNNNNNNNNNNNNNNNNNNNNNNNNNNNNNNNNNNNNNNNNNNNNNNNNNNNNNNNNNNNNNNNNNNNNNNNNNNNNNNNNNNNNNNNNNNNNNNNNNNNNNNNNNNNNNNNNNNNNNNNNNNNNNNNNNNNNNNNNNNNNNNNNNNNNNNNNNNNNNNNNNNNNNNNNNNNNNNNNNNNNNNNNNNNNNNNNNNNNNNNNNNNNNNNNNNNNNUUGUAGGGUUAAUUUAGGGGUUUCAUAUAUUGCGUUAGCUCGCUAAUAGAGAUGAGUGUCCUCUCUUAUCUCCGUGCUUGGUCGAUGCUACAUAUAGAGAGGACUCGACACACUAGCUAGCUAGUAAGCAAAUGAAGAAAACCAUUGAGUACAGAAGAUCGUCAUGAACAUAUACACAGAGAGAAGUGAUCGACCUCUCCUUCUCCGAUAGAUUGGUCGAACAACAAGUUUUCGUAUAUCUAUGUGACGUUACUGGCUAGGUGGUUGGGCAAAGCAAGAUUGUUGGGUACAGAAACAAAAGGCAACAUAGGCGGUGGCAUGAACGGACACUCGGGUCAUCGUCGUCAGCCACUCUCCGAGCGCUGCUAAAGACAAAGGUGCAUCCAUCGACCUACAGAGGUUGCCUUGAUCCUCGAUGAGGCCUCGCUGACCUCCACCGGGCUAGAAGGCGCAGUGUUGGGGCUAUGAUGGACGCGACGUGGUCGGUGCCACUCUCCAGUGGUGGAGCUUGGUUUGGUGGCAAGGAUAUUCGAGCUGACUCCAGCGGGUGGGCACAGUGGUGACGAGGUGGAGUGGCAGGGAGGAGGUGAGUUUGGGUAGGGGAGUGACGGCGGGAGCGGCGUGCUUGUAAGUUGAAGGGUCACCUGACAAGGGGCCCCAACUGUAUUGGAUAUACUAGGGGGUUAAGAGAGCAAAAAAAUGGUCCGGGAGUGAUGUGAACCAUCCACUUUUUCUAAUACACAAAAAAGUGUAUUGUUCAUUUUUUACAAAAAUUUUCAAAAAUUUCCACGCACUUCCAUUUUUUUCUCAAGAAAAUUUGAAAGCGUUUAGCUAGCAUUAGUCCAUCGUGGGCAUUUCAUAUGUUCAAAAGACCAAAAUAUGCGAAAAUGGAGCAUAAUUCAAGAACUAAGGUCUCAGACAUUGCAACAUUCUCACAAAUAGCUUAGGUCUCACAAAUAAAUCUCACACAUAGCUUUGGGCACAGUACGGAAUAAAAGGCUCACGCAUGGAGCUCACACAUCAUCCUCAUAUCCGACCAGGCUAUGAAAUGAUACGUACUUCCUCUUGGCCCGUGUCCUUAAGGCAUUGCUUCCUCAAGCUACACCACUAUCGAAAGAGACACUACUGAGCUUAUCAGACCGUGAGGUAUCAACAGCUGCAUGAUAAAGAAAAUUGUUAAACUAUAAAGUAACUGUCAAAUAGCAUUCAUCCUCAAAUCCGAGCAGGCUAUGGAAUUUUGCGUACUUCUUGCCGUGUGUCCUGAAGGCAUUGCUUCCUCAAGCUACACCACUACCGGGAGAGACACUAUUAAGCUUAUAAGACCGUGAGUUAUCAACAGCUGCAUAUAGAGAAAAUUGUUAAACUACAAAGUAAUAAUAACUAUCAAAUUGAUGUAGAUUGACUGAAACUGGAAGUAUGAAGUUGAAACACCAAAUGUGAAGAACAAAGUACACUGAAGCAUAGGCAACAAGACAACCAUGCAUGCAAUGAAAGAGUCCGUCACGAACUUGCCUCGAUACUGGAGGUUGUCUGAAAAAGCACCCUUCACACACAAAGUUGUCAAACCUGUAUAUGAACCCACACUCAGAAUAUUGUACAAGAUACCACAUGGAUAUUGAACAUAUAAACCCUCCUAGACUCGUAGUCACGACCGCGCCCUCCACGUCGCCCCAUAUAAUCGCUAUGCCACCGCUUGUAAAUUCUGCACCCCGCCGAGGGCAUUUUAGUCUUUUCAGCGGGCCAAGGGCAUUUUAGUCUUUUCAGCGGGCCAAAAAGGCAGGCAGCGCGGGCAGGGAGACCGCAGACUGCGUCUUCCCCACGAACCCUAGCCGCGUCCUCGCCUCCUCCUCCAUCCGCGCGCCGCCUCCUCGCCAAAAUGAUGGGUGUGCAGGAGCAUGGGAGGGUGAGAAGAACAGAGGUGGAGGCAGGACCGCGAUGCCGGAGCUCUAGGCGUCGCUCGCGUUGUCGUGGAGUGGAGAAGUGUCGCCGGCCAUGACUGAUGGUUGUUGCUCACCGGCCGUCGUCCCCUGUACCCAAUCCAGGUUGCACGUCCUCACACCGCCCACCCCCCUACCUCUUGAUCCCCCCAGUUCUCUGGUAAUCUGAUUUCGAUUUCUUUAUUUUUGUAAACAUGAUGUGCACAUCUGAGAAAGAAGAGGAGAGGAAGAAUCCUGAGGAAGAGUUUGAUGAAAGGGUACUCUCUCUCACAAAGUCAAGUUUUUUCUGCAUUCUGAUAUUUGUUUGUUCGGAAAGAUGUAGUAGCACCCGGGGGUCCCGGCACCCCAUUAUCCUAUCCGUUGAAUCACAUCGAGAUUCAUGCAGGCCUUGACGAGUUACAAACAACAGGAUGCUUAGUGAGGCCAUUUGACUCAUCUGACAAGCGAUAUGUACUAGGCCUUAGGUCUAAUUAGCAGGUAGUAGGUCUGACGAGCCUGUUUCCGACAGGAGUGACAGGCUGGGUCACGUUCUACACAGUCAAAGCGGCGCCUGCCAUAACCGGAACCGUUUGCUUCGGAGACAGUAAUUUGCAGAGACAUUUGCAGCUCAUCUCCACUACUCUAAAUUGGAAUCCUCUUGAUAAAGGUGGGACUCAGCGCAUUGAAAACAGCAUCUCGUCUCCACUCCUCUGCUCGGCAGUCAUAUCAGAGACAUGAACAGUAUCCGCGAACAUUGGCCCUGUUUGGAUCUAUAGGUUAGAGUUAGUUUGGGUUAGUUUGGCCUCAACUAACCCAAAAAGAUCCAAACAGGGAGGGUUAGUUUGGGUUAGAUGCAUCUAAUCCAUCCAAAAAACUAACCCAUCCAAGGGGUGCUUAUUUGGGUUAGUUCUUUUUGGAACCACUAAAAAACACAUUUUUCUCUCGCUCUUCCCGCAGCAGCCCCGCCUAUCCUCCCGUUCCAACCCCUCGUCUCCGCGCGACCCGUCUGCCCGCCAGUAUGCAAUCGCGGUUCCUUGCGCGGCCUGUCCCCGCCGGCAUCGGCCAGCACGGUUCAUUGCGCAGGGAUGGCGGAUUCGGCCGGCGGGCUGCGCGAGAGGCUAGCGCGGCUCCUUGUCGGGCGCGUCCCAGUCUGCCUCGGACAGCGCAGCUCUCGGCCAGCUCUCGGCCAAAUGAUUGAGAAAGAGCAUUUAUUGUCAAUCUAACCCUGCCAUCCAAACACCUUUUUGGUUUGAGUUAGUUCAGGGUUAGUUCAGGAUUAGAAACUAACUCUAACCUCUAACUAAGUUAGAGUAUCCAAACAGGGCCAUUUCCUCUCGCUCUAUAAAAACCACUCUGGGUCAAGAGAUUGGAACAGUAUCCCCUGUGCAUGUGCUGCACGCUGGAGAGAGACAGAGAUUGGAACAGUGAUGUGAUGUGCUGCGUUGGUUACCUUUUGAUUUUUUAAUUCACAGGCUGGACAACGACCAGGCUAUGAAGAUGGGAAUCUGCACUGUUCAUAUAGGCCUGCUAAUGCAAAACCAUUGCAUGGCAUGGCACAGUUCUCUCAGACUUGUGAUCCAUGCGAGCAGCUCCUGAUUGCCGGGUGCCCCGGCCCCCGGGUGUUGAAAAGCCGGUCUCUUGUUUGUUUUAGCCAUGUUUAGAUUAGUUUCUAUGUAUGCCAACUAUUUUGUUUGCUUAUAUUCCAGCGACCUAUGUUCCAUACUGAAUGCAUAUUUGUGCAGUGGUUCUUAGUUAUAUUCUGAUAAAGAGAGAAAAAAUUGGGGAUAGAGGUAUAAGGCCUUAGAUUCUUUGCCUCCAACAGAAGAAAUGAUUCAUGUGUGCCUCCCUUUUUGUUAUAUCUUACAUACUUUUUUACCUGGGCAGAUAUCACAUAGUCAUGGUUGGCAGCUAAUAUCCAAAAUUUUAGUGUUGUUAGUACACUGAGGUUUAUCUUAUUUUGUAAAGGUUUUGUCUAUCAAGAACUACAUAUGCUCGACAUGGUGUCGUGGUAUCUAUAGUUGUUGUGGAGCCUGCUGGUAUUCUCACCUUCCACUGCCUCUUUCCCCUCUCUGUAUGAACCCUUUCCUCAUUUGUUUUUGUUCGUGAUAUACUUUGCUUGUUUUGGCACCUUUUAAUUGAUGCAUUAUUCUGUCUAUUUUUUUUGUACUCAGGUGCCUAUGCGAGCUACAUUGGAAGAAUCCAUGUAUUUAGUUGUGGCAUGUUUGGCAGCUACAGCAGCUUGAUAAUUAAUUAGUUCUCAUCCAAGGUGAUUUACUUCUCCCCUUUCUUUUCCAAGAGGCAAAUAAUUGGCUGCUAAUUAGCAGCUUGGUUAUUUUCUAUCUCAAGUGUGAUUGUCGUCUUUGCCCUGCUGCUUAGUUCUGCUCCCUGCUGUGACUAUAUUUUGCGAGGCACUAAUAAGCAACAAUUGCACAAGGUCUAUGCCAGAACUAUCUUAGAUUAGGCACUAAUUUCUUUUGUACUUGUCUAGCAUUUGAAGAGUCCAUAUGUGAGUGGAUCUCCUUUUGCUUUGUCAUGCUACUGAAUGUCUGAACCCAUUUUUUGGGAAUAAUAAUAUAUAUGACAAGAAACCAUUUAUUCUCUCUCUGUCAAUAUUGAUAUGAGCUGUGCAUAUUUUUGGUUGUCAGUGAUAUAUGAUUUGUAAUUUCUAAUUGAUCCGUUCAAUUAUUUGAGAUAUCAUCAGUACAAAGCAUAUGUUCUAAACAAUGUAGUUUCAAAAUACAAAAAAAAUCUCAGAGGAAGGCUUUGUUAAGCAAAUACAUUUCGGUUCAUAUCGGCUAUUUGCGCCAUUGGCGCCAUCUUCCACACGCGCCCACUCCCGACACAGCUCCACUUCGGCAGCAUCUUGCUGCUCGAUGGCGACACCGACGGCUGCCCAUGUGGACGACUAAAACGGGGCUUUGCCAUGAUGAGUGGGUGGACGAGGAGAUGCAACAGCAGCAGGCUCGUGCAUCACCGCAUGCUACGGAUUCAUGCCUGUACCAUUUAGGAGGAGACAGGAUGGCAGCAGGUCCGCGCAUCGGCGCCAGCCGCAGGUUGACUGGCCGGCAUCAGCUCAGGGGCGUGAUGUGGGUAGCCCUGACCUGCAGAAUCACGCCCACGCCGCAUCCUCCGAGGUGCUCACCGUGCCCUACAUCUCUGUAGGCGCACGUCGGGCAGGAGCUUAGCCCCAUGUUAUUGCUCAAGGUUUGGCCGUGUUCACACUUGGAAUUAGUCCUUUAAAUGAUGGAUUAUUCAAUGUUUGCGCGGGUGGAUGUUAGUGGAAAUUCAUCUGCAACACAUAGUUGUUCGACAAAUCACCAUAUCUCUGAAUGUGUUGAUAUAUUUGUAAGAGAGACCAUACAUGGCGCAGGGUCAUGCAUCGUGAGCUAGCGUUGGAGGUAAUUGGAAAGUUCAUUGUGGAGUGAACAAGGGUUGAGGCAGUGUAAAAGGUGCACAAGGUACUAGAAUACACUGACAUACAUUAUAUUCUUCCAAUCAAUUAAUUGUUGUGUGAUGAAACACAUUCGGUUCUUUAGUUUAUCCAUGACAAACAUUGUAGCCUCCAGACUUUUGCAAAGUACUUAUGUUUAUUGUGACAAGUGUGCAUGCAUCGUGGUUUGGUGACUCCUCUGUAGUGUUGUACACAGUCUUGUAAUAUAAGCCAAGAGGUCCAGACCAGAAGAAUUCAUUUGCUAACCAUUCCCGAACACCAGACAACACACGCGUUGAAAGUACAGGAAAUUAAUCUAUUCGCCUAAAAUCCUUGUGUCCGAAGAUUCUUCUUGAUGCAUGGACUGAACAGAGGUAUCAGAAACAGCGUUGAUACUCCCAGUUAAGUCUUUAGGCAAAACAGAAGCGACAAAUGUCAGAUACCAUAAGGCCAACGGAACCAUGUUAUCUACGGUUGCAAAAUAGAUUUUGUUCCAAGAAACAAGUUUUAGAGGGUCUCGGGUCUUAUAUCUUCAUGGCAGUUUUUUGACCGAGGUAAUAAGUCAUUGCAUUGCACUCAUAUUUUGCGUUUGGAAUACCAGGACAACCUUACUGAAAAUACAUUCCCUGUCUUAUUAUAAGCAUUAUUUCGAUAUUGUAACAAGUUGGAUAACCACACAAUUUUUCACUUUGUCGGCAACUUUGCAGUUCUCCUAUAGAUUGAUCAGGGACUACUUUUUCCCGGGGACUCUACUUAAAAUGCUCAAUACAGAAUUUGGAUUCUUGCAAAUUCCCUUUGGGCUUUGGUGUUGUUUGCCAUGGGUUGGGACUCUCGCUGCUGUGGUGUGUUUUGGUGCUGGUACAUAUUGUCAUACCUAAUCAAAAUUCCAGGUGAUGGCUUCGUUUUGUUGUAUUCUCUUAUGGCAGUAGUUAUGUUUGCACAUGAAUGCAUGCAGAUUUUCUACAUGUAAUUAACUACAGUGGUGUUAUCUGUGCAUAUUGACAAUAGCUUUUUAUGUGCCAUUUUCCCGAAAAAGGCUUACACCCCGCUUUAUAAAUAAAGCAACUGCCACAGAGCAUACAUACCACAUAGGUCCACACGAACACACACGAGUCUCACGGAAAAGAACAAAGGUUCUGCUGAGGGCACAGCUCAACAAGCCCAAAAAAGAAAAAAAAAGAAGAGAACAACAACAUCACAGCGCACCCAACACAAGGUGGCUAAUCGGGCUCCGGCGGUGGCGGCGGCGGCGGCGGCGAAAGGCGGACGGCCAUCGAUCGGAUGUCGGCGAUGAAGGCGGAGAUGGCGUCACGGUCCGAGGGGCGACUAAGCGGCCGCCAAAGCUGCAAGAAACCCGAGAAUUUGAAGAGAGCGUCAGUAGGGCGACGAAGGGGAGCGCGCUGGAUCACAAGUUUAUUGCGAACGGUCCACAACGUCCAAGCAAGCACCCCAACUUCCAGCCACCUAAUGUGGUGAGAGGAUACAGGGGACAGUUGGAGUUCAGCAAAAAGGUCCGGGAAGUUGGUGUGGCACCAAUUCCCUCCAACCACCUCGCGAACGCAGCUCCAGAGGAAUUGUGAGGAGAUGCAGGAGAAGAAGAUGUGGUUUGAGUCCUCCGGGACACCACAGAGCGGGCAGAUACCGGUGCCUGGGCCAUUGCGCUUGCGGACCUCCACACCAGACGGAAGCCUACCACGGAUCCAUUGCCACAUGAAGAUGCGAAUCUUCAGUGGCACCCGAACGAUCCAGAUCAUCGAUAAGGGGAGGGGUGCGGAGGAAGGGGCGAUGGCCGAAUAUAGCGACUUGGUGGUGAACAAGCCCGACGGCUCGAGCCGCCACCGGGUACGGUCCGGCCUGUCAUCCACCAGUGGCUCGUGCAAUGCGACACAGUCAAGCAACUCACGCCAGGCGGCGGAUUCCGCCGGCCCAAACGGUCGACGGAAGGCAAGGCGCCCCAGAUCAAGAAGGGCCCUAUUGACCGAUAUCAUGGGGUCAACGGAAAUAGAGAAAAGGACGGGGAAGCGGGCCGCGAAGGGGGAGUCACCAGCCCAACGAUCAUACCAGAAGAGAGUCGAGAGGCCAGAGCCCACGGAGAUGGAGGUCCCAAUGCGCAGCACUGGGAGAAGCUGAACAGUGGACUGCCAGAACUGGGAGCCGCCCGAUCUCUGGCAGAAGGCAAGGGGUUGACCCCGAAGGUAUUUAGUCCGGAUAAUGUCCAACCAGAGGCCGCCAUGGCCCUGGGCGAUGCGCCAGAGCCAGCGGGAGAGGAGCGCGAUGUUCAUCCGCUUGGAGCACAUGAUGCCCAGGCCACCUUGCUCCCGGGGCUUGCAGAUGUCAGACCAGCUGACCAUGUGGUACUUCUGCUUAUCAUGCUCACCAACCCAGUAGAAGCGAGACUGGAUCGUAGCAAUCUCCUUAUGUAGGGACUCAUGGAGGCUAUAGAAGCUCAUAAGGAACAACAGCAGGCUAGAGAGAGAAGAGUUGAUAAGAAUAGUUCGGGCCGCCUUGGAGAGCCAUCUCCCCUGCCAGGGCUCACACCGGGACUGGAGCUUAGAGAUAGCGGGCCUCAAGUCCGCGGCAGAAAGGCGCGAGUCGCUAAUGGGGGUCCCUAAGUAGGAGGAGGGGAAAGAGCCCAGGCGGCAAUUAAGCCGCUUGGCAAUGGCCAGAGACUCAGCGGGGGAGUAUCCCAUUACCAUGACGUCGCUCUUAUCAAAGUUGAUCUUGAGACCUGACAUCUGUUGGAAGCAUAUAAGGAGGAACUUGAGGUUGGCGAUGUCCAUCUCCGAGCCUUCGACCAUGAUGAUCGUGUCGUCAGCAUACUGAAGGAUGGAAAUCCCGGAUCCCCCAGAGAGAUGUGGGGUAAUCCCACGAAUGUGGCCAGCCGCCUUGGCCUUAUCAAGAAUGGCAGCCAAGGCGUCCACCACCAUAUUGAAGAGGAACGGGGAGAAGGGGUCGCCCUGGCGAACCCCACAGAGGGUAGGGAAGAAGGGACCAACCUCGCCGUUGAUGUUAACCGUCGUGCGACCGCAAGAGACCAUUUGCAUGACUCUAGUGAUCCAACGGUCAUCAAAGCCCUUCCGAAGAAGGACUUCUCUAAGGAAAGUCCAGCUGACCGAGUCAUAGGCUUUGUGAAAAUCGAUCUUCAAGAAAACCGCCUUGAGGUGUUUGGACCGGACCUCGUGAAGGACCUCAUGGAGGACCAAAACACCAUCCAGGAUAUAUCGUCCUCUAAUGAAGGCCGACUGGUUAGGAUGCGUAAUCCGGUCAGCCAGCAGGGUCACCCUAUUGGCGUACCCUUUGGCCAAGAUCCGGAAGAUCACAUUAAUGACCGUGAUCGGCCGGAACUGGAGGAUGUCAGACGCCCCAGGGAUCUUGGGGAUGAGGGAGAUGAUCCCAUAGUUGAGGCGACCUAGGUCGAUGGCACCCACAAAGAAUUCCUCAAAGAUGGCCAUGACCUCGGGUUUAAUCACGUUCCAGAAGGUCUGGAAGAAAAUAACAGGGAGGCCAUCAGGACCGGGAGCUGAAGAGGAAUUCAUCCCCUUGAUAGCCUCCCAGACCUCCUGCUCGGAGAAGGGAGCCGUCAGGGCGGCAUUUUCCGCCCUGGAGACUAGCUGAAUACCGGCCCAACAAUCCUGGGCGAGGGAAACGCCGCUCCGAGGAGCAGCGGAGAAAAGGGACCGAUAGAAGCCAUCGACAUGAGACCGGAUGUCGCGAGGGUCCUGAAGAAGAGUGUCCCCAUCCCAAAGGAGGGGUAUGGUGUUGCGCCUACGGCGACCGUUGGCGAUCGCCUGGAAGUAAGCGGUAUUCGCAUCACCCUUCAGGACCCACUUCUGGGCGCCCCGAAUGCGCCAAUAGGCCUCCUCAUCAGAGUGGAUCACGGAGAGUUGGUCUUCGAGGGCAUAACGGGAGAGCCAGUCAUCCGGAGACAAACCCACCGAGUCAGCCCGUAGGUCAAGAGCUUGAAUCGCGGAAAGCAGCGCUUUCUUGCGCUCUCUGGCAUCUCGCCCAAGGUUGGCCCCCCAUCCCUUCAUAAACUGUCUACCGCGUUUCGCACAGAAAUGCCACGUGUCAAUAGCCGAGGGAGGCCUGGGAUGGGGGUGGGCUCGGGCCUCAAUCCACCGGGCGCAAACCGCGUCCGUGAAUCCUGCCUGGGAGAUCCAGAAGGUCUCAAAGCGGAAGCGAGGAGUGAUCGGCGGGCGAUCGUCCGCAGAGGAGAGAAGGAGGGGGACAUGGUCCGAGCCAAUCCUAGUGAUGGCGCGGAGAGAGGAGAGGGGGCAACGGAGGUCCCAAUCCGGGGAGACAAGGACCCUGUCCAACACGGACUGGGUCGGGGAAGAUUGUCGAUUGGUCCAGGUGAACCGCGCACCAAUCCUAUCAAUCUCCCGAAGGGCGAGGUCAGCGAUGAAGUCAUUAAACAUCUGCAUUCUGGCAAAGCACACAUUGUCGUUGCUCUUGUCUGCCGCCACGCGCAGCAGGUUAAAGUCGCCACCCACCACCACGGGGAGGGAGGCAGCCGAGAUUUUAAGAUGAAGCUCAUCGAGGAAGGCAGCCGACCUACUAUGGUCGGCAGGCCCGUAGACAAUGAUGAUCUCCCAUUUGAAGUUGAGAGAUCUCUCGAAGAGCUCCAUGCUGACAUAGAAUUCCCCCCGGUCCAUACUGCCCACCUCGAAUGUGGCAUCCUUUACGCCUAAAGGAUGCCACCCGAGUGGCCCGAGCUCCCACUAGAAGGGAGCCAAUGCCACGCAAAGAGGUGGGAACUCAAACGAUCGAGCUCGGGGAGCGAGAAUUCGCGACGCAUGGUCUCCUGGAUAGCAACGAUGUCGAUGUGUUCCUCUCGCAUGUACUCCACAAGUUGGCGGCGACGACCCUCAUGGCCGAAGCCGCGGAUGUUCCAGAAGAGGGCCCGCAUUAUGGGGCCAUCGGGGGGCUGCUUGACCCCAGGACACGGGAGGCGCUUUGCGCGCGAAGAGCGGCAGUGCGGGAGCGGGUACGGCCUCGGAUCUCGCUCGGAGGUGGGGGAGCCGGUCGCCGCGGCCCGGAGGAAGAGGGAGGGAUCCCGUCCGCAGGGGCGUCCAGGGGGGAAAGGAGAGCAGCACGGGGCUCGGCAAGCUUCCCCUCAAGGAUCUCGCAGGCCCGGAUGGCAGCUAUCUGAACUAAAGGGGGGCCAACCUCCCCCCUGAAAAUAAUCGCAGAGUCGGAGGCCACUUUGGCAAGGCUGCCUAGGGGGAUAGAUUCUAGUGCAGAGAAGGAACAAGACGAAGCAGAGGGGGGGACAGGGGGUGUACCUGGCUCCAGGUUACGGGCAGCCGCGCGAAGCUCUGCUCGCUCGCGAAUGGGCAGAGCCGGGGAUCCCUCCGGGUGGGCCGCAUCCAGCCGCGCGCUCCGGCGAGAGGCCACCACCGGGGAGGAGGUCGACCUGCCGCGACGGGAGUACGCUGCAGUGCGGUGGGGAGGGGGCUGGGACGCCGUCGGGGUGAGCACGCGGGACGCCCCCUCCCUCAAGACCGGCGAAGAGGGCGACGUCGGCUGAGCUGGACCGGCGAAGCCAAAGAGGAGAGACUCAGCCAGUGGCGGCCCGGCCGGAGGUGGAGGAGGCGGAGGCGACGUGACGGGGAGAGGCGACGGAGCCGGGCCGUCGAGCGGGAGGGGGAGGGCGGCCUGGGCAUCCACCCUCCGAGGGGGGGACGGGUCGAGUGGGGCGCAGGCUGCCGGAGAGAAGGGGACCGCCGUCGGCGAAGCCCGCCCCUCCACAGGCGCCACCGACUCCCCGUGGGUGGAGGAGGCGACGAAGAGCAGGUCCGCCGAGAGCGUCCCAAUGGCAGGGGACGACAUAGGAGAGCGCGGGGAGGAGGCCGGGCGGACCAGCAUGCCCACACUGGAGAUGUCGCUCCCCUCGGAGGAGGAGACUGGCGCGAGAGCAAAGUCAGCCAGCAGAGGAAGGAGAGCGGCCUUGCGGCCCUGGUCCCCCCCCUGUCGGUGGGGGGUGGCGAGGGAGAGGGGGAGCGGGAGUCCUCAGAACCCCCCUCCUCAUCCGAGCGACGGGAGCGGUGCCGCCCGUGGUAGUCCCCACCGGCCCCCGGGUCGCCACCAGGGAGGCCAUCGUCGAAGGAACGGGACGCCCAAUGUGGUUGGGGGGCUCGGGGGCAAGUCUGAGGUCAAAGCCCUGGUCGUUGAAGAAGACGCGGACUGAGGUGCGGAGCUUGGUGGAGUCGACACACUUGACCUUGACCCGGACCUCCUCCUCCUUGCGGAGUGAGAGCUCGUCCACGGCCACCACCUUGCCCAGGAGACGGGACAUCUGGCGGAUGACGGGCUCGGACCGCGCAAUGUCGGGCAGGCCGGAGAUGAGGAUCCAGGCGGUGUCGAGGACAGCCACAGCCCGAGCGUCGAGAACCGGCUCGGAAAUCUCGACCACCAGCUGGUUGAGGGCGAGGGUGAUCCGGCCACUACGCGUCGCGUAGCCGUAGCUGGCAGAGUCGGGGAAGACGACGGGGAAGAUGUGGCCCGCGGUAGGAGUGGCCACCCAAUCCCAUUGUUGGCGGUAGAGGUGGUUGAGCUCCGCCUCGAUCAUCUCCGGGGAUGCCACGCCAUCGACGACAGUGACAAUCGCCUGGAGGGAGGGAGACGGUGGAGGAGCAUCCGGAACCUCGAGGUGGAAGAAGCCCAACCCCUCAAUCCCAUGCCCAUACAUCAUGAGCUCGGAGACCACCGGUCUAUCCGGGCACAGGAUGGCGGGGUGGCCGGGAUCCUUGCAGAGGUAGCAGCACUGGGGGUUGACGCAGGUGACCUGAGAGUGGCCCCUCACCCCACAGUUGAAGCAGGGGGGGCGAGGGAGGCCGGAGACGGGGCCCGGCGCGGGAGUGGAGCCAUGGCCCGCCGGCGGAGGCACGGGCGGCGCGGUGCGCACGCCACGCCUCUUCUUCUUUUUGGUCGGACCGGACCGACCAUGGCUGGGGCCACCACCCGGAGCCAGGGCCGGGGCCGCACCCCCGUAGGCUGCGGCAUGGGGCGGCACAUAGCGUCGGGGUUCCACCGGGGUGGGGAGGAUCCCAUCCCGGGGUCGGGGCGGGCUCGGCCGCGCGGUGCGGGAUGGGGAGGGAGAGCGGGCCCGACGGGAGGGUGGCGACGGAGAGCGCCGGCGACCACGCCAAUCGCCCGAGGAAGCCCUAGGGGAGCGGGACCGUCCACGGCCCUCGCGGCGGGGAGGAGAUCGGCGGCGAUCGCGGAGCUCGCGGAGCUCCCUCCGGAGCUCCUCCUCACGUCGAAGGCUGUCGGGGGAGGGGCGAGCAGGCUCCCGGUGGAGCUCGCCAGCCUUGCGCUUGUCCCGAGGCGCGGGAUCAUCCCACUCCCAUGGCAUGGCGCGCGAUGGCGAGGAGGGAGGGGACGGAUCCGGGNNNNNNNNNNNNNNNNNNNNNNNNNNNNNNNNNNNNNNNNNNNNNNNNNNNNNNNNNNNNNNNNNNNNNNNNNNNNNNNNNNNNNNNNNNNNNNNNNNNNNNNNNNNNNNNNNNNNNNNNNNNNNNNNNNNNNNNNNNNNNNNNNNNNNNNNNNNNNNNNNNNNNNNNNNNNNNNNNNNNNNNNNNNNNNNNNNNNNNNNNNNNNNNNNNNNNNNNNNNNNNNNNNNNNNNNNNNNNNNNNNNNNNNNNNNNNNNNNNNNNNNNNNNNNNNNNNNNNNNNNNNNNNNNNNNNNNNNNNNNNNNNNNNNNNNNNNNNNNNNNNNNNNNNNNNNNNNNNNNNNNNNNNNNNNNNNNNNNNNNNNNNNNNNNNNNNNNNNNNNNNNNNNNNNNNNNNNNNNNNNNNNNNNNNNNNNNNNNNNNNNNNNNNNAGGGGGGCCAGAUCGAGGGAGUUGUCAACGCCCUGGGCCUAGGUUCAGAAGUAGGCCGGCCCAGCCGGGGGGGAUGGGGGGGAGCUGAGCGGGCCGGUCCGAGGUAGGCCGGGGGAGGCCCAGGAGCGUGCAUGGGGGGUCCAACAGCCGGGGCGGGCCAGGGCCCAACAGCCCAGCCACCCGAGCGGUGCGGCCCACCAGCCGAGUGAGGGCGGGGCGGAGGGCUGGAACCCUACGGCCGCCAGCCAUGGGCACCGCCGCCGGCAUGGGGACGAGAAGGGAGGGCGGGAGGGCCACCGCGCCCCGGACCGCCUGCACCCGGAGACCGGAGGUCCCGAAGUGAGCGAUAAAUGGCCGGUACGGGGCGGCGCGGCGCGCCCGGCGCGAGAGAGCCGAGGAGGAGGAGUCCGCCGGCGCGAGAGAGCUGGGACCCGGCGGCCUAGCCGCCACCCCCGGGCGGCGCCACGAGGAGCAGGCGGCGCCCCUAUCGGAGCGCCCAGCCACGCCCCAGGUGCGCCCGUGCCUGCGACGGGGGGCCCGGCCGGCCAAGGUCCCAGCUUGGGAGGGGGCGGACCGGGGAGGGCUGAGAGGAGCCGAUGGGGGGGAGAGGGGCGCCCGCUAGCCGGGAGCCGAACCCCACACGCGGGGGGCUGAGCUCCCGGGCCGGCAGGAAGGGGGAGGCCGGCGACCGGGGCAUNNNNNNNNNNNNNNNNNNNNNNNNNNNNNNNNNNNNNNNNNNNNNNNNNNNNNNNNNNNNNNNNNNNNNNNNNNNNNNNNNNNNNNNNNNNNNNNNNNNNNNNNNNNNNNNNNNNNNNNNNNNNNNNNNNNNNNNNNNNNNNNNNNNNNNNNNNNNNNNNNNNNNNNNNNNNNNNNNNNNNNNNNNNNNNNNNNNNNNNNNNNNNNNNNNNNNNNNNNNNNNNNNNNNNNNNNNNNNNNNNNNNNNNNNNNNNNNNNNNNNNNNNNNNNNNNNNNNNNNNNNNNGGGGGGAACGGGGGGUCCUCCGCGCAGUCAGCCCAGGAGAAACGGCCCGGCGCCACUGCGGAGGCGGGGGAGGCCGGCCGAGCGGAGGCGGGGGAGGCCGCGGGGGAGGGAGGGGCGAGGCGGGAGGCCGCCGGCGAGGGGGCGGCGGCGUCGCGCGCAGGAUCGCCCGUAGGGUCGCCAGCCAUUCGUCCCAGCCAGUCCUUUCGUAUCAACCUUCGUACGUCAAACACUGUAGUUCCCAGGUCCAAAAAUUACCUUUGUCUGGUGUGUCUUUGAUUGAUCAUGUGCCAUUUUCAAAGAAGGCUGUCGUGUUUGUCGAUUCGGUCAUGGCUCUUAGUGUUUGUUGUUGUUGCUCGAUCUUCCCAUGGUAUGUAGUGCUACUCUGUUCUUCUUUCUGUGAAAGGAUAUGCUUUCUCCUUUAACAUACUGAAUGAAGUUUCAUGAAGAAAGAGUUGUUUUAUGUUACUUCCGAGGAACUGGCAUUUUUGAUUCGUGCCAUGGUGAUUAACAGAGCAUCCAAUGGGAUAUUGCUUUUCUUCAGAAAGUAUUAUGGAUAUGAGGCCGCAAGCUUUCCGCAUGGCUCUCUGCCUAUUGUUUUGGCACAUCUUUGAAUUAAUUUCUUCAAUUUGGCGGGGCUGUUCAGACUUCAGAUUUUUUUUUGGUUUGAAUGUAAGUAAUAUCCCUCUUUGUGCAUGUGUGCUUCUAUGUAUUUCCGGCUUCUCUAUUCACUGCCUAUGGAAUGCUUAUAUAUAUUAGCCUGUAGUUUACUAUUUUGAUCUCAGUUCAUAUUUUUGAUGCAUUUAUUUAAACUAAAAUAACUUGGAUAAUAAGCCUUUCCAUUUAAGUACUAUCUGUAUUUCCUUUGAGAGCAAUUUAGCUCAUAAAGAAAAAAAAUGCUUCAUAGCCAUUCUUACAUUGUCUAUAGCCAAUACUCCUAUUUGAAGCUAUUGAAGAAUUUCCCAUUUUUCUCUAAUACGAAGUACCUUCUCUGACGUGCGGUUAGCAUAUAUAUAUGAUAUGGCUACAACAUAUAUAGUUUUCCUUCUAAGACUGCUGCAAAUAAUCUCAUGCUUGCUGUCAUCAUAUACACAUAGUAUAGAUGAAGUUGGAUGAUAAUUCUCUCGUAUCACUAUGUGGAGCCUGAGCCUCAUACCAAGGUAGUCAGAAUCCCGACUCGACUGCUAGAAUCCUACGACUUCACGACCCUACGAAAGCAUGUCGAUCCAAGUCCCACUAUGAUUCCAGAUCAGGUAGAGUCCAUGUUGAGUCGCGAUCCAUAUCAUAGAAUCCAGUACAAAACCGCGGAAUCCCGACUAUGCUAUGGACUAUGCCCGAUUCUACUAAAUUAUCUAAGCCAUUUGUUUAGUUGUAGCAGAAUACUAUGCCGUCAUUCGGACCCUUUUUCACAUGCUCAUGGCCCUUUAUUCCCCUCCCAAGCCCAAACGCUCAGUCGCUGACAUCUUUAUUUGGCUCUCAGAAACCCUAGAUCAAAAUGAGGAUCAGGCUUGUCGACGGAUGGAAUUAGCAUAAGAAGGAGGAUGCGUCAAGAUCAAUCGGAGAAGGAGAGAAAGAUCCGUCAAGGUUCAACACUGCGGAUUAGCUAUACAAGUGAUCGACUAUUCAUGAACUCUUAAAAAACCUCCUAAGUAAAUUUCAUGCACGAAAGAUUUAAAGGUUCUAUAUAUUUCCCUCUCAUAUGUGUUCCAUACAUGCAAGCUAGAUUGUAGGAUAGCCAUGAAAAAAAGUGGAAUACAACUAGCAUUGAUGUGUACGUUUUUUCUCUAUAUUUAUUAUUAGAACUCCAUAGAAUCCAUAUAAAUUUUCGGCGUGGAUACAAAAUAUCUUAUUUGAGAAAAUCUAGUAGAAUCCUCGAUUCCACGACUCGAUACUACGACUCGAUUCUGUCUAAGGAAAAUCGAUCCGACUCCGAAUCCCGACUUUGACUACCUUGCCUCAUACUAAUCUUGCACGGUCAAGUUUAUUCCUGCAAUUUAAUGUUACGAUUUAUGCUAAUGUAAACAUGACCAAGCUAGAGGAGAGCUUUGGUUUUUUUUCGUAUUUGUUCUGAUAACAUAAUGUCUCCUAGGUUCGAUACUGUCUUCUCUCCAAUCUUGUUCCCUUCCCAGCUUCCACCCAUCUUCAUGAGCAAGUGUAGCUCCAUCCAUGACAAAGGUAUAUAGAUCAGAGAGGUCUGAGGAGGGACAGGGUUGGAAGCUAGGAAGGGAAGUAAACUUCCUGAGCUUCAGUUCUAGGUGAAAAGAGAGUGUUUUUUAUUUUGUAUUUACUUUUUUUUUCUCCGACCAAAGAAUUGUUUUGUUGGACUAUACGACUGGAUUGAAGUUGCUAGCCUGAACGCAAAUUUCCUUGAGAUGGUUCAUUACCAAAAUCCUUAAGAGAUGUUUGAAGGUGGGUCAGUGAGUGGUGAUGAUGUUCAUGAGAAUUCCCACACAUUGGUAAUUUUUAUAUGGAGGUGCAGAGUGCCAGGAUCUCAAAUCUAGAGCAAUCUUGUGUCAGUGUUCACGUAUUGUGAUUAUCUAUGUGGCAUUGGGAUAGUAAGUUCCCCCGUCCAUACAAGGGCGCUAUUUACAAUAUGAGGGAACUUAUGAUUUAUAGGAGCUACAACUUAUGAUUUAUAAUGCUGCUCUUCCAUGGUUAUAUAUAAAAUAAAACAAAUUAAGUCUUUCCUUUCGGUUUUCAUCACAGUUCCUUUUCAUGAUUCUGUAGCACUGGAAUGAUUAGUUUGUUCUUCAGUAACUUCUUCUUCAGUAUCAUAGUUAGUAAACAUAUGAGGUUUGGCAAGUUAGUAUUUACCAUUGAUGCUUGAAAUAAAUAGCAUGACUGGUGUUGCACCAUGUGUGUGUAGGUUUUUCCUUUUAGUUUACUUAUAUAUGCCUCUCCUAUAUUCUAAAACAAAUUCGAACUGUUAGUAUUUACCUUAAUCUCUUCCACAUGGAAGAUAGGAAAACUACAUACGGAAGGAUGAGUUCUAUAGCGUAUCAGAUUCAGGCAUUUGCACUAUUUUCUUGAUUACCUCACUAUGAUUAUUGUUGUAGACUUUUAGUAUAUUCCUCACAGGCGAACCCGUAUUUUCUUCAAAUCUAUAGCACACAUCUUUUUGCUAUAGUCAUUUCGCCAUGGAUGCAACAGUCUAGGAAAACAAGAUACCUGUCUGUUUUCAUUCAUUUGCCUUUUUAUGUGAGAAGUGCCUCCAUGGGAUUAGCGACGUGUAUUUAUGCUUACCCCUUUUUAGUGUUUGGUGAAGCCGAUGGACUGUGAACAUUAUGUACCACAUAUUCUGGCCUUUUGCCUUUUUAUUACUUAUAAUAUGUCAUGACAAUUUAUUUUCCUGAGUCAUUUAGUCAAACUAGCCAGUCAAGGAUAGCCAAUGGUCUUUUGGCUAUUUGUUUGUUCAUUUAAUUCAACAUGCAUGUUUCUGGAGUAGUCUUGGCGCAAGACACAUAAUCAAAGUUGAUUUUCUUAUAAGCUGAUCAUCACAUAGCUAAUUGGUAGUUACACUAGCUGAGCUUGUCCUAUGCUCAUUGUACAGGAUAGAUAGUGUAUGUGAUCUUCUUGAUGAGGAGAAGUCUUUUUAGAGAUUCCAAUAUAAAUUACAUACGGAUGUAUAUAGACAUAUUUUAGAAUGUAGAUUCACUUAUUUUGUUCUGUAUGUAGUCCGCAUUGAAAUCUCUAAAAGGACAUAUUUAGGAACGGUGGGAGUUGGAUACGAUUAAGUAUUUAAAUUAGCCAUAUGAGCACUGUUUCUUUGAGUGCCACAAGGAUGUCAUCUUUAUUCACAUGUUAUGUGUUAUGUGUUAUGUCACAUCAACUUCUGCCCUUUUGUUUUCUGCAGAACACAACAACUGUUCGUCACCUAAAAGGACAGGAUGACACCAAAGGAGUUAUGAUAGUAGCACUUAUAGGCAUCGAGGAAUUGACAAAGAGAUUACGCUUCAUAGGUAUGAAGUUAGAACAACGGCUGGAAACUAUCAAAGGCCGUUUCUAAUUACCUUUGUUGGAUCUGUCUUACCUACAAUGCAUGUGUGACCCCUGGAGAAGCCACUUUUUGUUUCUUCUGCAGUAUACUCCAUGUUUAGUUCCAAUGAUGCCCUAACCCUUUUGUUCCUGCUCUGAAGAAUAAGACAUGUAUAGGCUUCAGAUUUUUGUAAUCAUCUAUGUGCUAAACAUCCCUUUGUGGUCAUGUGUUUUAUAUGUAAUCAAGUAUCUAUCCAUGAUGAUAUAUAUGCCCAGCUAAUGUUUGAAAAGAUCCAUCAUCUGUAUCACCACUGCUGGAUAACCGCUAUAAAUCUACUAGCAGUACCGGUCAUAUAAAAUAGCUACCGUUACUGAUGGAUAACCAUUAUAAAUAUAUCAGCUAAUGUUUCUUUCAUUUAUUUGAUUUAACUUUUUAUUUUUUGAUUUGGCAUCUUUUUUAGACAAAAUAAUUUAAUUUAGUUGUGCCAAUUCAAAUUUACACCAUGUUGUUGGGCUUAGAAAAAAGGUAAAUAAUAAAUUAAGUUUUGUUGUGUCGACAUGGGCACCAGACACGGUUGCUGACGCCUUGACCUUAUCAAUCCCCUUCUUCCCUCCGUGUACCAAACCUUCUCUCGCUCACCCUUUGUCUUCCAGACCAUCGUCGUUGUUCCUCAACUUUGAUUGCAAUAUCAACACGUCAGUUCCUCAGGUGGAUCCUCACUGAAUCAGACCGCUUAACAGGCGAACCUUUACAAACAUGGUAUUAUUUCAAUUUUGUUUUAGUGUUGUUCCUUAGAGACAUGGUCAAAGACUGAGAAAUUUUAGAUUCACUUGCAUCUUGGUUUGCCCGUGACUGAAAUCAAUAUUUGUUCGUUGCUAACAAAAAAAGAUCAGUCGUCUCAUGCAGAUGCAUACCCUGUUGAUAUGUUACUGCUCAUUUUAGAAGUGUUUGAUUCAUCCUAGCUAAUUCAAGUUAACCUGGGUACAACAAUAGAUAGACAUUUAUUUAUGGACAACAAUAGUAGUGAGCAGGCAAUGUAAAAUGCAUUUCUGUUAGUUCGACGAAACUGACGGUACUUUGUUCUUGCUUCUAUAUCCUGAUUAGGCAAUUUUAUGAUCGGUCUCUAAAUAUUUCAACUUGCAUGGUUUGAAUUAGUUUCACGUGCUAAAGUAUAUAGUUUGAACAUAGGAAUUCCUUAAUUUUUCAUAUAAAAGGUUUAGAAUUAUUACCCUUAGUGCUUGCUAAAACUCAAAGUUGCUAACAAAUGCAAAGGUUUCUGUUACAAAAGGUUUAGAAUCAUUACUCUUGAUGCUUGAAUUUGGACCUUGCACCUUACUUGGGUAACAUAGAGCCAAAUGACACAUUUUCCAAAUUCACGUUCAAAACACUUCGGGUUUGACAUGGUCUCUAUCCUUGAUCAAACAUAAAGUUACUAUAAAAGGCAAAUAUUUUUCAACAUGAACAUGGUUUCAAAUGGGUCUCUGCGCCAUUUGGCGCACCGGGUCAUCUAGUAUAUUUAAAACUCAAUGUAUCUCCUCUCACCGGUUAACAUUGUAGAAGAUUUAGUUUUAAUUUAACACCUUCUCUGCUAGUAUACUAGGACAGAGCACCUAACCGGUUGACUCUACAAAGUAAAACUGUGUGUCUCUGUAGUCGUUUAUUUCACCAUAAGAAACUUGAUCCCAAUGAACAAGAUAAACAGUAGGCAUGAAACAAGCCAUCAGUUAGCUAGCCAUUGUCUCAAUAGUUGAUUAGUUCUUGUCCGGAUGCAAUCUGCCCAAUCCCAAUUCAUGGAGUACUAGUAUUCGUACUAGUCUAAUUGAAACACCCACUAAAAUUAGCCCUGGCACUUGCAUUCCCGCGAACCAUAAUACAACGAGAAGCUAGCUAGAAGGUUCAACUAUUUGCUCAUUCUCAGAUCAGUUUGCAGGGAUGGUAACCGCUAAUACCAUCAUGCAACACAGAUCCAAUUAACCAUGGAUUAUACUACUGUUGUUAAUACCCAGAACCAAUGCGUCGCUAAUAAGAUUAGAGGAACACGUACCAAAAGAAGACAAAGCUUUAGGCUAGUCAUAGUGGGGAGUAACUUAGACUAGUGUCAUGCAUAUGACACUAGUCUUUAUUACUACCUUCAUAGUGCAAAGUAACAUACAAGUAGUAUCAUAAAUGAUAGCAUUUAUUACAUUAUAGACUCAUUUUGCUUUGGGUUGCGUUAUGUUACAGUAACAUAUUAUGUUACUCCAAACACCUCUUUCCUCAUUAACUCUGUGCCACAUAAGCAAACCUAUCUUGAAAUGCGCUAUGUUAGUUGCUAAGUUACUCCCACUAUGACCAGCCUUAGGCCGCUGUAGGAGCAGGUCUCCUUCGACUUCGGCAGAGAGGUUGCGGCUUCGAUGGUGGUGCGGCCUGGGAAAGCCGCCACGGCGCUCGAUCUGAGGAACGGCUCGGGUGGCGCGUCGGGAAGGCGGCCUUCGACUCCGGUUCGCAAGAUGGCGUCAUCACCCCAGGUCCUCGCGCCGGCGGUUCCGUCUACGCACUCGUGAGAUGGGAUCGGAGAUAUGCGACAGUUAAGUGGGAUUGACAGAGCGAGGCACAAUGUUUCCAAGAAAAAGCCACGGACCAUAAUACCCUUCUUGAUUAAAUUAAGUAUUUUAAUUGACAUGUCAAAAUCAACGGUGGGAAAUAAUCAGAAGAGGAGUUACAGGAAAUUACGGCUCGUAACUUUCCAAUCACCGUAAAAGAGCUCAAUGCAAAAAGAUUGUGCACAACAAUUUUUUUAUAUGUAUAAAUACUUUCUUAGAAAUUAUUUGAAUAUUUUGCUUAACAUAUUACUUUCCACAAAAAUCUCUUUCACAGAUGCCAGAACAUACUUUUAGCAUGCGUUUGGUUGCAAGGAUGGCAGCGGAUGGGCUGGGAUCGUCCAAAAAAUAGACAUGUUUGCUUAUAAAGCACUUGAACGGUUCGAGUCAAAAAAAAAAGAAUAUGCCUUGAAGAUGCCGAAUCAUUCCACCCAACGAAAUCGGUCGAAUCAAAUGGCCACCCUUUGCAUGCAUGACCAUGUGAGCAUGAUAGGUGGUCCCAUCCUAAAUAACUAGUGCAUCUCUUAUAUUUAGCCAAACACAUGAAUUGAAUGGUCCCAUCAAAAAAAAUUGGGCGGUCUCAACCCAUUCAUAUAUACCACAUCUUCAACCAGCCGCAUCCAUCAUAAUACAUUUUUGUAUUGAGCUAGUACCAACUAGACAUCAGGCAGGGAUGAAACAGCAACCAAUUCCAAUCAAUAAUGCGAAUUUUCUAUCCGACGGUUGUGAGUAAAUAAAAAAACAUUUGAGGGGUUGCAAAAGUUACUAGUUCUCAACUAUUGCUAUUUUUGUAAAAGAAAACAUUUUUUUUCGAAAAGGAGGUAUACCCUCGGCCUCUGCAUCUCUUGAUGCACACAGCCAUUUAUUAAAAAGUAUCUCAAAGGUUUCAAAGGUUCCAAACGGAGGUCUCAAAAAUAAACAAAGGUCGUACUAAGCGAAGAAAAGCCACAAGCGGCCAAAAAUAAAAAUCACAACCGGCGCCAGCAAGACUAGGAGACUAAACGUCUAUCCUAUUAUUGGACCGCCAUCCAAACCGGUUGUAAGUAUCCCGUGCAACCAUCUCCCAUCAGCUGCACCCAAUAUCCAUAUGCUCCCUGUGGUCCGCACGACUGAGUAAUGACCACGUACGGAUCCAAGUAGACGCUCUGAAGAUGACCUGCAAAAAGUUGGUAAUGGUUUGUCUGUUAAAUGUAACGUCGUUGCGAGAAUUCCAUAAAGACCAAAGUAAUGCACAUGCUCCCACUCGGAUAUGUGCCGCGGACUUUGGCUCCACUCCAGUCAACCAGUUAUCAAAUAAAUGUGAUAUCGUGCGAGGUGGAGUUAUGUUGAAUGUAACAUGGAUAGUUCUCCAAAGCAGUUUAGCAAGUGGACAUUUGAUAAAUAUAUGUUCUAUUGUUUCAAGCUGAUCACAAAAGCAACAUCUUUUACUUCCUUCCCACUUACGCUUAACUAAGUUGUCUUUAGUAAGAAUGACACCCUUAUGCACAAACCACAUAAAAACUUUUAUCUUCAAGGGCACCUUAACUUUCCAAAUAUGAGCCGUCCUUGGGAUGGUCCCGGUAUUAAUCAAAUCCAUGUACAUGGAUUUAACCGAGAAGACCCCUGAGCUGGAAAGCUUCCAUUGCAAAAUGUCAGGUACAUCCGAAAGGUUAACCUCCAUUAACCUACGUACAAGAUGUAUCCACCUAGUCCAACGAUCGCCAAUAACAGACCCUCUAAACUGUAUGUUAAGCGGGAUAGUACCCAACACUGUAGCAACGGAAACCUCUUUCCGCUGCGCAAUGUUGUAAAGGGAAGGAUACUGUAAGGCCAGCGGCGAAUCUCCUAACCAAGUAUCCUCCCAAAAUCGAGUAUCCCGUCCAUUCCCGAUGAUAAAUUUGAUCCUGUUAAAGAACGCCACUUUCUUCCUCAUAAUCCCUUUCCAGAAUGGUGAGUCAGUCGCUUUUACCGUAACGUGGGCUAGUCUUUUGGCAUAGAGAUAUUUGUUACGCAAUAGCUGAGCCCAAACUCCAUCACUUUCUGUGCAUAACCGGUAUAACAUUUUCUGAGUAAGCACCUAUUUUUCACCUCCAAGUUUUCAAUUCCCAAGCCUCCCUGGUCCUUUGGUCUACAAAUUACAUCCCACUUUGCCAAACGAUACUUAUUAUUGUUCUCAUCAAUUUGCCAGAAGAAUCUAGAUCGAUAAAAGUCCAAUCUUUUCCGUACCCCAACCGGGACUUCAAAGAAAGAGAGGAGGAACAUGGGCAUACUUGUGAGUACAGAAUUAAUAAGCACCAAUCUUCCUCCAUAAGACAAAAGUUUUCCCUUCCAGCAACUUAGCCUCUUUUCAAACCGAUCCUCGAUACAUUUCCAUUCUUUAUUUGUGAGCUUACGAUGAUGAAUCGGAAUCCCUAGGUACGUGAAGGGUAGUGUGCCUAUUUCACAGCCAAAGAGCUGCUUGUAGGUUUCUUGUUCUUCUCUGGCGCGUCCAAAGCAAAACAGCUCACUUUUAUUAAAAUUAAUUUUCAACCCUGAUAGUUGUUCGAACGGGCAAAGCAAUAACUUCAUGUUUCUGGCCUUAACAAGGUCAUGUUCCAUAAAAAUGAUGGUAUCGUCGGCAUAUUGAAGAAUGGACACCCCACCUUCAACCAAAUGUGGUAUGAGCCUCCCUACUUGACCGUCCUGUUUUGCUCUAUUAACAAGAACAGCCAACAUGUCAACCACGACAUUAAAGAGAAUUGGCGACAUCGGGUCUCCCUGUCUCAAUCCUUUUAACGUCUGGAAAUACUGGCCAAUAUCGUCAUUUACUUUGAUGCCUACACUACCCCCUUGUACAAAUGAUUCAACCUGCUUCCUCCAGGCCUCAUCAAAUCCUUUCAUACGUAAGGCCUGCUGUAAGAAUGACCACUUCACUUUAUCGUAUGCCUUUUCAAAAUCCACUUUGAAGACCACUCCAUCGAGCUUCUUCGAGUGAAUUUCGUGUAAAGUCUCAUGAAGAACGACCACUCCCUCGAGGAUGUGUCGAUCUGGCAUGAAGGCAGUCUGUGUUGGCUGUACCACCGAAUGAGCAAUCUGAGUCAGACGGUUUGUACCAACUUUUGUGAAAAUCUUGAAGCUUACAUUGAGUAGACAUAUCGGCCUGAAUUGCUCAAUGCGAAUCACUUCCGCCUUCUUUGGUAACAAUGUAAUAGUCCCAAAGUUAAGCUUAAAAAGUUGAAGGUGGCCAUUAAAUAGAUCAUUGAACAUGGGCAUCAAAUCGCCUUUAAUAAUACCCCAACAUUUCUUGUAAAACUCAGCUGGGAAUCCAUCCGGACCAGGUGCUUUGUUAUUUUCCAUUUGGGAUAUUGCGUCAAACACCUCCUUCUCAGAGAAAGGUGCAGUUAUUACUUCGUUCUCUUCAUCUUUCAGUUGAGGAAUGUCGUCCACCAUGCUCUCAUCGAGGGCGACAUAAUUCUCAGCUGGGGCCCCAAACAGUUUUUUAUAAUAGUUGGUAAUAUACAUUUUAAGGUUUUCAUGACCAACAAUCGUACCCUCAUCUUGUUCAAGUUGAAUGAUUCUCUUCUUCCUAUGUUUCCCAUUGGCAAUCAUAUGGAAAAAUUGAGUAUUAUUAUCUCCUUGAACCACCUGGCGCACUUUCGCUCUACGUGCCCAUUUCAACUCCUCCUCUCUAAGAAGCUUAGCUAGCAAAACCUCGGCUUCUCUUUUAGACACUCGCUCAUCCAUAUCCAGCGCAGUACUUUCAGCUUUUAUGUCUAGGUCAUUGAGGAUCUUUAACAAUCUUUCUUUCUCCUUUCUAUAAACCCCGCUAUUGUUCUUAGCCCAUCCUCUCAAGAACUGUCUAAGAUGUCGAAUCUUAUUCUGCCACCGAUCAAUAUUUGUCUCUCCCCUUUGUUCCGCCGCCCAUUCCCUUGCUAUCAACGCAAGGAAAUUUUCUCUCUCGAACCACACAGUUUCGAAAGAGAAGACAUUCGUGUUGCCUUGGUGAGCCGCCUCACCAGAGUCUACAAGAAGGGGUGUAUGAUCAGAUAUUCCCCUUUGUAACGCUUGCACCGUCACAAGAGGGAAUUUUUGUUCCCAUUCUAUACUUGUGAGAACUCUAUCAAGUUUUUCAUACGUCGGAUUUGGAAGAUUAUUUGCCCAAGUAAAUUGCCUGCCUGUGAGAUCAAUCUCUCGCAGGUCCAGGCUUUCAAUAAUCGCAUUAAACAUGAAUGACCAUCUGCCAUCAAAAGAAAACAUUGGCAUUCAGUAAACAUUUUGCAGAUAGCACUCGUCGCUAACCAAGACCCCACCACCAUUAUCCUAGGCCAUUAAUCUGGACAUAGGGCCCGCUCGUCAGCAUCUAUUAUCCUCUCUCUCCCUCAGCCCCUUACUCUCAGUGGCAUUCCAUCGAACAACUCAGGUCAACUUCGGUGGGCAUGGGCGUCGCCUAGGGCGUGGUGACCAAGAAGGUCAAGACGAGGAUGAAUGCGCCAGGCGGUGUCUUCGUCAUGGCCGAGGACUGCACGGACACCGAGGUAAGAUGACGGUUUUGGGUCGCCACACAUGUCGUGAGCUACGCGUGGGCCAUUCUGUUCUCCAAAGAAAGUAUGGUCGGUUUACAUAAUUCAUUUCAUUCACAAAUUUGAAAUUUGAUGUCUUGCACUUUAUCGUAACAUCUUUUAUUGUCAUAGAGGUUAGAUUGUGUUUUCCUGUGUAUAUUUAGGUGGCGUUAAAAGGUAUACUCUGUUUUUUAUGGUUUUCUGGUGUCCGAAGGUGGGCACGGUUUAAGGUAUCUGUACUUGAAAGACGACUAAUUUGUUUUACCCAACGGGUUACUGCAUUACGUCUGCAUUACUGACCACCACUAAGAAUAAGAAAAUGGUGAUACAGUCUACAAUAGCUUUGAUAGGGAAUCUGUUUGCUUGCGCCGCUGCUAGUUAACACAGUUUAGGGGAGGAAAACAAAUCGUCUGUAGUGGCCGUUGCUUGCGUGACACGACCAGGCCAACACAUUGGCUUAUGCAGUCUUAAGUUCAGAGGACGGGGCUCCAUUACUAUUGGACGUACACUGAAAUGAACUAACAGAGAUGGAAAAAAUAGAAACGAAGGCAACGGUGCAUAUUGAGACUUGAGACAGAGGAAACGAUGGGCCUCAGAGCCGUGCUGCACUGCACUGAUAGGUGUUCUUUUGCCUCAAUUAUUUUGUAUGGUAGCUAGCAGAAUGACGACGUCUGCACUCCAGCCAUGCUCAUACGAAAAAUAAGGACAGAUCGGUGGAAAUUCUAACUCUGAAUGUCCUGAGUGCAGUUUCAGACUUGCUGCGGUUCAGUCCCAACUGACAAAACCAAAGAACCAACCAACUGUUAGGCAACAAGAAAGCAGAAGCAGGGCCUGAUGUACAUACAUGACCAAACUCACAAGUGACAACUCCAUACAUGAUGACACAGAACUACGUAACAAGGCGCUACGACGAAAGAUAAAUAAAAUAACAGUAACAGGACACUGUUUUGAAUCAUCCCCUUUGUGCUACAAAUUAAUCAUAAAAUGUACCUAAAUAUAGGGAGGGGAGGGGAGCACUGUUAUUUUUAGUUUCUCGAAGGUGCUGGUAUUCAUGGAGAAAGGGGAACAGGACAUGCAUUGAUAAUACUCCCUCCGUUCCCAAAUAAUUGUCUUUCUAGCCAUCUCAAAUAGACUACAACAUACGGAUGUAUGUAGAAAUGUUUAGAGUGUAGAUUCACUCAUUUUGCUCCGUAUGUAGUCACUUGUUGAAAUCUCUAGAAAGACAAUUAUUUGGGAACGGAGGGAGUAUGUCAUGUUUUGUAGCGUUUUAUCUGUUCAGUAUAUGAUCCUUCAGGAGUGUGGCUCAACCAAUACUACUGUUGGUAUUGCCGAGUGGAGACAACUCCUUUUUUUUUAUCAUUGGCCUGAAUGCAGUCCAUUUCUUAUUGUAGAUUGCAGCAGAUGUUCAGAAUGAACAAAUUACUUUUGCCUUGUUGUGUUUGCAGGCUUCGUCUCGUUAGGAGGACCUCUGUAGUCAGUUAUGAAGUCUGUACUCCCUGCCGUCAGUGUUGGAUGGAGUCCUGUUGGAACGGAGAUAGAGAUAAAGCAAGAUAUGGCAAGUUCAGAGAAGCAGAAUUUAUAGGAGUCAUUCGGAGUCGUGCGGUAGGUUGGUCUGUCAGAAUCUCUGAAAUUUCCGUAAGUACUUUGGUGAAUAUUUCUAGGAUUGAUAUGAAGCACUAUCACUUUAGUGAAAUUUCCAUCAGUAUAUUUUCUAGGUUUGUUUGCAUGAUUCUUUCAUUCACUGCCUAGCUCUAGUCCAUUAACCAACACUUGAGGGUCAGCGUUACGAUGUAUUAGUCGCCACGAAAGCUGGUCUUGGCAAAGGCUGGCGAUAUAUAGUUUCUUGAAAGGGACGAACUCAAUUUCCCGAACAGUAUAAAGGCUGGCGAUAAGAAAGUCAGCAGUCAUCGCCAUUAGCAACUGUAGAUAGAAUGCAAAACUCCAGGCAGACGAUGGUGAUGCAGAUGUAUUCCUGGAAAUCAGUAAAAGCUCAUCUUGGCUGGGACGGUAUCUGAAGUCGCAGAUUCAUGCUCAAGUCACAAGUAACAGAAUUGUAUUAUGUGUCUGAACUCCCUGCCGUCAGUGUUAAGAGUCGUGCUGUAAUGGAGAUGGGAAGAAAGUGGAAGAAGAAGCGAGAUGUGACCAGUUGAGAGAAGCAGAAUUUCAACCGUGCCUGAUGUUGCUUGCCUCUGAAAAGAUGACAUAUUCAUCAAGUUUGGGUGUAUGGCUGAAAAGCUUGAACGUUACUAUGGAAUCUUGGCCACCCAGAUUCAGUUAAAAUUACAAGAACAUGAAUGCACUCACAAAAUCGGCAUUAGUGUCUGAUUUUAUUUUUGACAGAGCCAGCCAGCUUAUCACAAGAUCGAUAGUUUAACCAACCAACCUUCCAUUUUUCGACAUGCAAGCAGGUUAUACAGAAAUACAUUUCUGACCCCAAUUAAUCGAGAGAAAUAGGUGAUACAGUUUGCUUGAAUGUUACAGCGUCAGUCAAGGGGGCUGCAUUCAUAUGACAAAUGGCGAGGCAGAUCCGUGGACAAGAGUAGCAUGUUCAGUCCCAGUGCAGAGCCGCGCUUACUUCAAUUUUGGUACACAAACAACAACAUAGAUUUGCCACCACAAGAGGUAAACAGAACUCAGGGGUGCUACACAAGUCAAGCUUCCCCAACAGGAAUUGAAAACACAUCUACUACUAAUGUCUGUUCUAACUCAAGCAACCCAGCGAAUUUUUCUCUCAUUCUUCUAGUCUCCUUUCUUCGCCCGAGAUUCUUUUGCGACGACCUCUUCCCACUCCUUGUCAUCCUUAAACAUGUGAUGUUUAAAGACUCUGCUGACACGGAUUCUGCACUUGGCGAGCAAGUUGGUUGAUUUCUCAAUGGAACACUCCAGAGCCUUCACCCAGCCAGGAGCUGCUCUGUAACAAUUGAUUUUCACCUCGAGUUGUGCAAGGCCUGGAAGAUGCUCGACACCCAAGUCUGCAAAACAGUCAGACGCCACAAUCAUUGGGCUCAAUUCAAGCCGGAGACAACGGAGUGCUUGCAUAGCACCUGGUGCAAAUGUUAGCUGCAGUCCACCCGUUGGUUGCACUUCAAAUUCAAGACGGAAGAGUGAAUAGUAGCGGAAGCGGAAGACCUUUAGCAGUUUGAAUCCAUCACUACCGAUGAUCAGCUUUUCAUUAAUGGCCCCUCUUGUUAUCUCAAGCUCCAGAUGGGCCAGAGAAGGCAUGCCCAUGAGAACUUGGAGAUCCUCCUUAUCAAAUUCCGUGACCUUUAUGCGUAGUUUCACGAGAUUCUUGAGGGAGGCCAUUCCCCUGGGAACCAUUCCAGCUAAUGAAUGAAUUUUAAGAACUUGGAGGCACGGGUAGGUGCUGCAUGGGUUGCAGAACAGACGCUUGGCUAUCUCUGCAUCAGUACGAAGAUAGCGAAGGUUGCAUUUGCCCGACUCAUUUACUUCCUCCGCAAAUCUCACUGGGUCGUCAGUUUCCCAGAAGCGUAACUCCUCCAAGGCCUGCAGACUACGGAACCCACUUGCAGGUAAUUGUGUUCUAUAGCUGACAAAUAGGCGCACCAAUUUCCGCAACUGCACCAUGGUUGAUGGCAGUCUUGGAAGUGCACAACAUCAUCUCAAAUCGAGAGUCUCUAAGUGCUGCAGCUUUCCGAUUUCACCAGGAAGCUCAGUAAUCUUACAAUCGCCAAUUCUCAAAUACCUCAGCUGACGCGAACUACCUAUAUGUUUUACAUGCUUGUUUUCCAACCAAUUACAAUCUCCAAGAUCCAACACCCGCAAAGCAUGGAAGUCCACAAGAUGGGGUACUACCGGCUUAUCUGCCUCAAACACAGUCAAUGAGCGAAUAUGUAUCUUGGUCUCUGUAAUUGCCCCAACUGCCCCUUUAUGCUCUUUGCCACUAGAUUGCAUGGACAGACGACGUAUCUUAUUUGGGAAAGAAUUGCAUAUACGCCCAUUUAAGACAGUGGCAAAAUUCUCUUCAUCCGAUAAAGAUAUAAUAAGGUCAAGCACCAUAUCAUGGACCCUACAAUAUUUCACCGAACUGUCAUAAUUACCAUAAACUGGCUGGAUCAUAUUUCUAUUAACGAGCUCAUUAAAACAGUUCUCUGCUACUUGAUCCAAGCUUCCCCAUUGUGCAGCAAUGAAUCCUUCUGCUAUCCAUUUCCGUUUCAACACUUUAAUAUUGAUCAUGGAGUCCUCUGGAUAUAAGCACAAGUACAGUAAACAAGUCUUCAGGUGGUGGGGAAGAUCCAGGUAACUAUGUAACAAUAUAUCUUUCAUCCCUUUUAAGUUCCCAUCUUUAUCAAACGAAGAACCAGUACCAAUGGAAUCUUGCAGUCUCUCCCAUUCAUCCUUGUUAUGUGUCUUCCUGGCAAGCAAACUUGCAAAUGUAAUUAUAGCCAGUGGCAGUCCGCCACAUUUUUUUAAAAUCCUAGCAGAAACUUCUUCCCGUUCAGAAGGACAUGAAUCAUCUGAGCUGAAAGUUCUCUUAAAGAAUAGUCUUCUAGAAUCAACAUCAUCUAGAGGUGCCAUUUGAUAGGGUUGCUCAUCUGAGACGGAACAACAUAGAUUAGCUACACCUGUAAUGCGUGUAGUAGCAAUUAUUCUGCUGCCAUUAUUAUUCUAAGGAAAUGCUGUCUUGACCAAUUUCCAAUCUUGUUCUUUCCAUACGUCAUCAACAACAAUGAAGUACCUGCAUUGAGUAGUGUGCAUUGUUAAGCAUUCUCGUUAACUAUGAGACUUGCACUAGCCAAUUUGAUAAUGGCAAACAGAUACAUAAAUGUUGCACACUUAAUUUCACAGUAACUUGUUUUGUAUCAAUCAAACUUAUUAGAAGUAUCUCACUGCAUCCUCAUGGUAAGUAAAACAUAAGUAUCUAAAUCAUAUCAACGGAUAAACAACUUUCCAUUGGUAGAAGAAAGAUCAAUUCUACUUUAAGUUUCAACCCGGGAAUUUAGUACCGUUUAAACCACAAAUCCUUAACUAUUAACAUUGUAUUUUACCUUCUAGACCCUAACCACCCGGCGGGUGCGUGUUUGUCCAGCCCACCCAACAUGGCAUCUAAUUGAUGAUUCAUUAAGAUAAGAUAUUUGGAGGCUUGUAUUUUAUCCAUGUUUCCUCUGUUCUCCCUGCUAUUGUUGUUUGCACGGGGAGCCCUACUGCCUUGUGGCAAUGAAAUGCUUUAUCAGCCGCUAUGGAGGAAACAAGGAUUGAGGAGGUGGUGCCCAAGCCAAAGAUUAAAGUCGAAAAUUGCGAAUGUACAAGGUGCUUGAAUGUUACUAGUAUUUUGUGUUUUUAUUUUUAUUUGGUAUACUUGCUAUGUCUCUCCUGCUCAAUGUCAUUGUAAGCUGAGACCAUCUAUAGGCUACAGCUGAUAUAUUUGUGUAUUUUCUUUAAUGAAAAAAAAACACUGAAAGUAUGUAGUAUAGAGUUUAUUUCCUUGCAUGCAAUUGAUUACAACUGUCAGCGGGUCAUUAAGAUCAUUCAGAUUGAGACAGACAAGCCUACUAGCUGCAGCCGUGUUUUUUCUAGCUUAGUCAAGAAUGUUUGGUUGGUUUACGGAAUUCAAUUCUUUCACACCUUUGUAAUUUGAUAUCUUGCGUAGGUGCAUUUACUGUUACUUCUUUUAUCCUUGUUAAAGGGAGUGAGUAAAGUUUCAAUUGCAUUUUCUGGUGCACAUUUAGGUGACAUUAAAAGGUAUACUCUGUUUUAAUGGUUUCCUGGCCUCAUUCUGUCUCAAAUUGCUAUGUUUACAUGGCUUGGAUCGAUACCAUUGAGCAAAUGGUUAUGGUGGUCUGAAGAUUUAUUCUGGUGGUGGUUAUUUUCUAUCAUCAUCCAUUUAUCUCGUGGCAUGGCACACAAAGAUUGCACACAUGUUUCUUGGUUCUGGUUAAGAAGAUUUUAAGGAAGUUUUUUUAUGGAGAAAGAGUGUUCCAGGAUUCUGUGAGAAAAUGUGAAAGCAAUCUUUUGGAGGAAAAAGCAGGGCAGUCUUUGUUCAGAAUCUUUGUACGCGAUAAAUAGUUUCAUUCCUUCAUGCUGAUUUCUAUAAGUCAACCUAUCUGAAUCUCUGAAAUUUCUACAAGUACUUGGGUGGGUAUUUCUAGGAUUCUAAGGAUACAACAUGGAUGCUUGGGUUAAAUUGUAGAAGUAUAGCAAUUCAUUUUGUUAGUUGGACAACUAUAGCAAGGAUUCAUAAUGUAGCAGAGCCCGUUUCUGAUUUGCCUGCACUAUUCUUGCAUUCACUGUUGUCUAGCUCUAGUGCCCAGUCUUGUGAAGUAAAUCAGACUGAUCCAGUAUUUGUGAAGUUUGUAGCGACACUACGUCUUUUUGGGCUACCAUUACAUGGAGGGUUGAACGUGGACUUUUUUCAUGUGUGCCUGUUUUGUGAAGCUAAAACGUAAGAUUAAAAGUAUUUACUGAAUGUGUGUUUAUUACAACCAACAACCAAUCGGUAGGCUAGUUUGAGGUAAUGCGAAAACAAUAUAGAUGUUCAAGGAACUAAACAUAUAUACUCAAGACAACUAGAGAUGACCAUUUGAUCUAGCCCGGUUCAAACUAGCUAAGUUUAAAUAAUAAGUAAUUGUUUCAAUAGUCCAAAUAUAUGAAUCAGUUAAUUCUAGGUGCUUGUAUAAAGAGGGAGAUAAAACAAAUUAAAGUAAAUCAUCCAUAUACUCCGCACCUCUUUCCUGUCAAGAUAUGUUUGAUUUCACGGAUUAGCUGUUCCUUUUCCCAACUCUGACAUUCUUUGUACGCAUCUUUAUCGAUCUGAGACAAGAUAUCUUUCAGGAGCUUCAGCAGAUCAAGUGUGCGCGACACUGACACGCAAGCUUGGCACUAGAAGUCCCCUCCUGAUCCAAUCUUGCGAUAGACCUCCAUGGCCAAGGUUGUCUUCCCCAACCCUCCUGAUCCGACAAUCGGCACCACUUUCAACUCUUUACUCUCAUCCAUCAGCAAGGCAAUGACGUGCUUCAUUGGGCCGUCCAUUGCCACCAAGCCCUUGACCUCCUCGUGGAUGGCAAUUAUCCGCGGGUCUAUCUCCACCGUCUUCGUUGCACUGUAGUAAUUCUCUUCAAGCUUGUACCUAGCAUCAUUUUUACAGUAAAAACUUAAUUAAGCUCAUGUUGCAUCAUCCAGAAAUACAUAAGUGCAAGAGUUAGAUCCUCAUCAUGUCAAAAGCUUAGCUCCUGCACGUGCACCGUUGCUGUGUGGACGGUAUGACGACGGUGGUGAGUGCUGCCGACCAGGUCCCACGCGGCACUCGAGAAGACCGAUGAAGGUGGUGAGGGUCCACACACACAGACCAUUUGGUCUCAAAGUAGGCACGUGAUGAGUGGGUCGUUGAUUUCGUGCACCGACGGUUUCACACGAUAUUAUUGAAGCAUCUGGGAGCAUCAAUUUUAUUAUUUCUCUACACAUCUGUAAAUGCGAUUCUAUCAUGAAAAUUUGCAUGCCUAUAAAAAUUAUCAACAUGAGCCCGAGCUCACAAUAGCACUUUACAGAGAAGAAAUGGAGUAUGUGGAUUUGAAUCCUAGUUGUUUUAGAUCGUUUGAUUCAUGGGAGAAAAACAUGACUAGGAGCUGGAAAUGCAAUUCCGCUCUCGGGAGCAUGUGCUUCUGCCUGUGGAAAAGGAAUUUUGUAAUGUCAAAAAAUUCCUAACAAAAUCUUUAGGUGUUUUUGUUAAGGUUAAGCAUCUUGGCCUGUGUAAAAAAAUCAAAUUGAUCAAUUGUUACCCCAAAAUGUUAAACCCAAAUUUGUUUUUUUCAUCGAUGAAACACUGCUGCUUCGUUUCAGAUGAAAAUUGUCAAGCAUACUUGCGACACUAACACGAACAUCUACAAAAAAUUUCAGAUUUUUUUCAUAAAAUUUACUAUUUUUUUCAUUUUACUAUUCAUCCAGGUGAUGCACCCAGGACCCAAAAAGCCUCCCCAAUUUCUUUUUUUGCGAAAAAUAAACGUUUUUUUACAUGUGUGCCCUUAACUCAAACCCAUUACUUAGAUUUACCUCCAAAUUCAAAGUGUGCUCAAAUUUGUUGACAUGGCACAUGAAGAUAGCCUGAUGGGGUUUACACUCAUCCAGGGGAUGAUUCUGUCUAUGGGUUAUCAACAGAUGAAAGUUAUGAAGAAAGGAGCUUAUCAAGUGAUGUACUCCCUCUGUUUCUAAAUAUUUGUGUUUUCAGAGAUUUCAACAAGUGACUACAUACGGAGCAAAAUAUCUACACUCUAAAACAUGUCUAUAUACAUUUGUAUGUGAUAGUCCAUUUGAAAUUUCUAAAAAGACAAAUAUUUAGGAAGGAAGGGAGUAGUAAAUUUAUUUUAUCUUGCUUUUAUGUGGUUGUCGUAUUUUAUUUGGCUUCUUCAGGAAAGAGAUACUUCUCCUUUUUCCCUUUCUGUUCACGUUACCAAAAUGGGUGACUUUCAUUGACUUUUGUUUACUUAAGAGAUCCUGUUUUUGCUGAUCGUCCCCUUCUUUUACCAAUCAGCUGUUGAAUCAUUAAAGGGAGAUUUCUCAAAAUUUUGCAAGGAGUCAGAUGCGUUUUUCAUUUGAUGCAUUUUUUCCUUCAGAAAAUAAAUGUUGCUGUGCAUUUGGAUGUAUUUGUUUUACAUCAUUAAUCAUUAUUUAUUUAUCUUCUUAUAUCAUACUAUUAAAUGGUUAAAUGUACACAGCGUUGGUAGAGAUGUUUUCUCUGGUUAUCCAAUCAUGCAUUUGCCUGGGUUUUCUAGUCUUCGGCCUUCGCGUUUGUUUAGUCAUCACUCGUCGUUGUUCAUUACAUUACAUUCCUUCAUUACUUAUUUGUUUAUUCUGUUUCUUAGCCACUUAGUUCCUCUUGAGCUUUGUCGUUGUUAUUUUGUGUCUUCAUUUUCUAGUCUUCGGUCUUCUUGUUCAUCUAGUCAUCACUGUUCGUUUUCCCCCUUCAGUUUUGCACUGAAUGUCUCAGUCCUCAGUCUUCUCCUUCUUGUCAGUUUCUUUAGUAUUUGUUUCUUAUUUUUUUUUACUUUCUCAAUUUCUUACUAGCUCCUUGGUCUUUUUUUAGAGAAAAGAUGCAGCCGAGCCCGAGUAGGACGCUAGCCUAGUCCAACUUUAAAUUAACAAAGGCAUCAACCGGUUGGGGUACAACUGCAGAGUACGACAACGAACUAGAACAAAGAAAGCAGCAAGAUACAGAGGCGCUGAAAAGCAACUCACAAGCCUCAAGAACUUCAUACAAGAAGGAUAUACAAUGGAGCACUUAGCUGAAGGACUCGAGGUCCUCCACCACGACUAAACAUGGUUGGGAGCAAUGCCGGCUUUGGAGAGGGAAUGAAGCUGCACCUACAUGGCCUGCCUUUACCAAAACCUAAGGGCCUCGGCACGACACGACCAUCAAACCCCGUCUUCGAAGGAGGCCACAACCUCCUUGCCUGGAUCGCAAGGCGCCGAACCAUCGAACGACGGGAGUUCCCAUGAACAUGGAUGAAGCCGCCAGGUAGUCCCAAGGAGCAAAGCACCCAAAUGGGUCGACGAGGCUCAACCAAAGCAGAGCAAGCCGCACAACCAACGGGCAGAACAUGGCGGAGGAAAAGCUAAAGCUUGGACGAAGAACAUGCCAACGACUUUUGUCAACGCACCCUAACAGUGCCCACCACCCAUCCCUCAAGGCGGCGCCUUCAAGAAGAUCACGUCGCCGAGAACGCCGCCGCCGCCGCCUGUUGAGUAAAUAGGCACUUUUUCAACUAAUUUAAUCCAUAGAUGAAUCACUAGCAUUGGCAUUGACUGCAUUGACGACAUACUGACUCUGAUCUAAACAUGCACAUACUAAGCAAACAGUAGACAAAUCUACACAUAUUGCUAGUACUGCUAAUACGAAAAUAAACGGGAGCAGGAUAAACAUGCUAUACCCUCCAGUAGGCCAGGCAGAAGCCGCGACGGCGGUGACAGCAGCAACGGCAUCCUCGGCGGCCUUCUUGUCGGCCUCGAUCUUCUCGGUGGCGGCACGUUCGGCGGCGGUGGACAUGUGAUGACAAAGACGACGCAGACGUAGAGGAAGUAGUGGAUCGGAGGCGAGCAAUCGUGUAGUCGCUUCCCAAAAACCUAUUCGCCUCUCUCCUGUACAGGAACCGGAGAGACGGAGUUUCAGAGACCUGCUCUCCCGUCGACCGCGGCAGCAGCAAAGGAAUGACGUGGGCGGUUCGCGUGGGAGCAGAUGUGAUAUGAUCGUGGCGGCUAGGGUUAGGAGGCACCGCACACUUAUAUAGGCGCAGCCGCGUGGAAAGACGUGGGCUAGACCCACGUCCGAGUCCGUGACAGCCCAUGAUCCGACGUCUCAGAUUGUGGCCCAGCUGUCAGAAAACUCUCCGUUAGUGACUGGAAAAAAUAAGGGCGUAUGUGUGAGCUCAGCUUGGCUCAUUCCCGCAACCCGCGGCGCGUCGUGAUGAGACGGGCGGCGGAGGAGGAGUUCGCGAGGGCCUCUUCUCUUCUCAAGCUCCAAUAGCAUGUAGAAAAGGAACCCUUAUAAGGAGGUCCAACUCCUCUUUCACUGAGGUGGGACUAAACUUCGCGGGAUCCUAUUUGACGCCCGCAGGCGUCAAAAGGAUGAGCCUUCACUGAAGAGAGUCACUACUUGGGCCGGCCCACGUACGGAUUUUGAUUUCGCUGUUGUUUCCUUGUUUCUUCGGGUUUAUUUUUUCGUUUUUGGCUUCCAGGGUUUUCACUCUUGUGGCUGGUUUUCAGUUGUUUUGUUCCGAUUUUUUUAGUUCCUUUUUUCUUUUCAUUUUUCUUUCUUUUAUGUUUUCUUUUUAUUUUCUGUUUCUAUUCUUCUUCUCUUUAUUGCGUAUUAUAUAAAAAGUUCACCGCAUAUUACAAAAAUCUUCAUCGUAUUAAGAAAAUGUACAUCGUAUAUUAUGAAAUAGUUCAUCUUGCAUUAUAAAAAUGUUCAUCAUGUAUUAAAGAAAUCUUCAUUGUAUAUUAUUAAAUUGUUCAACAUAUAUUAGAAAUGUUCAUUGUGUAUUUAAAUUUUGUUCAUCGUAUAUUAAGAUAUUGUUCAAUGUAUACUAUAAAAUGUUCAUUUGUAUAUUUUAAAUUUGUUCAGUGUAUUUUUAUAAAAAGUUUCACCGUAUUUGAAAAAUUGUUCAACGUAUAUUGUAAAGAUGUUGAAUGUUUUUGAAGAUUUGCCGCUGUCCUUUCUACUUCUAGCGUGGCGCUGUGAUUAUGUCGUUCGAGGUCGCUAGCCCGGCUGGCUAGGCUCGCUACAAUCUGGCCGACCAGUGGUUUCCUCCAGCAUGGAUCCUAACCACCAGAGACGCCCACAGGCUGGGGGCUGGCCAGCCACGCCAGUGUAGCCGGGAUUCGUCGAGGGCGACGCACACUGAGCAGGGGGCACCGUCAGCCGUCAAGGAAGCCAUGGCCAGAUCUGGCGCCGCCAGCCGCAAGGGCAACCACACGAGGUCCCAUUCCACCGGAGUUCCGUCGGCCACCCAACCAGAACGCCGGCACCACGCCAACCCCGAAGCACACUGCGGGAGCAGAGUGGCCUUGCCAGGGGACCACCGUCCCAGAUCAAGAGCCCUCCGAUGCUGCCGGAGCGGCGAAGGCCCCGCCGCCGCAGUCCCCAGCUUCUAUUUCUCUGUCUGCUUCUAUUUCUCUUUCCAGAGACUAUGUUCUAAGUUUCUGUAUUUACUAUCUAAGCUAGAGAGUUUUAUUUUUCAGUCAUGUUGAGAUCAGUGAUUUGUUUUGUGCUCCUUCCGUCCCAUAAUAUAAGAACGUUUUUGGCACUACACUAGUGUCAAAAAUGUUAUUAUAUUAUGGGACAGAGGGAGUAGUUUUCAGUCAUGUUGAGACAUUCGCAUUGUACUUCUGUUUUCGCAUUCUUAUGUCUGCUAUCUAUGAGGUUUUCCGUUAGAAUAACCCAAGACAGUCGCAUUUACAAGUGACACAACUCCAUGAUGACAGAGAACACACGAUUUGGUUUCUGUAAUUGCGGCUACUUGCCCUUUAUUAUGCUCUUUGCCACAUGACCGGAACCAAAAGGCGUAGUACGAUCUCUACAUGAUGUGCUGUGUUGAGCGAGAAGCGAGUCUAACAAUGGCUCACUGGUAGAAAAAGAGGCUUCCGUCCAGUCCCAUUAGUCGCGAAAGUGUAGGAACCGCGACUAAUGAAGUCUUUAGUCGCGGUUCGGCAGACGAACCGCGACCAAAGGCCUGGGCCCAGGGCGCUCGGUGGCCAGCUGGUGCACGUGAGGGGCUUUAGUCGCGGUUGGCCAGGCGAACCGCGACUAAAGGUGCGCAAAGGCCUUUAGUCGCGGUUGGCCAGGCCAACCGCGACUAAAGCUCCUCCCCUAUAUAUACCAGUUCAGCACACUCACUUAGCCAUUUCGUGCCACUUCUCUUCACAAGCUUCACAAGGGGGUGUAGGUUUGCUUUUGGUUCCUCUUAUGCACACAAGGUGUUUGAUGAAAUACCCUAAGAGGGUGAAACAAACAUGAUAUGAAGUGUUGGAGCCACACUUGAGGUUCCUCAUUUAUUUUUUCCUCCUCGAUCGCGGUUAGCAACUUGAACCUUUCAUGCAUGUGUGUCAUUGAUAAAAUAUGCAUGUGUGCAGUUCAUUGUUUAAUUUAUAUUGUUUGUAGCUAGUUAGUUUAACAAAUGCAUGAUGGUUAAUUAUAUAUUUUAUAUUAUAAUAAUGCAGAUGAAUCGGCAAUGGACGUACGGUAACCGACUCUCCGGCGAGUUCACUACGGGUUUGAAAGAUUUCCUCGUAGUGGCUAAUGCGAACAAGCAGGGGGGUUUUGUUAUCUGUCCAUGUGUUAUCUGUAAGAAUCAGAAGGGUUACUCUUCCUCAAGAGAUGUUCACAUGCAUCUGCUUCGGCACGGUUUCAUGCCAAGCUAUAAUUGUUGGACCAAGCAUGGAGAAAGAGGGGUUAUAAUGGAAGAAGAUGAAGAAGGGGAUGAUUUCAUCGAUGAAAGCUAUCUUGCUCAUUUCGGUGAUACUUUCAUGGAGGAUGCUGAAGGUGAAGGGGAAGGUGAAGAAGAGGCACGUGAUGAUCCCGUUGAUGAUCUUGGUCGGACCAUUGCUGAUGCACGGAGACGCUGCGAAACUGAAAAGGAGAGGGAGAAUUUGGAUCGCAUGUUAGAGGAUCACAGAAAGGCGCUGUACCCCGGAUGCGAUGAUGGUCUGAAAAAGCUGGGCUGCACACUGGAUUUGCUGAAAUGGAAGGCAGAGGCAGGUGUAGCUGACUCGGCAUUUGAAAACUUGCUGAAAAUGUUGAAGAAUAUGUUUCCAAAGGAUAACGAGUUGCCCGCAAGUACGUACGAAGCAAAGAAGGUUGUCUGCCCUCUAGGUUUAGAGGUUCUGAAGAUACAUGCAUGCAUCAACGACUGCAUCCUCUACCGCGGUGAAUACGAGAAUUUGAAUGAAUGCCCGGUAUGCACUGCAUUGCGUUAUAAGAUCAGAGGCGAUGACCCUGGUGACGAUGUUGAGGGCCAGAAACCCAGGAAGAGGGUUCCCGCCAAGGUGAUGUGGUAUGCUCCUAUAAUACCACGGUUGAAACGUCUGUUCAGGAACAAAGAGCAUGCCAAGUUGUUGUGAUGGCACAAAGAGGACCGUAAGUCGGACGGGGAGUUGAGACACACCGCAGAUGGAACGCAAUGGAGAAAGAUCGACAGAUGGUUCAAAGAUUUUGUAGCUGACGCAAGGAACAUAAGAUUUGCUCUAAGUACGGAUGGCAUGAAUCCUUUUGGCGAGCAGAGCUCCAGCCAUAGCACCUGGCCCGUGACUCUAUGCAUCUACAACCUUCCUCCUUGGUUGUGCAUGAAGCGGAAGUUCAUUAUGAUGCCAGUGCUCAUCCAAGGUCCGAAGCAACCCAGCAACGACAUCGAUGUGUACCUAAGGCCAUUAGUUGAUGAACUUUUACAGCUGUGGGGUGGUGUCCGUGUGUGGGAUGAGCACAAACAAGAGGAAUUUGACCUACGAGCGUUGCUUUUCGUAACCAUCAACGAUUGGCCUGCUCUUAGUAACCUUUCGGGACUGUCAAAUAAGGGAUACAAUGCAUGCACGCACUGCUUACAUGAGACUGAAAGUGUACAUUUGCCAAAUUGUAAGAAGAACGUGUACCUUGGGCAUCGUCGAUUUCUUCCGAAAAUUCAUCCAGUAAGAAAGAAAGGCAAGCAUUACAACGGCAAGGCAGAUCACCGGCCGAAGCCUGCGGAACGCACUGGUGCUGAGGUAUUUGAUAUGGUCAAGGAUUUGAAAGUCAUCUUUGGAAAGGGUCCUGGCGGACAAUCAGUUCCAAAGGGAGCUGACGGGCACGCAGCCAUGUGGAAGAAGAAAUCUAUAUUCUGGGAGCUAGAAUAUUGGAAAGUCCUAGAUGUCCGCUCUGCAAUCGACGUGAUGCACGUUACGAAGAAUAUUUGCGUGAACCUCCUAAGCUUCUUGGGCGUGUAUGGGAAGACAAAUGAUACAAAGGAAGCACGGCAGGACCAGCAACGUUUGAAAGACCCUGAUGACCGGCAUCCGGAAUGGUUUCAAGGUCGUGCCAGCUACGCUCUGACCAGAGAAGAGAAGGUCAUCUUUUUUGAAUGCCUGAGCAGUAUGAAGGUCCCGUCUGGAUUCUCGUCCAAUAUAAAGGGAAUAAUAAACAUGGCGGAGAAAAAGUUCCAAAACCUGAAGUCUCACGACUGCCACGUGAUUAUGACGCAAUUGCUUCCGAUUGCUUUGAGGGGGCUCCUGCCGGAAAAUGUUCGAGUAGCCAUUGUGAAGCUAUGUGCAUUCCUCAAUGCAAUCUCUCAGAAGGUAAUCAAUCCAGAAGUUCUACCACGGUUACAGAACGAUGUGAUCCAAUGUCUUGUCAGUUUCGAGUUGGUGUUCCCGCCAUCCUUCUUCAAUAUUAUGACGCACCUCCUGGUUCACCUAGUCGAAGAGAUUUUCGUUCUCGGUCCUGUAUUUCUACACAAUAUGUUCCCCUUCGAGAGGUUCAUGAGAGUAUUAAAGAAAUAUGUUCGUAACCGUGCUAGGCCAGAAGGAAGCAUCGCCAAGGGCUAUGGAAAUGAGGAGGUAAUUGAGUUUUGUGUUGACUUUGUUCCUGACCUUAAGCCGAUUGGUCUUCCUCGAUCGCGGCACGAGGGGAGACUAAGUGGAAAAGGCACGAUCGGAAGGAAAUCAACGAUAUGUAUGGACGGCCAUUCUCUGACUGAAGCACACCACACUGUACUGACCAAUUCCAGCUUGGUGGCUCCGUACUUUGAGAAACACAAGAAUAUUUUACGCUCGGACAACCCGGGGAAGCCUGAAUCCUGGAUUAGGAAGGCCCACAUGGAGACUUUCGGCAGUUGGUUGAGAAAACAUUUAAUGAAUGACAAUGAUGUUGUAGAUCAGCUGUACAUGUUGGCCAAGACACCAUCUUCGACUAUAACGACUUUCCAAGGGUACGAGAUAAAUGGGAAUACAUUUUACACGAUCGCCCAAGAUAAAAAGAGCACCAACCAAAACAGUGGUGUCCGCUUUGAUGCAGCAACCGAGAAUGGGCAAAAGGUCACAUAUUAUGGUUACAUAGAGGAGAUAUGGGAACUUGACUAUGGACCCUCCUUUGAGGUCCCUUUGUUCCGGUGCAAAUGGUUCAAGCUAACAGGAGGUGGGGUAAAGGUGGACCAGCAAUACGGAAUGACAAUGGUGGAUUUCAACAAUCUUGGUUACCUUGACGAACCAUUCGUCCUAGCGAAAGAUGUCGCUCAGGUUUUCUAUGUGAAGGACAUGAGUAGCAAACCGAGGAAACGGAAAGAUAAGAAAACGAUCAGUGCAUCAUGCGAUGAUCCAAAGCGCCACAUUGUUCUUUCAGGGAAAAGAAACAUCGUGGGAGUGGAGGACAAGACAGACAUGUCAUAAGAUUAUAAUAUGUUUGCUGAAAUUCCGCCCUUCAAAGUGAACACCGACCCAAGCAUUAAGUUAAAUGAUGAGGAUGCUCCAUGGAUACGGCACAAUCGUAAGCAAGCAGGGACACAAGAGAAGAAAUGAUGUGUAAUAAUUUAUUGUAUCAAACCUUUUGUCAAACCUUCAAGGGGUUUUAAAAUGAAUUAGUUUUAUUUUUCUGAUUUUUUUGAUAUAUAAUUGUAUUUUUAAGAUUUUAAAAUGAAGAAAAAAACAGAAGAAAAAAACAGAAGAAAAAAACAGAAGAAAAACAUAAGAAAAAAGGAAAAACAGAAGAAAAAAACAGAAGAAAAAAACAGAAGAAAAAAGGAAAAAGGAAAAAGGAAGAAAAAAACAGAAGAAAAAGGAAGAAAAAAACAGAAGAAAAAAACAGAAGAAAAAAGGAAAAACAGAAGAAAAAAACAAACAGAAGAAAAACAUAAGAAAAAAACAGAAGAAAAAAACAGAAGAAAAAAGGAAAAAGGAAAAAAGGAAGAAAAAAAUAAUAUGCCACCUACUGGGCCACCACGGCCUGAAUACGACUAGAAACCCAUUACAGGGCCAGGAUUCAGGCCCGCAGAAGGCCCAAUAGGCCCACAGGCACAUAGUGACAGAAUAGGCCCGUAAGCCUGCAUUUGAGAGGAGCUCGAAGUGGUGAGCGCAGCCGCGCUUAUAAACCACUGUCGAAGCCUCUCGGCUAGCGAGGUGGGACUAAACAUCCCACCGCACCGCGCCAGUUCUAGCACAGACCUUUGGUCGCGGUUGGGGAGGCGGACCGCGACUAAAGGGUACCUUUAGUCGCGGUUGGGGUGGCGGGCCGCGACUAAAGGGUCUUUCUGCGCGGGAACGGAGGCGGCGCCAAAACCCUUUAGUCGCGGUUGGGGAGGCGGACCGCGACUAAAGGGUANNNNNNNNNNNNNNNNNNNNNNNNNNNNNNNNNNNNNNNNNNNNNNNNNNNNNNNNNNNNNNNNNNNNNNNNNNNNNNNNNNNNNNNNNNNNNNNNNNNNNNNNNNNNNNNNNNNNNNNNNNNNNNNNNNNNNNNNNNNNNNNNNNNNNNNNNNNNNNNNNNNNNNNNNNNNNNNNNNNNNNNNNNNNNNNNNNNNNNNNNNNNNNNNNNNNNNNNNNNNNNNNNNNNNNNNNNNNNNNNNNNNNNNNNNNNNNNNNNNNNNNNNNNNNNNNNNNNNNNNNNNNNNNNNNNNNNNNNNNNNNNNNNNNNNNNNNNNNNNNNNNNNNNNNNNNNNNNNNNNNNNNNNNNNNNNNNNNNNNNNNNNNNNNNNNNNNNNNNNNNNNNNNNNNNNNNNNNNNNNNNNNNNNNNNNNNNNNNNNNNNNNNNNNNNNNNNNNNNNNNNNNNNNNNNNNNNNNNNNNNNNNNNNNNNNNNNNNNNNNNNNNNNNNNNNNNNNNNNNNNNNNNNNNNNNNNNNNNNNNNNNNNNNNNNNNNNNNNNNNNNNNNNNNNNNNNNNNNNNNNNNNNNNNNNNNNNNNNNNNNNNNNNNNNNNNNNNNNNNNNNNNNNNNNNNNNNNNNNNNNNNNNNNNNNNNNNNNNNNNNNNNNNNNNNNNNNNNNNNNNNNNNNNNNNNNNNNNNNNNNNNNNNNNNNNNNNNNNNNNNNNNNNNNNNNNNNNNNNNNNNNNNNNNNNNNNNNNNNNNNNNNNNNNNNNNNNNNNNNNNNNNNNNNNNNNNNNNNNNNNNNNNNNNNNNNNNNNNNNNNNNNNNNNNNNNNNNNNNNNNNNNNNNNNNNNNNNNNNNNNNNNNNNNNNNNNNNNNNNNNNNNNNNNNNNNNNNNNNNNNNNNNNNNNNNNNNNNNNNNNNNNNNNNNNNNNNNNNNNNNNNNNNNNNNNNNNNNNNNNNNNNNNNNNNNNNNNNNNNNNNNNNNNNNNNNNNNNNNNNNNNNNNNNNNNNNNNNNNNNNNNNNNNNNNNNNNNNNNNNNNNNNNNNNNNNNNNNNNNNNNNNNNNNNNNNNNNNNNNNNNNNNNNNNNNNNNNNNNNNNNNNNNNNNNNNNNNNNNNNNNNNNNNNNNNNNNNNNNNNNNNNNNNNNNNNNNNNNNNNNNNNNNNNNNNNNNNNNNNNNNNNNNNNNNNNNNNNNNNNNNNNNNNNNNNNNNNNNNNNNNNNNNNNNNNNNNNNNNNNNNNNNNNNNNNNNNNNNNNNNNNNNNNNNNNNNNNNNNNNNNNNNNNNNNNNNNNNNNNNNNNNNNNNNNNNNNNNNNNNNNNNNNNNNNNNNNNNNNNNNNNNNNNNNNNNNNNNNNNNNNNNNNNNNNNNNNNNNNNNNNNNNNNNNNNNNNNNNNNNNNNNNGACAGUGCAACCGGCAGGCCGCUGGAGCCCCGCAAGAACGCCACCAAGUUUGUCAGCCAAUGCGGAGCCAUUGUUAGAGACAACGUCUCGAUCACCGUCCAGGAGUGGAAUGAGCCAAAGAAGGCACGAAUUGAUGGUUUCACUUUUGUCGAUAAGAGAACAAAAAAAGAUUGCUUCAAGAAGCUUAUGGAACAUUUCGUUCUACCUCCGGAAUACAACAAAUUCGAUGAGGAGGGUAACAAGAUUGAGGAAAACAAGGAGAGGAGGAGGCUAGUCAAACAGUUCGCUCUUCAUAAGAUGGCCGACGCAUUCCGGAAAUUCAAGCAAAAUCUAGCCCAUGACUUUGUCAAGCAGAACAAGACUCCGGAUUUCAAAGGACAAUAUGAGAAACUGAAAGAUGAUUGGCCAGAAUUUGUGAAGCAAAAGAAAUCGGAGCAGUUCAUUCAAAUAUCGAAAAAAAAUAAGGAAAAUGUGGCUAAGAAGGAGUACAAUCAUGUUAUGGGGCCAGGAGGGUAUCGCCUUUGGGAGCCUAGGUGGGAGAAGAUGGAGAACGAGCUGAGGGCGCGAGGAAUCCGUCCAGGUACGGAGGGAUGGGACCCAAGGGCCAAAAGCUGGUGGUACGGGCAUGGGGGAACGCUGAACCCGGAGACAGGGGAGUGUGUUUACCGGGGCAAAUUAAUUAAACCCACCCAAGCCCUUAUUAACGCAAUGAGGGAUGCUCAACAGGGGAAGAUCAAGUUCAACAGAGAGAACGACGCGCUGACGAAAGCCCUCGGGAAUCCUGAACACGGAGGACGUGUACGAGGCAUGGGGCACAUUCCGUGGAAAAUAGGGUUCCCCCAGAACGAUGACCCGUACGGUUACAGAAGCCGUAAGAGAAAGAUGGAUCGGGAAGCAGAUGUUGUGGCGCGGUUGGCAUCGGAAAUGGAUGUGAUGAAGAAAACCAUGAGUGUACUAGUAGCCGAAAGAGAUGCAGCUCGGGUGCAGCAUGAAGAUCAUCCAGCGGAUCUCGGAAGCCAGCAGCGGAGAAGCAGCGUGGCUUCCACGGAGGCCCCACCGGCUGGUGCAGAUGCACUGACGAUCGAAAUUACUGCACCGGAGCCUCUGGUGGUCCAAAUUACUGCACCGGAGCCUCUGGUGGUCGAAAUUACUUCACCGGAGCAUCCUCGCUACCCCGUGGACGAUAUAAAGGAGAUGAAAGAAUGUCAUCUUUAUUAUCCUAUCGGGAACAUGUCCAUGAAGGUAGCCAUCGGCAGUGCUUUACCAUGUUUACCUGGAGCACUCCACCACAACAACCCCAUUCAAGAUGGCUAUGCUCGUGUCACGGUGGAGGACAUAGUCCAAGGGUUUGAGAACCUGGAGAUUGACAUUGCUACACCUGAAGGGGAGAAAAGACUUGGAGAUGUCAAGCGCCAUUUCAUUCUAUGGCAAAAGAAGUUUAUCAAGUUUCCAGGCGAGGCGCCAAGGACAACAAGUCCACCCCCCUACGGUGGUGGUGGUGGCGGUGGCGGUGGUGGUGGUGGUGGUGGUGGUGGUGGUGGUGGUGGCGGUUCACCUACACCUCCGUCACGUCAGCCGACGCCGCCCCCCAGUCCACAACGUCCGGCGGGUAAUCAGCCGCCGCCCCCCAGUCCUCGUCCGGCGGGUGAUCAGACGCCGCCCCCCAAUCCACCUCCGGCAAAGAAGCAGAAGCAGUCCUGGAUUAUUAACCCGGACCCUUAUGUACCUAAGACCACAAAGGUACCGGAGCCAUCACUGAAGCCUCUCCCCACAAGGCCUUGGGAACGUAGUGCCGAGGAAGUCGACGCGGCCGCGGCUGCUGAUUUGGAGAAAUGGAAGGCGGACUGCAAGAAGAAAAGAGAGCCCGAGCCCAAGCCAGUAUUUUCUGAUGAGCAAAAGAAGUGGGCUAAGUCAUUUUUGAGCACACCGUCCCAAGCCGCGAAGAAUCUGCCUAACGACUAUGCACGUGAACUUCGCAGGCAGGCACUCAUGUUCAAGGAGAACAAAGAGCGGGAGAAGGCCGAAAGUAAAAAAAGCGGGAAACAAGUUGCCCAGCUCGGGGAUCAAAGUAAACAAUCGAUUGCCCCGCUUAUAGUGGAAGCCUUCUGUCCGGAUGCCCCCGAGAUCAUACAAGCUGCGGCAGCACAGGGAUUGACUGUAACGAGUGCCAGAGAACAAGCGGCCAACUUAGGUAUUACUCUUCGUGAACUGUUAGGCCUUGAUGAGGCGCCAGUGAAGGAGGUAGUAAUUACAUAUGUCAAGAAUGGGCCUCUCGUCGAGCCUGCGCAGGAAAAGGAUCUACCUCCACAAAUGAAAGGUCUGCUGAAAUGGUAUAAGGGUUACAUAAAAAAUAAAAACGCCAAAGAAUAUAUUUAUGCGGAAGUUAGACAUGAGCAUCACUUCAAACAUUACUAUGUACAAAUUGAACUGAGUGAAUUGUUCCAGCUUUUCAAUCUGCGCGAGCUCGAUAAAUCUAUCAUCAGUUGCUACGUUCUGUAAGUGAUUUAUUAAUUUCUACCCCAUCUCGUUCAUAUUGCCUGCACUAUAUAUAUGUCCUAACUAUAUUGUUGUGUCCGCUAUUAUACAUGCAGAAUGAAGAUUAAGGAAUGCAGAGUAAGGAACAUCCAUGAUGUUGGGUUCAUUGACCCACACAUCGUUAAUGGACAUGUGUUGGAGCGUUACCCCGCCAACGUGGAGGCAGACCUGUGGCAGUUUCUUACAAAGCAGGAACUCAAAAGUGAUAUUCUAUUUCCUUACCAUUUUGAGUGAGUGUUUCUGUCUUGAGCACAUUCUCUUUUGUUUACUCCAUGCAUGGUAUGUGGCCGGCUAAUCGAUGAGUUAUGCAUGACGUACUGUGCAUGUAUCGUGUCCGCAGGUUCCACUGGAUUCUGCUAGUAAUUAAAGUUAACACCUCAGAAUGUCUCGUCCACGACUCUGUGAAUAUGGAUCCAAAGCUUUGGGGCGGCAUGAGAAGAAUGCUGCAGAAGUAAUUAUUUUCAUUCAUUUGCGCUCUAUAUCGAUCGGCCUAUUUCGUUCAUUUCCUAAUAUCAAGUAACUAAUUAAUAACUCUCUUGUUCAUUUAAUUUUCUUUGCCUCGUAGGGUUUGGAGACGGUUCGUAGAUACAAAGGUCGGAGAAUUCAAAAAAGAGCUAGAAUUCAAAAUGUUAAAGGCUAAGAAUGCUGGGGAUAUUCAGCCACCGGAGACCAAUCUAUGUGGAUACUAUGUCUGUGAGAUGAUCCGGAGAUACACCUCUGAGCGGGUUCCGAGUGAUACCAAUGCUAAGAGGAAUAACCUCCGGUGGAUGCUUAGUCCAGAAGCUCGCUUCCGACCACUUCAAGAGGAACUAGCUGGAUGGUUCAGCAGGGAAGUCCUCCAUCCUAAAGGAGAACACUAUUACGAGGACGUAGAACUUUAUAUGCAUUAAAUCAUGUAUGGAAACUUGUUCAAAAUUGUAUAUGGUCAUCCGAUGAUAUUGAAUAUAUAUUGUAUAUUCCUCUUGAAUUCUUUUUGGUUCUAAUUUCAAAUUUAUUUGAAAUUGUACAUUCAUAUGCAUGUAUGUAGUACCGUAGAAUAUAUGAAACUCCUUCAAAAUUAAAAUAAAGCACAAAAGAAAUAAAACAAUACAAAUUAAACAGAAAACAGGUUUAAGGGGGGGGCUAAAACCCUAAACCUGCGGCGGCCUUUAGUCGCGGUUGGCCAGAAGAACCGCGACUAAAGGUCCUCCGCCCCGACGGCCACCUGGCGCCCACGUGGACGGGCCUUUAGUCGCGGUUCUUAAGCAACCGCGACUAAAGGGGGGGGGCCUUUAGUCGCGCCCGGUCUGUCGCGGUUGCGCAACCGCGACUAAUGGCAGUUGCGAACCGCGACCAAAGGCCCUUUUUCCACCAGUGGCUGAAUCCACAUGCCAACAACCUUCUACUCGAGAGAUAAAUUGCUUCCCAGCCAGAAGCUCAUGUGUCUCAUUCCGAUGCUUUCACUAGAGACUCAUGCAGUUCCGUAAAAUUCAGUUGAGAUCACAUCAUCGUGUGCAGUUUCGGACUUGCUGUUGUCCAGCCACAACUGAAUAACCAACCAGCCAACCUGUAUGAAACAAGCAAAAGCAGGGCCUGAUGCAUACAUGACCAAACUCAGUCAGAACUCUUAUCAAUAAUUCAUGACACAGAACUAGAUAAUAAAAAUAGCCUAGAUAAUGCAUGCACGCGUUGCAAAUGAGCACCUCUCAGCUUGUGCCAACCAGCACCUACACACAACAACAGCCCAUCUGUGCGAUGGCGGAAACGUCUUACCCUAUCUCGGGUGACGUGCUACGUGUUAUAUAGCAGGGGCGCAAUAACCCUGAGGCGCAUACAUGAGUUGGUUACAUGAGAAGAUAAGAGAGAAUCGGCAUAUAACUUGAGUAGAAAGAAAAGCAAGAGAUAGACUUGGUUACAACCGAAUAGACAUCAUAUCUAGCUAAACUACUUCUUGAACUAUCUCUUUCAAGAUCCUCUUCUGUCACAUAUGCGCACCAAUGCCGUGUAUGUUUAACACUCCCCCUUAAUCACAACUUCAUCAAGUUGAGAUUAUGUUUAAAAUUUUCAAAGCUUCUCACAGGCAAAGCCUUUGUAAAUCCAUCUGCAAGCUGAUCUUUGGAGUGGAUAAAGCGAAUAUCAAGUUGCUUUUGAGCAACCCUCUCACGAGCAAAGUGAAAAUCUAUUUCAAUAUGUUUUGUCCUUGCAUGAAAAACUGGAUUGGCAGAUAGAUAGGUUGCACCAAGGUUAUCACACCACAGACAUGGAGCUGGUGUGUUCUUUAUGCCUAAUUCUUUCAGCAUGGACUGAACCCAUAUAAUCUCAGCUGUAGCAUUUGCCAGUGCUUUAUACUCUGCCUCUGUACUAGAUCUAGAAACAGUGGCCUGUUUUUGAGCACACCAUGAUAUUAAAUUUGGUCCAAAAAAGAUUGCAAAACCUCCAGUGGAGCGUCUGUCAUCCAGACAUCCUGCCCAAUCUGAGUCAGAGAAAGCACUAACAAGAUUUGAAGAUGACCUGCUGAAAUCCAGACCAAUGUUCAUAGUUCCUUUGACAUAUCUCACUAUGUGUUUUGCAGCAGUAAAGUGGACAUUAGUAGGUGCAUGAAGAAAUUGGCACACUUUGUUAACAGCAAAGGAUAUAUCAGGCCUGGUCAAAGUGAGAUACUGAAGUGCUCUUACCAAGCUUCUGUAUUUUGUGCUAUCUCCUGAACUCAAGAGAUUACCUUCUGUGAGAGACAGCUUUUCUGAGCUAGAUAAUGGAGUAGGUGUUGGCUUACAACCCUGCAACCCAGCCUUUUUUUACCAAAUCAGCUGCAUAUUUUUCCUGAGAGAGAUGAAGCCCACUUGCAUGUUUCUUCACCUCAAUUCCAAGGAAAUAGUGCAAGUCACCAAGAUCCUUUAGAGCAAAUCUGCACUCAAAUCUUUCAACAGUCCCGUGAUUGCUUCAUUUGAUGAGCUUGUCACAAUAAUAUCAUCAACAUAUAUCAAAACAAAUAUGCAUGUGUUGGACUUGUUGUAAAUGAACAAAGAAGUGUCAGAUUUGGAUGGAAUAAAACCAAGUGCUUGCAUUUUAUGACAGAGACGAGAGUACCAUGCUCUCGGUGCUUGCUUCAAUCCAUAAAGUGCCUUGUCCAGUUUACACACAUAAGAAGGGGAAUUUUUGCUUUCAAACCCAGGAGGUUGCUUCAUGUACACUUCCUCUUCCAGAACAUCGUGAAGAAACGUGUUCUGAACGUCUAACUGUCUGAGACUCCAGCCCCUAGAAACAGCAAUAGACAAAACAAGACGGAUGGUUGCAGCUUUAACAACUGGACUAAAAGUAUCCUCAUAGUCAAUACCAUACCGUUGUUUAAACCAUUUUGCAACGAGUCUAGCUUUGUAACGAUCAAUAGUUCCAUCAGAUUUUCUCUUGAUCCUGAAUACCCACUUGCAAUCAAUUAAACUUUUACCUUGCUGUGGAGGAACUAAGUGCCAUGUCUUAUUUUUCUUUAAGGCUAUGUACUCUUCAUUCAUCGCUUUCUUCCAUUUCUCAUCACCAAGUGCCUCUUCUAGAGUAUGAGGUUCACCUGGUUCACCUGUAGAACAAACCAUGCCAUAUUUUGUUAUGCGUUUGUAAUUAACAGGUUGUAUUACUCCCUUUUGUAGUCGUGUACGCCGAGGAGAGGUGCCCAGAUUUUCAGCCACAGAUGAUCCUGCAGCUUGAACAGGAGUUUGUGUAGGAGCCGAUCCCGAGGAAGAUCCGCGCACAGCAGCAGCAGUUUCUGUCCCACCUGGAUUUUCUGUGGCAAGUGGCAGCGGCUGCCCAUGUGCAGAAGCCGCAGAAGAUCCCGCCGCAGCAGUCGGCUCAUCAUUGCCGUGUGAUGGCAGAUCGGCCUCGGGUCCGAUGCCGGUCGGAUGCGUGCGCGGAUCAGUGCUGGGUUCCGCGCCAGAUUCGGGGCCCGCACCGGUCGAGCGAACCGGAUGACGCCGCUUGUAGCACACGGGUGGCCGGUAAAGCGUGCGUCGCCCGCGCCAAUCGCAGGCUGACAAGUGGCGGACGACGGUUGGUGCGGAGGUGACGACGCGCCGCAUCCUGUAGGACGCGCCUGGUUCGAGGCGGGCGUGCGCGCUGCUGGCGCCUCUGACGCCUCUGCCGCCGCUGAUCCCGAGGUGGAUCCGAUACGCUGCAAGCGCAGGUGGACGGAUCCCGAGGGGGAUUUGCCCCGAGAUUCCGGGCACAUAAAAUAUGGCACUGAUGAAGGGUUUUUUGCACCAUUUUCUUCCCUGAUUUCGCCAUUUUGCUCGCUGGUUUCACCUGUAACACCACAAGGCUCAGGCAUAUUAUCAGUAAGAGGGUUAGUCAGCAGUUGAUCAUCACUGUUAUUUCCCCCUUGAUCAACACCGGAGAGAUGAUGAGGCAAAAGAAGAAUCUCUUGGCGAAGAAGAGCACCAGCGUUGGGAUGAAAAUUGGCAAAAGGAAAUUUGGUUUCAUCAAAGAUGACAUCGCGUGAGAUAUACACACGACCAGUGUUGGAAAUAUGCCCUAGAGGCAAUAAUAAAAGUAUUAUUAUUAUAUUUCCUUGUUCAUGAUAAUUGUCUUUUAUUCAUGCUAUAACUGUAUUAUCCGGAAAUUGUAAUACACGUGUGAAUACAUAGACCACAAUAUGUCCCUAGUGAGCCUCUAGUUGACUAGCUCGUUGUGAUCAACAGAUAGUCAUGGUUUCCUGGCUAUGGACAUUGGAUGUCGUUCAUAACGGGAUCACAUCAUUAGGAGAAUGAUGUGAUGGACAAGACCCAAUCCUAAGCAUAGCACAAAGAUCGUGUAGUUCGUUUGCUAGAGCUUUGCCAAUGUCAAGUAUCUCUUCCUUUGACCAUGAGAUCGUGUAACUCCUGGAUACCGUAGGAGUGCUUUGGGUGUAUCAAACGUCACAACGUAACUGGGUGACUAUAAAGGUGCACUACAGGUAUCUCCGAAAGUAUCUAUUGUUUUAUGCGGAUCGAGACUGGGAUUUGUCACUCCGUGUAAACGGAGAGGUAUCUCUGGGCCCACUCGGUAGGACAUCAUCAUAUGCGCAAUGUGACCAAGGAGUUGAUCACGGGAUGAUGUGUUACGGAACGAGUAAAGUGACUUGCCGGUAACGAGAUUGAACAAGGUAUCGGUAUACCGACGAUCGAAUCUCGGGCAAGUAAAAUACCGCUAGACAAAGGGAAUUAUAUACGGGAUCGAUUGAGUCCUUGACAUCGUGGUUCAUCCGAUGAGAUCAUCGUGGAACAUGUGGGAGCCAACAUGGGUAUCCAGAUCCCGCUGUUGGUUAUUGACCGGAGAACGUCUCGGUCAUGUCUGCAUGUCUCCCGAACCCGUAGGGUCUACACACUUAAGGUUCGAUGACGCUAGGGUUAUAAAGGAAGCUUGUAUGUGGUUACCGAAUGUUGUUCGGAGUCCCGGAUGAGAUCCCGGACAUCACGAGGAGUUCCGGAAUGGUCCGGAGGUAAAGAUUUAUAUAUAGGAAGUCCUGUUUCGGCCAUCGGGACAAGUUUCGGGGUCAUCGGUAUUGUACCGGGACCACCGGAAGGGUCCCGGGGGCCCACCGGGUGGGGCCACCUGCCCCGGGGGGCCACAUGGGCUGUAGGGGGUGCGCCUUGGCCCACAUGGGCCAAGGGCACCAGCCCCAAGAGGCCCAUGCGCCUAGGGAACCCUAGAGGGAAGAGUCCUCAAGGGGGAAGGCACCUCCGAGGUGCCUUGGGGAGGAUGGACUCCUCCCCCCCUCUUGGCCGCCGCACCAGAUGCCAUCUGGAGGCUGGCCGCCGCCCCUUGGGGUGGGAAACCCUAAAGGGGGCGCAGCCCUCCCCUUCCCCUAUAUAUAUGAGGCCUAGGGGCUGCCCAUAACACACGAUUUGAUCUCUCGUUGGUGCAGCCCUGCCUCUCUCCCUCCUCCUCUUCUCCCAUGGUGCUUGGCGAAGCCCUGCGGGAUUGCCACGCUCCUCCACCACCACCACGUCGUUGUGCUGCUGUUGGAUGGAGUCUUCCUCAACCUCUCCCUCUCUCCUUGUUGGAUCAAGGCGUGGGAGACGUCACCGGGCUGUACGUGUGUUGAACGUGGAGGUGCCGUCCGUUCGGCACUUGAUCAUCGGUGAUCUGAAUCACGACGAGUACGACUCCAUCAAACCCGUUCACUUGAACGCUUCCGCUUAGCGAUCUACAAGGGUAUGUAGAUGCACUCUCCUUCUACUCGUUGCUGGUCUCUCCAUAGAUAGAUCUUGGUGACACGUAGGAAAAUUUUGAAUUUCUGCUACGUUCCCCAACAGUGGCAUCAUGAGCCAGGUUUAUUGCGUAGAUUCUUUGCACGAGUAGAACACAAAGUAGUUGUGGGCGUUGAUGUUGUUCAAUAUGCUUACCGUUACUAGUCCAAUCUUGUUUCGACGGUAUUGUGGGAUGAAGCGGCCCGGACCGACCUUACACGUACUCUUACGUGAGACAGGGUCCACCGAUUGACAUGCACUUGGUGCAUAAGGUGGCUAGCGGGUGCCAGUCUCUCCCACUUUAGUCGGAACGGAUUCGAUGAAAAGGGUCCUUAUGAAGGGUAAAUAGCAAUUGGCAUAUCACGUUGUGGUUUUGCGUAGGUAAGAAACGUUCUUGCUAGAAACCCAUAGCAGCCACGUAAAACAUGCAAACAACAAUUAGAGGACGUCUAACUUGUUUUUGCAGGGUAUGCUAUGUGAUGUGAUAUGGCCAAAAGGAUGUGAUGAAUGAUAUAUGUGAUGUAUGAGAUUGAUCAUGUUCUUGUAAUAGGAUUCACGACUUGCAUGUCGAUGAGUAUGACAACCGGCAGGAGCCAUAGGAGUUGUCUUUAUUUAUUGUAUGACCUGCGUGUCAUUAAAGAACGCCAUGUAAACUACUUUACUUUAUUGCUAAACGCGUUAGUCAUAGAAGUAGAAGUAGUCGUUGGCGUGACAACUUCAUGAAGACACGAUGAUGGAGAUCAUGAUGAUGGAGAUCAUGGUGUCAUGCCGGUGACAAGAUGAUCAUGGAGCCCCGAAGAUGAAGAUCAAAGGAGCUAUAUGAUAUUGGCCAUAUCAUGUCACUACUCUAUUUGAUUGCAUGUGAUGUUUAUCAUGUUUAUGCAUCUUGUUUACUUAGGACGACGGUAGUAAAUAAGAUGAUCCCUUACAAAAUUUCAAGAAGUGUUCUCCCCUAACUGUGCACCGUUGCUACAGUUCGUCGCUUCUAAGCACCACGUGAUGAUCGGGUGUGAUGGAUUCUUACGUUCACAUACAGCGGGUGUAAGACAGUUUUACACAGCGAAAACACUUAGGGUUAACUUGACGAGCCUAGCAUGUGCAGACAUGGCCUCGGAACACGGAGACCGAAAGGUCGAGCAUGAGUCGUAUAGUAGAUACGAUCAACAUGAAGAUGUUCACCGACGUUAACUAGUCCGUCUCACGUGAUGAUCGGACACGGGCUAGUUGACUCGGAUCAUGUAAUCACUUAGAUGACUAAAGGGAUGUCUAUCUGAGUGGGAGUUCAUAAGAUGAACUUAAUUAUCUUGAACAUAGUCAAAAGACCUUUUGCAAAUUAUGUCGUAGCUCGCGCUUUAGUUCUACUGUUUUAGAUAUGUUCCUAGAGAAAAUAUAGUUGAAAGUUGAUAGUAGCAAUUAUGCGAACAGUAGAAAGCUUAUGUCCUUAAUGCACUGCUCAGUGUGCUGAACCCCAAACGUCGUUUGUGGAUGUUUCGAACAUCGAACAUACACGUUUUGAUAACUACGUGAUAGUUCAGUUAAAUGGUUUAAGUAGAGGCACCAAAGACGUUUUCGAAAUGUCGCGGAACAUAUGAGAUGUUUCAAUGGGCUGAAAUUGGGAUUUCAGGCUCGUGCUCACGUCAAGAGGUAUAAGACCUCCGACGAUUCUCUUAGCCUGCAAACUAAAGGAGAAAAUCUCAAUCGUUGAGCUUGUGCUCAGAUUGUCUAAGUGCAACAAUCACUUGAAUUGAGUGGGAGUUGAUCUUCCAAAUGAGAUAGUGAUGUUUCUCCAAAGUCAUUGCCACCGAGCUGCUAGAGCUUCGUGAUGAACUAUAACAUAUCAGGGAUAAAUAAGAUGAUCCUUGAGGUAUUCACGAUGUUUGACACCGCGAAAGUAGAAAUCAAGAAGGAGCAUCAAUUGUUGAUGGUUGGUGAAACCACUAGUUUCAAGAAGGGCAAGGGCAAGAAGGGAUACUUCAUGAAACGGCAAAUCAGCUGCUGCUCCAGUGAAGAAACCCAAGGUUGAACCCAAACCCGAGACUAAGUGCUUCUGUAAUAAGGGGAACAGUCACUAGAGCAAAAUUACCCUAGAUACUUGGUAGAUGAGAAGGCUGGCAAGGUCGAUAGAAGUAUAUUGGAUAUACAUUAUGUUAAUGUGUACUUUACUAGUACUCCUAGUAGCACCAGGGUAUUAGAUACCGGUUCGGUUGCUAAGUGUUAGUAACUCGAAAUAAAAGCUACGGAACAAACGGAGACUAGCUAAAGGUGAGAUGACGAUAUGUGUUGGAAGUGUUUCCAAGGUUGAUAUGAUCAAGCAUCGCACGCUCCCUCUACCACCGAGAUUGGUGUUUGCGUUGAGCAUAGACAUGAUUGGAUUAUGUCUAUCGCAAUACGGUUAUUCAUUUAAGGAGAAUAAUGGUUACUCUAUUUUUGAAUAAUACCUUCAAUGGUCUUGCACCUAAAGGAAUGGUUUAUUGAAUCUCGGUCAUAGUGAUACACAUUUUCAUGCCAAAAGAUAUAAGAUAGUAAUGAUAGUACCACUUACUUGUGGCACUGCCAUGUAAGUCAUAAUGGUAUAAAACGCAUGAAGAAGCUCCAUGUUGAUGGAUCUUUGGACUCACUCGUUUUUUGAAAAGUUUGAGACAUGCGAACCAUGUCUAUUGGUGUAUACGCAUGAAGAAACUCCAUGCAGAUGGAUCGUUUGGACUCACUUGAUUUUGAAUCACUUGAGAUAUGCAAAUCAUACCACAUGGGCAAGAUGACUGAAAUCCUCGGUUUUAGUAAAAUGGAACAAGAUAGAAACUUGUUGGAAGUAACACAUUUUGAUGUGUGCAAUCCAAUAAGUGCUAAGGCAUGUAGUGGAUAUCAUUAUGUUCUUACUUCACAGAUGAUUCGAGUAAAUGUUGAGUAUAUUUACUUGAUGAAACACAAGUCUGAAUUAUUGAAUGGUUCAAGUAAUUUCAGAGUGAAGUAGCAGAUCAUUGUGACAAGAGGAUAAAAUGUCUAUGAUAUGAUCAUAGAGAUGAAUAUCUGAGUUACGAGUUUUGGCACACAAUUAAGACAUUGUGGAAAUUGUUUCGCAAUUAAUACCGCCUGGAACACCAUAAUGUGAUGGUGUGUCCGAACAUCAUAGUUGCACCCUAUUGGAUAUGGUGCGUACCAUGAUGUCUCUUAUCGAAUUACCACUAUCGUUCAUGGGUUAGGCAUUAGAGACAACCACAUUCACUUUAAAUAGGGCACCGCGUAAUUCCGUUGAGAUGACACCGUAUGAAUUAUGGUUUAGAGAAACCUAAGUUGUCGUUUCUUAAAAGUUUGGGGCUGCGACGCUUAUAUGAAAAAGUUUCAGGUUGAUAAGCUCGAACCCAAAGCGGAUAAAAUGCAUCUUCAUAGGAAACCCAAAACAGUUGGGUAUACCUCCUAAUUCAGAUCCGAAAGCAAUAUGAAUUGUUUCUAGAAUCGGGUCCUUUCUCGAGGAAAGGUUUCUCUCGAAAGAGUUGAGUGGGAGGAUGGUGGAGACUUGAUGAGGUUAUUGAACCGUCUCUUCAACUAGUGUGUGGCAGGGCACAGGAAGUUGUUCCUGUGGCACCUACACCAAUUGAAGUGGAAGCUUAUGAUAUUGAUCAUGAAACUUCGGAUCGAGUCACUCCCAAACCUCGUAGGAUGACAAGGAUGCGUACUACUUCAGAGUGGUACGUAAUCCUGUCUUGAAGGUCAUGUUGCUAGACAACAAUGAACCUACGAGCUAUGGAGAAGCGAUGGUGGGCCCGAAUUCCGACAAAUGGUUAUAAGCCAUAAAAUCCGAGAACGGAUCCAUGGACUUUGGUGGACUUACCCGAUGAUCGGCAAGCCAUUAAGAUAAAUGGAUCUUUGAGAAGAAGACGGACGUGGAUGGUAAUGUCACCGUCCAUGAAGCUCGACUUGUGGCGAAAAGUUUUUCACAAGUUCAAGGAGUUGACUACGAUGAGAUUUUCUCAUCCGUAGCGAUGCUUAAAGUCCGUCGGAAUCAUGUUAGCAUUAGCUGCAUUUAUGAAAUCUGGCAGACGGAUGUCAAAACGAGUUUCCUUACCAGUUUUCGUAAGGAAAGGUUGUAUGUAAUACAAUCAGAAAGUUUUUGUCGAUCCUAAGGAUGCUAAACGGUAUGCUCCAGCGAUCCUUCUAAGGACUGGAGUGAGCAUCUCGGAGUUGGAAUGUAUGCUUUGAUGAUGAUCAAAGAUUUUGGGUUUGUACAAAGUUUAUGAGAAACUUGUAUAUCCAAAGAAGUGAGUGGGAGCACUAUAGAAUUUCUGAUGAGUAUAUGUUGUUGAUCAGAAAUGAUGUAGAAUUUCUAGAAAGCAUAUAGGGUUAUUUGAAAGGUGUUUUCAAUAGAAAACCUGGAUCAAGCUACUUGAACAUUGAGCAUCAAGAUCUAUAAGGAUAGAUCAAAAUGCUUAAUAAUACUUUCAAAUGAGCACAUACCUUGACAUGAUCUUGAAGGUGUUCAAGAUGGACCAGUCAAAGAAGGAGUUCUUGCCUGAGUUGUAAGGUACGAAGUUAAGACUUAAAGCUCGACCACGGCAUAAUAGAGAGAAAGGACGAAGGUCGUCCCCUAUGCUUAAGACGUAGGCUCCUCAGUAUGCUAUGCUGUGUACCGCACCUGAAGUGUGCCUUGCCAUGAGUCAGUCAAGGGGUACAAGAGUGAUCCAAGAAUGGCUCACAGGACAGCGGUCAAAGUUAUCCUUAGUAACUAGUGGACUAAGGAAUUUCCUCGAUUAUGGAGGUGGUAAAAAGAGUUCGUCGUAAAAGUUACGACGAUGCAAGCUUGACACCUAUCCGGAUAGCUCUAAGUAGAGAGACCGGAUACAUAUAAUGGAGCAAUAAUUUAGGAUAGCUCCAAGUAGAACAGUUGUUUGGAAUAGCUCCAAAUAGAGCGUGGUAGCUGCAUCUAGGAGAUGACAUAGAGAUUUGUAAAGCACACAUGGAUCUGAAAGGUUCAGACCCGUUGACUAAAACCUCUCUCACAAGCAACAUGAUCAAACAUAAAACUCAUUGAGUGUUAAUCACAUAGUGAUGUGAACUAGACUACUGACUCUAGUAAACUCUUGGGUAUUAGUCACAUGGUGAUGUGACCUGUGAGUGUUAAUCACAUGGCGAUGUGAACUAGAUUAUUGACUCUAGUGCAAGUGGGAGACUGUAGGAAAUAUGCCCUAGAGGCAAUAAUAAAAGUAUUAUUAUUAUAUUUCCUUGUUCAUGAUAAUUGUCUUUUAUUCAUGCUAUAACUGUAUUAUCCGGAAAUCGUAAUACACGUGUGAAUACAUAGACCACAAUAUGUCCCUAGUGAGCCUCUAGUUGACUAGCUCGUUGUGAUCAACAGAUAGUCAUGGUUUCCUGGCUAUGGACAUUGGAUGUCGUUGAUAACGGGAUCACAUCAUUAGGAGAAUGAUGUGAUGGACAAGACCCAAUCCUAAGCAUAGCACAAAGAUCGUGUAGUUCGUUUGCUAGAGCUUUGCCAAUGUCAAGUAUCUCUUCCUUUGACCAUGAGAUCGUGUAACUCCUGGAUACCGUAGGAGUGCUUUGGGUGUAUCAAACGUCACAACGUAACUGGGUGACUAUAAAGGUGCACUACAGGUAUCUCCGAAAGUAUCUAUUGUUUUAUGCGGAUCGAGACUGGGAUUUGUCACUCCGUGUAAACGGAGAGGUAUCUCUGGGCCUACUCGGUAGGACAUCAUCAUAUGCGCAAUGUGACCAAGGAGUUGAUCACGGGAUGAUGUGUUACGGAACGAGUAAAGUGACUUGCCGGUAACGAGAUUGAACAAGGUAUCGGUAUACCGACGAUCGAAUCUCGGGCAAGUAAAAUACCGCUAGACAAAGGGAAUUGUAUACGGGAUCGAUUGAGUCCUUGACAUCGUGGUUCAUUCGAUGAGAUCAUCGUGGAACAUGUGGGAGCCAACAUGGGUAUCCAGAUCCCGCUGUUGGUUAUUGACCGGAGAACGUCUCGGUCAUGUCUGCAUGUCUCCCGAACCCGUAGGGUCUACACACUUAAGGUUCGAUGACGCUAGGGUUAUAAAGGAAGCUUGUAUGUGGUUACCGAAUGUUGUUCGGAGUCCCGGAUGAGAUCCCGGACGUCACGAGGAGUUCCGGAAUGGUCCGGAGGUAAGGAUUUAUAUAUAGGAAGUCCUGUUUCGGCCAUCGGGACAAGUUUCGGGGUCAUCGGUAUUGUACCGGGACCACCGGAAGGGUCCCGGGGGCCCACCGGGUGGGGCCACCUGCCCCGGGGGGCCACAUGGGCUGUAGGGGGUGCGCCUUGGCCUACAUGGGCCAAGGGCACCAGCCCCAAGAGGCCCAUGCGCCUAGGGAACCCUAGAGGGAAGAGUCCUCAAAGGGGAAGGCACCUCCGAGGUGCCUUGGGGAGGAUGGACUCCUCCCCCCCUCUUAGCCGCACCCCUUCCUUGGAGGAAGGGGCAAGGCUGCGCCUCCCCCCUCUCCCCUGCCCCUAUAUAUAGUGGAGGGGAGGGAGGGCAUCCAUACCUGAGCCCUUGGCGCCUCCCUCCCUCCCGUGACACCUCCUCCUCUCCCGUAGGUGCUUGGCGAAGCCCUGCAGGAUUGCCACGCUCCUCCAUCACCACCAUGCCAUUGUGCUGCUGCUGGAUGGAGUCUUCCUCAACCUCUCCCUCUCUCCUUGCUGGAUCAAGGCGUGGGAGACAUCGUCGAGCUGUCAAACCACUAGAGCGGAAUUACCCUAGAUACUUGGUAGAUAAGAAGGCUGGCAAGGUCGAUAGAAGUAUAUUGGAUAUACAUUGUGUUAAUGUGUACUUUGCUAGUACUCCUAGUAGCACCAGGGUAUUAGAUACCGGUUCGGUUGCUAAGUGUUAGUAACUCGAAACAAAAGGCUACGGAAUAAACGGAGACUAGCUAAAGGUGAGCUGACGAUAUGUGUUGGAAGUUUUUCCAAGCUUGAUAUGAUCAAGCAUCGCACGCUCCUUCUACCAAAGAGAUUGGUGUUAAACCUAAAUAAUUGUUAUUUGGUGUUUGCGUUGAGCAUAGACACGAUUGGAUUACGUCUAUCGCAAUACGGUUAUUCAUUUAAGGAGAAUAAUGGUUACUCUAUUUAUUUGAAUAAUACCUUCAAUGGUCUUACACCUAAAAUGAAUGGUUUAUUAAAUCUCGAUCGUAGUGAUACACAUGUUCAUGCCAAAAGAUAGUAAUGAUAGUACCACCUACUUGUGGCACUGCCACGUAAGUCAUAUCGGUAUAAAACGCAUGAAGAAGCUCCAUAUUGAUGGAUCUUUGGGCUCACUCGUUUUGAAAAGUUUGAGACAUGCGAACCAUGUCUAUUGGUGUAUAUGCAUGAAGAAACUCCAUGCAAAUGGACCGUUUUGACUCACUUGAUUUUGAAUCACUUGGGACAUGCAAAUCAUACCACAUGGGCAAGAUGACUGAAAAGCCUCGUUUUCAGUAAGAUGGAACAAGAUAGCAACUUGUUGGAAGUAACACAUUUUGAUGUGUGCAGUCCAAUGAGUGCUGAGGCAUGCAGUGAAUAUCGUUAUGUUCUUACUUCACAGAUGAUUCGAGUAGAUGUUGAGUAUAUUUACUUGAUGAAUCACGAGUCUGAAUUAUUGAAAGGUUCAAGUAAUUUCAGUGUGAAGUUGAAAGAUCGUCGUGACAAGAGGAUAAAAGAUCUAUGAUAUGAUCAUAGAGAUGAAUAUCUGAAUCACGAGUUUGGCACAGAAUUAAGACAUUGUGGAAAUUGUUUCACAACUGAUACAGCUUGGAACACCGUAGUGUGAUGGUGUGUCCAAACGUCAUAGUUGCACCCUAUUGGAUAUGGUGCAUACCAUGAUGUCUCUUAUCGAGUUACCACUAUCGUUCAUGGGUUAGGCAUUAGAGACAGCCACAUUCACUUUAAAUAGGGCACUACAUAAUUUCGUUGAGACGACACCGUAUGAACUAUGGUUUGGAGAAACCUAAGUUGUCGUUUCUUGAAAGUUUGGGGCUGCGACGCUUAUGUGAAAAGGUUUCAGGUUGAUAAGCUCGAACCCAAAGCAGAUAAAAUGCAUCUUCAUAGGACACCCAAAAACAGUUGAGUAUACCUCCUAAUUCAGAUCCGAAAACAAUAGGAAUUGUUUCUUGAAUCGGGUCCUUUUUCGAGGAAAGGUUUCUCUCGAAAAGUUGAGUGGGAGGAUGGUGGAGACUUGAUGAGGUUAUUGAACCGUCACUUCAACAAGUGUGUAGCAGGGCACAGGAAGUUGUUCCUGUGGCACGUACACCAACUGAAGUGGAAGCUUAUGAUAGUGAUCUGAAACUUCGGAUCGAGUCACUACCAAACCUCGUGGGAUGACAAGGAUGCGUACUACUUCAGAGUGGUACGUAAUCCUGUCUUGGAAGUCAUGUUGCUAGACAACAAUGAACCUACAAGCUAUGGAGAAGCGAUGGUGGGCCCGGAUUCCGAUAAAUGGCUCAAGGCCAUAAAACCCGAGAGAGGAUCCAUGUAUGAAAACAAAGUGUAGACUUUGGAAGAACUACUUGAUGGUCGUAAGGCUGUUAGGUACAUAUGGAUUUUGAAAGGAAGACAGACAAUGAUGGUAAGUGUCGCCAUUGAGAAAGCUCGACUUGUCGUUAAGAUGUUUUUCGACAAGUUCAAGGAGUUGACUACGAUGAGACUUUCUCACUCGUAGCGAUGCUAAGAGUCUGUUGGAAUUAUAUUAGCAAUUACUGCAUUAUUUAUGAAAUCUUGCAGAUAGGAUGUCAAAAACAUUGUUUCCUCGACGAUUCUUGAGGAAAGGUUGUAUGUGAUACAACCGGAAGGUUUUGUCUAUCCUGAAAUAUGCUAAUAAGUAUGCAAAGCUCCAGCAAUCCUUCUGAGGACUGGAGUGAGCAUCUCGGAGUUGGAAUGUAUGCUUUGAUGAUGAUCAAAGAUUUUGGGUGUAUACAAAGUUUAUGAGAAACUUGUAUUUUCAAAGAAGUGAGUGGGAGCACUAUAGAAUUUCUGAUGAGUAUAUGUUGUUGACAUAUUAAUGAUCAGAAAUGACAUAGAAUUUCUGGAAAGCAUAUAGGGUUAUUUGGAAAGUAUUUUCAAUGGAAAACCUGGAUUAAGCUACUUGAACAUUGAGCAUCAAGAUCUAUAAGGAUAGAUCAAAACGCUUAAUAGUACUUUCAAAUGAGCACAUGCCUUGACGUGAUCUUGAAGGUGUUCAAGAUGGAUCAGUCAAAGAAGGAGUUCUUGCCUGAGUUGUAAGGUAUGAAGUUAAGACUUAAAGCUCGACCAUGGCAGAAUAGAGAGAAAGGAACGAAGGUCGUCCCCUAUGCUUAAGACAUAGGCUCUACAGUAUGCUAUGCUGUGUACCGCACCUGAAGUGUGCUUUACCAUGAGUCAGUCAAGGGGUACAAGAGUGAUCCAAGAAUGGAUCACAGGACAGCGGUCAAAGUUAUCCUUAGUAACUAGUGGACUAAGGAAUUUUCUCAAUUAUGGAGGUGGUAAAAGAGUUCGUCGUAAAGGGUUACGUCGAUGCAAGCUUAACACCUAUCCGGAUAGCUCUGAGUAGAGAUACCGGAUACGUAUAAUGGAGCAACAAUUUAGAAUAGCUCCAAGUAGAACAGUUAUUUGGAAUAGCUCCAAAUAGAAUGUGGUAGCUGCAUCUAGGAGAUGACAUAGAGAUUUGUAAAGCACACACGGAUCUGAAAGGUUCAGACCCAUUGACUAUAACCUCUCUCACAAGCAUAACAUGAUCAAACCCAGAACUCAUCGAGUGUUAAUCACAUGGUAAAUGUGAACUAGAUUAUUGAAUCUAGUAAACUCUUUGGGUGUUAGUCACAUGGGGAUGUGACCUUGAGUGUUAAUCACAUAUCGAUGUGAACUAGAUUAUUGACUCUAGUGCAAGUGGGAGACUGUUGGAAAUAUGCCCUAGAGGCAAUAAUAAAUUGAUUAUUAUUAUAUUUCCUUGUUCAUGAUAAUCGUUUAUUAUCCAUGCUAGAAUUGUAUUGAUAGGAAACUCAGAUACAUGUGUGGAUACAUAGACAACACCAUGUCCCUAGUAAGCCUCUAGUUGACUAGCUCGUUAAUCAAUAGAUGGUUACAGUUUCCUAACCAUGGACAUUGGAUGUCGUUGAUAACGGGAUCACAUCAUUAGGAGAAUGAUGUGAUGGACAAGACCCAAUCCUAAGCCUAGCACAAGAUCAUGUAGUUCGUAUGCUAAAGCUUUUCUAAUGUCAAGUAUCAUUUCCUUAGACCAUGAGAUUGUGCAACUCCCGGAUACCGUAGGAGUGCUUUGGGUGUGCCAAACGUCACAACGUAACUGGGUGGCUAUAAAGGUACACUACGGGUAUCUCUGAAAGUGUCUGUUGGGUUGGCACGAAUCGAGAUUGGGAUUUUGUCACUCCGUGUAAACGGAGAGGUAUCUCUGGGCCCACUCGGUAGGACAUCAUCAUAAUGUGCACAAUGUGACCAAGGGGUUGAUCACGGGAUGAUGUGUUACGGAACGAGUAAAGAGACUUGCCGGUAACGAGAUUGAACAAGGUAUCGGUAUACCGACGAUCGAAUCUCGGGCAAGUACCAUACCGCUAGACAAAGGGAAUUGUAUACGGGAUUGUUUAAGUCCUUGACAUCGUGGUUCAUCCAAUGAGAUCAUCGUGGAACAUGUGGGAGCCAACAUGGGUAUCCAGAUCCCGCUGUUGGUUAUUGACCGGAGAACGUCUCGGUCAUGUCUGCAUGUCUCCCGAACCCGUAGGGUCUACACACUUAAGGUUCGAUGACGCUAGGGUUAUAAAGGAAGCUUGUAUGUGGUUACCGAAUGUUGUUCGGAGUCCCGGAUGAGAUCCCGGACGUCACGAGGAGUUCCGGAAUGGUCCGGAGGUAAAGAUUUAUAUAUAGGAAGUCCUGUUUCGGCCAUCGGGACAAGUUUCGGGGUCAUCGGUAUUGUACCGGGACCACCGGAAGGGUCCCGGGGGCCCACCGGGUGGGGCCACCUGCCCCGGGGGGCCACAUGGGCUGUAGGGGGUGCGCCUUGGCCCACAUGGGCCAAGGGCACCAGCCCCAAGAGGCCCAUGCGCCUAGGGAACCCUAGAGGGAAGAGUCCUCAAGGGGGAAGGCACCUCCGAGGUGCCUUGGGGAGGAUGGACUCCUCCCCCCCCUCUUGGCCGCCGCACCAGAUGCCAUCUGGAGGCUGGCCGCCGCCCCUUGGGGUGGGAAACCCUAAAGGGGGCGCAGCCCUCCCCUUCCCCUAUAUAUAUGAGGCCUAGGGGCUGCCCAUAACACACGAUUUGAUCUCUCGUUGGUGCAGCCCUGCCUCUCUCCCUCCUCUUCUCCCAUGGUGCUUGGCGAAGCCCUACGGGAUUGCCACGCUCCUCCACCACCACCACGCCGUUGUGCUGCUGUUGGAUGGAGUCUUCCUCAACCUCUCCCUCUCUCCUUGCUGGAUCAAGGCGUGGGAGACGUCACCGGGCUGUACGUGUGUUGAACGCGGAGGUGCCGUCCGUUCGGCACUUGAUCAUCGGUGAUCUGAAUCACGACGAGUAUGACUCCAUCAACCCCGUUCACUUGAACGCUUCCGCUUAGCGAUCUACAAGGGUAUGUAGAUGCACUCUCCUUCUACUCGUUGCUGGUCUCUCCAUAGAUAGAUCUUGGUGAUUCGUAGGAAAAUUUUUGAAUUUCUGCUACGUUCCCCAACAGCCAGUGGCAACGUCGAGGCACUUGACACCUUUAUGUUGAGUGCUAUAGCCUAGGAAAACACAUUGUUUGGAGCGGAACAUGAGUUUUAUAGUGUUAUAUGGGCGAAGAUUGGGCCAACAGGCACACCCAAACACACGGAGGGACUUGUAGUCGGGUUUGACAUGGAAAAGUCGUUCUAGUGGUGUUUCAUUGUUAAUGACACGACUAGGAAGCAUGUUGAUGAUGUGAACUGCUGUGAGGAAAGCCUCACCCCAGAACUUGAGGGGCAUAGAUGCGCCAGCUAGGAGAGCUAAACCAACUUCAACUAUGUGUCGGUGCUUGCGUUCAGCAGAGCCAUUCUGUUGAUGAGCGUGAGGGCAUGACACAUGAUGUGAUAUGCCAAGGUUUUGGAAGAAGGAAUUUAAUUUUUCAUAUUCCCCUCCCCAGUCUGACUGGACAGCAAUGAUUUUACUAUCAAAUUUUCGUUCAACGAGAGCUUGAAAGUUUUGGAAGACUUGAAAAACAUCAGAUCUUUUCUUGAGAAGAUAAAUCCAAGAAAAUUUGCUGUAGUCAUCUAUAAAGCUCACAUAAUAAGUGUGUCUACCAACUGAACUAGGAGCAGGGCCCCAAACAUCAGAGAAGAUUAAUUGCAAGGGUUUGGUAGAAACACUAGUAGAUAUGGGAUAAGGCAAUUGAUGACUUUUUGCACGUUGACAAGAAUCACAAAUUGUUUCAAGAUCACGCUCACCAACAAACGGGAGCUUAUUUUUCCUAAGCAGUUUUUCAACUAAAGAGAAAGCAGCAUGUCCUAAUCUAUCGUGCCACCUUGCAGAUGAGAGUUUGGCGGCACCAUAGGCUUGUUUAUUUGAUCUCCUACGCUCCGGAAGCAAUGGGUAGAGCCCUCGAACGCAUCUACCUCGAUAUAGCACUUUCUUCGUUGCCUGAUACUUGAUCAAGAAAAAAUAAGGAUGAAACUCAAGGAAGACAUGGUUGUCAAUGGCAAUUCUAUGAACGGAAAGGAGAUUCUUGUCGGCACUAGGAACUAGCAAAAUUUUCUUUAGAUGAAGUUUACGACGAGGGGUACUAAACAAUGAGUGACCAACAUGACUAAUCCUCAUACCUUCGCCGUUGGCAGUGUAGAUGUGAUCUUUGCCCCGGUAUUUUUCCUUCAUGGUGACCUUCUCGAACUCGUUGGUGAUGUGGCUGGUAGCCCCACUAUCACGUACCAAUUGGUGUCGAUGCCGUAGGAGCCAUCCGCAGCCGCAGCAACUUUGUCCUCGUCUUGAGAGGAGUCCUCGUCUUCAUCAUAGCGGUACCAACAGUCCUUGGCUGUGUGCCCAAGCUUGCCACAGAUCUGGCAGCGGGGCGCAUCAGGACGGGACCGGCUGGAGGCGCCGCCGCGGCGAGGCUUGGAGUUGAUGGAGCGGCCGUUGCGGGAGUUGGAGGAGCCGCCAGUGUUGCUGUUUCCUCCUGACCGCCCCUUGUUGCGGGGAGAUCCACGCGAGCGAGAGCCACCACCACGACCGCGAGACGCGACGUUGGCCGAAGACUUGAAGCCACCGAAGGAGCCGUUGUACUGCGCCAUGCGCUGAUCAAAGUUACUCAGCAUGGCAAAAAGCUCGUCGAGGGUGACGAGUGUGACGCGAGCGUCUAGUGCAGAGACAAGCGGCUGGUAGUCGGCGUCGAGGCCAUGGAGGAUGUACGAGAUCAACUCGUCAUCCUGGAUUGGUUUUCCCGCGGCGGCGAGUUCAUCGGCGAGGCCGCGCAGGGAGGCGAAGUAGGAGGCGACCGGUUGGUUGCCCUUCUGCGCGUUGAUUAGCGCAGUCCUGAUGUUGUUGAUGUGGCUGAGGGACUGAGACGAGAACAUGCCCGCCACGGCCACCCAGAGUUCACGCGGCGUGGUGAUCGCGGUGACCGCGACCAGCACCUCCUUGGACAGAGUACUUAGCAGCUAGCCAAGCACUUGUUGAUCCUCCUGGACCCAAAUUGGGUGGAGAGGGUUGGGCACAGAGGACUCCUUGCCGUCCUUGUCCUUGGUGGCGUGGAGUCGGGCCGGCUCCGGCGUGGUGCCGUCGACGUAGCCGAAGACACCGGCGCCCCGCAGGUGGGGUGUGACCUGUGUGCGCCACAGCACGUAGUUCGUGCGGUUGAGCUUCUCGGUGACCUGGCCAUUGAGGCUAGGCUGAGCGGCGCCGGAGGAUGAAGACAUGGCUAUGCACUGGAUGUAUUCGGGAGGCUAGAUUGGAAGAGGAAGGCUCUGAUUACCAUGUGCGAUGGCGGAAACGUCUUACCCUAUCUCGGGCGACGUGCUACGUGUUAUAUAGCAGGGGCGCAAUAACCCUGAGGCGCAUACAUGAGUUGGUUACAUGAGAAGAUAAGAGAGAAUCGGCAUAUAACUUGAGGAGAAAGAAAAGCAAGAGAUAGACUUGGUUACAACCGAAUAGACAUCAUAUCUAGCUAAACUACUUCCUGAACUAUCUCUCUGAAGAUCCUCUUCUGUCACAUAUGCGCAUCAAUGCCGUGUAUGUUUAACACCAUCAAACCCAUAGAUAUCACAAAAACAAAUACGGAGUAUUUCCCAGAUACAUCACUUGAUUCGGUUCGUUUAAAUCAUAACGCAAACAAUAACAGAGUUCUGCCAUGACGACAGAUAAAUAGAAUUCAGGGAUCUUACACACACACACACACACACACACACACACACACACACACACACAUACUGUAUGUUCUACUGAAGCAAACCUAAUAAGAUGGGAGGCUGGCGAAUAGAUUUAGGAAAGAAAAAACAUCUCACACUGCAGAUAAGGCACCAUGAAUUCAUCUGAUCCACUCAACAAAUUUGAUUCUGGAACCUGGCUUUGUCUCUCUGGGAAUACAGACUGAAUAUGGCUGCAGAUCAAACGCUGGUGUGGUGGCCGGCCAGUUGAAUUGCAGACUUGCAGCAAAUAGCAGGACUGGAUUGGACAACCGUUAAGCUCUCACUUGACUUGGAUCCACGUACGAACUGCUGUUGAAGAUGAAUACAGGGUCAGCACUCAGCACAAUGUAUAUGGAACAUGUUCUUAAUUAUUUUUUCAGAAGGAAGAAUGUAGGACAUAUUAUCAUUCCGAUAAUUGUUACUUCUGGGAGUGAGUAAAAACACGAGCAUAUGAAUUACCGGGAUAAGGUGGCCAGUUCCUGCUGGUUAGUCUCUUACUCUUCCUCUUCAGGUCUCGUUUCUUCGUGCGAACCUUCCAUCACGAAGUUGCCUAAGAAUUUCUUCCUUCUCCUUUCUUUCCUUCAAGACGGCCUCUUCCCACUCCUUUUCAUCCUUGAACAUGCCAUAAUCCUUGACUCUACCGACAUGGAUUUCGCGGUUGGGGUGCAGGUUGAUUGCUUUUUCAACGGAAGACUCCAAGGCCUCCACCUUGUCUAGGGCUGCUCGAUAACAAUUGAUUUUGACCUCGAGCUGUGCAAGGCCUGGAAGAUGCUCGACACCCAAGUUUGCAAAAAAGUCUGGUGCCACAAACAUGGGGCUCAAGUCAAGACAGAGCCAUCGGAAUGCUGGCACAGAACCUGGAGCAAAUGUUAGCCGCAGUCCAUCUCGUUUUUUAUUUUCUGAGAUGCGCAGUCCACCGCUUGCUGUUUGUUCCGAUACAAAAGGAGAGGCUGGCGUAUAUUUGAAGUGGAACACCUUUAGGAGUCUGAAUCCAUUACUACCCACGGUCAGCUUUUCUUCGAUGACAUGUAUAAGGCAUAGCUGAAGAUAGGCUAGCGAAGGCAUGCCCAUGAGGACUUGGAGACCCUCCUUAUCAAACUUGCAAACCCCUAUGCAUAGUUUCACGAGAUUCUUGAGGGAGGCCAUUCCCCUGGGAACCAUUUCCAUUCCAAAAACUGACUCAAUUUUAAGAACUUGGAGGCACGGGUAUGUGCAGCAUGGGUUACAGAACAGACGCUUGGCUAUCACUCCACCAGUACGAAGAUAGCGAAGGUUGCAUUUUCCUGACUCAUUUACUUCCUCCGCAAAUCUCACUGGGUCGUCAGUUUGACUUAAGCAUAACUCCUCCAAGGCCUGAAAACUCCUCCAAGUUUUCUGAAAUCUCACUGUAGCCAAUUGUGUCUCAUCAUGAACAAAUAGGCGCACCAAUUUCUGCAACUGCGCCACGGUUGAUGGCAGUCUUAGAAGUGCCAAACUGCCAAACAGUAUCUCAAAUCCAGAGUCUCCAAGUGCUGCAGCUUUCCAAUUUCACCAGGAAGCUCGGUAAUAUGCAGACUGUCAAUUCUCAAAUACCUCAGCUGACGCGAGCUUCCUAUAUGUUUUACAUGCUUGUUUCUCAAAAAAUAAAAUCCCUCAAUAUCCAACACCCGCAAAGCAUGGAAGUCCACGAGAUGUAUCUUGGUCUUAUCAAACACAGUCAAUGAGCGAAUAUGUAUCUUGGUCUCUGUAAUUGCCCCAACUGCCCCUUCAUGCUCUUUUCCACUAGAUUGGAUGGACAGACGACGUAUCUUAUUUGGGAAAGAAUUGCAUCUACGCCCAUUUAAGACAGUGGCAAAAUUCUCCGCAUCCGAGAAAGAUAUAAUAAGGUCAAGCACCAUAUCAUGGACCCUACAAUAUUUCACCGAACUGCCAAAAUUACCAUAAACUGGCUGAAUCAUAUUUCUAUUAACGAGCUCAUUAAAACAGUUCAGUGCUGCUUGAUCCAAACUUCCCCAUUGUGUAGCAAUGAAUCCUUCCGCUAUCCAUUUCCAUUUCAACUGUUUAAUACUGAUCAUUGAGUCCUCUGGAUAUAUACACAAGUACAGUAAACAAGCCUUCAGGUGGUGGGGAAGAUCCAUGUAGCUAUGUAACAAUAUAUCUUUCAUCCCUUUUAAGUUCCCAUCGUUAUCAAAUGAAGAACCAGUACCAAUGGAAUCUUGCAGUCUCUCCCAUUCAUCCUUGUUAUGUGGCUUACUGGCAAGCAAACUUGCAAAUGUAAUUAUAGCCAACGGCAGUCCGCCACAUUUUUUUAAAAUCCUAGCAGAAACUUCUUCCAGUUCACAAGGACAUGAAUCACCUGAGCUGAAAAUUCUCUUAAAGAACAGUCUUCUAGAAUCAACAUCAUCCAGAGGUGCCAUUUGAUAGGGUUGCUCAUCUGAGACGGAACAACAUAGAUUAGCUACACUUGUAAUGCGUGUAGUAGCAAUUAUUCUGCUACCAUUAUUAUUCUCAGGAAAUGCCGCCUUGACCAAUUUCCAAUCUUGUUCUUUCCAUACGUCGUCAAUAACAAUGAAGUACCUGCAUUGAGUAGUGUGCAUUGUUAAGCAUUCUCAUUAACCAUGAGACUUGCACUAGCAGUUAAUUUGAUAAUGGCAAACAGAUACAUAAAUGUUGCACGCUUAAUUUUCCAGUUCAGAAGUAUCUCACUGCAUCCUCAUGGUAAGUGAAAACAAAUUCUACUUUUUCAACCCUGGAGUUUAGUACCGUUUAAAUCACAAAUCGUUAACUAUUAACAUUGUAUUUACCUUCUAGACCCUAACCACCCGGCGGGUGCGUGUUCGUCCAGCCCACUCAACAUGGUAUCUAAUUGAUGAUUCAUUAUAUACAGAUAAGAUAUUUGUAGGCUUGUAUUUUAUCCACGUUUCCUCUGUGCUCUCUGCUAUUGUUGUGUGCACGGGGAGCCCUACUGCCCUGUGGCAAUGGAAUGCUUUAUCAGCCACUAUGGAGGAAACAAGGAUUGAGGAGGUGGUGCCCAAGCCAAAGAUUAAAGUAAAAAACUGCGAAUGUACAAGGUACUUGAAUGUUACUAGUAUUUGUGUGUUUUUAUUUUUAUUUGGUAUACUUAAUAGUUCUCUCCUGCUCAAUGUCAUUGUAAGCUGAGACCAUCUAUAGGCUACAGCUGAUAUAUUUGUGUAUUUUCUUUAAUGAAAAAAAAACACUGAAAGUAUGUAGUAUAAAGUUUAUUUCCUUGCAUGCAAUUGAUUACAACUCUCAGCGGAUCAUUAAGAUCAUUCAGAUUGAGACAGACAAGCCUACUAGCUGUAGCCAUGUUUUUUCUAGCUUAGUCAAGAAUGUUUGGUUGGUUUACGGAAUUCAAUUCUUUCACACCUUUGUAAUUUGAUAUCUUGCGUAGGUGCAUUUACUGUUACUUCUUUUAUCCUCGUUAAAGUGAAUAGUAAAGUUUCAAUUGCAUUUUCUGGUGCACAUUAAGGUGGCAUUGAAAGGUAUACUCUGUUUUAAUGGUUUCCGGGCCUCAUUCUGUCUCAAAUUGCUAUGUUUACAUGGCUUGGAUCGAUACCAUUGAGCAAAUGGUUAUGGUGGUCUGAAGAUUUAUUCUGGUGGUGGUUAUUUUCUAUCAUCAUCCCAUUAACUCGUGGCAUGGCACACAAAGAUUGCACACAUGUUUCUUCGUUCUGGUUAAGAAGAUUUUAAGGAAGUUUUUUUAUGGAGAAAGAGUGUUCCAGGAUUCUGUGAGAAAAUGUGAAAGCAAUCUUUUGGAGGAAAAAGCAGGGCAGUCUUUGUUCAGAAUCUUUGUACGCGAUAAAUAGUUUCAUUCCUUCAUGCUGAUUUCUAUAAGUCAACCUAUCUGAAUCUCUGAAAUUUCUACAAGUACUUGGGUGGGUAUUUCUAGGAUUCUAAGGAUACAACAUGGAUGCUUGGGUUAAAUUGUAGAAGUAUAGCAAUUCAUUUUGUUAGUUGGACAACUAUAGCAAGGAUUCAUAAUGUAGCAGAGCCCGUUUCUGAUUUGCUUGCACUAUUCUUGCAUUCACUGUUGUCUAGCUCUAGUGCCUAGCUCUAGUGCCUAGUCUUGUGAAGUAAAUCAGACUGAUCCAGUAUUUGUGAAGUUUGUAGCAACACUACAUCUUUUUGGGCUAUCAUUACAUGGAGGGUUGAACGUGGACUUUUUUUAUGUGUGCCUGUUUUGUGAAGCUAAAACGUAAGAUUAAAAUUAUUUACUGAAUGUGUGUUUACGACCAACAGUCAAUCGGUAGGCUAGUUUGAGGUAAUGCGAAAACAAUAUAUAUGUUCAAGGAACUGAACAUACUCAAGACAACUAGAGAUGACCAUUUGAUCUAGCUUGGUUCAAACUAGCUAAGUUAAAUAAUAAUAUUUGUUUCGAUAGUACAAAUAUACGAAUCAAUUAAUUCUAGGUGCUUGGAUAAACAGGGGGGAUAAAAUUAAACAAAUGAAAGCAAAUCAUCUAUAUACUCCGCACCUCUUUCCUGUCAAGAUCUGUUUGAUUUCACGGAUUAGUUGUUCCUUUUCCCAACUCUGACACUCUUUGUAUGCAUGUUUAUCGAUCUGAGACAAUAUAUCUUUGAGGAGCUUCACCAGAUCAAGUGUGCGUGACACUGACACACAAGCUUGGCACUGGAAGUCCCCUCCUGAUCCAAUCUUGCGAUAGACCUCCAUGGCCAGGGUUGUCUUCCCCAACCCUCCUGAUCCGACAAUCGGCACCACUUUCAACUCUUUACUCUCAUCCAUCAGCAAGGCAGUGACGUGCUUCAUUGGGCCGUCCAUUGCCACCAAGCCCUUGACCUCCUCGUGGAUCGCAAUUAUCCGCGGAUCUAUCUCCACCGUCCUCGUUGCAUUGUAGUAACUCUCAUCAAGCUUGUACCUAGUAUCAUUUUUGGACAAACGGAACUUUAUAAAUCUCACCGUGGCAUCUAGAAAUACAUCUGCAAGAGUAUGUAGGAAGCUUGUACCUGUCACGGCGCUCGCUUUCCUCCAUGACGCGAGCUUUGAGCUCUUUGAUCUGGGUUGCGAUGUCGUGGCGCACCCACAGAGUCUUGAGCCGGCGCGCCGUCCUCUUCAUGAACUUUGGUUUGGCAUCUCCGCUUCCAAGGCGGUCCAUGAAGCGGUCGAUGCAGUCUUCUAUGUCGUAGCUAAGAUCGCGCACUCUGUCUCUCCAGCCCUUUGCCAGGCCAUCGAGUUUCUCCUCCAUGUCCGCCAGCCUCUCCAGCAGGACUCGCAUGCCGCUGAGCUCGCGCUCAAGGAACUGGAUCUCCUUGCGGACGCUCUUGAGAAGAUUGUACUCGUCGCUGAGCAAGGCAGUGAGCUUGCCGAGGAGGGAGUUCAUCGCCCCGGUCCCAACGCCCACCCCAGCCAUUUCCUGUGAUGAAUGAAGGAAGGUGGACAAGUUCUUAGUAGGAAGAGAAGCAGCUGAUGAACGAGGAGUGCUAUGGAUGGCCUUGUUUGGUGGAGAAGCAAUGGCGCUGGGCACUAAGCUAAUAAUGCUGAGAUCCGAUCUUGGGAGCGGAGAAAAUUAGUCUCAGAUGCGGCUUAGAGCACAGUGUCUGUGUCGGGGUUUAAUUAACCUAGGGAGUACUAAAGCACUGCAACUCUGCAAGCAAGCAUGGGGCGGUGCACUAGUUUACUUCCACUGGCGGUCUGGCACGCAGCUCUGAGGACCAUUCGACUAUUAAUCAAACGCCGGUGUUACCGUUGGAUGGAUUCAGGAACUCAUAAGUUUCGGUUAGCUUCGGUUUUUUGCUUGCGCUGCUGCUAACAUACACAACAUCUAAGUUUAAGAAAAAAACAGCGUCUAAUGUGCCUUGCAUAAACACUCUGCCUGGCAACAACAGGUGCUCUUAUUAGUUUUUACACAUUCUUUUUAUUUUGGAAGGAAAAAGGGGCUUUAUUUUCUUUUACGGAAGAGGGGCUCUAUUUCUUAAUUAAGGAGGAAUUUGCCAUACACAGGUUUAGGGCAACUCCAACGCGUCACGCAAAAGGGCGAAUUUUGCCCCUUUAUUGUCUGUUUGGGUCGGUGUUUUGGGCGGCGUCCAACCCAUUCACGUUUGGCUGGUGUUAUGUUCGUCCAACGCACCGACGCAUUUUUUGUUUGUGGUCUGUAUGCGGCCUGUUUGCAUAUUUUUUUACAUGCAUAUGUACAUUGCCUCAAGUUUAAAUCAUAUAAAUUCACAACCAAAUAGAAAUCUCAUAGUUUUAUGCGACCAAAUACAAACCUCAUAGUUUACAAACUAAACGAAAUAUCAAUUAUCGCAAAUACAUUUAAAAGAAAAAGAGCUGAUAAUCUACUAGUUGCCGAGUUGAGUCCACAUAUCCUCAACCAAGUCAUCUUGGAGUUGAGUGAAUUUUUCAAUCACGCAUUUCAUCAUGAAAAUUGGGUGAACUAUGCAAACGUUGCCGCUCCUCCAUGCUCAAGCUGAACAUUUUCACCCUGAAAAUCAAACCCAUGGUCGAAGAUGUUGUCAUCACGCUCAUCCUCUACGAUCAUGUUGUGCAAGAUCACACAAGCAGUCAUCACCUUCCGCAACUUCUUGUGUACUCCAAGUUCUAGUAGGAGACCGAACAAAUGGCCCAUCGAGAUUGAAGCACACCAAAAGCAUGCUCCACAUCCUUCUUCACACACUCUUGUGCUUGGGAAAAUCUCGGUCUCUUCUCAUCUACCGGGUAGGGGAUUGUCUUCACAAGAGUUGACCACUGAGGAUACAUACCAUCGGCUAGGUAGUAUCUUUUUGUUGUACUGGCGGCCGUUGAAAUCAAAGUUGAUCUUGGGGCAGUUGCCUUCAGCAAGCCUUCCGAACACCUGAGAACGCCAGAGCAGGUUGAUGUCAUUAUGAGAGCCAGACAUGCCGAAAAAGGAGUGCCAAAUCCAAAGAUCUUAUGAAGCCACAAUCUCAAGUAUGACAGUGCUACCUUUGACAUGACCCCUAUACUAUCCCUGGCAAGUAGAUAAACAAUUCUUCCGCUUCCAGUGCAUACGACCUAUGCUACCAAGCAUCCCCAGAAAAGCCCCUAUCUGCAUUGAUUGCCAACAACCGUGUUGUAUCUGGGGCAUUUGGCUCUCUAAAGUACUCCGGGCAAAACACUGCUAUCACAACCUUGAAGAAUAUGUACAUUAUGGAGUCAAGGCAUGUGGACUCACUCAUGCGGACAUACUCAUCACAAGAUCAUCAGGUAUUCCAUAUGCAAGCAUCCGAACAGUUGUUGUGCAUUUUGAUAAGAGGAGAAGCCAACCUUUCCAAGGGCAUCCUCCUGGCAUACGAAAUAAUAAUCAUACGCCAGCACUCCCUCCCGAAUACGGUUGAACACAUGUCUAACCAUCCAAAAACGUGUUGAAAAAGCUUGGGAUGGAAGAGCGGGGACGUGCACUGAAAGUAAUCGACAAAGAGUAGGCAAUGGCCGCUCUCUCUAUUGCGAUCCAACACCAGGGCAUGGCCCGGGAUCGAUCCCCUAAACAAUGGCCACUACCUAGCAAUAUGGUCAUUGACGGCCAAAGCAACAACCACAAACUCCUCGGCGUCCGAUGACGAAUCGUCCGAACUGUAAAUGAAGUGUUUGAAAAAGAACUCGUCUCCACUAUCCAUUUGUAACUUGGGGUGAAACGUCGAACACCUUUUGGACGUGUUGGAAGAAGCCAGCCGGUGAAGAGCCCUACGCCUCUCUACGGUCAAGGCAGUAGGCCUGUCGACGUGGAGGAAAUUGUGGAGUGAGGCCGCCGAGUGAUGCUGGCGGCGGCGGAGACGGGAUGGUGGAGUGGUUGUGAGGUAUUACGACAACAGCGAAACCAGGCCUCCAACAUCGGGAAGAGCAUCCAUCGGGUGUAGCCUGCAUCAAGGAGAGGUGUGUGGGUGCGGCCGGUGGCCUGGGCAGCGUCCAAAACGGCCGGAAGUGGCCAGCGGCGACGUGGGCCAGGUGGCCGAGUGUGUUGGCUGUGGAUGGGGAGGGGGAGAUGGUUGAUGUGCCAAUGCGCGACGGGCCAAGGGGAGGCAAGGGUGGGCGUUGCACACGUCUAGGCCAUGUCCGCGCCGAUACAAAUCCGGCUGAAAUUUGGGCCUGAAAUGGGUCAAAGACGGAUAAAAAAUGGACACUCGUCCAUUUGCAUUGAUGCGUUGGGCUAGCAUUUUAGUAUGUUUUGACCCAAACGGACGUGCGCGGAACAAAUGCGUUAAUGUUGGAGUUGCCUUUAGAACUACAUCUGUUCCCGAACCCAACCACACCUCAGCGCGUGGAGUACAUCUACCAUUAGCAGCAAGGCCACGAGGAACCAGCAGUCGUGACAGACACCGCCUAGCAGCAUGCUGACUAGAUCCACAGCGCCACUUGCUGCUGUGGAAAAUUGGCCACGUAAAUUUUGUUGAGAUUACAAGAGCAUGCAUAUAUGCGCUCACAAAAUCAGCGUCAGCGUCUCGUUUUGACAGGGCCAGCUAGCUUACCAGAAGAUCGAUGGUAUAAGCUCAAGCACGUUGGUUCGGCUCCGAGCACCCGGACUGGAUAAUCAGCCAAACUUGUCUGCUAGUUUAGUCAAGAAUGUAUGGUUGGUUCACAGAAUUCAUUUCUUUCACAGAUUUUAAAUUUGAUAUCUUGCGUUUAUACCAUUUUCUAUUCUCAUAAAAGAAAACCAAGUAAAAUUUACAUUAUAUUUUCCUGUGCUAAAUCUAAGGUGGAUUUAAAAGGCAUACUCUGUAUUUUUAUGGUUUCAUGACCUCAUUCUAUCACAAAUUGCUAUAUUUACAUGUCCUGAAUCGAUAGCAUGGUGCCAUUGGUUAUUGUGUUUAGACGAUUGGUUCUGCUGGUUUUUUUUAUCCCCAUGCAUCCAUUUAUUUGUUGACAUGGCACAUAAAGACUGCCUGGGGCCUCUCGCGACCCACCCCAUGCCCCCUCCGCCUCUCGCGACCCACCUAGCCCCACCGCGUCGCCGCCCCCCACCGCCGCCGCAACCACCGCGCACCAAGCAAGCGCAGGCGCGCUUCUGUCCUCCUGCUCCCUCCCCCAUGCCAAUCCUCGUCAGAUCCAUGGGGNNNNNNNNNNNNNNNNNNNNNNNNNNNNNNNNNNNNNNNNNNNNNNNNNNNNNNNNNNNNNNNNNNNNNNNNNNNNNNNNNNNNNNNNNNNNNNNNNNNNNNNNNNNNNNNNNNNNNNNNNNNNNNNNNNNNNNNNNNNNNNNNNNNNNNNNNNNNNNNNNNNNNNNNNNNNNNNNNNNNNNNNNNNNNNNNNNNNNNNNNNNNNNNNNNNNNNNNNNNNNNNNNNNNNNNNNNNNNNNNNNNNNNNNNNNNNNNNNNNNNNNNNNNNNNNNNNNNNNNNNNNNNNNNNNNNNNCUAUCAGGCGUUCCCAGAUCUGCUGCAAUGGAUCGAUUCAGUCUCGCCGGAGGUCCUUGCGACGACGAGGGAGAAGCGCUGGCGGGAGCGUGCGAGGAGGGUCAUGGGCGACGCGUUCUCAUGGUCCAAGUGCAUCCGGGAGUGGAAGGAAGCAGAGGAAGAUCUGGAUCCAGAGGUUGGGGAGUUUUUGAUGGCCCGGAGAUAUGUACAGGUUUGCAAGGACCAUGUCAAUCCGGAGCUGCUAAAUCUCGCCUGGCGCAUCUACUUCGAGGGCACUUGGGAGGAGAAACGCAGGAUGCCGCGCCCGAGGGAAUCGCCAUUGGAAUUCGUCAGCUAGGCGAGGAGAGAGGCACGUUCAGGAGAUCCACAGAGGGAAGAGCGGUGGAGCUGUAUCCUUGGUCUAAUGCCGGUCAGGCCCCCAUCAGCCGCGGAGCAAGUCGAUCCCCUCCCCUACCUCUCACCUCCGCCGGCUUCGGAUUGAGGCAACAUCCACUGGGAUCCUCGGCCAAAUCAGAUAAGGAAUCAGAACCAGCCUUGGAUUUUGAUUUCCGGGAUGCAGAGCAGACGAGCGAGAAGAUUCGGCCUCGAUACUUCUCUGCUUACCAUCUGGGUCAUGACUGUGAGCAUGGGUGCAGAUUGCAGUGGUGCCCUGGGAGGACUGAUCGAUUUGUUGUGCAGGAUUCGAAUGUGAUUAUGGAUAAGUCACCAUCCGAAGUUGGGGGCGACUCUGAAUACAGUUAGAUUCCUACCGAAGAGAUGGUUGAGGAUCAGCACUCCCCCUUGUUCGUCGCGGAUGCAGCAGCUCAUGUUGAAUCCAGGCGAGACAACGCCGAUUGCAUGAAUAGAAAUCUUCAGCACUCUGCGCUGCAGCGCAGGAUGGACACUACAUUGCUGGUGCUUCAACAUUCAGGCGGCUUUCAUUUUCUGCUGAAAAAGGAGCGGGGGAAAAAGUGCAGCAAAAAGGCGGCUGACGGGGACUCCGACAUGGCACUUGCUGAAUUCCACCGUCAGCUCUGGCUGCCUAUAAAUCAUGACCAAACUGAGGCUCCCAGCAACCCUAUUCACUCCCAAUCCCCCAAACACCGCCGCCACCACCAUCCUGCACCCUGCUAUGGCGGACGGAGCCCGAGGAAGAGGACGCAACAAAGGGAAAGGGGGGAGUGGGGAUGGAAACUCGGGCUGGGGACAAGAUCACUCGCAGAUGCCGCCGCCAAUGGGCCUUCCGCCGCAGCAGUUUUUCGGCUAUGGCUUCCAGGGGCCGCCUCCGCAGUGGGGUUUCCCGGGUGGCUUCCCCCACCCUUUCCAGCAGCAGGCGUGGGGAGGAGGGCACCGCAACCGUGGUUCGGUCCGCCGGCUCAGGGCGCACACCCGCAGGGUUCAGGAGGGGUGCGGAUCUCCCGCAAGAAAGAAGCAACUUGGGGAAUCAACAAGGCCCAGGCAAAAAUCAAGGUAAGAACUCGCAGCGCAGAAAGCAGGAUCAGAUCCAGAAAACUGCCCCAACUACCUCUGCUGGCAUGAUGUUUUAUGCCAUGGUGACCUGCUACAACUGUGGCGAACCAGGCCACCACAAGGAUAAGUGUGAGAGACCCAAGAACUACUUCGUUUGCAAGAUGGUGACUCAUGUUGUUGAUGACUGCCCUGUCAAGAAGAAAGCCCACCUCGCAGCUAGGUAUGUGGGGAGUGCAGCACAGGGGUUAGGAUUCUACCAUGUUAAUGUCCCAGAUGUCAAUGAUCAGCACCUAGGUAGCCUGAAAAAUGUUGGGAUAGUGCUUGUAGAAUCUGGAGAGGUCAAUAAAAAGGAACUAGCAGAGGAGUUUGCUGACAUCUAUAAGACCAAUUGGCCAUGGCCUAUCAAUGCCCUGGAUGAUUGGACUUUCUUGGUGAAAUUUCCUCCAGAAAUAGAUGUAGCUCAUGUGGCAAGCUAUCCCUGUUUUGGCUUGAAGAAGGAUAAUGUGAUUGUCAAUGUAGAGGUCUGAAAAGGUAAUGUGGAAGCAGAGGAUGACUUGCAGGAGAUCUGGAUCAAAAUCAGGAAGAUGAACCCUAAAUGGUGUGAAUGGUCAAUGCUUGCUCAAAUCACUUCCACCCUGGGGGUGUUGCUGGAUGUAGACUGGCAGCACAACUUCAAAUCCUUCUAUGAAACAGUCAGGGUCAAGAUCUCAUGCAAGGAUCAUACUAAAAUUCCAACAGAGAGACUUUUUGGCAUCAAAGGUAAAAUCUACAGACUGUUGUUUGAAGUUGAGCCAACUGACUGUGAUGAAGCCAUAGCUGCAACCAACCCUUCAAUGGACACCAAUACUUCCGUGGAAACAAUGUCCAAAGAUAGUGCCUCAAAUGAUGGGAGAUCCCAACACGGAUCCAGGACUGGCUCUGAUUCUGGCUCCCUUACUGGGACUGGUAACUCUGCCCACAGAACUCAAGUCACAGGGCAACAACACUCCCAUGAGGCCUCCACCCCAACCUCCAUGCUCAGGAACCAACUGCCUGAAUCUCAGUACCUACCCAGGAUACAAGCUCUUGAACAAUUGCUCAAUUCAGAGCAAGGUGACUCUGUGGGAUUCAACCUGUUGAGGGAAAUGGAACUGGUGGGGGAAGAUGAGAUUGAGACUGAUGAUGAUGAGAAUGAAGUUUUGGAUGCCACCACUGAAAAUAAUCAACUUGGAGAGCAAUAUGAGAUUGAUUUCCUUGCCAUGAACACUGCUGCUGACACCAAGAAGUGGGGCCCUGUCCAAGCUGCCAGGACAAGUUCAAGGAUUGCUGGAGACAAGAGGACCAUCAUGGAGAAAGCCCAGCAGCUCAAGGAAGUCCAGAACUUGGAGGUCCAGAAACCACAUGGUAAGAACCAAAACUCUUUUAACAUGUUUUAUGAUCCUGCUUUCCUCUCAGUUGCCACUAGCAUUGGUGUAGAAGUUGAUCCAAGACAAGAAACUAGUGUUUCCUCUUCACACACUGUGGUGGAACUGAACAAAAGUCAGACCAUGACUGAAGGUCAUGUGUCUGAACUUGCAACACUGACCUCUGACCCACCAUCAAGUCCUAAUGAGGGUCUCUGGUCACUAGUUAGGAAGAAUAGGCGGGGCAAGCACCCCAGGACAGAAGUUAUUAAAUGAAUGCCCUAUUCUGGAAUGUUAGAGGUAUUUCAGCUGCAGGCAGAAAACCUCUCAUUAUAGACACUUUAGCCAAAACCCAUGCCAAUAUCAUAGGUUUUCAGGAAACCAAAAAGGAGGAGUUCUCCCCUUCCUAUCUUAAAUCUUUAAUUGGACAUAGAGAUUUUGCCUGGCAUCACCUCCCUGCCACAGGCACUGCUGGGGGCGUCCUGGUGGGAGUGGAGCAAGAUGUCUUUGAGGUGAUCUCCUGGUCAUAUUUAAAUUUCUCUGUCAGUUGUGAGCUAAGGCACAAAGGCCUGGGUCAUAUAUUUAGGGUGGUUGUAGUAUAUGGCUCCUCUUAUGAAGAGGGCAAGGCAGCUUUUAUUUCUGAGUUGCACUCCUUGUUUGUAGACAAUCACUUGCCCACCCUAAUUGGAGGGGAUUUUAAUCUAGUUAGGAAUGCUAAAGAGAAAAGUAAUGGAGUAAUCAAUCAUAGAUGGAGCAAUAAUUUCAAUGAUUGGACUCUCUAGCAAAAAAUUCACUUGGGCAAAUAACCAAGUGGACCUCAUCAUGUCUACUAUUGAUAGACUCUUCUGCAAUACUGGCAUGGAUGCUCUUUUUCCUCUAGCUACUUGUAGAUCUUUACCUAGAUGUGGCAGUGACCACACACCCCUCCUCUGGGACUCUGGGAUUGAUGUCCAACCUAGGAAAAGUAGUUAUAAGAUGGAAAAAUGGUGGCUGCUUAGAGCUGAUUUUUCUGAUCUUAUUCUCAAAAUUUGGUCUGAACCAAACAAUGCCACCUCUAGCAUAGAUAACUGGCAGAUCAAGAUUAGAAGCCUCAGGAGAGUCACUAAAGGCUGGAACUCCAAUGAAGAGGCUAACCUUAGGAGAUAUAAGAAAAUCUUAGUGGAGGAAUUUGACACUUUGGAUGUUAAAUCUGAAACCUCUGAUCUUUCUGACGGGGAGUUCAACAGAAUGAAAUUCAUUCAUACUGAACUCCAGAAAAUUUGGCUUCAGGAAGAAACUAAAGCUAAACAUAGAUCUAGGGAUAGAGAUAUUAAAGAAGGAGACAGGAACACUGCAUACUUCCAUGCAGUGGCUAAUCAAAGGAGGAGGAGAACCCUCAUCCACUCAUUAGAUGGCCCUGAUGGGCCUGUCAAUGACAUUAAAGAUAUGCUUGGAGUAGCAGAAGACUUCUAUAAAGAUUUGUUUAAAAAAGAGCACAACAGUGGCUUCACACUGAGCUCUGACUUUUUCUCUGCGGAGGAAUUAGUCACACCUGCAGAGAAUGAGAACCUAGAAUCACCUUUUACUGAAGAAGAGAUAAAGAAAGCAGUCUUUGACUCCUACCCUGAUGGUGCCCCUGGACCAGAUGGGAUUCCUUUCUUCUUCUAUCAACACUUUUGGGAGGUGAUUAGGGUGGACCUAAUAGCCAUGUUUAAUGAUUUUCAUAAGGGAGAGUUGGACAUACAUAGACUUAACUUUGCCAUGCUUACCCUCAUCCCUAAGGAACCUGAUGCAACUUCCAUGAAAAAGUUUAGACCCAUCAGCUUGCUUAACUGUAGUUUUAAAUUUUUUACUAAGGUCCUCACCAACACGCUGACUAGGAUCCUCCAGAGGCUGAUUGCCAGUAACCAAUCUGCCUUCCUCAAAGGCAGAUACAUUCUGGAGAGCUGGUCACUGCCCAUGAAGUAGUGCACUCAGUCCAUUCUGGGAAAAAACAAGGUUUGGUUUUGAAACUGGAUUAUGAAAAAGCAUUUGAUAAAGUAGACCUUGGUUUCCUCCUGGACCUCCUCAAAAAAAGAGGCUUUGGUGAUAUUUAGAUUAAUUGGAUCCAGCAGAUCACUCAUAAUGGCUCGGUUGGGGUCAAAAUUAACAAUACUGAAAGUAAUUUCUUUUUAGCUGGUAAAGGGCUCAGACAAGGGGAUCCUAUUUCCCCAUUACUCUUUAAUUUAGUAGUAGUAGAUGUGUUGACCAAGAUGCUGUCCAAAGCAGCUAGUUGUAACUUGAUUGCUGGACUAUGUACUGAAGUGUGCAAUGGAAGGAUUAUUUGUCUGCAGUAUGCUGACGAUACCCUUCUCUUUUUAGAUAAUGACCUUACCCAUGCCUCCAACCUCAAAACUAUCCUCACUUGUUUUGAGCAGGUUUAUCGCAUGAGGAUCAACUACUCUAAGAGUGACUUGAUCCCAAUUAACAUGGGAGACUCUGAUUUCAUGCACUUUCUUACUAUCCUAGAUUGUAAAGGGGGGUCCUUCCCUGUUAAAUACCUUGGCAUCCCCCUGCACCAUGACAAACUUAGGAAGGAGGAUAUCCAACCUCUCAUAGAUAAAAUUAUGAAAAGAAUUGCUGGUUGGAGAGGUAAGCUCCUCUCUUAUAAAGGUAGACUCAUUCUGAUCCAGGCUUGCCUAGCCAGUAUUCCAAUCUAUCUUUUAUCCUUCUUUAAGUUCCCUAAAUGGGCCAUUGAGAUGAUCAACUCUCAAAUAGCCAACUGCUUGUGGAAUGAUUUUGAAGGCCAUAGGAAACUUCAUCUAGCCAACUGGAAGAUGGUGUGUAUGAAGAAAGAAUUUGGAGGCUUGGGAAUCCCAAACCUCCAAGAUGUCAACUUGUGUUUACUAGGUUCCUGGGUGAAGAGAUACUAUGAGAGUGAAGGAAAACCAUGGAAAAUGAUCAUUGAUCACAAGUACAUUUAGAAUCAUUAUAACUGAGCAACUUUCAAGCCCUCCCAGGCCAUUAACCUACACAACCGUCCGAUCGCCACUUUUUGCGAUUUUCGGUCGUCGGAUUGGCCCUGGAUCGUAGGUAGGCUCGCUUCGUUCGCUACAGUUGAGCGCCAGCCGUUCUGGGCCGCUGCUCUGGUGACUUUUUUUGGCCUCUGUCGUUAAAUUGGGUUUAAUGGGCUUCUAUUACCCUCCCAUCCGGGCAGCCGAACGUACACCGGGCUUGAGAGGCGUACGAGCGACUGCGUUAGGUCCGUCCACUCGCGGCCGUAAACCCUAAUCCAAUCCCGAUCGAGGCGCGGUGGAGCGACCGCAUACUCCAAUCCAUCCACUCCUGAUUCGGUUGCUUCCAAAAAAAGUCCCGAUUGAAGGCGCAGCGAGAGCGACCGCAUCGAAUCCAUCCACUCCGGAUCCGACGCGUAGAAAGGAUCCAAUGCAUCCAUUCUGUCCCGAUUCAAGGUGCGGCGGACCGACCACGUCGAAUCCAUCUAGUCCGAAUUCGAGGCACAGAGAGGAGCCAAUUCAUCCAGUCCGUGAAUCGCCGUCCGGAUGUUUGUCUCUUGAAACUGCUACCGUGGGUUUGAAGGAAGUAAUCACUCUUCAGUUUCUCUCCAACCAUUCAUGGCAGAUGAUGUGCGCCCCUCGCGGUCAUUAAUGGAUGCCUGUCUCUUUGUUUCUCAUUCUUUCGAUGUGUAUAUAUGCUUCCUCUACGCUCACUCUUCUAACUCCGGCGACAGAACAUCCAUCAGCAUGGUGCUCUUCUAGGUUCCCCUCUAUCUUUAUUUUUUAUCAUCCAUGUACGAUUUGCUUCUUCCACCCAACGAUUACAUUGUAUCCUCUCAAUCUAAUUUUGUACAGGUAUUGUUCAAACUGGGAGAUGGUCGAUUGAUUCGGCCAGAUAUUGGAAACUGGUUCUCGCAUUUUUUUUCUUCUGAAAUUCUUCAGGUGAUAGUUCUAAUGGCUUAUGGACAGGUAAUUACUUCACUUGGACUACCAGAUUUCAUUUUAUCGAUUCAUGUUUUACCAUCCAUGUUUUUACAGCAUGGAAGAUUACUCAUAAGUUAUCCACACCAUGGUUCUUCUAUUUGUUGCUGUACGCAAUAGGUUAAGUGGAACUGUGUAGUUAUAUCAACGUGAGUUAUAUGCGCAAAAGAAUGUAGCCAUACUAUUAUAGAGGGGGGUGAAGCCUCAAUAUCUUCUUCUUCUAUGCAGAAGUGAGCAAAGCCCAAUAAUCUUACCGAUAUUUGAAAGUAUGUGUGUGGAUUUUCAAGACACGGUGCAGGCUUUGCAUCAUUCCAAGUAUAAGGUGAGUUUCUUUCUAGAUUAAUAUUGUGAACAGAAUUUGAAUCAACCUGCACGGAACUCCAAUUCGAGAUACCUCAGAUCCAUGCCUAAAACUGAAACCUAUGGAGUAGGAGCUGCGGAGACUAACAGAACAGAUAGCUGAGGGAGACUAGGGUUCCCACCUCCCCACCUCGCGCCGCCGCCGGCCCUCCCGCCGCCGCCGGCCGCCGGCCCCGCCCUCCACCUCCGCCCCCUUCUUCCCUCCCCUCUCCCCCGUCCAGACCCGCCUCGCCGCCUCCCCGGGAGGUGGCCGGGGCGGAGCUCGCGCCCCUCCUCCGCGGGCCUCCCGCUCCCCCUCUGUCCGCUCGCCGCCGCCGGCGGUCGCCCCCGGCGCUGGCCCGGGUGGCUCCGGCNNNNNNNNNNNNNNNNNNNNNNNNNNNNNNNNNNNNNNNNNNNNNNNNNNNNNNNNNNNNNNNNNNNNNNNNNNNNNNNNNNNNNNNNNNNNNNNNNNNNNNNNNNNNNNNNNNNNNNNNNNNNNNNNNNNNNNNNNNNNNNNNNNNNNNNNNNNNNNNNNNNNNNNNNNNNNNNNNNNNNNNNNNNNNNNNNNNNNNNNNNNNNNNNNNNNNNNNNNNNNNNNNNNNNNNNNNNNNNNNNNNNNNNNNNNNNNNNNNNNNNNNNNNNNNNNNNNNNNNNNNNNNNNNNNNNNNNNNNNNNNNNNNNNNNNNNNNNNNNNNNNNNNNNNNNNNNNNNNNNNNNNNNNGGCUGCCCUGCGGCGGCGGCUAGCGGCUGGCGUGGUGUCGGCGCUGCUCCUUGGCGGCGGGGCGGCGGGGUGGUGCUGGGCGGCCGUCGUCGCGACCCCGGCCCAGAUCUGGGCCCGGCGGGCCCCAUCUGGGUCCUAGCGGGCCGGCUCCCCGGCAUGGCUUCGUCGUCGUCUGUGUGGUGAGGAGGAGGAGCGGCUUGGAUGGGGGGCGGCGAUGCCGAUGGCAUGCCGGCUGCAGCGCGAUGGCGGGAGCUGUCCGGGAAUGGAGUUCCCGGCCGGGCCUGUGGGCACACGGGCCUGGUAAGCUCCUGCUUGUGUGUCCGGUCGGCUACCGUUGUUGACGGUGGAGGUUGUGCCCUCCCGCGUGCCGUCGGUGCCGCGGCCCCUAGUCUCGGCUCCUAUCCCUUGUCGUGCAGACCUCACCUCGUGGUGCCGUGGUGAGACGGCGUGGAGGUUUCUUGACCAUGGUGGCGCAAGUUGGUGGUCGGUUUGGCGGCAGGCUCUGGAGCACCCGAGGUGAAGGUUGGGAUCGGGGGAAACCUCUGUCGGCCUGUCCGACACCGACGCGGCAACGCCGGUGGGUGUCGCCGGACCUUCCUGGAGGGCGUCAGGGGUGACCCUUCCUCUCGCCUCGUCGGGUACCGGGGGAAACCCUUGGCAGCAGCGUCGUCUUCGUCGCGGUCCCUCUUGAGGUGCUGAUUGGUACCGAUGCUUCGGAGCCUUGGAGCUUGGUGGGAGACCCUCGGUGGGCGCAGUGGCCGUGAAGCUUCUUCGUUUCCGUCGAUCCGCCGUUGUCGGCUUUCUUUUCUUUUGUUGUUUCUCUUUCGUUUCUUUUGGGUGUGAUUGUGCUGCUUCCGCCCCAACACCUAUCCUUGGAUGUUCGGUUGGUUGCUUUGGAAUAUAAAGCGGGGGGGAACCCUUUUUCGUCAAACUGAAACCUAUCCGUUCUUGACAAGCUAAUACUUAACAAUUUGCUCAUGUUUUUCCGCCUUCCAUGUAAAUGCAGCCUUUAUCUUGAGGGAUGUUCAUGUGCGGGUCUUUCUAACUUACAGAAUUGAACUUUUAUCGAUUAUCAUUGAUGAAACCACCAACUAAUAAAAUGGGGGAGAAAUGCCUCUAUUUUUUUCAUAGCAAGCACGAACGGGUAGCAAAAAUAAGUUAUUUAGUGUUCAGUUGCACAUAAAUCUAAAUAGUGGUAACUGAUAUCCCUCUUCUAUUUUCUCCAUAUGAUGCACCAAUGGGUAACAAAAAUAUCCAUCAAAUUUGCAUGAACAGUGUUAUGUUCCCAUCAAUGAAGAUUUCACCAUUGGAGACAAAACAAUCAGGCAAAAUAAUAGUAUAGUACAAUGGACCUAUUCCAGCUACACAACCAAAAGAAAAGUUUGCUGUUGUGCUUGCAGAUUUAGCUUCACUGCAGGCAGAAUGCAGCUUAGUUAGAAAACAGACCUACCUACUGGGAGUCAGACUAGCUCCUGUGGCUUUUCGAUAAAAGGAGAGACAACUGGGAGCUGCCUGUCGAGUUAAGGACUCUAUUGUAGCUUUCAUGCAGCUUAAUUUAGACUCCCCUCAUUCUCAGUAGAUUGUGCUUUCAUCUCUGAAUUCAUGACAUUCUAAUUGCAGAAUUUUUGGUUUUGUUAGUUUGCAUUUGUAAGAUCUUGAUGUAUGGGAAAUGUAAUAUUUUCAGGCAAGAUACACUUGGUUCAGUCUGGGGGCAGUGAUAUCAGCAAAUCAUUAGAAGAGUUCAGUAAGUGCAGUCUAUAUCUCAUUAUCUUUCUUACAACAGAAGGCAUCACGGCAUAUAGUAAAUAAGUGAAGACCAUCGGACAGGCAACGUUGUUCUUUUCAGUGCUCUGCGCUGUGUCCAUGAUCAGAUUUGUGUGCAUAAAGAAGUGGAUGAACCGUAACAUGUGUUCAUCACAUAAUAUCAUCAUAACAACCUUCCUUUUGGCAGGGGAGGGGCUAUUUUAGUUACGACCUGAGGCACAACGAGCAGGAGGAGUUGGCCAACUGGAGUGCUAGAUUCAGGGCAAGUUUGCCAAAUCACUUUUAUUAGUUCCGUUGAUAAUACCAGGACUGGAGAACUGAAAGCCCUUGUAGAUGCAAGAGGUGUGCUAUUAAACCAAAAAAUUAAGUGCACAACAUAAUACUAUUACAUAGUUCACGUGGUCGAUUUUCACAUGAUUUCGAACUUCCUAAAUCGGAUUUCUUUUUGCAGGAACAAGAUUGACAACGGCCUUUUGCAUUGCACUCUUGAUAAAGCUUCAAGCUCAAGGCCUUCGAUAUUUGUGAAGUUUUCCAGGAAGAAGAUUGACUGUAGCAUCUUGGAGUGCACUAAUAUUAAUAAAUAAACCCUUCAAUAUUUUUGUCGCCCAAAGGCUACAAGUUCUGUAAUUUACCCAAAUACUUAGCAUUUUCUCUACCCAAAUAUGAGUGUAAUGUUUCAAAUCAUAUAUUCCCAGUAUUAUUAAGACAUGUAUGUUAAGUUAUUUGUGCUGUUCCAAUGCUAUUUUUUGCAAAUCUCUGAACAUGCCCUUCCUUCUGUGAUGUACUCGUAAGUGUUUGGUAGAUUUGAACAUGCACUCAUCUGAAGGCUCACUUGUUUCAUUUAAGUUUUCACCAUUACGAUUCAGGGACCUUGAAUCUGAUUUGUCAAAUGUAAUCUUACAUGAGAAAAGGCAUGCUUCAUUAGGAAAAAAUAAAGUUGAUUUAAGCAAUAGAACAUUGAUAACCAAACAUAUUUUCUCUCCAGUUGGUCCUCCAUAGGAUCUUUCUUUCUUUAUUAAAAUGACCAAAAAACCCUAUGUGAAGCUAUAGCUUAAUGUGCGAACGGAUUUACCCCAGACAAUUAAGACACUACUAUAAUUGACGUGACAGAUUUUUACCCCAGACAAUGAGACACCACUACAAUUGAUGUGACAAAUUUAAUGCAUCAUCAAUAGUUACAACUGCACACUGUACUCACAAAAACUGAAAUCAAACACAAUAUUGUACUGAUAUAUAAAGUCCUUAGCACGCCUGUGGACCAACUAUUAUCAGCUUCAUGGGAGACACUAUUAUCUAUAUAAACUAACAUGAGCUCUAUGUUUGUACAUAAAUUUCUAACACUUUCACAUAGCAUUCAAAAUAGACGGGCGCGGCAACGCGCGCCAUCAACGAUCUAGUGUCUGGUAAGAUUAACAUUUUUGCUCCUAAUCUAUCCCCCGGUGCCUCCAGAUUCUGGAAGGGGCUGAAAACCAUUAUCCAAGCACUAAAACUUGGUUAUAGUGGAAGGUUGGGUCUGGUGAAAAAGUUAGGUUUUGGGAAGACACCUGGUUUGGUACCUCCCCCUUAGCAGUGCAAUUCUGGCCUAUCUACUCUAUUUGUAAUGAACAAACCAAAAGUGUCAGGGAAGUAUGGGAUGGUAUGCAACUUAGGCUUACUUUUAGAAGGAAUUUUGAUGACAAACUCAUGGAACAGUGGUAUCAGUUAGUGGAGAUAACUAGUAGCGUGACCCUUACCAAUGGAACUGAUGCCCUUGUCUGGCAGCUAGAAAACAGGGGAGUUUACUCCACUAGCUUACUCUACCAUGUGAUUAAUUUUAGGGGGGGUGCAACCAGUCUUCAUACCCUCGGUGUGGAAGCUAAAAAUUCCACCAAAAAUUCAUGUCUUCCUGUGGCUCCUUGCCAACAACAAACUAAUGACCAGGGAUAACCUCAGGAAAAGACAGAUUAUUAAGCCACUUGAGUGUGUGUUCUGCUCUGAGGCUGAAACAUGCUCGCGUUUGUUUUUUGACUGUGUGGUCUCUAGACAGAUCUGGCCUCUGGUCUCAAAUCAUUUUGGGGUGGAUACUGGGACUGAUUUCGAAUUAGUGGCCAGAUUAUGGAUUGCUAACAAAAAACACUCUGCCCUCAACACGGCUAAUGCUGCUGUACUUUGGUGUAUUUGGAAAUAUAGGAACUCUAUGAUUUUCAAUAACACCUUAUAGACGUCCAUUAAGCAUGUGAUGAGGCUGAUUCUAAAAACCAUCAAGAACUGGGUGAUCCUGUCCUCGGAUGGGACGGCAGAAAGGCUGGAGGCCUUCACAACACACCUCGCGACCAAUCUGAGACAACCAUUGAUGAUCGGUGGUUGAUCAUGAAGCUCGCUGGAGCCCCGUUGGUGACUCCAUGGGACAAGCUGAAGAUCUCGGACGACGCAGUGGGCUUCUCGUCCCCCUCCAAGAAGCGUUCAGAAGCUACAUCGAUGCCGAGUCCAACCUCGACCCUGGUGGCUGCCUGGUCCCCUCAAGCGGUGACUGCACCGCCGCUGAAAGCGCGCAAGGCAUCUCAGGAGCUGAUCUGCAUUUGACACUACGUAGUGCCUGUGAUCCGGUUGCUUUACCUAUGUACUGGCUUAAGCCAUUGUCAUUCUUUCUGAACUGCUUAUGUAAUAACUGAAUUUGGUUUCAUUAAUAUAAUGUGACCGGGGAGGGCUCCCUGUUCUUCUAAAAAAAAGAUUGCCUGGUGGGUUUCACACUCAUGGGGAUGAUUCUGGCUAUGGAUUAUCAAAAGAUGAAAGUUAUGAAGAAAGCAGCUUAUCAAGUGAUGAAGUAGUAAAUUUAUUUUGUCUUGCGUUUAUAUGGUUGCCGUACUUUAAUUGGCUUGUUCAGGAAAGAGAUGCUUCUCCUUUUUUCCCCGUUCUCUGUUAAUAUUGAAGAGAUUCNNNNNNNNNNNNNNNNNNNNNNNNNNNNNNNNNNNNNNNNNNNNNNNNNNNNNNNNNNNNNNNNNNNNNNNNNNNNNNNNNNNNNNNNNNNNNNNNNNNNNNNNNNNNNNNNNNNNNNNNNNNNNNNNNNNNNNNNNNNNNNNNNNNNNNNNNNNNNNNNNNNNNNNNNNNNNNNNNNNNNCCCCCUUCUUUUUUACCAAUAGUCUGUUAAAUCAUUGAAAGGAGUCCCAAAAUUUUGGACGGAGUCGGAUAUCCUAACUGAGGUUUUUCAUUUGAUGCUUUUUCUACAAAAAGUAAAUCUUGCAGUGCAUUUGGAUGUGUUUGUUUUUCAUCGUUAAUCAUGAUUUAUUUAUUUUCUUAUAUCAGAUUAAAAGGUUAAAUGUACACAACGUUGGUAGGAUGUUUUCUCUGGUAAUCGAAUCAUGCAUUUGCUGUUCAUUUCAUUACAUUGCUUCAUCAUUUAUUUGUUUAUUCUGUUUCUUAGUCACUUCAUUCCUCUUCAGCUUUGUUGGUGUUUUUCGUGUCGUCAUUUUCUAGUCUUCGGUCUUCUUAUUCCUCCAGGGGGGUCCCCCCUUCUGUUUUGAAGUCUAUCUUUCUUCAUUUCUCUAGUCUCUCAGUCCUCAUCCUUGGUUCAGUCUUCUCUUUUUUGUCAGUUUCUUAGCAUUUGUUUCUUUUUUACUUUCUUUGUUUCUUACUAGUUCCUUGGUCUUUCUUCAGUUUUCCUCCUCGUCAGUCUCUCAUAGUUCCUUGGGUGCUUAGUCUUCUUCACUUUUGCACUCUACGUCCCAGAGAGUGUCAUUCUACCAGUGCUGCGAUCUGGGACCCACCUGACGACUGAAUCUGCAUAUAUGUCCAUAUAUAACUGCUUCUGAUAUUAUGAGUAGGCUCAUGCGUGUCUCGAUCGUUUGGAUGGCGACUUGCAUCCUUUCAGUGCAGGCGCGGAGUUAGGAGAAAAUUCAGCUAGCCAACAUCACAAUCACUCUUCCUUCCUGAUGCUGUUCUACAAUAAUACAUUGCCUAAAUUUUGGUCGACAUGACAUGAAUAUGCAGCCAUAGAUCGGCAACGAAUGUCUGAAUUUUGACUGGCCAACUUAUCAUAGAACUUCAUUGAUCGAUCACGUUGAAUGAAUAACCCAAGUCAGUCACGUUCACAACUCCAUGCUUGGGCCAACUUCCCCUUUACGCUCUUUGCCACAUGAUUGGACGAUCUCUACAUGAUGUCUUGUGUUUAGCAGCGAGUCUACAUGCCCACAUCAUGCUGAAUCUACAUGUCAAAUCGAGCAGCUCUCAACAUGUGCCAACCAGCAUCUAUACACACAACAGCAGCCACAUGCCCACAUCAUGCCCAUAGAUAUUACAAAAACAAAUAUUGCUCAGAUACAUUCCUCGAUUCAGUUUGUUUAAAUCAUAACGGAAACAAUAACAGAGUUCUGCCCUGACGACAGAUAAAUAGAAUUCAGGGAUGUUACACAACUACACACAUACUGUUUGUUCUACUCAAGCAAAACCCAGUAGGAUGGGAGGAUGGCGAAUACAUCUCUCUGAAUACACACUGAAUCAAAUGCUGGUGGCCAACCAUUUGAGUUGCAGACUUGCAGUAAGUAGUAGGACUGGAUUGGACAACCGUGUAGCUCUCCCUCCAUAUGCAUGGCUUUACUUGGAUCCACGAACAGCUGUUCAAGAUGAAUACAUGCACAGCGUCAGCACAAUGUAUAUGGAAUAUGUUCUUAAUUUUUCACAACGAAGAACAUGUAGAUAAUUGUUACUCAUAGGAAGGAGGGAAAGAAAACUCACAAUAUUUUUGAAUUACAAGGAUAAGGCAGCUAGUUCUUGCUGGCCCGUCUCUCAUUCUCCCGACCAAUGAAUCCUUCCAACUCCUUUCUUUCCAUUGAGACGGCCUCUUGCCACUCCUUUUCAUCCUUAAACAUGCGAGCUUCAGCGACUCUGCGGACAUGGAUUUCACAGUUGGGGUGCAGGUUGAUUGCUUUUUCAACGGAAGACUCCAAGGCCUCCACCCUGCCUCGAGCUGCUCUGUUACAAUUGAUUUUGAACUCGAGCUGUGCAAGGCCUGAAAGAUGCUGGACACCCAAGUCUACAAAAAAGUCGGACGCCAUCUCCAUCGGGUUCAAGUAAAGACGGAGGCGUCGGAGUGCUGGCACAGCACCUGGAGCAAAUGUUAGACGCACUACAUCUGGUUUAUUUUCUGAGAUGCGCAGUCCACCGCUUGCUGUUUGUUCCGAUACAAAAUGAGAGGAUGGCAUAUAUUGGAAGUGGAACGCCUUUAGCAGUUUCAAUCCAUUACUACCCACGGUCAGCUUUUCUUUGAUGACCUGUAUAACCCAUAGAUGAAGAUUGGCCAGAGAAGGCAUGCCCAUGAGGACUUGGAGACCCUCCAUAUCAAAUUUCUUCACCUCCAUGCAUAGCUUCACGAGAUUCUUGAGGGAGGCCAUUCCUCUGGGAACCAUUUCCAUCAGGCUUCUUCCAGACUGAAUUUUAAGAACUUGGAGGCACGGGUAUGCAUAGCAUGGUUUACAGAACAGACGCUCGGCUAUGUCUCCACCAGUACCAAGAUAGCGAAGGUUGCACUUGCCCGACUCGUUUACUUCCUCCGCAAAUCUCACUGGGUCGUCAGUUUCCCCGAAGCUUAACUCCUCCAAGGCCUGCAGACUCCGGAACCCACUUGCAGGUAAUUGUGCUGUAUAGCUGACAAAUAGGCGCACCAAUUUCCGCAACUGCACCACGGUUGAUGGCAGUCUUACCAGUGACCAACACUCUCUCAAAUCCAGAGUCUCUAAGUGCUGCAGCUUUCCGAUUUCACCAGGAAGCUCAGUAAUUUUAGAACCCCAAAUUCGCAAAUACCUCAGUUGUCGUGAACUCCCUAUGUGUUUUACAUGCUUGUUUUCCAACCAAUCACAUCGUCCAAGAUCCAACACCCGCAAAGCAUGGAAGUCCACAAGAUGGGGUACUAUUGGCUUAUUUGGCUCAAACAGAGUCAAUGAGCGAAUAUGUAUCUUGGUCUCUGUAAUGGCCUGAACUGCUCCUUUAUGCUCUUUGCCACUAGAUUGCAUGGACAGACGACGUAUCUUAUUUGGGAAAGAAUUGCAUAUACGCCCAUUUAAGACAGUGGCAAAAUUCUCUUCAUCCGAUAAAGAUAUAAUAAGGUCAAGCACCAUAUCAUGGACCCUACAAUAUUUCACCGAACUGCCAUAAUUACCAUAAACUGGCUGAAUCAUAUUUCUAUUAACGAGUUCAUUAAAACAGUUCUGUGCUACUUGAUCCAAACUUCCCCAUUGUGUAGCAAUGAAUCCUUCCGCUAUCCAUUUGCAUUUCAACAAUUUAAUACCGAUCAUCCAAUCCUCUGGAUAUAUACACAAGUACAGUAAACAAGUCUUCAGGUGGUGGGGAAGAUCCAAGUAACUAUGUAACAAUAUAUCUUUCAUCCUUUUUAAGUUCCCAUCGUUAUCAAACGAAGAACCAGUACCAAUGGAGUCUUGCAGUCUCUCCCAUUCAUCCUUGUUAUGUGUCUUACUAGCAAGCAAACUUGCAAAUGUAAUUAUAGCCAGUGGCAGUCCGCCACAUUUUUGCAAAAUCCUUGUAGAAACUUCUUCCAGUUCAGAAGGACAUGAAUCAUUUGAGUAGAAAAUUCUCUUAAAGAACAAUCUUCGAGAAUCAACAUCAUCUAGAGGUGCCAUUUGAUAGGGUUGCUCAUCUGAGACGGAACAACAUAGAUUAGCUACACCUGUAAUGCGUGUAGUAGCAAUUACUCUGCUACCAUUAUUAUUCUCAGGAAAUGCUGCCUUGACCAAUUUCCAAUCUUGUUCUUUCCAUACGUCAUCAAUAACAAUGAAGUACCUGCACUCAAGAUCAUGUAUUGUUAAGCAUUGCCAUUAUUGUGAUGACUUUUACUAGCACAUAAUUUGAUAUAUGCAAAUAUAUACAUAAAUGUUUCAUAUUUACAUUUUGGUAAUUUUUUCUUGCAUCAAGUAAUAGAACUAUUAGAAGAACUAACUCAUUGCAUCCCAGGGUAAGUGAAAACAAAAUUAUAUUAAGUACAUCAAGGGACUAUAUGACUUCUCAUUCAUAGAAGAAAUAAAUAAGUCUACUUUACAACACUAAACUAGUGUCAAGUUUGAGUUUCAAUGUUGAACCCUAACUUCGAGAGUACGUCUAGGCGUGCCAUAGCUUUAUAGAAGGCAGAAUAAUAGUUACAAGAAAACUACCACUCAAUGCGAACAAUGAGUGUAGCACGAACACCACACACCAAGUACAAACACCACACAAAGCGAGCUACAAUGCAAAAGAGCCUAUCCUAGAGAGAUACACAGAGCCGCGUCUCGACCACCGCCGAGUACCUCCGAGACCACCAACUGCCGCAGAACUUCACUUGCCGACGCACCAUCCAUCCUGAGCGCCUAAGAGAAAGUGGCAGAUGGAUGGCAGGACUCGAUCGGCUCCGGGAAGCCACCGUCUUGGACAUAUCAAAGACGGCCGCACAUAGCAGCACGAGGGAUCAAACGAGGACAGCGGUGAACACCGGAGGAGAGCAAUGAGGAGCCAGCGCGUCUCCAAACGCAAUGCUCCCACAGAGGAGUGACGUCCAGGACGCCGCCAUUGUGCCGAUCGAAGAGCCGUUUAAUCGAGGGUUUCGCCAGGAGACAUCCACCAAUUCCAAGAGCGCGAGGGGAAAGGCGAACAUGCUCGGCGAUGCCUCCAAGGAGGAGAAUGACAUCCACAGGUGCCAUCAUCGCCGGCCCGGCAGAAGCCGUGCAAGAUUUUCAUCCACGCGUAGCCCCUCACCACACCUCCAUGGAAUUGUAGGCACUAUCCAAGAAACCUCACACCGCCGCCACCGCAGCACUUGCCGACGUAGCUGCAAAGCCGAGGAUAGACGACCAACCGCCAGACAGGGUGACCACAGCCACACCAUCAAGUCCCAACCUGCACGAGGACCCGCAGCCAACCAGCACCUCCGGCCAGGUUCAGGACGCCCUAACACUACGACUAAAGACACAAACAUCAACUAUUGACAAUCAUAAUGGCUCGUGAGAUGUCAUGGCUACAUGUCAUGUAAUUUUGUGUGGGACUCGUUUUUUGUCCAUGUUUCCUUUGUUCUUCGUCCCGUGUGUACAUGGAGCCAUGCCGCCUUGCCCACUCAAGUGUAGUCGCACACGCAGCCAUCCAGACCAAACGAAACUACCACGAUUUAAACCUGAUGUUGACGCUGAGGUUUGAAUUCUAAUCGAUUUAUAGCAUUGCCUUGAGGACUUGUUUAGAAUGAAUAAACCUUUGUCCAAAGAAAGUAGUGAGGUUCCUAAAAGGAUUGGGGUUUGGAUCAGGGUAAAAUGAAGUAAAAUUUGAGCAGUCGGGACUAUGUCUUUGCUGGUAUAAUCUGCCAUUAGAACUUAAAGUCAGACAAUUUUAUGAGUUAUAAACUUAUCUAUGGAAGAAAUAGGUGCAAACACAUAAAAAGAAGAGGACCACGGUGGCAUUCUGUGUUAACUAUCACCAAUCAAACUAUUCGUACAAACAUUUUUGGUUGAGAAAGAAUAUGGCCCAAAUAUUAUAGAAAAGUAAAUUAGAUUGAUCCAGUAUUGGUGAAGUUUGUAGCAACAAUACAUCUUUUUGGGCUAUCAUUACAUGGAGGGUUGAACGUGGACUUAUUUUUAUGUGUGCCUGUUUUGUGAAGCUAAAAUGUAAGAUUAAAACUAUUUACUGAAUGUGUGUUUACAACCAACAGUCAAUCGGUAGGCUAGUUUGAGAUAGUGCGAAAACAAUAUAUAUGUUCAAGGAACUAACAUACUCGAGACAACUAGAGAUGACCAUUUGAUCUAGCCUGCUUCAAACUAGCUAAGUUUAAAUAAUACUCCCUCCGUUCCAAAAUAGAUGACUCAACUUUGUACUAACUUUAGUACAAAGUUGGGUCAUCUAUUUUGGAACGGAGGGAGUAAUAAUUGUUUCAAUAGUCCAAAUAUACAGUAUGAAUCAAUUAAUGCUAGGUGCUUGUAUAACGAGAGGGGAUAAAACAAAUUAAAGCAAAUCAUCUAUAUGCUCCACACCUUUUUCCUGUCAAGAUCUGUUUGAUUUCACGGAUUAGUUGUUCCUUUUCCCAACUCUGACAUUCUUUGUAUGCAUCUUUAUUGAUCUGGGACAAGAUAUCUUUUAGGAGCUUCAUCAGAUCAAGUGUGCGCGACACGGACACACAAGCUUGGCACUGGAAGUCCCCUCCUGAUCCAAUCUUGCGGUAGACUUCCAUGGCCAGGGUUGUCUUCCCCAACCCUCCCGAUCCGACAAUCGGCAGCACUUUCAACUCCUUACUCUCAUCCAUCAGCAAGGCAAUGAUGUGCUUCAUUGGGCCAUCCAUUGCCACCAAGCCCUUGACCUCCUCGUGGAUGGCAGCCAUCCGCGUGUCUAUCUCCACCACCCUCGUUGCACUGUAGUAACUCUCAUCAAGCUUGUACCUAGUAUCAUUUUUUUGACAAAAAGCACUUUAUUAAUCCCACGUUGCAUCCAGAAAUACAGCUGCAAGAGUACGUAGGAAGCUUGUACCUGUCACGGCGCUCGCUUUCCUCCAUGACGCGAGCUUUGAGCUCUUUGAUCUGAGUAGCGAUGUCAUGGCGCACCCACAGAGUCUUGAGCCGGCGGGCCGUCCUCUUCAUGAACUUUGGUUUGGCAUCUCCGCUUCCAAGGCGGUCCAUGAAGCGGUCGAUGCAGUCUUCUAUGUCGUAGCUAAGAUCGCGCACUCUGUCUCUCCAACCCUUUGCCGGGCCAUCGAGUUUCUCCUCCACGUCCGCUAGUCUCUCCAGCCAGACUCGCAUGCCGCUGAGCUCGCGCUCAAGGAACUGGAUCUCCUUGCGGACGCUCUUGAGCAGAUUGUACUCGUCACUGAGCAAGGCAGUGAGCUUGCCGAGGAGGGGGUUCAUCGCCCCCAUCCCAACACUCACCCCAGCCAUAUCCUUUGAUGAAUGAAGGAUAGUGGACAAGUUCUUAAUAUGAAGAGAAGCAGCUGAUGAACGAGGAGUACUAUGGAUGGGCACUAAGCUAAGGCUCAGACGUGACCUUGGGUGGGGAGAAAAUUAGUCUCAGAUGCGGCUUACAGUAGGUACCGUGUCUGUGUCGAGGUUUAAUUAACUACUCCCUCCGUCCCAAAUUACCCGUCGCUAAAAUGGAUGUAUGCAGAACUAAAAUUCAUCUAGAUACAUCCAUACAUGCGACAAGUACUCUCUCCGUUCAGAAUUACUUGUCGCAGAAAUAGAUGUAUCUAGACGUAUUUUAGUUCUAGACACAUCCAUUUCCAAGAAGUAAUUCCGAACGGAGAGAGUAAUUCGAAACGGAAGGAAUAUAAAUCUAGGGAGUAUCAAAGCACUGCAAGCAAGCAUGGGGCGGUGCAUUAGUUUACUUCCACUGCCGGCCUGCCACACAGCUGUCUAUUGAUCAUUCGACUGUUCAACAAUCAACACACGGUGUUGCCGUUGGAUGGACUCGGGAACUAAUAUUCGUUUGCUCCGGCAAAGAAUCAAUCGAGAAGCUUCCAAGCAAUAGGUCGGAUGUGUGACGUGCUGUGCCAAGCAACUAACCAAAAGAUGAGACAAAUGAGGUAGGGGAAAUGAUCGCUCCUCUUCAGCCGUUCCGCGGAAAGACAAUCAUUUCUUUAGUCUCUCAGCCCUUUGGCCUUCAAAACCAAGAUGAAUGGGAAAGAAAAUGCUUGUAAACCUUUCUUCUUCAAUUCUCUGUCUGUUUUAUUUCUCUUUACUCCCCCUCGUGUCUCCAUCUUUUUUCCUCAUCAACCAUGUUGUUUUGCCUCUUCGCCGUAGCCGUUUUUCCCGAGUAAAUUGCAAAAACCAACAUAAUUGAAGACCCUAAUUCAAAAAAAAACCACCACUUUUCGUUUUUGUUCUUCAAAAAAACGUCAUCAUUAUGCUGGCAGUUUUCAAAAAAACGCUGAUUGACCGAUUAGAGAGGUUUGAUGCAAAAUCUGACAAUUGGGUCCCAAUGUCAGGUGCCAUUUGGCUGGGGUGGAAACGACUUAUGUCACACAUGUAGUCAUGGCGCUAAGGUCUGAAGAGUGGUGUAGUCUGAUGUGACAUGCAAAAGACGUUCAGUAGGAGUUUCAUUGGAGAUAGUACGACUGGGCCACAUAUUGAUGAGAUGAACAACAAUAAAGAAAGCUUCAUCCCAAAAUUUUAAUGGCAUGGACGCUGCAGCUAGAAUAGCUAAGCCUACUUCAACAAUAUGUCUAUGUUUGUGUUCGGCAGAACCAUUUUGUUGAUGUGCAUGUGGACAUGAGAUAUGAUGUGAGAUACCUAUUUGUUGAAAGAAGGAGUUUAAUAUUUCAUAUUCACCACCCCAGUCUGAUUGCAUGGCAAUGAUCUUGCUAUCAAAUUUACGUUCAACAAGGGCUUGAAAGUUAUGAAAAACUUGAAACACAUCAGAACGCUUUGUAAGUAGGGAGAUCCAGACGGGCUUCCUUCAUGGCCGCAACAUUGCCGAAAACUUCAUCUAUGCUGCAGAUAUUCUCAGUACGUGCCACUCACGCAAAGCUCCGACUAUGGUUUUUAAGCUAGACUUUAGGAAAGCAUUUGAUUCGAUAUGCUGGUCCUCCCUCAUUCAAAUUAUGAAAGUUCGGGGUUUUCCUAACACCUUCUGCAGUUGGGUCCAAAACAUCCUCUGCACUGGCAAAACGGCCAUUCUUCUCAAUGGUGUUCCAGGGUCCUGGACUCAAUGUAGAUGUGGCCUUCGCCAGGGUGACCCCUUCUCACCUUACUUGUUCAUCAUCGUAGCCGAUGUACUUCAAAGACUAAUCGCUAAAGCUUUCCAAUCCAAUGUCCUCUGCCAUCCACUAAGACCAAACGAGCCGCCUGUGACACUCCAGUACGCCGACGACACUCUCAUUAUCGCUGCUGCCAGUGAAGCAGCCACUUUGCGGCUAAAAGAAACACUCCAUGACUUCGCCCUUGCUACGGGGCUGCUGAUCAACUUCCACAAGACAGCUCUCCUCACAAUCGCUACUGAAUCCACAACACAAAACAACAUUGCUAUGCCAUUGGACGCUCUCUGUCCUCCUUUCCACUAAUAUACUUAGGACUUCCACUAUCUCCUACCAAAUUGCCCUUGACAGCUUUCGACCCGAUCAUAGACAACUUUCGGAAAUUCCUCUUUGGAUGGGUCGCGCGUCUUCUCUCACGGGGCGCCAGGCUCACACUGCUGAUUGCGGUCCUUGACUCCUUAACAAUCUACUUUAUGUCAGUUUUCCGUCUACCAAAAUCGAUCCUAGCUAAACUAGAUGCCAUUCGGAGGGCGUUCUUCUGGUCUAACGAGUCCACCUGUACUGGGGCGAGCUGCUUAGUUGCGUGGAAAAACGUUUGCAAACCUAAAGACUAUGGUGGUCUAGGCAUUAAAAAUCUUGAAAUUCAGAACCACUGCCUGCUCAUGAAAUUCUCUUCAAAAAUCCUACAACACCCAAACGUCCCGUGGACCUUGUGGUAUAACCAACAACACCCUCUUGGCAUUACUUCAAAAACCACACGGCCCUCCUUUUUAUGGAAGAUUAUCAACAGCAACUUGCCACUGCUAAUUGAACAUUCCUUUGUCAUCACAUACAAUGGACUCUCCACCUUCUUCUGGCUUGAUAAAUGGCUACUACACUCACCACUACAAAAAGUUUUCCCAAACCUAUACUCACAUUCCAUUGAUGACAAGGUGUUAGUGGCUACUGUCUGGCAAACCAGCUUAUUAGCGAACCUGCGGAACCGUCUGUCUAAUGCUGCAGCUCGAGAGCUGGAUUGUGUGCUAUUGUUGUUGCAGGACUUCCAGCAGGUGAACCAACCGGACGAACGGUCUCUCACCCAUGGCCUGCCAUUCUCUGCCAAGAAUGCCUACUCCUCCAUAGUGGCUGAAGACGUAACUGACCCACACCAUGAUCUUGUUUGGGCCUUCAAAGUCCCAAUCAAAGUCAAGAUCUUCGCUUGGCUACUCCUCCGCGAAAGACUAAACACGAAGGCAAACAUGUUCCACAAGAAUAUUGCACAGUCUGCCGCAUGCCCCCGCUGUAAAGACCCUCAUGAAGAUGCCCUGCACCUAAUUUCAAGCUGCUCUUAUGCUACCCAAGUUUGGUCCUCUCUAGGACUACAGGCUCCAACAUAUCUCGAUGAUCUACUUCAACACCCAACGCUCCAAGGCCUCAACCCCAACAUAUGGCCCUCUGUCGCUCUGUCUAUCUCCUGGAAACUUUGGGACUCAAGAAACGCCCUAGUCUUCAGAAAUGAGGAUCACUCUACCCGGACCACGAUUCGUAACAUCGUUGCUGAUUUCUCUCUAUGGGUUUUUAGAUUCAAAAACAAGGAAUACAAUUUAUUUGCUAAGCAAUGGCUUCAUUUCUUAUCCUCAGCUGUCCCCUAAAAGCUGACUUUGUAACAAAAACUGGUUGUAACCCUCGGUGUAAUCCUCAAACCUCCCCCUUUUGAGUGGUAAUAUAUUCAGGUGGGGAAGCUCUCCCCCCCGGUGACCGUUCAAAAAAAAGUAGGGAGAUCCACAUGUAUUUGCUAAAGUCAUUAGCAAAACUCACAUAAUAAGAAUGUCUACCAACGGAAGUGGGUGCUGGACCCCAAACAACACCAGAAUAUGCAGCCACAGAUCGGCAUUAAUGUUUGAAUUUUAGCAGGCCGUCUUACCACAAGACUCCAUCGAUCGAUCACCCUGACUAAAUAACCGAAGUCGGUCACAAUUGACACAGUUACAUGAUGACAGAGGACUAGGCAAUAGCGUAGAUGCAUACACGCUCAAACCAAGCAGCACUGAACUUCUGCCCACCACCAAUCAAAUGCAGAGAUAUCACAGAAGAUGCAUAGCUCAGCAAAAAGAUUGCACACCACAUUUUCCCAUAUAUGUAUAAAUAUAUUUUUCGGAAUUAUCUGAAUAUUUUGAUUAACAUAUAAUAUUAAUAUAUUUUCCACACUGAAUCUUUUUCAAAAAUAUGGCAGUACAUACCUUUAAAGAAUCCAUUGGGUCAUCAUAAUACAAUCUUGUAUUGAGCUAGUACCACCUAUGACAUCAAGCAGGGUAGAAACAACAAUCAAUUCCAUUCAAUAAUGCAAUUUUCUAUCUGUUAGUUAUGAGUGAGCAAAUAGAAAAAAAAACACUACAUUUGAGGCUAGGGUUGCAAAAAAACACCAAUUUUCAAUUAUUAUUAUUAUUCCAAAAACAUUGGCAUUUAGUAAAUAUUUUGCAGAUAGCACUCAUCGCUAUCACAGUAGUUGAAGCAUCGCCGGUGACGCAGAGACUGGACCGAAAGCCCUCGAAGGUCGAGGUGGGUUGUCCCUUCGUCAUGACAUCGGCGAACUGCUGAUCGGUGGGCACAUGGAGAACACGAACACGACCAAGUGCGACGUGCUCCCUGACGAAGUGGAUGUCGAGCUCAAUAUGCUUCGUCCGUAGGUGAUGGACAGGGUUGGCAACAAGGUACACCGCGGAAACGUUAUCACAGUAGACAAGUGUUGCCUUGGUAACCUCACAUAGCAACUCCUGAAGUAGCUGUCGUUGCCAAGAGCACUCCGCGACGGCAUUGGCCACAGCCCGGUACUCAGCCUCGACGCUCGAUCGUUCGACCGUGGGUUGUUGUUUAGACGACCACGAAAUCAGAGAGGGCCCGAGGUAGACACAGUAGCCGGAAGUGGAGCGUCGAGUGUCAGGACACCCAGCCCAGUCGGCGUCGGAGUAGGCGACAAGGCUGGUGUCAGGUGAUGCCCUCAGGGUGAGACCCAUGGCUGUGGUGCCACGUAUGUACUGAAGAAUACGUUUCACGAGAGCCCAAUGGGUGUCACGAGGAGCAUGUAUAUAAAGGCACACCUGCUGGACAGUGUACUGAAUGUCCGGACGUGUCAGUGUGAGGUACUGGAGCGCACCGACAAUGGAGUGGUAGAAGGGAGCGUCGGACGCCGGAGAACCCUCGACGGCGGACACCUUAGCCUUUGUGUCGACGAGCGUGGGACCAGGCUUGCAGUUAAGCAUGCCCGCUCACUCCAGAAGCUCGUAGGCGUACUUCUACUGGUGCAGGAAGAAGCCAGUGGCCCGGCACACUACCUCGAUGUCGAGGAAGUAGUGGAGAGCCCCCAAGUCCUUGGGGGCGAACUCGGUGCCGAGGCGAGCUGUGAUCUGCUGAAGUAGCACUGGCUAGGAUGCAGUCAGGAUGGUGUCGUAACAUACAGGAGGAGGUACGCGGUGGCGGGGCCCUGGUGAUAAACAAACAGGAAGGCAUCAGACCGUGUGGACCAGAACCUCUGCUGCUGGAGGAAGGCCGCGAUCCGCUGGUACCAGGCCCGAGGUGCCUGCUUCAACCCGUAGAGAGAACGGGAGAGCAAGCACACGUGGUCCGGCUAGUCGGUGUCGACAAAACAAGUAGGCUACUGAUAGAACACCUGCUCGUGGAGAUGGCCAUGCGAGAAAGCAUUAGACACAUCGAGCUGGUGGACUGGCCAGGCGCGAGAAACAACAAGCUGGAGGACAGCGCGAAUCGUGCCCGGUUUGACAACCGGGGCGAAGGUGUCGGUGAAGUCCACGCCGGCACGCUGGCGGAAGCCGCGCACCACCCAAAGCGCCUUGUAACGCUCGAGAGAGCCGUCGGGGCGAGUCUUAUGGUGGAAGACCCACUUGCCACUGAUGAAAUUGGCACGGGGAGGCCGCGGAAUAAGCUGCCACGUACGGUUGCGCUACAGGUCGUCAAACUCCUCACGCAUCGCAGCUAGCCAGUUCGGAUCCCGAAGGGCUGCGCGAGCAGAGGUGGGGAGCGAAGACGGCGCCGAGGUAGAUGCAGCACACGCGUACUUGUCCGACGUGUAGCGCGUGCUAGGACAAAGUCUCCCAGUCCGAGCCUGAGUGACCAUACCGGUGAGGGGUGCGGCCGCGGCGACGGGGGCCGCAUCAGGGGCCGUGGCGGGGGCGGCCGAGGGGGCCGCGUCGACGGGGGCCGCAGCAGGGGCCGCGGCGACGGGGGCCGUAGCAUGGGCCGCGGUGACAGGGGCCACCGGCGCGUGGAGCGCGGGCAGGGCCGAGUCCGGUGCGCGGCUGGGUGGUCCGCCGGAGGUGGAGGCAGGGGCGAACCGCGCCGCGGGAGACGCCGAAGGCGACGGUACCUGCUGAAACGGGAACACCAGCUCAUCAAAGUACACAUGCCGCGAAGUGAAAACGCAGUGGGACACUGUAUCAUAGCACCGGUAACCUUUGGUGUUGGGAGGAUAACCAAGGAAAAUUCAAGGAAGCGAUCGGGGAGCGAGUUUGUGAGGAGCAGUGGACGCGGUGCUAGGAUAACAGAGACAUCCGAAGAUGCGAAGACCAUCAUAAGAUGCUACUUUCGGUAAGAGGAGCUGGUGAGGAGUGUAGUUCCAGCGGGAACGACAGGGGCGAAUGUUAAUAAGGAGGCUGGCGGUCGCGAGCGCGUCCGACCAGAACCGAGGAGGCACGUAGGAGUGGAAGAGCAACAUGCGGACAGUGUCAUUAAGAGUGUGAAAGACGCGCUCGGCGCGACCAUUCUGCUGGGACUGUAGGGGCAGGUGAGACGAAAGAUGGUGCCGUGGGACGCAAGUAAAUUGCGGACAGCGACGUUGUCAAACUCCUUGCCGUUGUCAGUUUGCAAGGCGAGAAUAGGACGACCGAACUGUGUGGUGACAUAUGAAUAAAAGGCUGUGAGUGUGGCAAGAGCGUCGGACUUGCGACGGAGAGGGAAUGUCCACACAUAAUGAGAAAAAUCAUCCAAUAUCACCAAAUAGUAUAAAUAGCCCGUGUUGCUAGCAACCGGGGACGUCCAAACAUCACUAUGCAAUAACUGAAACGGGAAGGUGGAAAUGUUUGUAGACUCGCUAAAGGGAAGACAAACGUGCUUGCCGAGACGGCAAGCCUCACAAGUGUGAUCGUCGACCUUAUUACAUGAGAAAGAAAAACUCUGAGGAAUCUGAUGCAUAACGGUGGAGUUGGGAUGACCGAGACGGGCAUGCCAAAGAUCGACACUGGCGGCGAAGGCGAUGGGACGACGGGUGGUGGUGGUGCCGGAGGGAUGCACUGGGUAAAGCUCGUCCGGGCUGUCACAUCGGUGGAGUACCAUCCAUGUACGGGCGUCCUUCACAGAAAAACCGAUAUCGUCAAAUUCAACAGUGAUAGGAUUCUCACGAGCAAGGCGACGAACAGAAACGAGAUUAGUGACUAAGUCAGGAGACACUAGAACAUUAGACAUAUUGAUGGGAGUAGAAGUAGAGGGAAAAGACAUAUGACUGACAUGUGUAAUGGGUAGGGAAGGAACCGUUACCAACGGUGAUACGGGUGGGAGUAUGAACAGGAGUGGCAGACGUGAGGUUAUCGGGAUGAGCAGUCAUGUGAGCGGUGGCGCCCGGGUCCAUGUUCCAGUCAUCACCGCCACUAUAGGAGCUCGGGGACGGUGCGGAGUGCAGAGCAGCGAGAAGGGCCGGGUCCCACGGCGGCGGCACCUGAGGAGGGUAAAACCCUCCGUAGGCCGGCGCGAGGGCGGCACAGAAGGCUGACGCAGACCCCUAGGUCGGUGCGGCGGCGGUGCCGUAGGCAGGCGCGGCCCCGUAGGCGGGCGCAGGCAGGGGGGCGGCACCAUAGCCGCUGUAGGGAGCGGCGCUCUGCACGGCGAAGAGAGCCUGGUGGCUCACCGGGCGAGGCCCAAGGAUGCCCGGAUCGGGAGCCCGAGGGACCGGCAUUGAGUACGCAUGGACGNNNNNNNNNNNNNNNNNNNNNNNNNNNNNNNNNNNNNNNNNNNNNNNNNNNNNNNNNNNNNNNNNNNNNNNNNNNNNNNNNNNNNNNNNNNNNNNNNNNNNNNNNNNNNNNNNNNNNNNNNNNNNNNNNNNNNNNNNNNNNNNNNNNNNNNNNNNNNNNNNNNNNNNNNNNNNNNNNNNNNNNNNNNNNNNNNNNNNNNNNNNNNNNNNNNNNNNNNNNNNNNNNNNNNNACUUGUGACCGCCCCCGCCGCAGUUGCCGCGACGUCCGCCACCCAGCUGCUGGGGGCAGCGGGAGGGACGGGAGGCGCAGGCCGGAGGGGGAAGUAACCCGGAGGCGCGGGGGGCAGCGGCUGCUGGCGCGGCGCGGGUGGGGCGGCCGAUGGAGGAGCGCCACGUGAGGUGCCGACGCCGAGGGCGUGAUGCUGCACACGCUUCUUGAUCCCCUUCAUCCGGCGCUCCUCCAACCGCAAGUACGCCACGAACUUGGGGAAGGAGCGCUCCGGCAUCAAGGUGAGGUUGGAGGCGGCGUUGCCGAAGUCCUCGUUGAGACCGGUGGUGAGCGUGCUAAGGAGGAGAUCGUCAUCCACCGUGGCUCCAAUGUCGCGAAGCUUAUCCGCCAACGUCUUCAGGCGGCGGCAGUAGUCAUCAAUGGACUGUUCAUCCUGGUGAUAGUCAAAAAAAAUCUGCUGCAAAAAAACGCGGCGCUGAAGCUUGUUGUCGGUGAAGAGGCCGUUCCGCUUGAGCCACAUGGCGCGGGCGUUGUCGCCGGCGGCAGUAGUCAUCAAUGGACUGUUCAUCCUGGUGAUAGUCAAAAAAAAUCUGCUGCAAAAAAACGCGGCGCUGAAGCUUGUUGUCGGUGAAGAGGCCGUUCAGCUUGAGCCACAUGGCGCGGGCGUCGUCGCCGGCGCUCACGACCGUGUGGAACAAGUCCUUGAAGAUGGUGGUGAAGAACCACCGGAUGAUCGUGGCAUCGAUCGCGGUCCACUCGGCGUCGUCCAUCAUGGCGCAGGAGUCAACGGUGCCAUCCACAUGAUCCAUGAGGUUGUUCUCGCGGAAGAGCAGCGAAAAGUACGUGGAGUUGGAGGUGUCGAGGAACACGGGGACGCGUGCGUGGACGUUGAUGUCGCGGAUUUCAGCAGGGUCGACGGCGAAGGGGUUGGAGUAGGUGGAGGCGUUGGACGACAUGGCGGCGAGGGUGUGGGGAAGGGGGCGGCGCAGUGGUGGGAGAUGGGCGGCGCGGCGGGAGGGCGGCACGGCGGGGAGGAGAGGGCGCGCGGGGAGGCGUGCGUGGGGAGAGGGGGUGGCGGCGGCAUGGGGCGACGGCGGCGGCAGAUCGCGGCGGUGGCGGCGGCGGCUCGAGGCGGCAGCUAGGGUUUGCGGAAGCGGUAGGAUCGACUUGCGACAGAUACCAUGUAGAGAAUGAUUUGGUGCAUCAAUAAUUGAUUGAUCGUGCACUAGGUCUAUAUAUAUAUAGAUACAAGGGGUGCGACCGGUAUCUUAUCUCUUAAGAUACACGUACAUACAGAGGGAGACAGACACUACAAGUACUGCCUACAAAACCCAGACCUAUAUACAUGUGCACAUGUUCAACACUAUUAAUGUCCGAGUGCACUUUCACACUUGCUGCUGUUCAGUAUCAAGUGACAAAACCAAGAACCAACCAACUGUUAGGCAACAAGCAAGCAGGGCCUAAUGUACAUACACGACCAACUCACAAGUGACAACUCCACAAGUGACAAAUAGCAAGCUUGAGCACGCGGGCGUGAUGCAAAGCUGAUGGUGCACUUCACUUCACUACACCAUAGUGGUGGAGUAAUUUUAUAAAAUAGGCCUAAGCAACUAGUGCACUGCCCCUGAUUUGUGGAGAAAUUAGUGGGCAAGUAGGUAACGGUGGGUGACUGAUUGUCGUUCCACCAGCACCAAGACUAGCAAGCUUUUCUAGGACUAACAUUUCACGGUUCAACGGAAUAAAGAUAUGAUUGACCAACGCAUAACAGCUAGGGGAGAGGAUUGUACAUAUAUGCACGCGCCAACGGCCAACCUAUUGACGCUGGAACGCGUCACACGAACACGUCGAUGUGUACCCGCGGCACCGAGGGAGAUGCUCCGCUACUCACACCGCGGGAAGCCGACUUCCAGCGCGAUACGCAAGACAGCAAGCCGGCGCUUUUGGACCCGAAACCCCACACGCCCGGGAGGGACCCCGUCUGGGCGCGUGGCAGCUAUGGGCUGCCCUAGGUCGACCUGAUCGCCCCUAGGGCCUCGAGGUUCGCCGCCCUGCAAUGAAGAAGAACGAACGAAGAACGAGGAAGAAGAAGAACUAGGGUUAAGGAGAAAAGAUAAAAGAUAAAAAGUGGUAGAUUGAUUGAUCGAUUGUGUGUUGUUCAAUCGGCCGUCACCCCUUAGGUAUAUAAGAGGCGGCUGGACUUCCCGUGCAAGGAAAAGGCUUGGAUUCACGUCCAAAACCCUAGUCAAAUUCGGAUUGGUUUUGUCCGAACUUUCCAGAACUGUUCGGUUUAAACUGGCUGCACCUUGCGGGUCAUUUUUGUGGUGGUAAACGAUCUCGGAUGGAAACGAGCCCAAAAGCAAUCUUGACCGUUUCGACGAGGCGAACAACUUUUGUGUUGAACGUUUUUUAAUCAGAGGUCAUCUUGAGGGUCAAAUCGGUCGCGCAAAACAGGCUAUCACUCGCGCUACCCAUCAGACAGGGUGUCUCGUUGGGCGCGCCAGUUUUUGCCUCCUGACAGGGCUAUAUUCCGAUGGCUCUAACUUUUGCAUACGAACUCGGAUUGGAACGACUUUUAUAUCAAAAUCGAUCUUUUCGACGAGACGAAGACAAUCCGUGUAGAUAAUCUUUCCAUUUGAGGUAGUCUUGGGGGCUUAAUCAGCCAAACUAUACUCUGAAUAAAAGAUCUUAGUACUUUGAGCAUAGUUUCGGCCUUCGAGAUGAAAUCGGAUUGCGAUGACCCAAACUUCAAAGAUGUUCAUAUCGACAAUACGGAACUCUUUCAUGAAGAUCACUUCUCCAUUUGAGGCCAUCUUAAAUAAGUUAUUGACCGUGCCAAAAUCUGGUGUCAACACAUGCCCCCCUGUUUUUCGGCAAAGUUUGUGUGCUGAAAAAUAACUUCCGCAUAGCUUAUUCUAAGGACGAUGUCAACACUCCAUCGGCCAUUUUGCAUGUUCUUACGGCGACAAGUAUAUAUCGGCCAUUGCUUGUUUGAACCUCUUGAUGCAAACUUGGGUGAAAACUUCUCAGCUUCUAUAACAAUCCGGUGAUAAGGUUCCAUAGAUCAAAACCAUCCUCUGAACCAUAUUGUUCACCCUUUCGCUAGGAUUUUGCAGAUAAUCAAGAAUGAACUUCCUCCAAUCCUUACUUCGCCUGCAUAAAAGUUUCAUUAGUGGCCGAAGCGGUGGGCUUCGAUUCAGCCUUACCUAUGUUGACAAGACCUAGCAUCGGCUAUUGAUAGAAAUGCAAUACACCAUGGUUAACAUAGUAGCCAGAUGCUUGCUGUGCCAACUCUUUCGAAUUGUCAUGUCUAGAUAUAUGAAGGAUAUUAAAGCAACCCAAGGUAAAUUUUGCAUCUAGACAUCUCCCAAGAUAAACUAUAAGUGAUUCGUCAAAACAUUGAUAACCCUUGUAUAUUUGUCGCACUACUUAUAACGAAUCACUGAAGGCCUCAAUCUGUAUAGCACCUACAACAACAAAAAGCUCCAAACCGAAUAAAUUUUCAUAUUCGGCUUUUAUUAUUGUGCAAACAUAUUUUAAGUUGUAUGAGGCUUGUUUUGGUCUCCUAUUGAACUAAGGACGAUAUUUGGAUACCACACCAACCAUGCAUUGACAUAAUCUUAGGACGAUAAAUAAAUAUCGGCCAUUACCAUGUAAACUUCAUUUGAAGCACAUAUAGCCAAAAUAAACAAACGAAAUGACAAAUCAAGUAUUUCGGCCCUUUGGAUCAGCAACAAACUUGUAGCUAAUCAAAUGUAUAGUGAUUUGGCAAUACCCUUUCAUGAUGUAAGAAAUUAUAUUGCAUCCAUGGAUUAAAAUAAGCCCAUUGAGGGUUACCAAUCAUACCUGAUGACGAAUUCCAUGGCAUAGGCAUUAAUGGCAUAGUUGCAGAAUAUGGAUAAUGUGUAGACCAAAGAUGUUGAAACCUUCGGCUUGGUGCUUCGUAGUUUUCACACUUUUCCUUCUUCACCUUUGCCGCACUUCUUGUAAUGGAAGCUUGCACAUAAUUCUUAUUUUGAGCACUUCCUUUGGGAACCCAUGCCAUGUUCCUUUCUUCAAGUUCUUGUGCACUAAGUUUUUGUAAUUUCUUCUUUUGCCAAUACGAUAAGCCAAGCGGGCAUCUCGGCUGUGAUUCUAUUUUGACCAAUGGCAAUUCCUUUUUGGCCUUGUGCACUCUCAAAUUCUUUUCUUCAAAUUUGGCACUUCGAUUCUCAAUAAUUGGUUGCUUUGUCUCAUUGCCUUUAGUAGCCAAUGUCAACACUUUAAUUGGCUCUUUUUUAUUUGAGAUCAAAUCUGAAAUUGCACUCUUACGACCAUCUCUCUUAAUGCGGUAAACCUGCUUGACCACCUCUUUCUUCUUCCUUGAGCUCUGGACCGAUUCCUUAUGAUUGAAACGGUCUUUGAAGCGUGAUUGUUCAAAUGUUGAUCUUCUUGGAGCUGCAUAGUAUUGGUGAGAUGGUCUAGAAUAAGAUGGAGAAUGUGCCCUUGUAUCAUACUUGUCCCAUGAUGAAUAUGUAUCUAUAUGAGAAUAGGGAGGCAUCCACGGCAUUGGCAUUGGCGGCCCAAAAUAAGGAUAUGAAUAUGUUGCAUUAAAAUUAUCACUUUGCCAAUACCGAUCCUCAUAUUUGCGCCUUGGGGGUGACCUUGGUUUCUUUGCAUGAUUUGGCCGAUAAGCAUUCUUCUCUUCACUCUUCUUUUGAUAUUUAUCCAAUAGUUCAGCGAAGGUGACUUUUGAUCUCUUACACUUGCGCUUAUUUCGUCCUUUGUUUUCUUCUGGUUUGCUUUCAUCGGUCAUUGCAUUUGCUUGUUGCCCCCCAGUCCUUGGCGUCUCCAUUGUAGCUUUGAUGGAAUUCUUGCCCUCAAGAUUAUGUUCAUUAUGCUCUUCAACAACUUCUUUACUUCAAAGCUUGAUCCCAUCACCUGUAGUUUUUACCUUCUUUUCAAAUGGAUCGGCUUGAAUCAGCCGAUGCAAAAACUUUCUACCAUCGGGACCAAUCGGAAUAGACUGGUCAUCUCUUGGUGUCUCAACAAAUUUCAAUCGUCCUUUAUCAAUGGACGAUUUAACUAUUUGACGAAACAUGUUGCAAUCCUCAAAAUUAUGCUUGGACGAAUCAUGCAACUUACAAUACAUUCGUCCCUGGAUAGAUGGUUCAACAUGGUGAUCAAGAAUUCUAAUAUAAUUAUUUUGCAACAACAAAUCAAAUAUUUGAUCACACAUGCUUGAAUUGAAGGUAAACUUUUCAUUCUCUAGCCUAUCUUGUUGUGAGAACGGCUUUGGAGUUAAGCAAACGAAUGGUUCAGAUUUUGUAUCACACCAUUCGGCUAUGCAUUGUGGUUUGCACUCUAUCUCUGAUAUCUUUGGGUAAGAUAUUAUACUAGCAUCAGUUUUCUCAACAGAAUUUAACCUUGGCUUUAAAUUUCUAAAAUGAAAAUAGUUAGAACAUACAUGUCUCAAUUGAGACCAAGUGCAAGCCAAUUAUGAAAUAAGCAAGGCUACCCAAAUAGAUAUGAACUUUAGAUAAAGCAACGGGGAAAGCUUUGGCUGCAAUAAUAAGUCAUUAUCGGUCUUUAUAAAUGGCACAAUUGGUUGACCGAUAUGUUCUAAAACAAUUUUAUUGCUAACAAGUAAAUUACCCUUCUUCAUUGGUCUUUCAAAAUUACCUAUGAGGAUUUUUCUAAUAGAUGCAUCAACAAUAAAGUUGUGACCAAAUCUGAAAAUAGGUAAAUUACCCGCUAUGCAUACCUCUUCAAAUAUGUUGGGAGAGCAUGAUGGUGGUGCCACUUGAAGAACAUCUUGCUUGGUCUUUGGAUGGCUCCCCAACACCUUGUCAUCAUAUUUUUCUUGAUUCUGUGCAUCAUUGCUUUGAAGAUCCAUGUCAGCCGAACUUUGUUCGGCUACUUGUUCUUGUCCUUGAGGCUUGUCAAUUUCUACGGCACGGAACUCAUAUGGCAGGAAGUAGGUUCCAUUAACUUCAGAAAAAUCAAGCACCGUUGUUUUCCUAUGCUUGCCAUGCCCUUUCUCAAUAAUGCUUGCCUCGUUGGAUUUGAUGGAUUCAGAAUAUAUACUACUUGAUUCGGAUUUUUCAACCAAAGAACAUUCAUGUUCCGAAUCAUCCUUCUUUUUGUUGAUACUACCAAUUGGCAAUGCUUCUUUUAUCUGAGCCAAUUCUUUUUCUAUUUGUUUCUGACGGCGAGCAGCAAAAUUAGCUUUAAGCUUUUUCUCAAUUUCAGCCCACUCCGGAUAUGAUUGCCCCCCAAUGCGUUUAGAUUCUUUCGGCAAUGACACACGGGUGUUGCCGAAAUUUUGCAAUUGUGUAGGGGUUGUAUAAUAUGAUAUAGUACUAGGUGAAGGCAUAUGCAUUGUUGUAAGACCAUCCUUUUGCUCGCCAAUUUUAUCAAUUGGCAAAGAUUCAUCUUCUUGCAAAACUCUAGCUUUUAUUGCGGCAUAAUCAGGAAAUAGCGCAUUUUCAUGUUGUUCAAGGCAAAGAGCACUAAUUCUCUUAUUUUGGGCUAAACUCUUCAAUGCAGCCACCACUACCUCAUCCUCUACAAUGUUGGGCACAACCGCUCCUGUAAAAUUUACAUUCAUUCGGCUAUAACCAGGAAGGUGUGAAGCCGAAUUAUGAGCAUCUACAGUUGUGUAUGGUGCCGAAGAAUUAGUAACAUGAGGUGUAGCAUAUGACAGUUGAGAGUAACUGGCCGAAUAGCCACUAGUAGCAUGGCCAAUUCUUUCAUUCAUCGGCAUGGUUGGAUUACUAUAUUGCACAUUAGCUGCCGAUGAAUAAAAGGGUGAAACACUUUCUCGUAUGGCAUUGGAAAUUCUAACUUGGGGUGUUUCAAAUUGAUUAAUCGAACUCAUCAUGUUGCUCAUCGGCAUAUGAAUUUGCUGGGUGGCCGAUGCGUGUGAGUUGGGAUACAUAUGGUGCAUGUUACUAAUAUCAUAAGAAGUUGAAGUAUGUAAAUUACUUUGAAUCGGCCCUUGCACGUAGUUAGUUGCAUGAUUGAAGAAACUAGGGUUGGCCGAUAGAGUAUACUCAUUGAACAAUCUAGUAACACCAUAUGAACUAUUUGCAUCUACAUAAAGGGAUUGGGUAUUCAUAUUACCUUUGUAGACGGCAAACCCUAGAUGACGAUCUCUUUGUAGCAAGAACGGGCCGGAGACCGUUCGAAACUUCGUCCCCAGCGGAGUCGCCAAAAAGUGUGUUGACGCUGGAACGCGUCACACGAACACGUCGAUGUGUACCCGCGGCGCGGAGGGAGAUGCUCCGCAACUCAAACCGCGGGAGGCCGACUUCCAGCGCGAUACGCAAGACAGCAAGCCGGCGCUUUUGGGACCCGAAACCCCACACGCCCGGGAGGGACCCCGUCUAGGCGCGUGGCGGCUAUGGGCUGCCGUAGGUCGACCUGAUCGCCCCUAGGGCCUCGAGGUUCGCCGCCCUGCAAUGAAGAAGAACGAACGAAGAACGAGGAAGAAGAAGAACUAGGGUUAAGGAGAAAAGAUAAAAGAUAAAAAGUGGUAGAUUGAUUGAUCGAUUGUGUGUUGUUCAAUCGGCCGUCAUCCCUUAGGUAUAUAAGAGGCGGCUGGACUUCCCGUGCAAGGAAAAGGCUUGGAUUCACGUCCAAAACCCUAGUCAAAUUCGGAUUGGUUUUGUCCGAACUUUCCAAAACUGUUCGGUUUAAACUGGCUGCACCUUGCGGGUCAUUUUUGUGGUGGUAAACGAUCUCGGAUGGAAACGAGCCCAAAAGCAAUCUUGACCGUUUCGACGAUACGAACAACUUUUGUGUUGAACGUUUUUUAAUCAGAGGUUAUGUUGAGGGUCAAAUCGGUCGCGCAAAACAGGCUAUCACUCGCGCUACCCAUCAGACAGGGUGUCUGGUUGGGCGCGCCAGUUUUUGCCUCCUGACAGGGCUGUAUUCCGAUGGCUCUAACUUUUGCAUACGAACUCGGAUUGGAACGAUUUUUAUAUCAGAAUCGAUCAUUUCGAUGAGACGAAGACAAUCCGUGUAGAUAAUCUUUCCAUUUGAGGUCGUUUUGGGGGCUUAAUCAGCCAAACUGUACUCUGAAUAUAAGAUCUUAGUACUUUGAGCAUAGUUUCGGCCUUCGAGAUAAAAUCUGAUUGCGAUGACCCAAACUUCAAAGAUGUUCAUAUCGACAAUACGGAACUCUUUCAUGAAGAUCACUUCUCCAUUUGAGGCCAUCUUAAAUAAGUUAUUGACCGUGCCAAAAUCUGGUGUCAACACAACCCAGUGCUCCUCCCAAGCAAGUAAAGUGUCGUACCAUACACACAUCCAUCCAAACACAUCCAUCCAACGACCUGCAGUCAAUGACAUGGCAAUCCAACGCGUCCCCUUCCUCGUGUCUUUGAGCCUUCUGCUACAUCUAUGCGCGGCCGAGGCCGCCGCCGGCCACUCAGAAGAAUCGCAAGCACAGGCACUCCUCCGAUGGAAGUCCACGCUGCUCCACUCCUUCUGUUUGUCCUCGUGGUCGCGUGCCACACCGACCUGUUCCUGGGAUGGUGUAACAUGUGACCACCACGGCCAUGCUACCGAGCUCAAGCUUUCACAGUGCAACCUCAAUGGCACGCUUGACGCCUUGUACUCCGCCGCGCUCGGGAGCCUCACCAAGCUCAGCUUUUACGGGAACAACCUCGUCGGCACCAUCCCGGUCAACAUCUCCCUAUUUCUCAACCUCACCUCACUGGACUUGAUGAGCAACAACCUUGUUGGUCCUAUACCUACCAAUUGAGCAAACUCAAGCACUUGGCGUACCUUGAUUUGUCUAGCAAUAGGCUAUCUGGGCCGAUACCACGUCUCCUCUCGGUGCUCACAACACUAGAGUCACUGAAACUUGGACAGAACAAUCUUACCGGAGGAAUCCCAGAGGAGCUCGGGAUGCUGCAUAGUUUGCAUCCGCUUGAACUAAACAACAACUCUUCACAAACUUGGGCAACUUCGGAUGCUAGAAUGGCUAAACAUAAGUAAAAAUCAUUUAAGUUCAACUAUCCCUUUUGAGUUGGGCAAUCUUACUAGGCUCUUCCACAUAGACCUGUCCUGGAACAAGCUCUCUCGUGGUUUGCCCACCACCUUUUCCAGGUUGCAGUACUUGGAUGGGUUUGCGAUGAGGAACAACAGUCUCAACAGCAACAUUCCACCAGAACUCUUCACAAACUGGAAAACAACAACUCUUUCACUGGAGGCAUCCCACCGGAGAUUAUUCGAUGGGAGAAUAUGUGUCAGUUGUCCUUGUCUGGCAAAGUUUUCACUGGCAUGAUCCCCACUGAGUUAGUAUGCAUGCAACACUUGGAUAUGGUGGACCUAUCCAAUAAUCAUCUUAAUGGUGUGAUACCAUGAGAGAUUGGCAACUUGUCAAGUUUAGUAAUCCUGGACCUUAGCUCCAACCAGUUGGAGGGCAGUGUUCCUACUAUGAACCCUGACACUGCCAAUAACAAUUCCUUGUCUUUUGCUACUCUCAUCUCCUUGUCUGGAAACAAAUUUAUAGGCAUUAUUGACUGGAGUUUUUGUCAGCUACCAAAUUUACAGUUCUUGGAUUUAUCAGACAAUCUAUUGUUAGGAGUUAUCCCUAAUUGUCUUUGGAGGUUGCUGAAUCUUGCGUAUCUGGAUUUGUCAAGCAAUGCUAUUGACGGAGAAGUUCCGAUAUCAGUACACAUUAUUUCUCCACUGGGUUCACUACAUCUAUCUAACAACCACUUCACAAGAUGCUUUCCCUCUGUUGUAAAGAACUUCAGGAACCUAAUCACUCUAGAUCUUGGUGGCAACAAGUUUUCUGGUGUAAUUCCUACUUGGACAGGACCAAGCAAUCCUUCGCUAAGGGUUCUCCGGCUAUGAUGGAAUAUGUUCCAAGGAAGUAUUCCUCAUGAGGUUACACAACUCAUUCGUCUUCAAAUACUUGACCUAGCUAAAAACAAUCUGACAGGUUGCAUACCAGUUAGUUUUGCCAGCUUUACUCACAGGAAAUGGCCAGAACGGACCUCGUUAGGGAUGUAUCUGUGGUCUAUGUCCUAAUCAAUUGAUGGCCAGCUUGACAUAAUCUGGAAGGGGCAAGAUUGUACUUUCCAUAGAACAAUUUGGCUUAUGAGUCGCAUUGAUCUAUCAAGCAAUUCUCUUUCUGGCGAGAUCCCCGCAGAAGUAGUUUAUCUUCAAGAAAUCCGUUUCCUCAACUUGUCUAGACACAACUUAUCCGUUGGUAUCCCAAACAACAUUGGCAACAUGAAAGAUAUGGAGUCCCUCGAUUUAUCUUGGAAUAAGCUCUCAGGUCCCAUUCCAUCAAGCAUAGCAGACUUGACGUACUUGAGCUCACUUAAUCUCUCCAACAACCUUCUUUCAGGAGAGAUACCUGAUGGCAAUCAGCUUCAAACGCUCAAUGACCCGUCGAUUUAUAGCAACAACAGAGGACUCUGUGGCCCCGCUCUAAGCAUUCCAUGUACCGAUGGUUCGAGUGGUACAACAACACCAUACGGGGUAAAGGAACAUCAUAAAGAACUUGAUGCGGUCUGGCUGUACUACUCGGUGGUCGCUGGAAUUGUCUUUGGUUUCUGGCUAUGGUUUGGAACAUUGUUCUUUUGGAAGCGUUGGGGGUUCGUGUUAAGCGACAGAGUUCAGGCGCGUACAGGUUCGACCAGAGGUUCGACCAGGAGUCCAUAUCUGAACCGAAACCAUAGACUAGGGUAGUUGUGAUAUUCUCUUAUCUAUUGUAAUCUCUAUCUCUCUAGUCUAUCCCUUGGAUCUCAAGUCAAGGAUCCUAACGAUGUAAUCCUCACUGUACGCUAUACGGGAGUCGCGCCCCGUCCUAUAUAACACGAAGCCGUCGCCCUAGGCAGGGUACGACGUUCUCUCACAGUUCGCUUUCUUCCAUUUCAUCGACGCCGUGCAGAAGAAAGUUACGAGGAAGACGAAGCAUAUAUAAUGAGACCCUAUCUGGAGUUCAGAAAAGUUCUCAAGCAGUUGCAAUUAUCCGCAAUGGACAUGCAUGUAUUAUUACUGAAGCCCUCCUUUAAUAUCAUCAGGGAAGUACAAUUAUCAAAUCCUUUGUUCAUAGGAUCGACUUAGACAAGAUCUUGUGAUGAAGCCAGUUUCACACGUACUAGUAUUGUGAUGAGCAGAAGUUUAUUCUCUGAAUUUUUAUGUGUUACUAGUAUUGUGGUGAGUAGAAGAUUAAAAUCGAAACGUGUGAAUGUACAAGACGCUUGAUUGUUACUAGUAUUUGUCUGUUUUUUUUUUGGUUUAGUUGGUACUUGUUGGUUCAUUCCUGCUAAUUGUGGUUGUAAAACAGCUUGAUAUAUUUGCGUAUUUGCUUUAAUAAAAAAAGAUGGUCUUGUAUAUUUUGUCUAAAAGUAUGUAGUAUAAAUUUAUUUCUUUGCAUUCAAUUGAUUACAACUUCUCAGCGAGUCAUUAAUAAGAUCACUUGAAUUGAGACUGAAUAGCGUAUUAUCUUUUUUUUUGAAAAGGGGAGACACCCCGGCCUCUGCAUCAUCAUGAUGCACACAUCCAUUUUUAUUAAAAGCAAAUAAAUAGGUCUGAGACGAACAUAGUAUCAACUAAAACCACAAAAAGAAAAAGAAAUCACCACAAAAGGUGGGUACAAACGAAAGAUUACAUGACUUAACCACAUAAUCUAUUAGUGACAUGCCAACCAAACCGGUUGAAUAACGCCUAUGAAACCAUCUCCAGACGGUUGCAUCCAAAGGCCAUGAGCCCCCAGCGUCCCCAUGCUGAAGUGAUGACCACAUAAUCGGUGCGGUGGCUCUAAAGAUAACCUGCAAAAAGUUAAUAGAGCGAGACCUGUUAAAAACACAGUCAUUCCGGCAAUUCCAAAUUGCCCAAAGUAAGGCACAAACCCCUACACGGAUAUGACCCUUAAGUAUUUUGUUGAUACCAACCAACCUGUUUCCAAACAAAUUUGGGAUACUUGUUGGUGGUGUCAAAUUAUAUGCAACAUGAACCGUGCGCCAAAUCAAAGCCGCGAAAGGGUAGGAAAUAAAAAGAUGUUGAAUUGUUUCAUCCUUAUCACAAAAACAACACUUCCUACAUCCGUUCCAGUUUCGUUUACCCAAAUUAUCUUUGGUUAGGAUCACCUCCCUCUGAACAAACCACAUAAAAUUUUUAAUCUUUAAAGGUACUUUGAUUUUCCAUAUAUGCUUUCUACAGAACACAGGCCCCGUAUUAAUAAGAUCUUCAUACAUAGACUUGACAGUAAACGCCUCAUUGGUAUUUAGUCUCCAUCUAAAGACGUCAGGCGCAUGAGAUAGGUUGACCAACAUCAACCUACGAACUAAAUGGAGCCACACCAUCCAUUUAUCACCAAUCAAGGCCCUCCUGAAUUGGAUGUUCAGAGGUGUUGAACCAAGGACUGAUUGAACUGUAUCAUCUUUCUUACGCACAAUAUUAUACAAAGAUGAGUACUGGACCGCAAGCGGAUUGUCCCCUAGCCAGGUAUCCUCCCAGAAACUAGUGGAUUGACCGUCCCCAACUUCAAAUGAACCUCUCAUAAAGAAAGAAGACUUGACCUUCAUCAAGCCCUUCCAAAAUGGAGAGUCAGUUGGUUUGGCUUCCACCUGGGAUAAGGUCUUCGAAUAUAAGUAUUUAUUGUGGAGGAGCUCUUGCCAGACCCCUUCCUCAUUUUGUAACUUGAAUGGCCAUUUGCUAAGCAAGCACCUAUUUUUGAUUUCCAAGUCUUCAAUGCCCAAUCCGCCUUGGUCCUUAGGUCUACACAAGAUAUCCCAUUUUGCCAAUCGAUACUUCCGUGUGUGCUCAUCACACUGCCAGAAGAACCUAGACCGAUAGAAAUCAAGUCUCUUUAAUACCCCUUUGGGUAUUUCAAAGAAAGACAACAUAAACAUUGGCAAACUUGUGAGAACUGCGUUGAUUAGAGUUAAUCGUGCCCCAUAUGACAUGAGUUUACCCUUCCAGGAACUCAGUUUUUUUCAAAAUGAUCUUCUAUAAUUUUCCAUUCUUUGUUAGUGAGCUUUCGAUGAUGAAUGGGUAUACCAAGAUAAGUAAAGGGUACUGUGCCGACCUCACACCCAAAUAACUGUCUAUAUUGGUCUUCAUUUUCUUUGGCUCUACCAAAGCAAAAAAGCUCACUCUUAUGAAAGUUUAUCUUGAGGCCAGAAAGUUGCUCAAAAAGACAUAGUAUCAGUUUCAUAUUUGCCGCCUUCUGCAAAUCAUUCUCCGUAAAGAUAAUUGUAUCAUCAGCAUAUUGAAGAAUAGAGACGCCUCCCUCCACCAAGUGCGGGAUGAGCCCACCAAUCUGGCCAUCCUCCUUAGCCCGUGCUAUGAGGAUGGCCAACAUAUCGGCUACAAUGUUAAAAAGGAUAGGAGACAUAGGAUCAUCUUGUCUUAAACCUUUUAGUGUUUGGAAAUAAUGACCAAUAUCAUCAUUUACCUUGACCCCGACACUCCCACCCUGGACAAAAGAUUACACUUGUUGACGCCAUUCGGCUGCGAACCCUUUCAUCCGCAGAGCUUGUUGAAGAAAAGGCCAUUUGACUUUAUCAUACGCCUUUUCAAAAUCAACCUUAAAGACAACUCCAUCAAGUUUCUUUUUGUGAAGCGCAUGGAUAGUUUCAUGUAGAAUGACUACACCCUCCAAGAUGUUUCGUCCAGGCAUGAAAGCAGUUUGAGUAGGGCGGACAACCGGUUGUGCAAUCAUGGAGAGCCUAUUAGUACCCACUUUGGUGAAUAUUUUAAAGCUGACAUUCAACAAACAAAUAGGUCUGAAUUGCUCGAUCCGAAUGGCCUCUUCUUUCUUAGGAAGUAAAGUGAUAAUCCCAAAAUUGAGGCGAAACAAACAUAAAUCUUCGUUAAAAAGAUCGCCAAACAUAGGGAGCAGGUCACCUUUGAUAGUCUCCCAACACUUCUAGUAGAAUUCAGCAGGGAACUCAUCCUGUCCCGGAGCUUUAUUCCUUUCCAUCUGUGAAAUAGCGUCAAAAAUUUCCUUCUCUGAGAAAGGUGCUGUCAAGAUAGCAUUUUUCUCCCGAGAAAGUUGGGGUAUAUCCUCAGACAUAUCCUCGUCCAUCAUGACGAAAUUGGAGUCCGGUUGCCCAAAUAAACGUUUAUAAUAAUUGGUAAUAUAUGCCUUUAGCAUAUCUUGACCGACAAUAGUUCCUUCAUCUUGUUCAAGUUGAUGAAUUUUCUUUUUCCUACGCUUUCCAUUUGCAAUCAAAUGGAAAAACUUAGUAUUAUUGUUCCCUUCACGAACAGAUUUUACUUUAGCACGACGGGACCAUUUUAACUCUUCCUCCCGCAUAAGCUUGGCCAGAAACUCAUCCGCCUCCUGCUUGGCAGCACGAUCUGCCAUGCAGAGUGGUGAAGAUUCAGCCUUGAUAUCUAAAGCGUUAACAAUAUCCAUCAGACGUUCUUUUUCUUUUUUAUAUUCACCACUCAAAUUCUUCGCCCAACCCCGAAGAAACCGUCUAAGAUGACAUAUCUUGAACUGCCAACGUUCAAUAUUUGUUGCACCUCUCGUUUCCUUAGACCAUUCCCGAGCUACUAAAUCAUGGAAACCUUCCCUCUCAAACCAAUAUGUUUCAAAAGAGAAUGCUGCUUUGUUCCCCAAAUGAGCAGCCUCAUCGGAGUCCAAAAGAAGAGGUGUAUGAUCAGAAAUACUUCUCUGGAGAGCUCUAACGGUCACCAAUGGAAACUUUUGCUCCCAUUCAACGCUCAUCAAAACACGAUCGAGCUUUUCAUAGGUGGGAACCUCAAGAUUAUUAGCCCAGGUAAACUGUCGACCUGAUAGAGCAAUCUCUCUCAGGUCUAAGUUUUCAAUAAUCACAUUAAACAUAAAAGGCCAUCUAGCAUCAAAGUUAUUAUUGUUUUUCUCGUCUUGACGCCUAAUGAUAUUAAAAUCCCCACCCACCAACAUCAGUAGAGACUCGGACCCACAUAUUCUCACUAAUUCCGAUAGAAAAUCGGGCUUAAGCUCUGGUUGCGCAGCUCCAUAAACCGCCACCAAUGCCCAUGAGAAGCCAUCACUUCUCGAGCGCACAUGAAACUUAACCACAAAAUCACCUACGUCCAUAUUAAGAACCUCGAUACUAGAAUUGUUCACCCCAAGCAAGAUACCGCCAGACCUCCCCUUGGGCGGUAGGCAGUACCAAGAAAAAUCUAAGCCCCCACAUAGAAAGCUUAGAAACGGUGUCGAAAAGGUUGGCCGACCAGUCUCCAUAAGAGCGAUGAAAUCUAAAUUUUGCUCUCUGGAUGUGUUCGAAAGAAAUUGCCUUUUAGCCAAGUCACCAAGACCUCUGCUAUUCCAGAAAAUUCCUCUCAUUCGUCAUGAAAUUUCAUUUUAUAUUUUAGACGCGCACUACGACGCACCGCUGAGAGGUCAAAUUCCCUCUUGGUACGCUUACGACGAACCUCGAUCUCGACAGGCUUUGCCAAAAAAUCCAUAUGAUUUUCUGGAAAACUUGUCUCCUCUGGGAUCAAGUCCUCGCACAAAUUUUGAAUAAAAGGAAUCGAAAGCCCAUGAGGAUCAUCAUCCUCAAUGGGAGUUUCAGCGGCUUUUUUCUUUAACAUCACGACAACUCUAUCCGUCUCUAAAUCCAACAACUCAUUCACUGAACAGGCAACUUCAUGACAACUGCUACCCAAAGAAACCCCGAGUCUAGAUGCUUUGUGGAUAAUAUCAUCUUCGGAAAAUGAAAGAACUGAAUAUUUUUUAUUGAAAUUCAUACCUGAAGAAGUCUCAAUGUCACGGAGCUUGGCAGCUCGCAGCCUGGUUUCUGUUUGUUUAGUCAAGAAUGUAUGGUUCUUUCACGGAGUUCAUUUCUUUCACACAUUUGAAAUUUCAUAUAUUGCAUAGUUGCAUUUAUUGUUGCUUCAUUUAUUGUCAUAAAAGGGAAGUAAGUAAUGUUUAAAUUACAUUUUCCUGUGCACAUCUAGGUGGUGUUAAAAAGAUAUACUCUGUUUUGAAUGGUUUUUGGGCCUCAUUCUGUCUCAAAUUGCUAUACUUAUCGAUGCCAUGAAGUUUUGUACGGGGAAAUAGUGUUUGAGGAUUCCUGAGAAAAUGUAAAACUAAUAGUUUGGAGGAAAAAGCAGGGCAAUCCUCCCUCAGAAUGAAUUUGAGCUGAUUUUUGCAAGUCAGUCUAUCUGAAUCUCUGAAUAUUCCAUACAUUGAGUAUUUCUAGGAUUCUAUUGACCCAUAGAUGCUUGGGUUUAAUUGCAGAAGAAUAGAAAUUCCUUCUGUUUAAUUGCAGAGGUAUAGCAUCUCAUCUUGUUAGUUGCAGAACUAUAGCAACCAACAAUUGGAGGUGAGUACGAUAUAUUAGUCACCAGGAAAGCUAUCCAGCAGGCCGGUGACCUGAUAUAUGGUUUCUUGACCAAACUUGAUGCCGUUUUAAGAGUAGUUAUGUAAUGUAGUAGAAGAGGGAAGCAAGACGUGGCAAGUUGAGAGAAGAGGAAUGUGCCUGCCGGAGGACUCUGUUUCAAUGGUGCAGGGGCAGAGUUCGACGAUUGCCUGCGGUGCUCCGGUGAUUUGAUUGUGAUUCAACCACAAGUGCUCUUGUUGAUUUCUACACACUCCGUAACUAGUGAUUAGUUGAAUGUUCAAGCUCACUCUGUAACGUCGAGCAGAGGGGACUGCAGCAGGUAGCGCCGUCAGUCACAGGGGACUGCUUUCCAGACAUGUUCAUAGGGGACCAACACCAAGUACAGAGAUCGCUGUGGCGAGCAGCACAACACACCAAAAGGAAAAGAAGAAGAAACAAAUGCCAACCACGGCAGCUCGGCAAAGCGCGGAUGACCCGCCACCGCGGCGCCCACCGGAUACAGACCACCACAGACCGAGGCUCCGAACCACCGCGUACCAAGCAGCACCUCCAAGAAGGGGUGCGGCGCCGACGCCGCUGCUGCCCGGACGAGUCCUCGGGUUUCCCCCGGCACGCGGAGGGAGGUGGAGGGUGGAUACCACCGACACCCUCCAGGAAGGAAUGAUGGCACCCGCAGGUGUCACCGCGUCAGGGCCGAAGCCGGCAGGGAUUUCUCCCGCAUUCCAACCCCAACAGCCCAACCGGACGGAACCAACCCGCCAAACCAUCGUCCACCACCACGCGCCAACGCAAUAGCGCCGCCACCCAUGCCGCCUCACUAUGAACACCACCACGAGGCCAUAAGGACCGGAGAGAAGCUCACCACGACGGGAGCAGCAACACCGACGCCGAGCGGGAGGGAACCACCUCCACCGUCGUCGUGCGGGAGGCCCGCGCCUCCGGCACCGUCGCGGUAGCCGUCCGGACGCGGCAGCGGGGCAUGCCGGGCCACCCCUGGCCUAGCCAGGCCUGAAGCGGGCCCGUUAAGCCCCGCCAGCCGCGAUGCAGCUAGCACCCAGCCACUCGUCGCGUCUCCCCCGCCUCCCAGAAGCCACGCCGGAGACCAUCCCCGCUGCCGGCUCGCCAAGACCCAGAUGGGGCCCGAAGGGCCCAGAUCUGGGCCGAGUUGGCGACGUCAGAUCCCGCCGCGCCGCCGCCUCGCCGCCACCCAGCUGCCCGCCUGCAUGUGCCACGGAACCCCGCCGCCACGCCAGACCGCCGCCGCCUAAAAGCACCCCCCGGAGCAGCUCCGCCCACGCCGGAGAGCGACCGCGGACAAGAGAGCAUUUGUCCUUGUCACCGAGGCCUUGAACAUUCCAAGAAAGAAACGAGAGGCAGUUACGGUUGACACUAUCCAUAACCAAGGCGAGCACCAGACAUACAAGACGUACAAGGGGAGAGAAGCGCGAGGGGUAACAUGACAUAGGUGGGGGAAACAUAGUACAUGAAGGCGUACACGAAGGCUAGCAGAAGCAAAGAUACACAACGCCCGAACGAAAGAGCCCCGGGCGUCCAGCGGGCAGAGAAGACAGAAGGUCGCUAAUCAUCGACACCUGCCGACACCGGAGCAGAUGGGAUGGCCGCCGCGGCCCUAAGCUCGAACACAGAGUUCAUUCCCAGAGGCUUGAGGAUGGCGGCGAUCACUUUGUGUUUGAGAACUUUGGCUUGGAGAGCCGUUGAGCAGCCUUUGAGGGAGUCUUUGAGUUCCCUCUGCUUGAUAGCUUUGGCAGUCAUGGAGACAUACGCGGCAGGCUCCUUGAGGGCCAGGCGACGGCUAUGGCGCACGCCCGGGACGGCAGGAGCAGGGGCAGCGACGUCGGGCACCACGUUGCAUGGCGCAUGCAUAACGGGUGCCGGGGACGACCCAGUACCCGCAAGCACGGCAAGCACGCUGGCGUUGAAGGGGCCCGACCCACCAUCCCUAGUGUCAUCGUCAGAGUCCUCACCCAGCUCAGUGAUGACCACCGAGCUACGGGGGGUGGAGGUGGCUAUGUUGCUGGAGUAGCCCAAAGCCACGGACGGCGGAGGAGCACGGAUGGAGGCGGGAGACCCGGGAAGAGGCGAGGCGCCAUGCAGGCGAAGCAAGGUGGCAAGCCGUUGCCCGCCACCCCCANNNNNNNNNNNNNNNNNNNNNNNNNNNNNNNNNNNNNNNNNNNNNNNNNNNNNNNNNNNNNNNNNNNNNNNNNNNNNNNNNNNNNNNNNNNNNNNNNNNNNNNNNNNNNNNNNNNNNNNNNNNNNNNNNNNNNNNNNNNNNNNNNNNNNNNNNNNNNNNNNNNNNNNNNNNNNNNNNNNNNNNNNNNNNNNNNNNNNNNNNNNNNNNNNNNNNNNNNNNNNNNNNNNNNNNNNNNNNNNNNNNNNNNNNNNNNNNNNNNNNNNNNNNNNNNNNNNNNNNNNNNNNNNNNNNNNNNNNNNNNNNNNNNNNNNNNNNNNNNNNNNNNNNNNNNNNNNNNNNNNNNNNNNNNNNNNNNNNNNNNNNNNNNNNNNNNNNNNNNNNNNNNNNNNNNNNNNNNCAGCCAGCCUAAAGGAAAGCCGUGCAGAGGCGGCGGAGCUCCGUUGUGGGCAAACGGCGGAGGCGGUGGCGGGCCGAAGAAGGGGAUGUAGACGUCAUCGUCGCCGUAGGAGUCCGCUUGCAGCCAAACAGCAAGCGUACUGAAAGUGACGACGCGGGAGCCCCAGAACCCGCCGCGCGGCCACACGUCACAUUGGACCUCCCUGGCAUGCUCAAGGAGGAGGACGACCCGAACGGCAGAGAGAUCGGUACCGGAGAGCACCCUGUGGUCAAUCUCGACCAAGUCACCAAAGCCUGAAAAGGCGCGAGCAAUGCCGACGGGGUUGAUGUGCUCGGUGGGGAAUCUGGUGGUAGAUAUGAAGGCGUGGGUUCUGGCCCUUGGUGGCACCUGGUCAGCCUCCUCUUCUUGGGUGAAGAUGAUGAGAGCGCCCUCAAAAGGCAGCUCCCGCAGCGCGACGCACGUCUCGCGGUCCUUUGGAGAGUUGAACCGCAAGUACAUGGCGCCAACGGAUGAGCCGACCGUAUCGAAGAAGAGGUGGGGCGCCGCAGCCAGUGCAGGGCGUCACGGACGGACGCCGUUGGGGAAGGGAAUGCACCGGAGGGGUCACCACAGCCAGCCGGUGAGCCACCGUGAGGUCGCCCGUGGGCAUGAAGACCUCAAGGUAGUGCGGCCGCUCGGAUUCCGCCACCAGGGACGGAGCGCUAGCGCUGGAGCUGGCCUUAGAGCCCGAUGGGGAGCGGUGCAUCAGGCCGCCAGCACUGUCGAAAUCGGGCUGCUCACCGGAGACAGUAGAGGCGUCCGAGCCCAUCUCAUCGGACUCGUCAGAAGCAGCACGGCGCCGAAGGCCAAGGGCCAGGGGAAGGUGCACCAGCGAUGGAGGGGUGCGGCGCCCGCUGCUAGGGGAGGCAGGCAUGGAGGCGACCGAGCCGUUCGGCGAGUUGCCUAUGAUGCGGAACCGAGGCGGGGAGGCUUGGGGAGACCGAGGCGCCGUACGCCUGCGAAGGCACAAGGCGUUCGGGGAGGCCAAAGCAGAGCACUCCCGGACAAUGAGAGCAGGGGCGUUGGUGGGCAGUGGGGGCGUGGGUAGAGCGGAAGGGAAGGGCACAACGGGGCGGGGCUCUGCGGCGGGUGGCUGAGGUGGGGGAAGGGGGUGGGAGGACGGUCACAGUGGGGCGCGCCAUGCACUGGUGAAGACGGUGGCCGGAGCCGCCGUACCCCUUGCAACAGGUGGGGUCAUGGCAGUCGAUGACCUGGUGACAGGAGGUGAGGCACCUGAAGCACCCGGUGAGCGAGCGAAGGGGGCGAGGUGGGGUGCGAGGAGGGGGGUGGAGGCGCAAGGCGGAGGAGGACCUGUAGAUAAGAGGCGGGAGGAGCGGGGGAUUGAGGAGCGGCGGUAGCAGCGGCAUUGAAGCCUGUCGCGGCGGUAGGAGCGGCAUUGAAGCCCGUCAGGGGCGUGGCUAGCUCGGCGACGGGACAGGGGAGGGCAGGGCUAUCCUCCGUACCUAGGCCGGUGGCCGCGGUCUCGAGGGGAGGCAGCACGCCGGCAUGGUUUUGAUGUUGCGUCGCGGAAAGGGGGGGCUCUUCAAUGGCGCCAUAAGGUUGGGAUGGGACGUCGAUGAGCUGGGGAGCAGAAGGGGGGAUGGGCAACAGACCAGGGGAGUUAGAGCAGACGGGAACGGGCGGGCGUGGGCGCCGAAAACCACGCGACCGUCGAGCCAUAGUCAAUGCAGCCGGUCGCUUUCUCACCAACCGGCCAGAGAUGACGGGCUGGAGGGUAGCGGCUGCAGCCAAUGCAUCCCCGAGGGAGAGAUGUGGCUGAAGCUUGAAGGAGGCCAACUGCCCCACCCCAACGGCGGCGAUGAAACGGGCCACGACCGAGCUGGCCAGCUGCGCAUGGAAGACGACCGGAGAGGCCUCGGACACCACAAUCUCUCCGGGAGGGGCGCAGAAAAAGUAGUUAACUAGGGAGCGAACGCAGGCGGCGGAGAAACACGAUGAGAGGAACGGCGGGGUGAACCAGAGAUCGCCGGGGACACGGCAGGAGGGGAACUCGAGAGGAUCGAACGUCGUUCCGGAGUAGAACUGGCGAAGGAUUCUGGAUUGGAAGGCCUCACCUGGGCGCAGGACGAGGAUGGUUCUGCUGACAUGCGUGCUUGGGGCCAGGUCCUCGCCGCCGCCACUGCAAGGAAAGGUUGGCGGCUCACCGGGGUCGUCUAGUGGGUGGCCGCCACCAUCCGGAGUGACGGCAGCGGAGGAGGUGGUGGAGCGGGGGGCCGGCGAGCUGGGAGCGACCGCGUCGACCGCGCCGCCAGCGUCGCCAGUUGAGUCGCGAGAGCUCAUCCAGAUGCAUGCGCAUCCAAACCAAACAGCUCUGAACUAUUGCCAAAGUCACUCUCACUGAAUAACCACGGUGACUUACAAGUGACACCACUCCAUGGCGACAGAGAACCAGGGUAGAUGCAUGUAUGUCCAGACCAAACAACACUCAACCUGGACUCGCUCUGUGCCGGGGUUUUGAAGCGUGGUAUUUCAAAGACGCAGAUUUCAUUCAUGUCGGUUGUUCUAAGAGUGCCUCGUUCACAUGGAAAAGUAUCCUAUUCGGGCGAGAAUUACUGCAAACAUGGUUUGGUGUGGCGCAUAGCCUCGCAAGUGGUACUACUUCGACCGAUCAGCCUGACUAAAUUACUCACAGCUCCAUGAAUAAUACGUAGCACAAAACUAUAUAACAUCUCAUUCCUAGAUGCACGCACGCCCCAUCCAAAUCAAGCACUUUGAUUAAACUUGUGCCCUAUCAAACGCAGCAGCAGAGAUCGAUCUUACAAAACAUACGUAGCUCAGUUUGGUCUGUCCAAAUCAAGUAGAAACAAUGACGGAGUUUUUGCUAUGACCAGAAGAUCAUUUGUUAUAAUUCUGAAAAAGGUUUCCCCGCUUUGUAUUCCAAAGCAACCAACACCGAGUACAGAGAUUGUUGUGGCGAGCAGCACAACACACCAAAAGGAAAAGAAGAAGAAACAAAUGCCAACCACGGCAGCUCGGCAAAGCGCGGAUGACCCGCCACCGCGGCGCCCACCGGAUAUAGACCACCACAGACCGAGGCUCCGAACCGCCGCGUACCAAGCAGCACCUCCAAGAAGGGAUGCGACGCCGACGCCACUGCUGCCCGGACGAGUCCUCGGGUUUCUCCCGGCACGCGGAGGGAGGUGGAGGGUGAAUACCACCGACACCCUCCAGGAAGGAAUGGUGGCACCCACGGGUGUCACCGCGUCGGGGCCGAAGCCGGCAGGGAUUUCUCCCGCAUUCCAACCCCAACCGCCCAACCGGAAGGAACCGGCCCGCCAAACCGUCGCCACCACCAUGCGCCAACGCAGUAGCGCCGCCACCCACGCCGCCUCACUAUGAACACCACCACGAGGCUAUAAGGACCGGAGAGAAGCUCACCAUGACGGGAGCAGCAACACCGACGCCGAGCGGGAGGGAACCACCUCCACCGCCAUCGUGCGGGAGGCCCGCGCCUCCGGCACUGUCGCGGUAGCCGUCCGGACGCGGCAGCGGGACAUGCCGGGCCACCCCUGGCCUAGCCAGGCCUGAAGCGGGCCCGUUAAGCCCCACCGGCCGCGAUGCAGCAGGCCGGCGUCGGCGCAGCCGGCACCCAGCCACUCGUCACGUCUCCCCCGCCUCCCAGAAACCAUGCCGGAGACCAUCCCCGCUGCCGGCCCGCCCAGACCCAUAUGGGGCCCAAAAGGGCCCAGAUCUGGGCCGAGCGGGCGACGUCAGAUCCAGCCGCGGCGCCGCCUCGCCGCCUACGGUGGCGCCGCCGCCCAGCUGCCCGCCUGCAUGUGCAACGGAACCCCGCCGCCACGCCAGACCGUCGCCGCCUAAAAGCACCCCCCGGAGUAGCUCCGCCCGCGCCGGAGAGCGACCAGGAGGGGAAGGGCCAGGAGGCCGCCGCCACCAGCAGCCCUGGGACCAAGCCGGCCGCGGGUGCCGGUGUCGGCGGCGGGAAGGGAGGAGGGAGGGGAGGGCCUGGAGGUCGCGCGGCCGGUCGCCCGCGGGGAGGGGGGGUAGGGGGGAGGGGCGACCGGCGGGUUACGUUUUAUAGAUUUUUUUAGGGGUCUUUACGUUUUAUAGAUUUUUUUAGGGGUCUUUACGUUUUAUAGCUGGACAGGCCAAAAAAAUCAGUCGAGCUGGAGAGGCAAAUGGUGUGUACGUGCUUACGAUCGCACGAACGGGUUUGGGCUGGGCCUUGGCUGCCUUGUGCCUCGUCCAUUUGGGAUGGGCCGGCCGUUUACGCUCUCCGUCUCUCUCUCUCUCUGUUUCUCUCUCUCAGUUCCCGACACCUAAAAAAAAGUUCCCAAAUCCCCCACAGUCCACACUUCCCUCCCCUACCAAAUGUUAACGUGUAUUAUACCUGUGUAACUGUAUGUACUUGUAUUCCUAGUAUAUAGGAUCAUAGAUCUCGCCCGGGCCUGCGUGCCACUUGUAUUCCUAGUAUAUGGGAUCAUAGAUCUCACCCGGGCCUGCGUGCCACUUCCUUCGGGCUCUCUUGUAACCACUCUAGCACUAUAUAUGAUGUACAUUGUGUGAUGAUGGAAUAGACAGACUGAAUUCAUCGUCCUACUUGGUAUCAGAUCCGGGUGCCUUCUUCAUGGCUGAGCCCUCCACCUCCUCCGCCACCUCUCCGGCCACCAGCUCAGCCACCUCGCCGGCAGCUCUCUCUCCAGCUCCUCCGGCGCCGGCACCACCGCCGGCGACUCCCCUCCCCUCAUCUUCGGUACCCUCCCCUCCACCCACAGCGGAUCUUCCCCCUCCCUCAGAUCACAGUUCGCCCCCCUCUUCUCCCCCUCCACGGCGCCGCCGCUCCGUCCAACCACCCCAUCUUCCGCGACAGCAUCCAGAACCAUAUCAAAUUUCUCCUCAACCCCGACGAGCACAACUACCACAAAUGGAAGUCCUUCUUCCUCCUUGUUCUCAUCCGCUAUGGCGUCGCCCAGAUCAUCGAGCAGCCCCUCCCGGCCAAUGCCACCGCCUUCCAGCGCGAGCUCGACGCCCAUCUUGUGCUCUGGAUUUACUCCACCCUCGCCGAUAACCUCGUCGACCACGUCGUCGGCGCUACCACCACCUACGAUCUCUGGCACCGCAUCCGCGAUUACUUCCUGGUAAACCAUGCGGCGCGCUAUAUGAUGCUGAACCGCCAAUACCGCAACCUCAAACAGGGGGAUCUCUCCGUCGCCGAGUACGCUCGUCGCAUGAAGCUCCUCACCGCCGGGCUGGCCGACAUCGAGCACGCCGUCACUGAAGUGGAUCUCACCACUCAGUUUCUUCACGGCAUCGACAAACGCCUCAACACCAUUCGCGUCGUGCUCGGCGACACGGUUCCUCUCCCACCGUUCGAGACGGUCUUCUCUCGCCUGAAGCUCACCGAGGAGAACCUCGCCCAGCGCGUGGCUGACGAGCCGGACACCAUCCUCGCCGUCACUGGGGGUGGCGGCCCCUCCGGGUCCGGCGGCCCCGCUCCUCGCUCCGGCGACCGCGCCGACCGCGCCACUGAUCGGGGUCCCAGCUCCCCGGCUGGCCGCGCCUCCGGCAACCGCGAUGGUGGUGACCGCGGUGACCGCGGCGGCCGUGGUUGUGGUCGCGGCCGCGGUUGUGGUCGCGGCGAUUCCGGUGAUCGCGGCGCUCCUGCACCCAUGGCGUACAACCCCUACAUGGGGUUCUUCGUGCCCUACGGGAUGGCCAUCCCGAACCCACGCCCUGGUUGGGUCCCUCCGAACGCCGCCGGCGUGCUCGGCCCACGGCCCGGGUCGCAUGCCCAGGCCUACCCGAUGCAGAUCUCCGGGUACCCACCCACGACGCCCACCCAGCCACCUUCCUGGGAUCACCUGGCCAUGCUCCAGGCCGCGUACAACGCACACGGCAAUGCCUCCGCUCAGCACGAGUGGUACCUCGACAGCGGCGCCUCCUCCCACGUCACCGGCAACCCUGGUAAUCUCGACCUCUCGAAUUCUCCUUUAAAAUCUCGUUUCACUAGCAUUGUUGUUGGCAAUGGCACUCAUCUUCCCAUUCAAUCCACCGGCUCCGUUACCCUUCCCCCUCAUAACUUUCAUCUUCGGGACGUUCUCUUUUCUCCUCACGCCGUAACUAGUCUUAUUUCAGUUCGCCAAUUCACCAAAGAUAAUUUGUGCUCUAUUGAAUUUUUCCCAUAUGGCUUUGUUGUGAAGGAUCUUCGAACCAGGAGGGUCAUCAUGAUCUCCGCUAGCUCCGGUGACCUCUACCCGUUCUCCGGCAAUAACAAGCCAUGGCGCGCUGCUCUCUCCACCACCACCUCCACCGCCGACGUUUGGCACCGGCUCCUCGGCCACCUAAGCCCUCAAGUCACCGCCUCCUUAGCAGCCCAUGAUUUUCUUCCCUCAUGUAAUAAGCUUGUGCAUAUUCCAUGUAGUGCUUGCCAAUUAGGUAGGCAGCCGCGCCUUUCCUUUUCUUCAUCCCUUAGUCGCACCUAUGCACCCUUUGAGUUAGUUCAUUGUGAUUUAUGGACAAGCCCGGUUGUAAGCUUUUCUGGUUAUAAAUAUUACUUAGUUGUUCUUGAUGAUUAUACUCACUUCUCCUGGUCCUUUCCACUUCGCCACAAGUCGGAUACCUCCAUCACUCUACAACGUUUCUUUUCGUUUGUUCGCACUCAAUACAACGUGAUCAUCAAGGCACUACAAUGCGACAACGGCGGUGAGUUCAUCAACUCCAUCCUCCGUGCUUUCUUCUCCGCAAAUGGCAUUGCCUACCGCUUCUCUUGUCCUCAUACAUCACCCCAAAAUGGCAAGGCCGAACGACUUCUUCGCACCACUAACGAAAUCAUACGUACACUUCUUCUCCAAGCCAACCUCACACCUCCCUUUUGGGUUGAAGCACUACACACGGCCACUUAUCUCCUUAACAGACGACCCUCCCGCGCCAUCUACGAUCAGACUCCUUACUACAUGCUCCACGGCAUUCAUCCUACAUACGAUCACUUGCGCGUCUUUGGGUGUUUAUGCUACCCCAAUCUCUACGCCACCGCCCCCCAUAAGCUCUCCCCCCGCUCCACUCAAUGCAUUUUUCUAGGCUAUCCCCUCGAGCAUAAGGGUUAUAGGUGUUAUGAUCUUUCUCAACGCCGCAUGAUCGUUUCCCGUCAUGUUAUAUUCGACGAGAACGUUUUUCCGUAUGUCCCCUCCACACCAUCCCCCACAUCGAGCCCAUCNNNNNNNNNNNNNNNNNNNNNNNNNNNNNNNNNNNNNNNNNNNNNNNNNNNNNNNNNNNNNNNNNNNNNNNNNNNNNNNNNNNNNNNNNNNNNNNNNNNNNNNNNNNNNNNNNNNNNNNNNNNNNNNNNNNNNNNNNNNNNNNNNNNNNNNNNNNNNNNNNNNNNNNNNNNNNNNNNNNNNNNNNNNNNNNNNNNNNNNNNNNNNNNNNNNNNNNNNNNNNNNNNNNNNNNNNNNNNNNNNNNNNNNNNNNNNNNNNNNNNNNNNNNNNNNNNNNNNNNNNNNNNNNNNNNNNNNNNNNNNNNNNNNNNNNNNNNNNNNNNNNNNNNNNNNNNNNNNNNNNNNNNNNNNNNNNNNNNNNNNNNNNNNNNNNNNNNNNNNNNNNNNNNNNCCACGCGCAUCCUCGGCCCUCGCGCCCACCCGGUCGCCCGCGCCCCACGCCUCGGAUCGUACGCCAGAUUCCCCUGCGACCGGAUCCGCCUCGGAUCUCUCGCCUGCCAGCCCUGCUCCUGGCCCCACGCAAUCCGCCUCUCCUUCCGCGCCCUGCACUCCCGUGCAGCCACGUCUCCCAGCUCAUGCAAAACCAGUAAAACCAACCCACAACGCACACAAAAUGCAUACCAGGUCCAAAUCGGGUUUCUGCCAACCCAAACGACUCUUUCUCUCCCAUUCCCCCCAUGUACCGUUCCGCGCUCAAAGAUGCCAAUUGGCAACGUGCCAUGCUAGUUGAAUAUGAUGCUUUAAUUGCAAAUUCUACUUGGUCGUUGGUUCCUAAACCUGCAGGUGUUAACGUGGUGACUGGCAAGUGGAUUUUUCGCCAUAAGUUCAACACCGAUGGUACUUUGGCUCGGUACAAGGCACGAUGAGUGGUUCGAGGGUUCACUCAGAAGGAGGGUGUCGACUACGAUGAGACAUUUAGUCCGGUUGUCAAGCCGGCUACCAUUCGCGUUGUGCUCAGCAUCGCCACCUCCAGCUCUUGUCCUAUUCAGCAACUCGACGUCAAGAAUGCUUUCCUCCACGACGAUCUCAAGGAGACGGUAUACUGUGCUCAACCAGCUGGGUUUGUGGAUUCCUCCCGGCCGGACCACGUGUGCCUCCUUCGUAAGUCCCUCUAUGGCUUGAAGCAGGCACCACGCACUUGGUUCCAGCGCUUCCGCUCCUUCCUGUUGUAUCUUGGUUUCCAUGCAUCCAAGAGCGACACCUUUCUCUUCAUCUUGCAACGUGAUGACUCCAUCGCCUACCUCCUUGUGUACGUUGAUGACAUCAUACUCAUCGCAAGCACUCCCCGCGCUCUUCAUCACAUCAUUUCUUCUCUCAAACGUGAGUUUUCCAUGACCGACCUUGGAGAGCUUCAUCAUUUCAUUGGCAUCAACGUCACACCCAACACCCAUGGCUUAUUUCUCUGCCAACAGCAGUAUGCCCUUGAGGUUCUCGCCCGUGCCAAGAUGCUCAAUUGCAAGCCCGUCUCCACUCCCAUUGAUACACAGUCCAAACUCUCCGCUCAUGAUGGUUGCCUCCUCGAAAAUCCCACUCUAUACCGUAGCUUAGCCGGUGCCCUCCAAUGCCUAACUCUUACUCGCCCGGACCUCUCAUAUGCGGUUCAACAAGUGUGCUUAUUCAUGCAUGCACCUCGUGAUUCCCACAUGACACUUGUCAAACGCAUUCUACGGUAUCUUCGUGGCACCACCCACUUUGGCUUGCAGCUGUACAAGUCCUCUCCUAACGAUCUUGUGGCCUACACCGAUGCUGAUUGGGCCGGAUGCCCAGACACGUGCAAGUCCACGUCGGGCUUCUGUGUUUUUCUCGGUCACAACUUGCUAUCUUGGUCAUCCAAACGGCAAGCCAGUGUUUCUCGUUCGAGCGCUGAGGCCGAGUAUCGUGGCGUCGCGAACUGUGUUGCUGAGGCAUGUUGGUUGCGACAACUCUUACAUGAGCUCUGUCGCCCUCCGACCCGUGCCACCAUUGUCUAUUGUGACAACGUCUCGGCCUCCUACAUUGCAUCCAAUCCUGUCCAACAUCAGCGCACGAAACACAUCGAGAUUGAUCUGCACUUUGUAUGUGACCGCGUGGCCCUCGGCGACAUUCGUGUUCUCCACGUACCAUCCAGCUCGCAGUUUGCAGAUCUCUUCACCAAGGGGCUUCCAUCACAGGUCUUCCACGAGUUCAGAACCAGCCUCAACAUCCUUCCCCAUGGAGUUCCGGCUGAGGGGGGGUAUUAUACCUGUGUAACUGUAUGUACUUGUAUUCCUAGUAUAUAGGAUCAUAGAUCUCGCCCGGGCCUGCGUGCCACUUCCUUCGGGCUCUCUUGUAACCACUCUAGCACUAUAUAUGUUGUACAUUGUGUGAUGAUGGAAUAGACAGACUAAAUUCAUCGUCCUACUCCAAACCCUCGUGCCGCCGGCAAUGGAGGACGCGGCGGCGGCCAUCCCCGAAAUGCACACUCCCAAGAGGCACCGACCCGUCCGUGUCGACGGCCUACAGGAUCCGCCGCCGGUCGGCGGCGACCUCGACCUCAUCAGCCGCCUUCCCGACGCGCUGCUCGGCACCGUCGUCUCCCUCCUCCCCACCAAAGACGGCGCGCGCACGCAGACCCUCUCCCGCCGCUGGCGCCCCCUCUGGCGCUCCUCCAACGCGCCGCUCAACCUCGUGGCGUCUCGUGGCCUCUCCGGCAACGAAUCGCGCGCCACGCUGGUCUCCAGCAUCCUCUCAUCAACCUGGAAAAGUACCAGUACUACCCGCUGCCGCAGCACUCGCUGACCCGCUUCGCGCCCACCCUGCGCGUGCUCAGCCUCGGCGGCUGCCGAUUCCCUGACCUAGCCACGCCGCCGAGCUUCCCGCACCUCAAGCAGCUCAUCCUCAAGCACCUCAAGCAAUCUCUGCAAAGCAUGAUCUCUGCCUGCGCUGUUCUGCAAAGCGUCUCGCUGCACAACAUGGGCUUUGGUCGCCUUUGCAUCAGCUCGCUGACGCUCAGGAGCAUCGGCUUCUAUGCUCCUCAUGCCGAAGGUGUCGCCACCUUCCAGGAGCUGGUCAUUGAGGAGGCCUCUUGCCUUGAGAGGUUGCUACCUAUUUAUCCGGACUCUAGUCCGGCGACCAUACGAGUGAUCCAGGCUCCUUGUCUGAACGCAUAUCCACACUCCACCUUGGAACCACUGUCUUUCAGGUCAGGUAGCAGCAAGGACAUUCGUGCAUUCACCAUUCCUGUAUGCAUGCUAUUAUUCUUACAUCACACUUGUUUUGUUUUUCUCCAGAAGAUGAUUGCUGUCAGCUUGACAACCAAAAUGCACUCAAUAAAGAUUUUGGUUCUUGACUCUAUUGGCCCUAAUCUGGGCGUGCUUGUUGACUUUUUGAAGUGCUUCCCCUGCUUGGAGAAGCUCUAUGUCAUUGUGAGUACUCAUAUUUAUUGCUAGAAAUGUCAAAACAACAUUGGUUCAGAAUUAUGAUCUAGUGAACUACUAGUAUUUAGCUGCCAAUUUGUUAACAACUAUCUUUCUAUCAUAUGUUUUCGAAAAUGUUAACGCCCACACGUGUGGGCGUUUGCACAUCCCCCACACGCCUCCAUCACCACUCAUUUUGCCACGUAUGAAUAGAUGACAUUAGCAGAUUUUUUUUUGGUUUUCGGCUUAAAAAUGUUGUAUAUCCUAAAUAAAAAAGCGAACUAAAAAUCCGUUUUUAUCAUUAAAUCCGUCUCGACGAGAUCUUCAAAACUAGACCCCAUGUUGAUAUGUUUCGACGAAUUUUUUUUUGCCAAAAGUUGCCACGAUGUUUACACUGCAGUUGUCAUAGGGCUCAAACUAAAGUUGCCAUGUGGCAAUUUUAGUUUGUAGAUCAUGGCAAUUUUAAUAUUUUGAUGAUGGCAACUCCAGUACUUUGACCAUGAAAAUUAUUUUUUGUAUGAACCAUGGCAAUUUUACAUGCAUGUAUCAUGGCAAUUUUAGUUUAUGGUUCAUGGCAAGUCUAGUUUCUUAAUUCCCCGUUUUAUAAAUGUCAAAAUUUACUUUUAAAUGUAGAAGAAAAUAGCUGAAACAUAUCAUGGCAACUUCAGUGUAAACAUCAUGGCAAUUCAUAUGCAAUAGACAUGGCAACUUUUAAUCCAAAAAAAAUUUCAUCAAAACAUAUCAACAUGGGAUCUAGUUUCGAAGAUCUCAUCGCGAGGGAUUUAAUGGUGAAAACUGAUUUUCAAUCGGAUUUUUCGUUUAAGAGAUAAAACAUUUUAAAAACUGAAAAAUCCAAAAAGAUUCCUGCAUGCAUGCAUGCGAUGACGUGGCAAUCUGUUUACAUUAGAGACGUGUGGUGCGUCUCGCUUCCUGCCACACGUGUGGCAGUUAGCGCGACCCUAUGUUUUUCCUAUCCCCAGUUGAAUCGGCACAAGGAUGUAAAUUAUGUGUGGAAGCAUGGUCCACUGGAUCCAGUUCGAUGCCUUGAGCUCCAUCUAAAAAAAGUGGUAUUGAAGAAUUACAAUGGUGACAGGAGGGCAUUUACUAACCUUGCUAAGUUCUUUAUUUUGAAUGCAAAAGUGCUGAAAGAAAUGGAAAUCGGAUUCUUUCAAAUUGGCAACGAAGAAUGGGUUUGUUGUCAACAUAGGCAGCUACAAGUUGAGAAUAGAGCUUCUCAAGGUGCUCGAAUUGAACUAAAAGAUGAUAUGGACCUGAAAUUCACUGACCAUGUGCAUACCCAUAAUUUGUCAAUUGCUAAUCCCUUUGACAGAUCCUUGUGUGGAUGCUCCAAGUGUGUUAGGCAGCCCUUCUGAAGAUUGUGUCACCCUAUGUCCAAAGCCAAAAGAACGUGUCCGCCCUUGCUUGUGUGUCUAGUGUUGUCACACCCUUAUGACGCUCUGUAGAAUGAUCUACUCACUUCAGGAAUGGUAUGAUUUGUACCGACUCUGGAGCAACCCAGGAUUGAGGAGGUGGUGCCUGAGCCAAGGAUUAAAAUUGAUUUUGCAAAUGUAUAUAACCCUUGAAUGUUACUGCUAGCUCUUGUGUGUGAUGCUUAGUUCGUACUUGUUGUUUGUGUUCCCCUAAAAGUCGUAUUGUAAGCUUAGACC